Molecule: long non-coding RNA, 264901 nt
Filed under: Citrus x clementina
Lineage: Eukaryota; Viridiplantae; Streptophyta; Magnoliopsida; Sapindales; Rutaceae
Description: Citrus clementina (C. clementina) long non-coding RNA (CCLE_LNC002331)
Rfam family: Small nucleolar RNA Z247 (bases 48531-48667)
Source: RNAcentral
UGUCUUGAUGGUAGGAAAGCAUGUAGGCUCGAAUCUCUUAAAAACUUGGAACACCUUCAAGUAUGUGGUAUACGUGGACUGGGUGAUGUAUCAGACGUGGGCGAGGCUAAGCGAUUAGAACUUGACAAAAAGAAAUACCUCUUCAGUUUGACCCUUGAGUUUGACGAGAAGGAGAAAAGAGGAGGAGAAAGGAGGAAGAACGAGGACGAUCAACUUCUUCUUGAAGCCCUGCGACCACCUCCGUAUUUAAAGGAAUUAGCGAUAUGCUCAUACAGAGGCAACACUGUUUUCCCCAGCUGGAUGACGUCAUUAACCAAUCUAAGGAGUUUAGAUCUCAAUUGGUGCAAAAAUUGUGAGCAGCUGCCUCCUUUGGGAAAAUUGCCGUCCCUUGAAGAACUCAGAGUGGUUUACACGCCGAGUGUGAAAAGAUUGGGUGAUGAAUUUUUGGGGAUAGAAAGUGAUCAUCAUGACUCAUCGUCAUCUUCAUCAGUUACUAUUGCCUUCCCCAAAUUGAAAUCACUUUCAAUUGAGUCUAUGUUCGAAUUGGAGGAGUGGGAUUAUGGGAUUACAAGAACGGGAAACACCUUCAUCAACAUCAUGCCACGUCUUUCUUACUUGGAAAUUUAUUUAUGCCGCAAAUUAAAGGCACUGCCCGACCACAUUCAUCAAACGACAACAUUGAAGAAAUUGCGCAUUGAGGGGUGUGACCUUCUGGAAGAACGUUACCGCAAGGGGGAAGGAGAAGACUGGCCUAAGAUAUCACACAUUCCCAACCUCCAUUUUGGGCUUUGACAAGUAAUUUCUUCUCUUACUCUGAUUUGCUUUGUUGUUGUUUUUAAUCUAAUUAAGAAGCGUAAAUAGCAUUUUGAAUCAAACUCUAUAUCAGAAAUCUGCAAUACAUACUUUCUAAUAUUCUGAUUUUCAUAUCUUCUGAAUGUACGAUUUUUAAUUUGUGAGAUGGGUAACGUUACCGUAAAAGAUUAUUAAUGCAAUAUGAGUAAUUCUUUUGCAGGACAAGUGACCUACAUUUAGUUUGGCUUUGGAGUUGAAUAAUAACCUUUCGAGGUCCCGACAACCAAAAAACGAAGCUUAAUUUGCCACAGAUUGAACGUAUUGCCAUUAUUGACAAUUUUCUGCACAAGCGUGACUGAACUUAGGUUGAUGUCAAAACAGGUAAAUUACUGGCAUGCCUGACUAUUUUGACCAUUACAUGAUUCAUAAGUUUACAUUAAUUUUGAUUUUGAGUUGAGUGAUUAAUUUUCUAGGUUUGCUUACUUUAACUGGGUGACCAAUUUCUUGUAACUAAAUGUAUGAUGUGAUGCAGGAAGCAGGGCAGGACAUGAAAAGAGAAGCUUAUUAGAGGAAGGAUUGCCAGUAACAGAAUCCAAAGAAAAAGAAACCAUUUCGAGGCAGCAGUUGGCAGUUGGCAGUGAAUGGAGCCCCUUGAAAAAAUUCCCAAGCCGUUGCACUGCAAUUACGAUCAUCCUCGGCCUCAGGUAAUUUCUUCUCCUGCAUUUUUGUUAUUUGCUAUCAAGUGACUAUUUUAAGUAUGAUUGCAUUAAACUGCUGCUGGGAAAUUUGAGGUUUUGAUGACUGCCCAUGCUAUUGUCAGAAGCUGCGGUUCUUUUCAUCAGCCUGAACCUGGACCUGCCGCUAUGGAUAACUCAGGUUUUUUUUUUUUUUUAAUCAACUGCCAUCUUUUCCACUGUUUUGAAACUCUUAAGAUUAAACUUUAGUAAAGUUGUUUUAGUUAUCCAUGUAAUCAGGCUGAGGAUACUUAGCUGCCUAUUUAGGCAAAUGUCAGAAUUUAGUAUUGUUCGCUGGGAACUGGUGUGGACUGGCAAAGGAUGAUGAGAUAGUUUUUUGAGUGAGCAAAUUUUGGGAGCUUGAGUGUAUUGGGAUUUGCAAUUACAAUCAUCGUCUGCCUCAGGUGAUUUCUUCUCCUGCUCUGUCAUUGUUUGUUCUCUAAUUCAAAAGCAUAAAAUAUUUCAAUCAAUUUUUAUGCCAGGAAUAUGCAAAAGUUUCUAAUAUUUUAUUUCCAUCUGUUACAAGAUCAAACUGAAGCAGAACUCAAACAAAAUUAUGCUACUUCUUGCAGAAAUCUUGCCUUUGUUCAGAUUAUGAAACCAUUUCCAUGCAGCAAAUUCAUCCAAAAGGUUGAAUAAGUUUCAUGGUUGGACACUGUUGGCUUCUUUUUCUUCUGGGGUGCAUUUAGGUGCUAUCAAGUGACAGCUGUAAGUAUGAUUGCACUAAGCUGCCGCUGGGAUAUUUGAGGUUUUGAUGGCUGCCUAUGUUAUUUUCAAGAAACUAUUGAUGUAAGAAGCUGUGGUUCUUUUCAUCAGCUUGAACCUGAAACUGUUGCUGUGGAUAACUCAGGUUUUUGUUAUCAACUAUAUCAUCUUUUUCACUAUUUUGAAACUCUUAAGAUUAAACUUUAGUAAAGUUGUUUCAGCUAUUCAAAUGAAAAACUCAUUGAUUUGAGACUUCCUUCAUUAUUGUUUCUAAUUACAGUGCUAACGAUCCAGAUAAAAUAAUAUUUAAUCGGCGAAGGUGUCCCUUGGAAGUACGUCCUUCUUUUUCUUUUAUUAUAUAAAUUCUUGCAAUGAGCUUAGUGAAGCUGUUGUGCUAAUCAUGCCACUGCAUAAUUUGGCCCCUAAUGUGGGUACUCUGUUACAUUGUUCUGCAAAUUCUCCAGAAGUUAAAAUCAAUAAAUUUUCUAUUAGCUCUAGUGCUUUGACCUAAAUGCUAUUCUAUAUUCUGAUUACAAUGUUUUAACCUUUAAAUUAACUACCCCUAGAUGUUGGAUUUUCUAGAACUUCAAAAUGAUUAAUGGAGAAAGAUCCCAUUAUCGUUAUUGCUAUAAGAAAUUGAUUUAUGCAUCCAAAGAUACAUUAUAUAUUUCUGUGUCUCUAUUUAUAGAUGACAUUUAAGCAUCCAUAAACCGUCAGACAGAGGAAGGGGGUUCAGUGCAAAGAUUCUGUAGACCUAGGGUUGACUGCAUAAUUCCUUUCNNNNNNNNNNNNNNNNNNNNNNNNNNNNNNNNNNNNNNNNNNNNNNNNNNNNNNNNNNNNNNNNNNNNNNNNNNNNNNNNNNNNNNNNNNNNNNNNNNNNNNNNNNNNNNNNNNNNNNNNNNNNNNNNNNNNNNNNNNNNNNNNNNNNNNNNNNNNNNNNNNNNNNNNNNNNNNNNNNNNNNNNNNNNNNNNNNNNNNNNNNNNNNNNNNNNNNNNNNNNNNNNNNNNNNNNNNNNNNNNNNNNNNNNNNNNNNNNNNNNNNNNNNNNNNNNNNNNNNNNNNNNNNNNNNNNNNNNNNNNNNNNNNNNNNNNNNNNNNNNNNNNNNNNNNNNNNNNNNNNNNNNNNNNNNNNNNNNNNNNNNNNNNNNNNNNNNNNNNNNNNNNNNNNNNNNNNNNNNNNNNNNNNNNNNNNNNNNNNNNNNNNNNNNNNNNNNNNNNNNNNNNNNNNNNNNNNNNNNNNNNNNNNNNNNNNNNNNNNNNNNNNNNNNNNNNNNNNNNNNNNNNNNNNNNNNNNNNNNNNNNNNNNNNNNNNNNNNNNNNNNNNNNNNNNNNNNNNNNNNNNNNNNNNNNNNNNNNNNNNNNNNNNNNNNNNNNNNNNNNNNNNNNNNNNNNNNNNNNNNNNNNNNNNNNNNNNNNNNNNNNNNNNNNNNNNNNNNNNNNNNNNNNNNNNNNNNNNNNNNNNNNNNNNNNNNNNNNNNNNNNNNNNNNNNNNNNNNNNNNNNNNNNNNNNNNNNNNNNNNNNNNNNNNNNNNNNNNNNNNNNNNNNNNNNNNNNNNNNNNNNNNNNNNNNNNNNNNNNNNNNNNNNNNNNNNNNNNNNNNNNNNNNNNNNNNNNNNNNNNNNNNNNNNNNNNNNNNNNNNNNNNNNNNNNNNNNNNNNNNNNNNNNNNNNNNNNNNNNNNNNNNNNNNNNNNNNNNNNNNNNNNNNNNNNNNNNNNNNNNNNNNNNNNNNNNNNNNNNNNNNNNNNNNNNNNNNNNNNNNNNNNNNNNNNNNNNNNNNNNNNNNNNNNNNNNNNNNNNNNNNNNNNNNNNNNNNNNNNNNNNNNNNNNNNNNNNNNNNNNNNNNNNNNNNNNNNNNNNNNNNNNNNNNNNNNNNNNNNNNNNNNNNNNNNNNNNNNNNNNNNNNNNNNNNNNNNNNNNNNNNNNNNNNNNNNNNNNNNNNNNNNNNNNNNNNNNNNNNNNNNNNNNNNNNNNNNNNNNNNNNNNNNNNNNNNNNNNNNNNNNNNNNNNNNNNNNNNNNNNNNNNNNNNNNNNNNNNNNNNNNNNNNNNNNNNNNNNNNNNNNNNNNNNNNNNNNNNNNNNNNNNNNNNNNNNNNNNNNNNNNNNNNNNNNNNNNNNNNNNNNNNNNNNNNNNNNNNNNNNNNNNNNNNNNNNNNNNNNNNNNNNNNNNNNNNNNNNNNNNNNNNNNNNNNNNNNNNNNNNNNNNNNNNNNNNNNNNNNNNNNNNNNNNNNNNNNNNNNNNNNNNNNNNNNNNNNNNNNNNNNNNNNNNNNNNNNNNNNNNNNNNNNNNNNNNNNNNNNNNNNNNNNNNNNNNNNNNNNNNNNNNNNNNNNNNNNNNNNNNNNNNNNNNNNNNNNNNNNNNNNNNNNNNNNNNNNNNNNNNNNNNNNNNNNNNNNNNNNNNNNNNNNNNNNNNNNNNNNNNNNNNNNNNNNNNNNNNNNNNNNNNNNNNNNNNNNNNNNNNNNNNNNNNNNNNNNNNNNNNNNNNNNNNNNNNNNNNNNNNNNNNNNNNNNNNNNNNNNNNNNNNNNNNNNNNNNNNNNNNNNNNNNNNNNNNNNNNNNNNNNNNNNNNNNNNNNNNNNNNNNNNNNNNNNNNNNNNNNNNNNNNNNNNNNNNNNNNNNNNNNNNNNNNNNNNNNNNNNNNNNNNNNNNNNNNNNNNNNNNNNNNNNNNNNNNNNNNNNNNNNNNNNNNNNNNNNNNNNNNNNNNNNNNNNNNNNNNNNNNNNNNNNNNNNNNNNNNNNNNNNNNNNNNNNNNNNNNNNNNNNNNNNNNNNNNNNNNNNNNNNNNNNNNNNNNNNNNNNNNNNNNNNNNNNNNNNNNNNNNNNNNNNNNNNNNNNNNNNNNNNNNNNNNNNNNNNNNNNNNNNNNNNNNNNNNNNNNNNNNNNNNNNNNNNNNNNNNNNNNNNNNNNNNNNNNNNNNNNNNNNNNNNNNNNNNNNNNNNNNNNNNNNNNNNNNNNNNNNNNNNNNNNNNNNNNNNNNNNNNNNNNNNNNNNNNNNNNNNNNNNNNNNNNNNNNNNNNNNNNNNNNNNNNNNNNNNNNNNNNNNNNNNNNNNNNNNNNNNNNNNNNNNNNNNNNNNNNNNNNNNNNNNNNNNNNNNNNNNNNNNNNNNNNNNNNNNNNNNNNNNNNNNNNNNNNNNNNNNNNNNNNNNNNNNNNNNNNNNNNNNNNNNNNNNNNNNNNNNNNNNNNNNNNNNNNNNNNNNNNNNNNNNNNNNNNNNNNNNNNNNNNNNNNNNNNNNNNNNNNNNNNNNNNNNNNNNNNNNNNNNNNNNNNNNNNNNNNNNNNNNNNNNNNNNNNNNNNNNNNNNNNNNNNNNNNNNNNNNNNNNNNNNNNNNNNNNNNNNNNNNNNNNNNNNNNNNNNNNNNNNNNNNNNNNNNNNNNNNNNNNNNNNNNNNNNNNNNNNNNNNNNNNNNNNNNNNNNNNNNNNNNNNNNNNNNNNNNNNNNNNNNNNNNNNNNNNNNNNNNNNNNNNNNNNNNNNNNNNNNNNNNNNNNNNNNNNNNNNNNNNNNNNNNNNNNNNNNNNNNNNNNNNNNNNNNNNNNNNNNNNNNNNNNNNNNNNNNNNNNNNNNNNNNNNNNNNNNNNNNNNNNNNNNNNNNNNNNNNNNNNNNNNNNNNNNNNNNNNNNNNNNNNNNNNNNNNNNNNNNNNNNNNNNNNNNNNNNNNNNNNNNNNNNNNNNNNNNNNNNNNNNNNNNNNNNNNNNNNNNNNNNNNNNNNNNNNNNNNNNNNNNNNNNNNNNNNNNNNNNNNNNNNNNNNNNNNNNNNNNNNNNNNNNNNNNNNNNNNNNNNNNNNNNNNNNNNNNNNNNNNNNNNNNNNNNNNNNNNNNNNNNNNNNNNNNNNNNNNNNNNNNNNNNNNNNNNNNNNNNNNNNNNNNNNNNNNNNNNNNNNNNNNNNNNNNNNNNNNNNNNNNNNNNNNNNNNNNNNNNNNNNNNNNNNNNNNNNNNNNNNNNNNNNNNNNNNNNNNNNNNNNNNNNNNNNNNNNNNNNNNNNNNNNNNNNNNNNNNNNNNNNNNNNNNNNNNNNNNNNNNNNNNNNNNNNNNNNNNNNNNNNNNNNNNNNNNNNNNNNNNNNNNNNNNNNNNNNNNNNNNNNNNNNNNNNNNNNNNNNNNNNNNNNNNNNNNNNNNNNNNNNNNNNNNNNNNNNNNNNNNNNNNNNNNNNNNNNNNNNNNNNNNNNNNNNNNNNNNNNNNNNNNNNNNNNNNNNNNNNNNNNNNNNNNNNNNNNNNNNNNNNNNNNNNNNNNNNNNNNNNNNNNNNNNNNNNNNNNNNNNNNNNNNNNNNNNNNNNNNNNNNNNNNNNNNNNNNNNNNNNNNNNNNNNNNNNNNNNNNNNNNNNNNNNNNNNNNNNNNNNNNNNNNNNNNNNNNNNNNNNNNNNNNNNNNNNNNNNNNNNNNNNNNNNNNNNNNNNNNNNNNNNNNNNNNNNNNNNNNNNNNNNNNNNNNNNNNNNNNNNNNNNNNNNNNNNNNNNNNNNNNNNNNNNNNNNNNNNNNNNNNNNNNNNNNNNNNNNNNNNNNNNNNNNNNNNNNNNNNNNNNNNNNNNNNNNNNNNNNNNNNNNNNNNNNNNNNNNNNNNNNNNNNNNNNNNNNNNNNNNNNNNNNNNNNNNNNNNNNNNNNNNNNNNNNNNNNNNNNNNNNNNNNNNNNNNNNNNNNNNNNNNNNNNNNNNNNNNNNNNNNNNNNNNNNNNNNNNNNNNNNNNNNNNNNNNNNNNNNNNNNNNNNNNNNNNNNNNNNNNNNNNNNNNNNNNNNNNNNNNNNNNNNNNNNNNNNNNNNNNNNNNNNNNNNNNNNNNNNNNNNNNNNNNNNNNNNNNNNNNNNNNNNNNNNNNNNNNNNNNNNNNNNNNNNNNNNNNNNNNNNNNNNNNNNNNNNNNNNNNNNNNNNNNNNNNNNNNNNNNNNNNNNNNNNNNNNNNNNNNNNNNNNNNNNNNNNNNNNNNNNNNNNNNNNNNNNNNNNNNNNNNNNNNNNNNNNNNNNNNNNNNNNNNNNNNNNNNNNNNNNNNNNNNNNNNNNNNNNNNNNNNNNNNNNNNNNNNNNNNNNNNNNNNNNNNNNNNNNNNNNNNNNNNNNNNNNNNNNNNNNNNNNNNNNNNNNNNNNNNNNNNNNNNNNNNNNNNNNNNNNNNNNNNNNNNNNNNNNNNNNNNNNNNNNNNNNNNNNNNNNNNNNNNNNNNNNNNNNNNNNNNNNNNNNNNNNNNNNNNNNNNNNNNNNNNNNNNNNNNNNNNNNNNNNNNNNNNNNNNNNNNNNNNNNNNNNNNNNNNNNNNNNNNNNNNNNNNNNNNNNNNNNNNNNNNNNNNNNNNNNNNNNNNNNNNNNNNNNNNNNNNNNNNNNNNNNNNNNNNNNNNNNNNNNNNNNNNNNNNNNNNNNNNNNNNNNNNNNNNNNNNNNNNNNNNNNNNNNNNNNNNNNNNNNNNNNNNNNNNNNNNNNNNNNNNNNNNNNNNNNNNNNNNNNNNNNNNNNNNNNNNNNNNNNNNNNNNNNNNNNNNNNNNNNNNNNNNNNNNNNNNNNNNNNNNNNNNNNNNNNNNNNNNNNNNNNNNNNNNNNNNNNNNNNNNNNNNNNNNNNNNNNNNNNNNNNNNNNNNNNNNNNNNNNNNNNNNNNNNNNNNNNNNNNNNNNNNNNNNNNNNNNNNNNNNNNNNNNNNNNNNNNNNNNNNNNNNNNNNNNNNNNNNNNNNNNNNNNNNNNNNNNNNNNNNNNNNNNNNNNNNNNNNNNNNNNNNNNNNNNNNNNNNNNNNNNNNNNNNNNNNNNNNNNNNNNNNNNNNNNNNNNNNNNNNNNNNNNNNNNNNNNNNNNNNNNNNNNNNNNNNNNNNNNNNNNNNNNNNNNNNNNNNNNNNNNNNNNNNNNNNNNNNNNNNNNNNNNNNNNNNNNNNNNNNNNNNNNNNNNNNNNNNNNNNNNNNNNNNNNNNNNNNNNNNNNNNNNNNNNNNNNNNNNNNNNNNNNNNNNNNNNNNNNNNNNNNNNNNNNNNNNNNNNNNNNNNNNNNNNNNNNNNNNNNNNNNNNNNNNNNNNNNNNNNNNNNNNNNNNNNNNNNNNNNNNNNNNNNNNNNNNNNNNNNNNNNNNNNNNNNNNNNNNNNNNNNNNNNNNNNNNNNNNNNNNNNNNNNNNNNNNNNNNNNNNNNNNNNNNNNNNNNNNNNNNNNNNNNNNNNNNNNNNNNNNNNNNNNNNNNNNNNNNNNNNNNNNNNNNNNNNNNNNNNNNNNNNNNNNNNNNNNNNNNNNNNNNNNNNNNNNNNNNNNNNNNNNNNNNNNNNNNNNNNNNNNNNNNNNNNNNNNNNNNNNNNNNNNNNNNNNNNNNNNNNNNNNNNNNNNNNNNNNNNNNNNNNNNNNNNNNNNNNNNNNNNNNNNNNNNNNNNNNNNNNNNNNNNNNNNNNNNNNNNNNNNNNNNNNNNNNNNNNNNNNNNNNNNNNNNNNNNNNNNNNNNNNNNNNNNNNNNNNNNNNNNNNNNNNNNNNNNNNNNNNNNNNNNNNNNNNNNNNNNNNNNNNNNNNNNNNNNNNNNNNNNNNNNNNNNNNNNNNNNNNNNNNNNNNNNNNNNNNNNNNNNNNNNNNNNNNNNNNNNNNNNNNNNNNNNNNNNNNNNNNNNNNNNNNNNNNNNNNNNNNNNNNNNNNNNNNNNNNNNNNNNNNNNNNNNNNNNNNNNNNNNNNNNNNNNNNNNNNNNNNNNNNNNNNNNNNNNNNNNNNNNNNNNNNNNNNNNNNNNNNNNNNNNNNNNNNNNNNNNNNNNNNNNNNNNNNNNNNNNNNNNNNNNNNNNNNNNNNNNNNNNNNNNNNNNNNNNNNNNNNNNNNNNNNNNNNNNNNNNNNNNNNNNNNNNNNNNNNNNNNNNNNNNNNNNNNNNNNNNNNNNNNNNNNNNNNNNNNNNNNNNNNNNNNNNNNNNNNNNNNNNNNNNNNNNNNNNNNNNNNNNNNNNNNNNNNNNNNNNNNNNNNNNNNNNNNNNNNNNNNNNNNNNNNNNNNNNNNNNNNNNNNNNNNNNNNNNNNNNNNNNNNNNNNNNNNNNNNNNNNNNNNNNNNNNNNNNNNNNNNNNNNNNNNNNNNNNNNNNNNNNNNNNNNNNNNNNNNNNNNNNNNNNNNNNNNNNNNNNNNNNNNNNNNNNNNNNNNNNNNNNNNNNNNNNNNNNNNNNNNNNNNNNNNNNNNNNNNNNNNNNNNNNNNNNNNNNNNNNNNNNNNNNNNNNNNNNNNNNNNNNNNNNNNNNNNNNNNNNNNNNNNNNNNNNNNNNNNNNNNNNNNNNNNNNNNNNNNNNNNNNNNNNNNNNNNNNNNNNNNNNNNNNNNNNNNNNNNNNNNNNNNNNNNNNNNNNNNNNNNNNNNNNNNNNNNNNNNNNNNNNNNNNNNNNNNNNNNNNNNNNNNNNNNNNNNNNNNNNNNNNNNNNNNNNNNNNNNNNNNNNNNNNNNNNNNNNNNNNNNNNNNNNNNNNNNNNNNNNNNNNNNNNNNNNNNNNNNNNNNNNNNNNNNNNNNNNNNNNNNNNNNNNNNNNNNNNNNNNNNNNNNNNNNNNNNNNNNNNNNNNNNNNNNNNNNNNNNNNNNNNNNNNNNNNNNNNNNNNNNNNNNNNNNNNNNNNNNNNNNNNNNNNNNNNNNNNNNNNNNNNNNNNNNNNNNNNNNNNNNNNNNNNNNNNNNNNNNNNNNNNNNNNNNNNNNNNNNNNNNNNNNNNNNNNNNNNNNNNNNNNNNNNNNNNNNNNNNNNNNNNNNNNNNNNNNNNNNNNNNNNNNNNNNNNNNNNNNNNNNNNNNNNNNNNNNNNNNNNNNNNNNNNNNNNNNNNNNNNNNNNNNNNNNNNNNNNNNNNNNNNNNNNNNNNNNNNNNNNNNNNNNNNNNNNNNNNNNNNNNNNNNNNNNNNNNNNNNNNNNNNNNNNNNNNNNNNNNNNNNNNNNNNNNNNNNNNNNNNNNNNNNNNNNNNNNNNNNNNNNNNNNNNNNNNNNNNNNNNNNNNNNNNNNNNNNNNNNNNNNNNNNNNNNNNNNNNNNNNNNNNNNNNNNNNNNNNNNNNNNNNNNNNNNNNNNNNNNNNNNNNNNNNNNNNNNNNNNNNNNNNNNNNNNNNNNNNNNNNNNNNNNNNNNNNNNNNNNNNNNNNNNNNNNNNNNNNNNNNNNNNNNNNNNNNNNNNNNNNNNNNNNNNNNNNNNNNNNNNNNNNNNNNNNNNNNNNNNNNNNNNNNNNNNNNNNNNNNNNNNNNNNNNNNNNNNNNNNNNNNNNNNNNNNNNNNNNNNNNNNNNNNNNNNNNNNNNNNNNNNNNNNNNNNNNNNNNNNNNNNNNNNNNNNNNNNNNNNNNNNNNNNNNNNNNNNNNNNNNNNNNNNNNNNNNNNNNNNNNNNNNNNNNNNNNNNNNNNNNNNNNNNNNNNNNNNNNNNNNNNNNNNNNNNNNNNNNNNNNNNNNNNNNNNNNNNNNNNNNNNNNNNNNNNNNNNNNNNNNNNNNNNNNNNNNNNNNNNNNNNNNNNNNNNNNNNNNNNNNNNNNNNNNNNNNNNNNNNNNNNNNNNNNNNNNNNNNNNNNNNNNNNNNNNNNNNNNNNNNNNNNNNNNNNNNNNNNNNNNNNNNNNNNNNNNNNNNNNNNNNNNNNNNNNNNNNNNNNNNNNNNNNNNNNNNNNNNNNNNNNNNNNNNNNNNNNNNNNNNNNNNNNNNNNNNNNNNNNNNNNNNNNNNNNNNNNNNNNNNNNNNNNNNNNNNNNNNNNNNNNNNNNNNNNNNNNNNNNNNNNNNNNNNNNNNNNNNNNNNNNNNNNNNNNNNNNNNNNNNNNNNNNNNNNNNNNNNNNNNNNNNNNNNNNNNNNNNNNNNNNNNNNNNNNNNNNNNNNNNNNNNNNNNNNNNNNNNNNNNNNNNNNNNNNNNNNNNNNNNNNNNNNNNNNNNNNNNNNNNNNNNNNNNNNNNNNNNNNNNNNNNNNNNNNNNNNNNNNNNNNNNNNNNNNNNNNNNNNNNNNNNNNNNNNNNNNNNNNNNNNNNNNNNNNNNNNNNNNNNNNNNNNNNNNNNNNNNNNNNNNNNNNNNNNNNNNNNNNNNNNNNNNNNNNNNNNNNNNNNNNNNNNNNNNNNNNNNNNNNNNNNNNNNNNNNNNNNNNNNNNNNNNNNNNNNNNNNNNNNNNNNNNNNNNNNNNNNNNNNNNNNNNNNNNNNNNNNNNNNNNNNNNNNNNNNNNNNNNNNNNNNNNNNNNNNNNNNNNNNNNNNNNNNNNNNNNNNNNNNNNNNNNNNNNNNNNNNNNNNNNNNNNNNNNNNNNNNNNNNNNNNNNNNNNNNNNNNNNNNNNNNNNNNNNNNNNNNNNNNNNNNNNNNNNNNNNNNNNNNNNNNNNNNNNNNNNNNNNNNNNNNNNNNNNNNNNNNNNNNNNNNNNNNNNNNNNNNNNNNNNNNNNNNNNNNNNNNNNNNNNNNNNNNNNNNNNNNNNNNNNNNNNNNNNNNNNNNNNNNNNNNNNNNNNNNNNNNNNNNNNNNNNNNNNNNNNNNNNNNNNNNNNNNNNNNNNNNNNNNNNNNNNNNNNNNNNNNNNNNNNNNNNNNNNNNNNNNNNNNNNNNNNNNNNNNNNNNNNNNNNNNNNNNNNNNNNNNNNNNNNNNNNNNNNNNNNNNNNNNNNNNNNNNNNNNNNNNNNNNNNNNNNNNNNNNNNNNNNNNNNNNNNNNNNNNNNNNNNNNNNNNNNNNNNNNNNNNNNNNNNNNNNNNNNNNNNNNNNNNNNNNNNNNNNNNNNNNNNNNNNNNNNNNNNNNNNNNNNNNNNNNNNNNNNNNNNNNNNNNNNNNNNNNNNNNNNNNNNNNNNNNNNNNNNNNNNNNNNNNNNNNNNNNNNNNNNNNNNNNNNNNNNNNNNNNNNNNNNNNNNNNNNNNNNNNNNNNNNNNNNNNNNNNNNNNNNNNNNNNNNNNNNNNNNNNNNNNNNNNNNNNNNNNNNNNNNNNNNNNNNNNNNNNNNNNNNNNNNNNNNNNNNNNNNNNNNNNNNNNNNNNNNNNNNNNNNNNNNNNNNNNNNNNNNNNNNNNNNNNNNNNNNNNNNNNNNNNNNNNNNNNNNNNNNNNNNNNNNNNNNNNNNNNNNNNNNNNNNNNNNNNNNNNNNNNNNNNNNNNNNNNNNNNNNNNNNNNNNNNNNNNNNNNNNNNNNNNNNNNNNNNNNNNNNNNNNNNNNNNNNNNNNNNNNNNNNNNNNNNNNNNNNNNNNNNNNNNNNNNNNNNNNNNNNNNNNNNNNNNNNNNNNNNNNNNNNNNNNNNNNNNNNNNNNNNNNNNNNNNNNNNNNNNNNNNNNNNNNNNNNNNNNNNNNNNNNNNNNNNNNNNNNNNNNNNNNNNNNNNNNNNNNNNNNNNNNNNNNNNNNNNNNNNNNNNNNNNNNNNNNNNNNNNNNNNNNNNNNNNNNNNNNNNNNNNNNNNNNNNNNNNNNNNNNNNNNNNNNNNNNNNNNNNNNNNNNNNNNNNNNNNNNNNNNNNNNNNNNNNNNNNNNNNNNNNNNNNNNNNNNNNNNNNNNNNNNNNNNNNNNNNNNNNNNNNNNNNNNNNNNNNNNNNNNNNNNNNNNNNNNNNNNNNNNNNNNNNNNNNNNNNNNNNNNNNNNNNNNNNNNNNNNNNNNNNNNNNNNNNNNNNNNNNNNNNNNNNNNNNNNNNNNNNNNNNNNNNNNNNNNNNNNNNNNNNNNNNNNNNNNNNNNNNNNNNNNNNNNNNNNNNNNNNNNNNNNNNNNNNNNNNNNNNNNNNNNNNNNNNNNNNNNNNNNNNNNNNNNNNNNNNNNNNNNNNNNNNNNNNNNNNNNNNNNNNNNNNNNNNNNNNNNNNNNNNNNNNNNNNNNNNNNNNNNNNNNNNNNNNNNNNNNNNNNNNNNNNNNNNNNNNNNNNNNNNNNNNNNNNNNNNNNNNNNNNNNNNNNNNNNNNNNAUCAGAUGUGGGCGAGGCUAAGCGAUUAGAACUUGACAAAAAGAAAUACCUCUCUUGUUUGAGACUUCGGUUUGAUAAGAAGGAGGAAGAAGAAGGAGAAAGAAGGAAGAACGAGGACGAUCAACUUCUUCUUGAAGCCCUACAACCACCUCUCAAUUUAAAGGAAUUAGAGAUAGAGUACUACCGAGGCAACACUGUUUUCCCCAGCUGGAUGACGUCAUUAACCAACUUAAAGAGUUUAGAUCUCUCUUCCUGCGAAAAUUGCGAGCAGCUGCCUCCUUUGGGAAAAUUGCCAUCCCUUGAAGCACUCAGCCUAUGGGACAUGAAGUGUGUGGAAAGAGUGGGUGAUGAAUUUUUGGGGAUAGAAAGUGAUCAUCAUGGCUCAUCUUCAUCGGUUAUUAUUGCCUUCCCCAAAUUGAAAUCACUUUCAAUUGAGUUUCUGCGCGAAUUGGAGGAGUGGGAUUAUGGGAUUACAAGAACGGGAAACACCGUCAUCAACAUCAUGCCACGUCUUUCUUCCUUGACAAUUGCUCAUUGCCCCAAAUUAAUGGCACUGCCCGACCACUUUCAUCAAACAACAACAUUGAAGGAAUUGCACAUUUGGGAGUGCAGGCUUCUGGAAGAACGUUACCGCAAAGGGGAAGGAGAAGACUGGCCUAAGAUAUCACACAUUCCCAACCUCCGUAUUGGGCUUUGACAAGUAAUUUCUUCUCUUACUCUGAUUUGCUUUGUUGUUGUUUUUAAUCUAAUUAAGAAGCGUAAAUAGCAUUUUGAAUCAAACUCUAUAUCAGAAAUCUGCAAUACUUACUUUCUAAUAUUCUGAUUUUCAUAUCCUAUGAAUAUACAAUUUUUAAUUUGUGAGAUGGGUAACGUUACUGUAAAAGAUUAUUAAUGCAAUAUGAGUAAUUCUUUUGCAGGACAAGUGACCUACAUUUAGUUUGGCUUUGGAGUUGAAUAAUAACCUUUCGAGGUCCCGACAACCAAAAAACGAAGCUUAAUUUGCCACAGAUUGCACGUAUUGCCAUUAUUGACAAUUUUCUGCACAAGCUUAGGUUGAUUUCAAAAGAGGUAAAUUAUUGGCAUGCCUGACUAUUUUGACCAUUACAUGAUUCAUAAGUUUACAUUAAUUUUGAUUUUGAGUUGAGUGAUUAGUUUUCUAGGUUUGCUUACUUUAACUGGGUGACCAAUUUCUUGUAACCAAAUGUAUGAUGUGAUGCAGGAAGCAGGGCAGGAUAUGAAAAGAGAAGCUUAUUAGAGGAAGGAUUGCCAGUAACAGAAUCCAAAGAAAAAGAAACCAUUUCGAGGCAGCAGUUGGCAGUUGGCAGUUGGCAGUGAAUGGAGCCCCUUGAAAAAGUUCCCAAGCCGUUGCACUGCAAUUACGAUCAUCCUCGGCCUCAGGUAAUUUCUUCUCCUGCAUUUUUGUUAUUUGCUAUCAAGUGACUAUUUUAAGUAUGAUUGCAUUAAGCUGCCGCUGGGAAAUUUGAGGUUUUGAUGACUGCCCAUGCUAUUGUCAGAAGCUGCGGUUCUUUUCAUCAGCCUGAACCUGGACCUGCCGCUAUGGAUAACUCAGGUUUUUUUUUUUUUUAAUCCACUGCGUCAUCUUUUCCACUGUUUUGAAAAUCUUAAGAUUAAACUUUAGUGAAGUUGUUUUAGUUAUCCAUGUAAUCAGGCUGAGGAUACUUAGCUGCCUAUUUAGGCAAAUGUCAGAAUUUAGUUUGUUCGCUGGGAACUGGUGUGGACUGGCAAAGGAUGAUGAGAUAGUUUUUUGAGUGAGUAAAUUUUGGGAGCUUGAGUGUAUUGGGAUUUGAAAUUACAAUCAUCGUCUGCCUCAGGUGAUUUCUUCUCCUGCUCUGUCAUUGUUUGUUCUCUAAUUCAAAAGCAUAAAAUAUUUCAAUCAAUUUUUAUACCAGGAAUAUGCAAAAGUUUCUAAUAUUUUAUUUCCAUCUGUUACAAGAUCAAACUGAAGCAGAACUCAAACAAAAGUAUGCUCCUUCUUGCGGAUAUCUUGCCUUUGUUCAGAUUAUGAAACCAUUUCCAUGCAGCAACUUCAUCCAAAAGUUUGAAUAAGUUUCACGGUUGGACACUGUUGGCUUCUUUUUCUUCUGGGGUGCAUUUAGGUGCUAUCAAGUGACAGCUGUAAGUAUGAUUGCACUAAGCUGCCGAUGGGAAAUUUGAGGUUUUGAUGGCUGCCCAUGUUAUUUUCAAUAAACUAUUGAUGUAAGAAGCUGUGGUUCUUUUCAUCAGCUUGAACCUGAAACUGUCGCUAUGGAUAACUCAGGUUUUUGUUAUCAACUAUAUCAUCUUUUUCACUAUUUUGAAACUCUUAAGAUUAAACUUUAGUAAAGUUGUUUCAGCUAUUCAAAUGAAAAACUCAUUGAUUUGAGAAUUCCUUCAUUAUUGUUUCUAAUUACAAUGCUAACGAUCCAGAUAAAAUAAUAUUUAAUCGGCGAAGGUGUCCCUUGGAAGUACAUCCUUCUUUUUCUUUUAUUAUAUAAAUUCUUGCAAUGAGCUUAGUGAAGCUGUUGUGCUAAUCAUGCCACUGCAUAAUUUGGCCCCUAAUGUGGGUACUCUGUUACAUUGUUCUGCAAAUUCUCCAGAAGUUAAAAUCAAUAAAUUUUCUAUUAGCUCUAUUGCUUUGACCUAAAUGCUAUUCUAUAUUCUGAUUACAAUGUUUUAACCUUUAAAUUAACUACCCCUAGAUGUUGGAUUUUCUAGAACUUCAAAAUGAUUAAUGGAGAAAGAUCCCAUUAUCGUUAUUGCUAUAAGAAAUUGAUUUAUGCAUCCAAAGAUACAUUAUAUAUUUCUGUGUCUCUAUUUAUGGAUGACAUUUAAUCAUCCAUAAACUGUCAGACAGAGGAAGGGGGUUCAGUGCAAAGAUUCUGUUGACCUAGGGUUGACUGCAUAUGUCACUUGUUCGCAAUCUAUUAUUUAUUUUAUAUUUUGAAGAAUUUAAUGGGUAAUCCUAAUUGUUUGUUUUGGCAGGUUUGUGUUGUUAUCUCCUUCUAUCUUACAGUCGUACCUAAAUAGCAUAGUUUCAUCUGUGUUACCAUGUGAUGUACAUAAUUUCACAUUUGCCUCAGAUUAAGCUUAAUUUCCCACAAAAUAGAGCUGUCGCGACUGGACUUAGGUUGAUGUCCAAAGAGGUAAAUUAUUGGCAAUGCCUAGAUAAUUUGGCCAUUUCCUAAUUCAUAAGUCUACCUUAAUUUUGAUUUUGAGUUGACUGAUUUCUUUUCAAGGUCUGCUUCCUUAACGGAGUGACCAAUGUUUUUCAACUAAAUUUAUCAUAUGAUGCAGGAAGCAGGGCAGGAUAUGAAAUGAGCAGCUCAUUGGUGGAAGUAUUGCCAGUAACAGAACCCAAAGAAAAUGAAACUAUUUCAAGGCAGCAGUUGGCAGUUGCAAGUGAAUGGAGGCCCUGACAAAAUUCUCAAGCGGUUGCAAUGCAAUUACGAUCAUCCUCAGCCUCAGGUAAUUUCUUCUCCUGCUCUGUUUUUAUCUGUUAUCUAAUUAAAAAGCAUAAAGUAUCUUGAAUCACUUUCUGUAUCUGGAAUAUAUGCAGCAGUUUCUAAAAUCUUCAUAUGAGUGUAAUGAUGGUAAUUUCUGUUUUUUGUCUGUCUUUGAAUGUUAGACAACUUUCAGUGAGACUCUUGAACCGAGACAUUUUUGACAAAUGAAGGACAAUUGCUGAAGAGUGGGAAUGGUGCUAGAUUGGGGAAUAAAGACAAAGGAGGUAAAUUAUUUGCAGUUUAUUCAGCAUUAUUUGCUUUGGACCAGCGCCUGAUUCACAAGUCUCCAUAAUUUGGCUUUUGACCAGUUGUUAAUAAAUUUUUUUAUUCCAUUGGUGCUAAAUGUACACGUGAAGCAGGCAGAGCAGGACUGUGGAAAUGAGAAGGUUUUUAGUGAAAGCUUAAACUCAGGUAAUUCUAAAAAGUACAUGUUUUUGCUGAUUUAUCUAAAUCAGGAAAUUUUAUUUCCAUCUGUUACAAGAUAAAACAGAAACAGAACACAAAGAAAAAUAUUCUACUUCGUGUGGCAAUCUUGCCUUCAUUCAGACAAUGAAACCAUUUCCUUUCACCAAUUUCUUCCAAAAGUUUGAAUAAGUUUCAUGGUUGGACAUAGUUAGCUUCUUUUUCUUUUGGUGCAUUUAGGUCCUAUCAAGUGACAGCCAUAAGUAUGAUUGCAUUAUCGGGAAAUUUUAGAUUUCGAUGGCUCCCCAUGUUAUUGCCAAGAAAGUCCUCAUGUCAGAAGCUGCGGUUCUUUUCAUCAGCCUGAACCCGAACCUGUCGUUAUGGAUAACUCAGGUUUUUGUCAUCAACUAUAUCAUCUUUUUUACUGUUUUGAAACUCUUAAGAUUAAACUUCAGUAAAGUUGUUUCAGUUAUCCAUGUAAUCAGGCUAAGGAUAUUUAGCAGCUUAUUUAGGCAACUGCCAGAAUUCAGUUUGUUCGCUCGAAACUUGUAUGGUGACAAGGAUACUGGCAAGGAUAGUGAGAUAGUUUUUUGUGUGAGUGAAAUUUGAAAGCUUGGGUGUUCUGGGAUUUGCAAUUGCAAUCAUCCUCUGAGUCAGGUGAUUUCUUCUUCUGCUCUGUCUUUAUUUUCUCUCUAAUUGAAAGCAUAAAGUAUUUCAAUCAAAUUCUGUACCAGGAAUACGUAAAAGUUACUAAUAUUUUAUUUCCAUCUGUUUGCAUAGAUAACUUGGCGGCAUAUGUUCUAGUUAAAGAACAAACAGAAACAGAGUUCAGGAAAAAGUUUCUUCGGCCACCAUAUUUGAAAAUGAAACCAUUUCCAGGAAGCAGUUGGCAGCAAAUUCAUAUGGAGUGUAGACAAUGAUGAGCAAAAAGGUGAUUCGCAAUUUCUUUUUUUUUUUAAGUGAAAUUAUUUGUUAGAUUGAAGCUGAUAUUGUAAGAAGGCCAUUGAGCUAACCUAUGUCGCCACUUGCCUAGAUUGCAGGGGGUCAAGACUCAAAAGAAGCACUGAAAUUUAAAAAGCAUGCAAUAGUUCUUUUACCAUGUGUCAAUUAAUGCGAGUUUGAGUAAGUUUAUUGGCUGAACGAUGUUAGCUUCUUUUCCUUUCGUGCACUUUGGUAUGCUAUCAAGUGACAACCGUAUGUAUGGCUUGCAUAUAGCUGCUGCUGGGAAAUUUGACGAUUUCAUGGCUGGCCGUGUUAUUGUCUUAAAUUAGUUGUGAUAAGCUGUUGCUUGGAGAUUCUGUUGCCAAGACUUUGCUCACAUCAGGAGCUGUGGAAUCUGAACCCUUCGUUAUGUAUCAUCUUUUUCAUUGUUUUAAAACUCUCAGGAUUAAACUUGAGCGAAUUUGUUCGGUUGUCUAUAUAAUCAUGUAUUGAGUAAACUCUCAGGAUACUGAGCAGGCAAAUGUUAUAACUCGGUUUGUUAGCCAAAAACUUGUUGAAGAUUCUUGACAAAGCUGCAUCAAGUGAAUUGUCGGAGCUCUGAGGGUGAGAGAAAUUAGAGGGUGUAUAGGGAUUUGGAUUUGUUAGGAAGUUAUCAUUUUUUUUUUUUUUUCCCAGAAAAUCUUCUGGUGGUGCUAUAUUUUCAAACGACAGUCCGAUUCAAAACUUGAUAUUCCAAUUAUAUUCAUAAGCUUCUAUAGUUAUCUUCAAAAAGACAAAUGGAAGGCUUUGAACGGCUUGGGUCUGAGUAUUGUAGUUUGAUUUAUUUUGAUGAAAGUACCUUUUGACAUUGAGAUUCUUUCAUGAGUUAAACAUUCUUUUUAAAACCAACUUAUUAAAAAAAAAGUAACUAACAUAUAUUAUUUUGUUAGUGCUUUUUAAAUCAAAUAUAAAAAAGAGAACUGUAAUUCUUAGCAACCAAUUUUUCACUGAAUACACCUACAACAAACUAUUAAAAAAUAAAGUGAUAGAAAAUGCCUGAUUUUUCGUACUUUUUAAUUAUUUUUGGUCCUAAAAUAUGGCGAUUUGUGUAAUAAUAAGCCCAUGUAUAUCUUUAUGCCAUUAGUUUGAUAAAUAGCUAUCAAGGAUAACUUAUUAAGCUAAAAAUAUUUGAAGGAUAAAUUGGUAAAACUAAAAGGGUGGGAGUAAUAUAGUUAUUUAAGAUUACAUAGUAGUCAACUAUAUUCGAGGGGAUAAAUAUUAAAAGGUUUACUUAAAUGAUCAUAUAAAUCCCUUUAGUUUCUACAUAGUUAUACAGACCCUCUUAAUUUCAUAAAUUAUUAUUAUACUUUUAAUUAAAACAACCUAAAUGAAUAUAAAUAUAGUAAUAGGAUAGAAAUAAUAAAUAAAUAUCAGAUGAAACAAAUAAAAUAUUACAAUAAAUACAAUUAAUUAAAUAACAUGUAUGAUGAAAAUUUUAUUCAUAUUAAGUUAUUAUUAGUCUAUCCCGAUGGAUUUACUCAAAUCAAUUAAUCCAAAAUUUAAUUUUAAGAUUGAUAUUAAUAUGGACAUAAUUAAAUAAGAUGUUGUAAUAUAUACUACUUUGAAUGUUAAGUAUAAUUAUCUAAUAUUAUUAGUAUGUGAAAUAGAUUUUAAUAUUAUUAAAGAAUAUGACAAUAUAUAAUUUUGAAUUAAAUUUUUUAGUAUUCAUGAUAUUUUAUAAAUUUUAUGUGAUUUUAUAUAUUAUAUUUUUUAAUUUUAAUGUAUUAUAUAUGAUCAUUUAAGCAAAUUUUGGAGGUGCGGUGGUCUUUUCCCUAUUAAUUUUGUAGCAUAUUUAAAGUGUUAUAUCAUACAUGAUACAUCACACUUUUGUUAAAGUGUUAUGUUAUUAAAAAUUAAACUUUGCAUUUAUAAUAUACUACCAUUUUAAUGUAAAGGUAAUAGAAAAUAUGAAGAUAUUUUUAAGUAGUCAAUUGUAGCUUUCUUUUACAAAAUAGCAGUAUAGAAAUACAAUUGGUAAAAUGUAAUAAAAAUGGUAUGGAAAAAAGUUAGUAGAGGCAAUUAUUCUUGUAGUUGCUAAAACAUAUGAAGUGACACACACACACACAUAUCAAGUACUUGUAUGUUCCCCUAACUUUUAUUAAUGGGAAGGAAAUUAAAUUCGUAAUUUUUCCGGUGAAUUAUGAAUUGAUAAAUGAAAUAUAAAUAUUAGUAAAAAUUAAUUUGUCGACUAAAGAAGUAAACCAUAUUUUAUGGGCAUUUAAUACAUUAAUUUAAGGUCAAAUGAGAUAUAUCACAUGAUAUUUGAUACAGUAGUCCAAUUUUUCAACAUUUGCAUAUAGUUUCUAAGCUAGUAAUCUAAUAAAAUAUACCAAAUGAGAAUUUGAAGGCUAUUAUUUAUAUUUCACCAUUGGACAAACACCAUACAUUAGAAUAAAAAAAUCUCACAGUAGAGACGGCAUCUGUUUGCAUGUUUUGAAAAUAGAUUUUGAAAUUAGUUUAAUUACAUGAUAAUUAAAUUAUAUUAUAAAAUUAAGAAUAUGAUUUAAGUACUAUUUUAGCAAUUUUGAGUCUCACAUUGAGUAUUCAAGUUAAUUAAAUGUUGAAACUCUUUUCUAUUUGGCUUGAAAUCACUACUUAAUAAAAUUACAAAAAGUUGAUAAUGAAUGAUGUAGGACACAUAUGUAAAAUAAAUUUUAAAGUGUAAUUAAACAUUCCUAUCAAUAUUAGUUUCGUAUACAUGUUCAUAUAUUUUACUGAAACCAUAUAUAAUUAAAUUUUGUGUAAUUAAGUAAAAUAUAUUAUUCAAGUGAAUUUAUGAGAAUAUUUAAAAUUAUAGGGGUGGUCACUGAAAUUUGCCAAACUUGAGCCAACCGUGCACGAUCAAAUUCUCAAUAUGUUAGCCUGUUUGACUGUUGGCAAAAUAAAUUCCUAUCAGCAGUGGAACACAAUUCAAAAUCAUAUCUGCAUACAACGAACAAUAUCUCAUCAAAGAUCAAAUUAUACAUUUUUUACACCAAAGCAUAAAUAUCUAAAUUGUCCUUCUUCAACUCACCAAGCUCAUACCUAACAACAGCAAGAUUAAAUGUCAUUUGAUCCAUCUUUUUUAUUAAGCUUUAUCAAUUCUUCUCAUGGUUGCAAUUUUGAAAGCUCGCUUCGCUAUUUCCAUUUGCUUUUAUGCUUUGUUUGAGCUCCAUCUUUUCUCUCCAUCUACAUUUUACACUGUAAAAAAAAAUUAAAAAAAAUUACAAAGCUUCUUAUACUAGAAUAUGAGCAACAAUAUAAAUAAUAAACAAUAAAGUUAUGAUAGCACAGCAUACUCAUUAAAGUGCUUCUUUUUUUUUUUCAACAAGAAAUUACUACUGAAUUAAAGAAUUGGCUUUGCAUUAAGGUUUGCCUUCAAUAACUCAACUCCCCACUUGGGUUUUGUCGUUUUCUUAAAAUCUCUGCUCAAUCAAUUUAAAGAUCCAUUUUUUUUUUCUUUCCAAAGAUCUAAAAGAAAUGUCUUUUAUUGGUACCCAACAAAAAUGCAAGGUCUGUGAGAAGACAGUUUGUCCAGUUGAGCAGUUAUCUACUGAUGGGGUUGUUUAUCACAAGUCUUGCUUCAAGUGCUCUCACUGCAAAGGCACACUCAAGCUAAGCAAUUACUCAUCCCUGGAAGGUGUUCUUUACUGUAAGCCUCACUUUGAGCAGCUUUUGAAGGAGUCGAGUAACUUCAACAAGAAUUUCCAAUUACCUGCAAAGUCAGCUGAGAAGUUAACUCCUGAGCUGAGAAGGUCGCCUAGCAAAGUUGCCAGCAUGUUCUCUGGGCCCAAUAAAAAUGUGCUUCUUGCAGUAAAACAGUGUGUCCGUGGGAGAAGGUAGCAGCGGAAAACCAAGCCUCUCACAAGACAUGUUUCAAGUGCUCACAUGGUGGUUAUUCCAUUAGCCCGUCAAAUUACGCAGCCCUAGAAGGCAUCUUGUAUUGCAAACAUAAUUUCUCCCAAUUGUUCAAGGAAAAAGGCAGCUACAACGACCUUAUAUCAAAUCUGCUUCCAUGAAGCGUGCUGCAGUCUCUGUUCAAGAAGCUUGAACAUGCUAUGUUAUCUUCCAUAAAUCUUAUUUGGCGUGGGUUUUCUCUGGCUUGAGGGUGUGCUUUCUAUUUUGAUCCCUCUUGUUGUUUUUGCGGGGAACUACCAAACCUUCGGUUCCCUCUGCUUCUUUGGAUCAUCUUUGUUGGGACAAAUUUCAUGUAAUUAGAGAUACUGAUUUAUGGGAGGCAUAAUCCCAUGGUCGUAAAUUGACCAUUUUCUGGCAAUGUUCUUUUUAAAAAGAGAUGAGCAGUUGUUUAACAAAAAAAAUAGCUUGCCUUCAUCAUUGUAUGUUACCAAACUGCUAUGUAUAGCUGCUAAAUAUGAGCAUCCGAAAAUAUGGUGCAUCGUGAUUCAUGUAGUGCAAUAUGGCUACCAACGCAUCCUAAAUGGAGUAUUACUCAGGUAGUCGGCAAAAUAAGACAACAUAACUGAUUAAAAAAAAAACUACAUUAAUAAGUGGGCAAGAUCAUGCCAGUUUAACUUUUCGCGCGUCGCUGUUGGAGAUAAUCAAAUCGGGGCAGAGAAAAGGAGAAUGGAAUCAGAGGCUAAGAUUAAUAAGUGGGCUUCUGCUUGCUUUGCCCCUCUUUCUUAAGCGAUUGGUAGACUGCUGCUUCCACCGAUUAACCGGGUCUUCAACCACUGCUUUUACUGCCUGCCAUCUUGUUGUUUGUUGAAGGGAUGAAUUCGAGUCGAAAAGAGAAAGCGCGCUGAAAAAGAUAAAUCACUAGUGGUUAACUGCUGACUCAGCCAAGUGUUGGCUUCACUUGAUUCACCGAUUGAGGUUAUUUUGUCUUCUAUCUAAUGCAGCGAAGAAGCUUUGCUGCUUAACAUGCUGCAAUGCAACUUUAUCCUUUGAAGUUCACACUUCAGGGCUGCGCACUUUAUGUAAUCCUAUGAGUAAAAAGAAUUUGUUUUCAAAUGUGAAAAAAGAAAAUGUAAGGUAGUAACUAAAUAUAUUAUAGCAUCAAAGCAAGAUUUGAUAUGAAUUUAGUACAGCAAAGAACAUCAAAUCUGUGAUUCCUUGUCUAGUGUUACCAUCGAGCAACAAAUUUAAAAGCCUACCUAUCAAAUACACGAGGCAAUAAACGGAGAAAAAGUUGAAUUACAAGAACAAGUGUACAAUUCUUGUCAAUGUUUAAUGAUUCGUGAACUGAGACAGCAUUCAAGAAUCCAAUUUCAAUACAACAACGUAAAAGAUAAACAGAUGAUGAAUUUUAUGAGAUAAAGAAGGAGAUCGUGUUUUAUCGUAUCUCUAUUUUCUUUCUUUUUAAAUUUAUGAGAUAAAGCGGUUGGUCCAGUUACGGUGUUAUGCUAACGGGUUUAAAGGUUCCGAUCCAAUGAGUUAGGGUGGAAUAUGAAUAUAUAAAUUCCAUAGCAUGUAAGGACUAGGAUUUGUUUGUUCAUAUCAAGAAAAAAGAUCUGAAAAUUUGAUGAUCAGAAGAUAAAAACACUUAAACACGUUUAUUUCAGAGAAACAAACGACAACAUGAUACUAGUAGUAGUUAUUCUUUUCAUCCGAUAUAUUACAUUGUAAUAUCACUACUCGUUCCACUGGUUUCAUAUACACCAUCGACCAGCAACAUGAUAAUUUCGUGUCAGUUCAUUUUGUUUGUAGGAAAGAGCAGUGUAUUUCUUAGAGCUUGAAAAUAAUAAAAAGAUUUUAAAAUAUAAAUUGCAUAUUUGUUUAUUACUGUUGUUUGGUCUAAUUUCUUAUGUAGAAUUGCUUGUCAUUCUUUGGACGUUAUUGAUUAUAUUUUUGUCAGACUUGGCGUAUAUAUUCACACAUACGUUUUAUUUUGUCAUUUUGUAGAACAAUUUUACACGCCAUAUUAUCACGACUCUUCUCUGUCUGAAUAAGAAGAAAGCAUAAUGCGACCCUCCAAUAGCUUAAUCUAUGGAAUUAUCGUGUUUUGUAAGUUGAGGACCAAUGGCGUUUUGGCACAUCAUAUGAUAGACCACUAUAUUGCGUUGCUUUACAAAAGAUUAAUAUUUUUAAAUUUAUUAGUUAAGUUUAGGCUCAGUGGCACUUUAACUCAUGAUAUGAUAGUCCAGGUUUUCGAGGACCACUAUAUUGUAUUGAUUUAAAAAAAAUUAAUAUUUUUUAAUAUUAAUAUUCUAAAUUAUAUUCAGUUAAAAUAUUAAAUAUUAAAUACAUUCUUAAUAUUAAUAUUCUUAGAUGAAAUUCUUUUGCUGACUUAAGAAUAAAAUAUUAAAUAAUUUUAUUUUUCUUUUAUUGUGUAACGUGGACCCAAAAAAAAAAAAGGAAAUGAAUUUAAUAAAACCUUCAUUCCUCCACCAUCCAUGUUAAUUGUUUCCAAAUUCCAACCUCCGUACUCUCUUGAGGAGUUUCCCAUUCAUCAAUUAUUAUUUUUUAUAAUCCAUACCAUCCUGAUAUAAUUAAACACCAUUAAUAAUGUACCAGCCUUUAAAUAGUAAUUUAUUUAUUUAUCUAAUUCACCAAAUGUCAUUUCCGGUACAUAUCUCCAUUGGUAUCAAGAAGAGGCAGAACCCAAAGAAACGUUUCUUACAUCUUCAUAUUUGUGCGAAUUCAUCCUUUCAUUGAGAAUAACCAUUUCCAGGCAGCAGUUGGCAAUCAAUUCAUGCGCACGUCGAUGCUAUUCAUAGAUAUUAAAGACAAUGAUGAACCAAAGGUGAUAAAUCAUAAAUACAUAAUUACCAAACCUCCAUCCUUCUCUCAUUAUGAUUUGAUUUUAAAUGAAUUAUUGCUUGGUAACAUUAUUUCCAACCAUGCGUUGGAUGAAUGGAUCACAGGAAGACGCAAAUUGCAAAUUGAGGGUGGCAUUGGUGAAAAUGCUCUUAUUGCUCCUCAUAAGAAAAAGAAGGUACGUUUCUACUUUCGUGCCUCUUGUCUUGGAUUCAAACAAGAAGAAUUUGGCUCAAACAAGUCUUUCUACGUCAUGACAUUGCUGACAAGAUCAAAGAAAACAAUGAAGAGCUACGUAAUAUUGCCACUCAAAGAGACAUGUUUAAAUCUGAGAGUGGCAGUAAAAGUAGUGAAAGACCCAGGCGUGUACAGAGUACCUCCUUGAUUGAUGAGGAAGAGAUUUGUGGUAGAGUUGGUGAGAGGAAUGAACUCUUAAGCAAGCUGUUGUGUGAGAGUAGUGAGCAACAAAAAGGCCUUCAUAUCAUCUCAAUCGUUGGUAUGGGAGGCAUAGGAAAAACAACUCUUGCACAACUAGCAUGUAAUCAUGUUGAGGUGAAGAGAAAGUUUGACAAACUUUUAUGGGUGUGUGUAUCGGACCCUUGUGAGCAGUUUAGGAUUGCCAAAGCGAUCGCUGAAGCUUUAGGCAUUCCCUCUUCUAAUUUAGGUGAAUUUCAAUCUCUUCUUAAACUUAUAUCUGAAUCUAUUACUGGAAAACGAUUUCUUCUUGUCUUAGAUGAUGUGUGGGAUGGAGAUUGCAUAAAAUGGGAACCAUUCUACCUUUGUCUAAAGAAUGGUCUCCAUGGAAGUAAAAUUUUGGUUACCACACGUAAAAAAUCAGUUGCAUCUAUGAUGGGAUCUACUGAUACUGAUAUUAUCACUGUCAUGGAAUUGGCUGAAGAAGAAUGUUGUUCGUUGUUUAAGCGGUUAGCAUUUUUCGGUCCAUCUAUUAAUGAUUGUGAAAAAUUGGAACAAAUUGGGCGAAGAAUUGCAGGCAAGUUUAAAGGUUUGCCUCUUGCUGCAAAGACAAUAGGGAGUCUCAUGCGCUCUAAACAAAUUGAAGAAGAGUGGGAAAGGAUUUUAAAUAGUGAUUUAUGGAGAGUAGAAGAGAUGGAGAAAGGUGUUCUGUCCUCAUUGUUGUUGAGUUACAACGAUUUGCCGUCCAAAGUAAAAAUAUGUUUUUCCUAUUGUGCUGUCUUUCCAAAAAACUACAAUAUAAAAAAAGAUGAACUAAUUACAUUGUGGAUGGCUCAAGGUUAUAUUUUAGCAUCUUAGCUUCUCGCUCUUUCUUUCAAGAGUUUGAGAGAAGUUAUGAUAAUCGUAUUAUAGAGUGCAAGAUGCAUGAUAUGGUACAUGAUUUUGCCCGAUUUGUAAGUCAAAAUGAAUGUUUUUCGAUGGAAAUUAAUGGUAGUGAGGAACCAAACACCAUAAACUCUCUUGAUGAGAAGGUUCGUCAUUUAAUGUUGAUCAUUGGUAGGGAGGCUUCAUUUCGUGUCCCUAUUUGUAGAGUGAAAAGAAUUCGUAGCCUCUUAAUUGAUAAUAGUAGAACUUCUUGUUCGUAUUUUAAUGGUGAGAUCCUAGAAGAAUUAUUUAGGGAAUCGACAAGUUUAAGGGCAGUAGAUUUUUGGGGAUCAUAUGACGUAAGCCCAUUUUGGACUGUAAAGAUUCCAAGAAACAUAGAAAAUCUAGUACAUUUAAGAUACCUUAAUCUGUCUUGUCAGAAUAUAAGGAAACUACCGGAGACAUUAUGUGAGUUAUAUAAUCUAGAAAAGUUAUAUAUUACUCGUUGUCUGUAUCUUGAAGAAUUACCUGAAGGGAUUGGGAAGUUAAUAAACAUGAAGCAUUUACUAAAUUAUCGUACAGAUUCUUUAAGGUACAUGCCAGUAGGGAUUGGGAGAUUAACGGGUCUUCGGACCUGGGAUGAGUUCCAUGUGAUUGGAGGAGGAGGUGUUGAUGGUAGGAAAGCAUGUUGGUUUGAAUCUCUUAAAAACUUGAAACACCUUCAAGUAUGUGGUAUACGCAGAAUGGGUGAUGUAUCAGAUGUGGGCGAGGCUAAGCGAUUAGAACUUGACAAAAAGAAAUACCUCUCUUGUUUGAGACUUUGGUUUGAUAAGAAGGAGGAAGGAGGAGAAAGGAGGAAGAACGAGGACGAUCAACUUCUUCUUGAAGCCUUGCGACCACCCCUGGAUUUAAAGGAAUUACAGAUACGGUACUACCAAGGCAACACUGUUUCCCCAGCUGGAUGACGUCAUUAAUCAAUUUAAGGAGUUUAGAUCCCUCUUUGUGCGAAAAUUGCGAGCAGCUGUCUCCUUUGGGAAAAUUGCCGUCCGUCCUUUGAAAAACUCAGCCUAUUGCACAUGCGGAGUGUGAAAAGAGUGGGUGAUGAAUGUUUGGGGAUAGAAAGUGAUCAUCGUGGCUCAUCUUCAUCUUCAUUAGUUAUUAUUGCCUUCCCUAAAUUGAAAUCACUCACAAUUUCUACAAUAAUGGAAUUGGAGGAGUGGGAUUAUGGGAUUACAAGAACGGGAAACACCGUCAUCAACAUCAUGCCACGUCUUUCUUCCUUGGAAAUUGUUGCCUGCCCCAACUUAAAGGCACUGCCCGACCACAUUCAUCAAACGACAACAUUGAAGGAAUUGCGCAUUGUGCAUUGUGGGCUUCUGGAAGAACGUUACCGCACGGGGGAAGGAGAAGACUGGCCAAAGAUAUCUCACAUUCCCAACCUCGAGAUUUGGCCUUGACAAGUAAUUCCUUCUCUUACUCUGAUUUGCUUUGUUGUUCUUUUUAAUCUAAUCAAGAAGCAUAAAUAGCAUUUUGAAUUAAACUCUAUAUCAGAAAUCUGCAAUACAUAUUUUCUAAUAUUCUGAUUUUCAUAUCUUAUGAAUGUACGAUUCUAAUUUGCAAUAUUUAACGUUGCUGUAAAAUAUUAUUAAUGCAAUAUGAGUAAUUCUUUUGCAGGACAAGUGACCUACGUUUAGUUUGGCUUUGGAGUUGAGUAAUAACCUUUCGAGGUCGCCACUAUAAAAAAGCGAAGCUCAAUUUGCCACAGAUUACAUGUAUUGCCAUCAUUGACAAUUUUCUGGAUAAGUGAUGAAGGGUGAGAAUGGUGCUAGAAUAUUGAAUAAAGCUGUCGUGACAGAACUUUGGUUGAUGUCAAAAGGGGUAAAUUAUUGGCAUGCCUAGCUAAUUUGACCAAUACCUGAUUCAUAAGCCCACAUCAAUUUUGAUUUUGAGUUGAGUGAUUAAUUUUGAAGGUUUGCUUACUUAACUGGUAACCAAUUUCUUUUAACUAAAUGUAUCAUAUGAUGCAGGAAGCAGGGCAUGAUAUGAAAUGAGAAGCUUAUUAGUGGAAGGAUUGUCAGAAACAGAACCCAAAGAAAAUGAAAACAUUUCGAGGCAGCAGUUGGCAGUUGGCCGUGAAUGGAGCCCAUUGAAAAAAUUCCAAACCCAUUGCACUGCAAUUACGAUCGUGAGUAUGAUUGCACUGCAAUUUCGAAGCUUCUUCUCCUCCAUUUUUGUUAUUUGAUAUCAAGUGACAUCCGUAAGUAUGAUUGCAUUAAGCUGCUGCUGGGAAAUAUGAGGUUUUGAUGGCUGCCCAUGCUAUUGUCAGAAGCUGCGGUUCUUUUCAUCAGCCUGAACCUGGACCUGUCGCCAUGGAUAACUCAGGUUUUUUUUUUUUAAUCAACUACGUCAUCUUUUCCACUGUUUUGAAACCCUUAAGAUUAAACUUUAUUAAAGUUGUUUUAGUUAUCCAUGUAAUCAGGCUGAGGAUACUUAGCUGCCUAUUUAGGCAAAUGUCAGAAUUUAGUUUGUUCGCUGGGAACUGGUGUGGUGACAGCGUCCUGGCAAAGGAUGAUGAGAUAGUUUUUUGAUUGAAUAAAUUUUGGGAGCUUGAGUGUAUUGGGAUUUGCAAUUACAAUCAUCCUCUGCUUCAGGUGAUUUCUUCUCUUGCUCUGUCAUUGUUUGUUCUCUAAUUCAAAAGCAUAAAAUAUUUCAAUCAAUUUUUAUACCAGGAAUAUGCGAAAGUUUCUAAUAUUUUAUUUCCAUCUGUUUGCAUUGAUAACUUUGCGGCAUAUGUACUACUUAAAGAACAAUAGAAACAGAGCUCAGUUAAAAGUUUCUUCUGCCAUCAUAUUUGAAAAAUGAACCCAUUUCCAGGAAGCAAUUAACAGCAAAUUCAUAUAAAGUGUGGACAAUGAUGACAAAAGGGUGAUUAACAAUUUCAUUUUUUAUGAAAUUAAUCGUCUGGUUGGAGCUGAUAUUGUUAGAAGGCCAUUGAGCUAACCUAUGUCACUACUUGCCUAGAUUGCAGGGGGUCAAAACUCAAAAGAGGCAUUGAAUUUUUAAAGGCAUCCAACAAUUCUUGUGGCCAUAUAUCAAUUCAUGUAAGUUUGAAUGCAAUUAUUGGUGAAGUGGUUUCACUUCCUGUCUCUGAAUAAAAAUACUGAUUCUUUAAGGUACAUGGCACUAGGGAUUGCGAUAUUAACGAGUCUUCGAGCAUUGGAAGAGCUCCAUGUGAGUGGAGGAGGAGGUGUUGAUGGUAGCAAAGCAUGUGGGCAGUGGGCUUGAAUCUCUUAAAAACUUGGAACUCCUCCAAGCGUAAGUAUCCGUAUACUGGGAAAUGUGUUAGAUGUGGAUGAGGCUAAGAGAUUAGAGCUUGACAAAAUGAAAUACCUCUUUCGUUGAGACUUAAAUUUGAUGGGGAAGAAGAAAAAGAAGAGGGAAGGAGGAAGAAUGAGGAUAAUCAACUUGUUCUUGAAGCCUUGCAACCACCUCUGAAUUUGAAGGAAUUAGAGAUUUGGUCAUACAGAGGCAACAUUGCUUCCCCCAGGAUGAUGCAAAAAUUGAAGGAAUUUACCAAUCUAAGGAGUUUGAUACUGUAAAAACUGCAAAAACUUGAGAGCAGUUGCCUCCUUUGGGAAAAUUGUGAUCCUUUGAAAAUCUCAGCAUAUUGUACAUGGAGAGUGUGAGAACAGUGGGUAAUGAAUUUCUGGGAAUAGAAAGUGAUCUUCAUGACUCAUCUUCAUCUUCAUCAGUUAUUAUUGCCUUCCCCAAAUUGAAAUCACUUUCAGUUGAGGGAUUGAUGGAAUUGGAGGAGUGGGAUUAUGGGAUUAAAAGAACAGGAAACACCUUCACCAACAUUAUGCCACGUCUUUCUUCCUUGGAAAUUAGUGUGGGGUUAUGGGAUCGCACAACGACGUUGAAGGUAUUGCAGAUUGUGGCAUGUGGUACUCUAAGAAGACGUUACAGACAGGGUAGAGCAGAAGACUGGCCUAAGUUCUCUCACAUUCCAGACAUCAUGAUUGUGUGAAAAGAUGCCCUUGACAAAAUUCUCUAGGCGGCUACAUGGAGUACAAUCAUAAAAUGCUAAUGUGGCCACCCUGGUUCUUAAUUAAGGUUGUGAAAUAUUAUUGUAAAAGAUGAUUAAUUCAAUUUGAGUCAUUCGUUUGCUUUGAUAAUGAUAGUAAUUUUAUAUUUUGACAAUUUGCAAGGUGAGAAUGGUGCUGAUUGGUGAUACAGGAUAUGGUUCAAACACCAUUGAAUAAAGCUACGGACAUGGUGGCUCAACUUAGCUAGACUGCUGUCAAAAUUGGUAAGUUGGCUUGUCAAUGUAUUGAUGCUUUUGUUUUCUCUCAACCCUAAUUACCUUACCUUCAUUUAGUUUGGCUUUGGAGUUGAGUAAUAACUUUCAAGGUUCUCAAACAGAGCAGGACAACCGAAAAAAAAUAGCUUAAUUUGCUGCAGAUCACGUGUUACCAAUUAUUUAAGGUAAUUCUCGUUUACUUGCUUCUACACUAUAGAGUACGUGUUCUGGCUGGUUUAUCUAAUUCAUCAAAUGUUAUUUCCUUAUUGUUCCAUUGAUAUAUUUGUUAGAAAAUGAAACCAUUUCCAGGCAGCAGUUGGCAGUGAAUUCAUGCAAAUGUUGAUGCCAUUCAUAGAUAUUGAAGAUAAUGAUGAGCCAAAGGUGAUAAAUCAUUAAUGCAUAGUUACCAAAACCUCCAUCCUUCUCUCAUUGUAAUUUGAUUUGAAAUGAAUAAUUGCUAGGUAAUUGAAGCCAAUAUUGUUAGAAACGGUGUUGAGCUACCCAAGCUAAGAAGUUAGCUGCCAAAAAAUGCAGGGGAUCAAAAGAAGCAUUGCAGUGCUACAAUGCUGCUACUGGGAAAUUUAAAUCCCAUAUUAGACUUUCCUCACAUCAGAAGCUGUGGAUCUUCGGACAUCAGGUUUUUUCACAGUUCUUAAACUCUCAGGAUUAAACUCUAUUAAAGUUGUUGUAGUUGUCUACGUUCUCAGGUCAAGGAUUCUAAGCUGCCGAUUAAGGCAAAAUAUCAGAAUUCCCCUAUUAUUAUUUUUUUUCAUGUAAAUUUAUGUUGUUGUCUUCGCCCAUGAAUCUUAGCAAAAUUCUGAACCAAUUGUUUGCUAUUAUAAAUUUCAUUGUUAAAUAUUAAUUGUGAUGUUGGUGUUGAGUUUCUUUUAAAGUCACAGAAGCCUGACGAUUGAGUUCCGUGGGACUCUGAGAAGCAGUAAUAUUUUGAACAAGUGAAGGUUCUUCGUUUUUAAUUAUGUUCUGCACUUUUACAGUAUGUGCAGAUGUCUAAGAGGCAGGAUUUUAAUUUCUGUAAUGCUAAAUUUCGCAAAACAAUAAAAAAAAUAAAUGCAUGACAGUGACUUCAAGAAUUUAGAUUAUUGAAUUUGGCCAUUUCAAAAUUGAACCAGAGCUCAGAAAUGUAGAAUAUAAAUAUUGGAGAUUUGAACUUCAAUCAUUAGAUUUGAAGCUAAAGAGGUAAGCCAUUAAUUACAUCAAAUGAUUUGGAAAAUGGAGGAAUUGGAAAAAGGAAACUUUUUCUUUGUCCGAUUCAAGGGGAACGUCACAGAGAGGGGUAAAGAGAAGAGUAGCCUAAGAUAUUAAAGACAAUGUUGAGGCAAAGGAAACAUAAAUCCCAACCAUUGCAUGUGAGCAUGAUCACAAUAAAUCCCAACCAUCCAAACCAUUUUUUUGAGAAUUUUCAAUUGAAAGUGAAACCUUUUGACAUUUACCUAAUAAAGUAAGUUAAACGAGAGAAAUAAAGGGGGGAAAAAAAGUUGACUCAAGUCAAUACAGAAUUAUUAGUUCAACCUGGAGAAACUAAAACAGAGACACUAUAUUUUCAAAAAUAUCUGCAUUCAUCACCUUCUCCAACAGCUAAUGAGCUACACACGAAUCAUUUCCUUUUAGCAUUUUUGCAGCAUCAAUUUAUCCCCUCGUUUGUCAUCAGUUUCUCCCUUCGUUUCACCAAUACCAUGGCUGAUGCAAUCCUUUCCCCUCUCUUGGAGCAGCUGAUUAUCUUCGCUGCUGAAGAGAUGAGACAACAGGGGAAGCUGGUGAGUGUUGGAUGAGCGGAUCACAGCAUGCGCCAAAUUGCAAAUUGAGAGCGGCAUUGAUGACAAUGCUCUUGGUGCUCCUUAUCUGAAGAAGAAGGUAUAUUCCUGCUUUCCUGCUUCUUGCUUUGGUUUCAAACAAGUCUUUCACUGUCAUAACAUUUAUUGUAAUUUCAUUUGGAGAUAUGUAAUAUCUGUUGUCCAGAUAUAUUUCAUACACCAGCUGCUAAUAAUUCUGCUUGAAGAGAACUUGCAAAGGAGCUGUGUGAUGUAAUAGAAGACUAUAGUCUGGUCAAUUUUUUCAACCUUAGAUAUUAGGAAGUUAUGUAUUUCAUUAUCAGUUAUCAUUAUGAUUCUUAUCUUCAAAAAGAUAAAUGGAUGGCUUUGAAUGGCUUGUGUUUGAGGAUUUUAGUUGGACUUAUUUUGAUUGAAGUACUUUUUGACAAUAGAAUUCCUUCAUGAUUUAAACAUUCUUUUUAAAAUCAAAUAAUCAAAAAAAUUAAAUAAAUAAAUAGAGUAACUAACAAAUAUGAUUUUAUUUUGUUAGUGUUUUUCUCAUCAAAUAUACAUAAGAGUACUGUAAUUAAUUGCAACCAAUUUUUCACUAAAUACGCCUACAACAAACUAUUAAUAAUAAAGUGAUAGAAAAAUGCCUAAUUUUUCAUACUUUCUAAUUUCUUUUGGCCCUAAAAUAUAGGUAUUUAUGUCAUAAUAAGCCCAUGUGGAUCUCAAUGCCGAAAGUUCGAUAAAUGGCUUUCAAGGAUUACUUAUUAAGGUGGCGUUUGUUUUUUAACUUAAUGACUUAAAGUGACUUAACUUAAUUAAUUAAGUUAAUUAGAGGUGUUUGUUUUUAUAACUUAAUGAAACUUUUUAGAUAAUUUUGACUUAAUAAAAUAAGCUAAUUUUUUUGGCUUUUUACUUAAUUGAGAAAUAUGAAUUAAGUCAAUUACUUGCUAAUGUCAAAAAUAUCCCUGUUUUAUAAUUUAUUUUUCAUGUCUAUCCCAAAACUCACCCAUAGAUAAUUACCCCACAUAAAAAUAUCCCUAUUUUUUCUUUUUUAUAUUAUAUACGAUAAAAUUUAAAAUUUAUGGUAUUUUAUAUAUUAAAAUUCCAAAAUAAUUAUGUAUUCACUUGAAUAUAGUUUUACUUAUAAAUGUUAAAAUAUUGUGGUAUUUAAUAUAUUAUUUAUUUAACAUUCAAAUUUAAUAAGGAUACAAAUGUAAAAGUACAUAUUUUCAGCUUUUUAAGCUGAAAAAACAAACAACUUAAUACUUAUUUUUCGAGAUUCAGACGAAAAAACAAACAUAUUAUUCAGAUUCAGAUAUUCAGACCUAUUCAGAAUUCAGACUAAUUCAGGUCUACUCAGAUUUCAGAUAAACAAAACAAAUGCCACCUAAGUAAAAAAUAAUUCAAAGGACAAAAUGGUAAAACUAGAAGGGUGGAGUAAUAUGGCUACCUUGGGUUACAUAGUAAGUUGACUACAUUCAAAGUAUAAAAUAUUAGAAACUGAACGGUGGAGUAAUCGUCGUUUAGAUGAAUGAUAUGUCUAAGACGUUGCAUGCAUCAAGAAAAUUGCAGAUGAUUAAACCUUGCCAUCUAUGCGUUGUAUGAGGUUAUAGCAACUAUCUAUCUGGUCACCGUUUUCAAGUCUCAAUUGGUAGUCCAAAGAAAAGAAUGAUUUUGCAAUAGCAUUAAGUGUUAAUUGGACACAAAAGGAAGUGUUUUAACCACUUUAAGGAAAGUAAAUGUAAUUUUCUGUCCUAAAGAAAAGGUAAAUGUAUGCACUUUCAAUUAAUCUUUGGUCGACCAGCAACAUCAUAAUUUCGUUUAGGUUCAUUUUUGUUUCUUAGAGUUUGUAAAAAGAAUGGAAAGAUUUUAAAAUAUAAAUUUCAUAUCUGUUUAUUACUGUUGUUUGGUCUAAUUUCUUAUGUAGAAUUUUCAGAAUCUGUAGGACAUUAGUUUAUAAUUUUGAGAUUUUGCAGCCAUAAAUGUAUUUUUCUUUUUUUGUUGCCAUUUUAUUUUGCUCCUUUAUCUAUGUGCAUGUUGACUGGCUGCAGUGAGUGAAAAUUUACCUAUAUAUGCUGGCUAUUCUUGGACAAUAUUAGAGAAAAUAAUCAUAUUAUUUCGCGUGAUGUGAACUUCCAUAACUUAUCAAUUGAAUUGCUGUAAAAUAUUAAAUAGUUUUAUUUUUCUUUUAUCGUGUAACUUGGACCAAAAAAGGAAAUGAGUUUAACAUGACCCUCAUUCCGGCACUAUGCCUGUUUUUCUUGUAUUGAUGACAGUGCUCUUGGUGCUUCUCAUCUGCUUCUUGCUUUGGUUUCAAACGAGUCUUUCUCCGUCAAGACAUUUAUUGUAAUUUCAUUUGGAGACAUCUAUCGUUCAAUAUAUUUCAUAUGCAAGCUGUUAAUAAUUCUGCUUGCAGAAAGCCUACAAAGCAGCUGUGUGAUUUAAUAGAAGACCAUAGUCUCGUCAAUUUUUCAACAUUAGAUAUUCAGUGUCAUAUUUGGCUGCAUCUAGAAGCCACUGCAUCUAGAAGCCUUGAAUAAGCAAAGUUGGCUUUGACAGCCGGCCAAAGAAAAUGUUGAAGAAUUUGGCAGCAGCAAAUUUGGAAUGAAGAAAAAGAAGAAAGAAGAAAAUAGAAGAAUGAAGACGGUGGUAAAAAUAAUAAUUUAAUAGCCAUUUUUUUGGCUAUAAAAGGCAGAGCUCCUCAUUUCAUUUUGUAUCCAAUUCCAUUCAGAGAGCAAUUUAGGGAGUUGAGAGAGAGUUUGAGAGCUUGCAUUUAUAAGCUCUUGUUACAGUGAUUGAGAGAGUUUGGGUGUAUUGGGGUUUUAGGGAAGUGAGCUAAAAUACUACAAUACUUGUAACUCCUUUUCACUAGUAAAAUAUUUCCUUCUGUCUUCGCCCGUGGAUGUAGGCUAAAAGCCGAACCACGUAAUUUCUGGUGUCCUCUAUUGUGCUGGUUCUUUAUUUUUUCUUCCAAUUUCAUUUUAGCUGCGGUCCUACUUCACCCACCAAUUUCCUAACAGUGGUAUCAGAGCCAGGUUGUAUUUUUUGGAGUCGGGAACUGUUCCGGUCCUACUUCACCCACCAAUUUCCUAACAGUGGUAUCAGAGCCAGGUUGUAUUUUUUGGAGUCGGGAACUGUUCACGUAAGGGGUACUAUUCACGUAUACGGCACCGUACACGUAUAUGAAACUAUUCACGUAUACGGUACUGUUCAUAUAUACGGUGUUGUUUACAUAGACUGUACUAUUCACGUAUAUGGUACUAUUCACGUGAAGCGGUGGAAGCGAUCCAAGAAUUUUACGGUGCAACUAUUCAAGGUGGUACACUAACUUGUGUGCAGUAUUUAUCAACAAAAUGGCGGCAAAGUAUGAAAUUGAGAAAUUUAACAACUAUUCAAGGUGGUACACUAACUUGUGUGCAGUAUUUAUCAACAAAAUGGCGGCAAAGUAUGAAAUUGAGAAAUUUAACGGAAAUAAUUUUUCGUUGUGGAAAAUGAAGAUGAAAGCUGUAUUGAGGAAAAAUAAUUGUUUGGCAGCAAUUGGAGAAAGGCCCAUGGAGAUAACUGAUGACAAGUGGAACGAGGUAGACGGCAAUGCCAUUUCUGAUCUACACUUGGCAGUUGCGGAUGGAGUAUUAUCCAGUGUGGCAGAGAAAAAUACGGCGAAGGAAAUAUGGGAUACUCUCACAAAAUUGUAUGAGGCCAAGUCACUACACAACAAAAUUUUCUUGAAGAGAAAACUCUAUAUUCUUCGAAUGACGGAAUCUACAAUGGUGACCGACCACAUCAACACAUUGAAGACUCUAUUUUCACAACUCACAACGUUGGGUCAUAAUAUAGAGGAAAAUGAACGUGCACAGCUUCUACUUCAAAGUCUACCAGAUUCGUAUGAUCAACUCAUCAUCAACUUGACGAACAACAAUCCAGUGGAGAGUCUAGUUUUCGAUGAUGUUGCAGCCUCCGUAUUAAAUGAGGAGAGCAGGCGGAAAAAUAAGGAAAACAGACAAGCAAGUUCGCAGUAAGCAGAAGCGCUAUCGGUGACGAGAGGGAGUUCAACGGAACGUGGCCCCAGUGGGAGUCAAAAUCAGGGUAGAUCAAAAUCCAGAAGUAAGAAGAAUGUUAAAUGCUACAACUGUGGCAAGAAAGGGCAUGUCAAGAAAGAGUGUUGGAGUAACCAGAAGAGAAGAGAGGGCAAAGAACCUGAGUCAUCAAAUGCUCAGGGGUGUGUAGCAAGUACCUCAGAUGAUGGCGAAAUUCUCUACAGUGAGGCAACAACUAUUUCAGAAGGCAGAAAACGACUUUAUGAUGUCUGGCUUAUAGACUCAGGAGCUACCUAGCACAUGACCUCUAGGAGAGAAUGGUUCCACACAUAUGAACCUAUCUCAGGAGGAUCUGUAUAUAUGGGUAACGAUCAUGCCUUGGAGAUCGCUGGUAUUGGUACUAUCAAAAUAAAAAUGUUUGAUGGUACAAUUCGCACAAUUGGGGAGGUACGACAUGUCAACGGCCUGAAGAAAAAUCUAUUGUCUUUGAGACAAAUAGAUAGUCAUGGGUACAAAACUCAUGUGGAGAAUGGAAUUAUGAAGAUCGUUAAAGGCGCGCUUGUAUUGAUGAAGGCAGAAAAGAUCGGUGCUAAUCUAUACAUGCUUAAAGGAGAAACGCUACAGGAGGCAGAUGCGUGUGUCGCAUCAAAUGGAGAAGAGUCAACGAUGAUGUGGCAUCUCAAACUUGGCCACAUGUCAGAACAAGGUUUGAAGAUUCUCUCUGAGCGAAAAUUGCUUCCGGGGCUCAAAUCGGUAAGUUUACCAUUUUGCGAGCAUUGUGUUACAAGUAAGCAGCAUAGAUUAAAAUUCAGUAGAUCUAUUGCUAGAAGUAAAUGCAUUCUAGACUUGAUUCAUUCUGAUGUUUGGGAAUCACCGGAUAUAUCCAUGGGAGGUGCAAAGUACAUGGUGACUUUCAUUGAUGAUUAUUCCAGAAGAUGUUGGGUGUAUCCAAUUAAGAAAAAGUCAGAUGUAUUUCCAGUGUUUAAAGAAUACAAAGCGCGGGUGGAACUUGAAUCUAGUAAAAAGAUCAAGUGCUUAAGGACGGAUAAUGGUGGAGAGUAUACAGACGGCGAGUUUCUUGCUUUCUGUAAGCAAGAAGGUAUUCAGAGGCAGUUCACGGUGGCAUACACUCCUCAACAAAACGGAGUAGCGGAGCGGAUGAACAGAACUCUUACAGAAAGAAUAAGAGCUAUGUUGAGGACUGCUGGUCUACCCAAUUCAUUCUGGGUAGAAGCAGCAAAAACCGCCUGUUAUAUAGUAAAUCGGUCGCCAUCUACAGCUAUUGGGUUGAAGACAGCGAUGGAGAUGUGGACUGGAAAGCCAGCUGAUUAUUCCUACCUACAUGCAUUUGGAUGUCCUAUGUACGUGAUGUACAAUGCCCAAGAAAGAACAAAGCUGGAUGCAAAAUCUAGAAGAUGUAUCUUCUUGGGGUAUGCUGAUGGAGUAAAGGGGUAUCGUCUGUGGGACCCCACUGCCCACAAGAUCGUCAUCAGCAGAGAUGUUAUCUUUGUAGAAGAUCAACUACAAAGAAAAGAUGGAGAUGAUGGCACUGUAAAAGAAAAGUCAGAGACUGUACCAGUAUAUGUCGAAAAUAAUCUAGAAGAUUCAAAUUCUUCUGAAGUAGCACCAGAGCACGAUGAACAAGAACCAGUCGAGUCCGAGGCUCCAGAAGUUCGUCGGUCAACUCGUGAGAGACGACCGCCGGCGUGGCACUCGGAGUAUGUCACAGAGAUCAACGUUGCAUACUGUCUUCUAACAGAGGAUGAAGAGCCUUCAACUUUCCAUGAAGCUUUAAACAGCUCAGAUGUUGCUUUGUGGAUGACAGCAAUGCCGGAAGAAAUUGAAGCUCUACACAAGAACAAGACAUGGGAACUUGUACCACUACCACACGGAAGAAAAGCCAUUGGAAACAAAUGGGUCUACAAGAUCAAACGUGAUGGCAAUGAUCAAGUGGAGCGGUAUCGUGCGAGAUUGGUGGUGAAAGGAUAUGCUCAGAAAGAAGGUAUUGACUUCAACGAAAUAUUUUCUCCGGUGGUUCGACUCACAACAGUCAGAAUAGUCUUGGCGAUGUGUGCUACAUUUGAUCUACAUCUUGAGCAGUUUGAUGUGAAAACUGCAUUUCUUCAUGGAGAACUUGAAGAAGAAAUAUAUAUGCUCCAACCAGAAGGUUUUGCAGAAACAGGAAAUGAGAACUUGGUUUGCAGGUUGAACAAAUCUCUAUACGGUCUCAAACAGGCGCCGAGGUGUUGGUAUAAGAGAUUUGAUUCCUUCAUCAUGAGCCUUGGAUACAACAGACUCAGUUCAGACCAUUGUGCAUAUUACAAGAGGUUUGAAGAUAAUGAUUUCAUUAUUUUGCUAUUGUAUGUGGAUGACAUGUUGGUAGCAGGUCCCAACAAAGAUCGAAUCCAAGAAUUGAAGGCACAGUUGGCUAGGGAGUUUGAAAUGAAGGACUUGGGACCAGCAAACAAGAUUCUAGGGAUGCAAAUUCACCGAGACAGAAAUAAUAGGAAGAUUUGGCUUUCUCAGAAAAAUUACUUGAAGAAAAUCUUGCGGCGCUUCAACAUGCAAGAUUGUAAGUCAAUUUCUACCCCACUUCUUGUUAAUUUCAAAUUAUCCUCAAGUAUGUGUCCUAGCAAUAAAGUGGAGAGGAAGGAUAUGUCUCGAGUACCGUAUGCAUCAGCAGUGGGAAGUUUGAUGUUCGCUAUGAUAUGUACUAGACCAGACAUUGCACAAGCAGUGGGAGCAGUCAGUCGAUACAUGGCGAAUCCUGGUGGAGAGCAUUGGAUAGCUGUGAAGAGGAUUCUGAGAUACAUCAGAGGAACCUCAGAUGUUGCAUUAUGUUAUGGAGGAUCAGAGUUUACUGUCAGGGGCUAUGUGGAUUCAGAUUUUGCAGGAGAUCUUGAUAAAAGGAAAUCCACUACUGGUUAUGUGUUUACACUUGCGGGAGCAGCUGUAAGCUGGGUUUCGAAACUGCAGACCGUUGUGGCUUUAUCUACAACAGAAGCAGAGUACAUGGCAGCUACACAAGCUUGCAAGGAAGCUAUUUGGAUACAAAGAUUAUUGGAGGAGCUCGGGCACAAACAACAGAAAAUUUCUGUGUAUUGUGACAGUCAGAGUGCCUUGCACAUUGCAAGGAAUCCAGCCUUUCAUUCCAAGACAAAGCACAUAGGAGUUCAGUAUCACUUCAUUCGUGAAGUAGUGGAAGAUGGAAGUGUGGAUUUGCAGAAAAUCCAUAUGAAGGAGAACCUAGCAGAUGUUUUUACCAAGCCAAUAAAUGCUGACAAGUUUAUCUGGAGUAGAUCCUCUUGUGGCCUAGCAGCAACGUAGGCAACAUGAUUAUGGCGAAGCAUAAAGGAUGGUGUGGAGAUUGAUUGAUUCUCAAUCUAAUCUCCAAGUGGGAGAAUGUCAUAUUUGGCUGCAUCUAGAAGCCACUGCAUCUAGAAGCCUUGAAUAAGCAAAGUUGGCUUUGACAGCCGGCCAAAGAAAAUGUUGAAGAAUUUGGCAGCAGCAAAUUUGGAAUGAAGAAAAAGAAGAAAGAAGAAAAUAGAAGAAUGAAGACGGUGGUAAAAAUAAUAAUUUAAUAGCCAUUUUUUUGGCUAUAAAAGGCAGAGCUCCUCAUUUCAUUUUGUAUCCAAUUCCAUUCAGAGAGCAAUUUAGGGAGUUGAGAGAGAGUUUGAGAGCUUGCAUUUAUAAGCUCUUGUUACAAUGAUUGAGAGAGUUUGGGUGUAUUGGGGUUUUAGGGAAGUGAGCUAAAAUACUACAAUACUUGUAACUCCUUUUCACUAGUAAAAUAUUUCCUUCUGUCUUCGCCCGUGGAUGUAGGCUAAAAGCCGAACCACGUAAUUUCUGGUGUCCUCUAUUGUGCUUGUUCUUUAUUUUUCUCCCAAUUUUACUUUAGCUGCGUGUCUGCUUCACCCACCAAUUUCCUAACAUUCAGCUCAUCAGCUUCUCAUGAAUUCUUUCCUGAGUUUCUUUGAAUUAUUUGUGAUGCAAUAACUUGUGCAUUUGAGAAACUGUUCUCUGGAAUUCUUUCUUGAGUUUCUUUGAAUUAUUUGUGAAUAAGUUGUUAAUCGGCUGCUUCUCUUCAAGAUAAGGAAAGUGUUGCAAACUGGUGAAGCAGCUGAUAGAUAAAAGCAAUGCCAGUGUGGUUGAAUUCAGCAAGAUUGGCGUUCGUGAUGCAAACGAGAUUACAUAGUGGUUAAAAGCAAUAAUCAAUGUUUUAACCAUAAAAACUUCUUUCCACCUAUUUUCGGCCUUGUGAUUCUCAUAUCCAUAGAACUUUUUGGUAAUUUAAUCAUAUUUCAUCGUAUGCAUCUGCAUCUUCUAACCAGUGCGUUUGAGAAACUAAUUUUGCUGUUAGGCAGGUUUCAAGCUUGAUUAAUGUAUUUUUCAUAAAUGUACCAAAGUUAUGUAAACCAAAUAAUAAAAAAUAAAUAAAAGGAAAUGAGUUUAAUAUAACCUCCAUUCCAGCACUAUGCACGUUAAUUGUUCCCCAAGGACUCUCCUGAUUCUUAUUCCCAACCUCCAUGCUCUCAAGAGGAGUUUAGCACCCAUCAAUUUUUACUUUUGAAAACUCGUAAUGGUCUGAUAAAAUUAAACAACAUUAAAAAUGUUACCAGUCAUUAAAUAGUAAUUUAUUUAUUUACUUUGCCACCUAAAGGAAUCCUGCUGUAAAUAGAGGUUAAAAAUUUUAUUAGAUCUACUUACCUUUGUUCAUUCAGCAAACACAUACAAUUUACAACUAGUGAAUCUAUCCGUUGACAAUUGUGGAUUAAAAUUAUAACACCUGAAUUCAAACAUAUUUUACGAAGUUAUGAAUUUGUUCAUACUUCAAAUGAUUUUUUUUCCCCAAGCUAAUAAAGCUACCACAUUGAUCAAAUGACGACGUUGAAGGAAUUGCGUAUUUUUCAAUGUCCUUUUCCAGACACACGUUGGAGAGAGGGAAAGAAGAAGACUGGCUUAAUUAAGAUAUCUCACAAAGAUUAUUGAGUUAAAAUGUUAUUGUAAAAGAUGUUUAAUACGAUAAUAGUACUUCUUUUGCAUUGUUAUAAUAAGGUUGGUAGGUUUCCCCAGAGGAUGGAUCUGGCUCGCUAGUCUCCAUUUGGGAAGAUGCUAAUUAUCGGCCAUAAAAAAGUCAAGGGGUUGUGGCUCUUCUGUGGCCCAGAAAUUCCUAAUCUCAUAUCUCAAACUUGGGCAUUAUGUAAAUAUGUAUUUUUGAGAAUUAAACUAUUGCGUAGAAAAAUUUUGAGCCAUUGUAAUCAUUUUAUUUUGCUAAGAGAAAAUUUUACUUUGUGUUUCGAUUUGACUUUUGUUUUGUUUGUGAUAAUAAGAUUCAUACCAAUGUGAUUACACACCUAUCAUGCUUCUAUUUUCAUUUGCUUGUCAUGAUAGAUCAACAUGCUCAAAAAUAUUUAUUUAGGUUGGAAAUAUUUGAAUCCACUAAAAUACUAUACAAACCCAUUUUAAAAUUUUAAAAAAAAUGAUUAUCAUAAUACUCGUGAAGAUAACGCGAUAUCAUACAUAAAAUAAAAUAUUUCGCAAAAAAGAUAGGAUACAAAUCUUAAGUAAGUGGGUAUAAAAAAUAUUUUAGUGAGUUCAAGUAGCACUAAUGCCCCCUUAUCAAAAAAUAUAUAAAAAUAACUAGUCUGAUUGGGUAUACCGUUGGCUAAACUAAAGUUCUGAAGAUAUAUAUAUAUAUAUAUAUAUUGAUAAUUUAUAAUGUACAUUAUAGAGAAAGAUUUUGAAAGUAAUAUUUUUUUAGUAUUAUUAUAUAAUAUUUUGUAAAAAGUAGAGAGAGUGAGCAAAACCAAAUUAAUUUUCUAACCCCCCUCCUUUAGGAUUUAAACUCAUUUUUUAGUGUCGCCGGCCAUUCAAAUUUUCUAGUUGAAUAGGCUAAAUUGCAUGAAAUUGUGCUAGCUUAGCUUGAUUCUAGAAAUUUCCAGUACACUGUAACACAUUCCCACACUUGUACAUAGCUCGAAAUUCUCUAGAAUUUACUAUAGUAGCGUAACAUGUAGCUUGUACAUAGGUUUUUCUAUAACACUCCAGGCAUUACUAGGCAUGAGAGCUCUCACCAAGCUUUGAGAACUCUCUAGACAUAAAACAUUCUAGCGCAAGCCUACCCUAAAAAUAGGGCAUGAAGCUUGCCAUUCGAGCAUACAACAAGUAAGAACAAUUCAAGCAUACUUGUAAGCUCUCAAACUCUCUUAUACACACUCUUGUGAAUAAUAUAAUUUCCCUUUGGCUAUAUUGUUCUCUCUUCUCUCUAGUUUUUUCGAAAGCAUCAUAACUUAGCUAGUCGAAAAAUUCAAGGCUUACUUUGCAACUAUCUCGUAAAAGUUGUUUAAGUACCACAGGAGUUUGCUGUACAAAAUACUCAUCCCGUGACAUUAGUCAAAUAAAAUUGUUUGAAAGCCACUUACCCGGAUAUUAUUCUUUUAAUAUGCAAUCUUUUAAUAUAAACUUUUGUCUUAAUUUUCUAUCUCCUACGAUAAAUUUUAGAAUUUUAAAAAUUUUAAAAAUUAAUAACUAUUAGAUAGAGCAUUUACUGUUAAAAGAAAUCUAUAUAGAUAUAUAGAUACAUAGUAAUAUAAAAACUUACUACAAUAUAAUGUUUUUAGUUUCUUAUUUUUUCAAGAUAAAAUUCAAAGACACAAGUUAAAUGUUGUGGAAAAUCUUCCACCCAUACAAGAAAUCGUCACAGCUAAAUGCAAACCGAGCUAAAGUAUUAGUUGUUUUAUUACAAUCUCUAAAAAGAUGAGCGAUUCCAAAAUCUUUCUUUGUAACAAUAAGCACUACAGUUCAGCAACUAUCCAAGUCAAAAGCAACUCAAUGUGAGUGCUAAGCUAAAUCAAUUUCAUUAACAAAUUAGAUGCCAAAGAGCAAGGCUUCGUCCUCAAUUAUAUUGACAUUAUCUGAGUAAACUCUAAAUACCACAAUCAACCCCAAAAAACAUGACUAACUAUUGUGUUUAAAAUAAAUUUUUUUUUUUUUAGAUAUCCGUUGGUAGUAUCUCUUUAGAUGAAUAUAGGAGAUAAAAUAAAUAAAUAUUUAUUGUGUAAAUAAAAAUAAAUAAAUUUUUUUGAACGGAAAAAAUUCCCAAGAACUAAAUUGUUCAAACGUUUUUUAACAUCAUGUGUUUCUAAUAAUUUAGGGUUGGGCAUUCAGUUCGGUUUUUACCGAACUGAACAACUAAAUUAAAUUGAAAUUACCCUAUUCGGUUCAAUUGAAUAGACAAAAACUAGAGCUGGCAAAACGGGUCAUCGGGUCGUGUUCAUGUCGUGUCAGUUUCGUAUCGUGUCAAAUUUAGUUCAACCCAAACCCGACCCAUUUAAUAAUCAUGUCAAAAUAUUGAGACCCAAACCCGAUACGGAAAAAUAAUCGGGUCACCCAAUAACCCGCUGAAUAUCUAUAUAUUUAACAAAAGUUACAUCAAAUAUUUACACAUUAUCAUACAUGCGUAUGUACAUACAUAAUUUAUCGAUAUUAUAAAAUAUACAUAUCUACCAAAAUAUUACACAUUUACACUAUUGAGGUUUUAAUUAAUUAUAUAUAUAUAUAAUAUUAUAUAUUAAUAUUAUAAAAUAUACAUAUCUACCAAUAUUUUAUACAUUUACACUAUUGAAACUCUAAAUGUGUUUAAAAUUUUAUAAAUAAAAUAUUGUACUUAUAUUCAUCCUUUUAAAGAAUAUAAAUAAAAGAGAAAAUCAUCUCUAAUAUUUAAGUUUUGAUGACAAAAACCUACAAAUUAUUUUAAAAUAGAAAAUAUAAUCGGGUCAUUAGUCGGGUAAAUGGGUCAAUAAUUUUAACCCUAACCCGACACGGAAAAAAAUCGUGUCGACCCGAACCCGACCCAUUUAAUAAUCGUGUUAAAUUCAACGACCCAUACCCAUUUAUUUGUGUCGUGUUCGUAUCGAGUAAUCGGAUCGUGUCAAAUUUUGCCAGCUCUAACAAAAACCGAACAGUUUAUAUUUUUAUGAAUUGAAUGAUUUGUAUUUUAGUUUAGUUCGGUUCGGUUCUGGAUCUAAACCGAACCGAACCGUAAACCGUAAACUGCCCACCCUUAAAGUUUCCAUUAACCGCCGUUGCAUUGCUCAAAUCACAGUCUCUCGCUUUCAGCUCAGUCAGAGUUUCCAGGUCCAGAGACUUGCCGCUGACUGAGAGCUUUUUAGUAGCAGGUCUACAAAUAAUGGAAUAGAGCUGAUUUAAUGAUUAAUUUAUUUCCUUUUUCAAUUUCUUUUGAUUGCCAUGUAAUCUGGAUAAGUUAAACGUGAAUUGUUUAGUGCAGAUUAAAUGUUCGACGAAUUUCCCGCAAGAAUAUUAAGUUAAAGAGAAAAAAAGAAAACAAUUGAGCGUGAGCGAGAAUGGUGUUUGGCCAAGUGGUGAUUGGUCCGCUCGGCUCGGGAAAGCCCACUUACUGCAAUGGCAUGUCUUAGUUUCUCAGCCUUGUUGGCAGGUAACUUCGUUUCUUGAUUUCAAGCAGCUUUCUCUUUGAUGGCCAAAAAUAUUGAUUUGGGCUUUGCCCUUUAAAUUAAUGUAAGAGCGGUAGGGAAUAAUCGAGUUAUAGUCUUAGCUUUAAGUGAACAUUGAUGAUAACAUGCAUGUGAAGGUUGUAUGUGUUCAGCGGCAAGUUGUAUGCCAAUUUGGUCUAUAUGGUUUUUUUGUUGGUAACUUAUUAAUUUUUAUGCAGGAAGGUUACAGUCAUCAAUUUGGAUCCUGCUAGUGAUAGUUUGUCGUAUCCUUUGUCAGAACCUUUUUACAAAUGCUGUGGUUUGUUGUACUAUAAUUAGUUCAAUCGGAAACUUCCUUGAUGUUAAUAUAGAUAUGAGUGUGCUGUGAAUAUUGAGGACCUCAUUAGACUAAGUGAUGUGAUGAAGGAGCAUUCACUUGGUCCCGAUGGAGGUUAGUCAUCCUAUUGUUGUUUACUCUUUCUUGCUUUAUCACGCAAUGAUAUUCCUUUGCUUUACAAAAAAUUUCAUGAAAUUAACUUCAAUCAAGUGGCUACCUGUUGAGAUUUUAUGGAUAAUGAUUUGGUAGAGUUUAUAUGCCCUCUUCUUUCUUUUUGCAGUGAUAUGUUUGUAUUCAAUGUGCUUGUACUUAUUCUACGAUUUCUAACGUAGGUGUUUUUAUGAUAAACUAGGUCUUGUGUAUUGUAUGGACUAUCUAGAGAAGAUUAUUGACUGGUUGCAGUCGAAAUUGGAACCACUUUUGAAAGGUAAGAAGAGGCCAUUUUGCUUCAUUCUAAUGCCAAUAAUGCUGUCAUGAGACUCAUAAAAAUUGUUAAAACGUUAAUGUUUUUGGUAUUUUGCAGAUCAUUAUCUUCUGUUUGAUUUUCCUGGCCAAGUUGAAUUAUAUUUUCUUCAUUCCAAUGCCAAGAAUGUUAUAUGAGACUCAUAAAGAAGUUAAAUCUCAGGGUAUUGUUACAUCUUACAUAUAUGAAGGGACUCAAAGAGUUGAGAUGAAUUCAUCUUUGUUAUUUUGAUGCCAGAAUUGUGCAAUUCUCAGUUGGUUCCUUUCACAUGCAGUUGACUGCAGUGCAUCUAGUUGAUGCGCAUCUUUGCAGUUGUUUCUAAAGCUGGUACAUUUAAGAUACCUUAAUUUGUCUUUUCAGAAAAUAGUGAAACUACCGGAGACAUUAUGUGAGUUAUAUAAUCUAGAAAAGUUAGAUAUUACUCAUUGUGAGUAUCUUGAAGAAUUACCUGAAGGGAUUGGGAAGUUAAUAAACAUGAGGCAUUUACUAAAUAAAGGUACUAAUUCUUUAAGGUACAUGCCAGUAGGGAUUGGGAGAUUAACGGGUCUUAGGACCUUGGGUGAGUUCCAUGUGAGUGGAAGAGGAGGUGUUGAUGGUAGGAAAGCAUGUAGGCUUGAAUCUCUUAAAAGCUUGGAACACCUUCAAGUAUGUGGUAUAUGUAGACUGGGUGAUGUAUCAGAUGUGGGCGAGGCUAAGCGAUUAGAACUUGACAAAAAGAAAUACCUCUCUUGUUUGAGACUUCGAUUAGAACGAAGACAAUCAACUACUUCUUGAAGCCCUGCGACCACCUCUGGAUUUAAAGGAAUUAGAGAUACAGUUCUACCGAGGCAACACUGUUUUCCCCAGCUGGAUGACGUCAUUAACCAACUUAAAGAGUUUAGAUCUCUCUUUCUGCGAAAAUUGCUAGCAGCUGCCUCCUUUGGGAAAAUUGUCAUCCCUUGAACAGCUCUUCAUAUCGUACAUGUCGAGUGUGAAAAUAGUGGGUGAUGAAUUUUUGGGGGUAGAAAGUGAUCGUCAUGACUCAUUGUCAUCUUCAUCAGUGAUUAUUGCCUUCCCCAAAUUGAAAUCACUUAGUAUUGAGGGAUUGAUGGAAUUGGAGGAGUGGGAUUAUGGGAUUACAAGAACGGGAAACACCGUCAUCAACAUCAUGCCCCGUCUUUCUUCCUUGGUAAUUGAUAGUUGCGACGAAUUAAAGGCACUGCCCGAUCACAUUCAUCAAACGACAACAUUGAAGCGAUUGUGGAUUUUGAAUUGUGGGCCUCUGGGAGAACGUUACCGCAAGGGGGAAGGAGAAGACUGGCCUAAGAUAUCUCACAUUCCCAACACAGAUAUUCGAUAAAAAGGAUUCGCGCAUUCGAGAUUUGGCGUUGACAAGUAAUUUCUUCUCUUACUCUGAUUUGCUUUGUUGUUGUUUUUAAUCUAAUUGAGAAGCAUAAAUAGCAUUUUGAAUCAAGCUGUAUAUCAGAAAUCUGUAAUACAUAUUUUCUAUUAUUCCGAUUUUCAUAUCUUAAGAAUAUACGCUUUUAAUUUGUGAUUUGGGUAACGUUACUGUAAAACAUUAUUAAUGCAAUAACCUUUCGAGGUCGCGACUAUAAAAUGGUGAGAAUGGUGAGAAUGGUGCCCCUUGAAUAAACUUGUCGUGACUGAACUUUGGUUGGCAGUUGGCCGUGAAUGGAGCCCCUUGAAAAUAUUCCCAACCCAUUGCACUGCAAUUACGAUCGUAAGUACGAUUGCACUGCAAUUUCGAAGCUUCUUCUCCUGCAUUUUUGUUAUUUGCUAUGAAGUGAUAUUCGUAAGUAUGAUUGCAUUAAGCUGCUGCUGGGAGAUAUGAGGUUUUGAUGGCUGCCCAUGCUAUUGUUAGAAGCUGCGGUUCUUUUUCAUCAGCCUGAACCUGGACCUGUCGUUUCCACUGUUUUGAAACUCUUAAGAUUAAACUUUAGUAAAGUUGUUUUAGUUAUCGAUGUAAUCAGGCUGAGGAUACUUAGCUGCCUAUUUAGGCAAAUGUCAGAAUUUAGUUUGUUCGCUGGGAACUGGUGUGGUAACAGCGUCCUGGCAAAGGAUGAUGAGAUAGUUUUUUGAUUGAGUAAAUUUUGGAAGCUUGAGUGUAUUGGGAUUUGCAAUUACAAUCAUCCUCUGCCUCAGGUGAUUUCUUCUCCUGCCCUAUCGUUGUUUGUUCUUUAAUUCAAAGUUAUAAAAUAUUUCAAUCAAAUUUUAUGCCAGGAAUAUGCAAAAGUUUCUAAUAUUUUAUUUCCAUCUGUUUGCCUUGAUAACUUUGCGGCAUAUGUGCUAGUUAAAGAACAAAUCGAAACAGAGCUCAGUUAAAAGUUUCUUCUGCCGUCAUAUUUGAAAAAUGAAACCAUUUCCAAGAAGCAAUGGGUGUUAAGGAAGCUCACAUGAGCAGAGUAGUCAGUGGAGCAGAGGAUUGCAACACCUGCAGCUUGCUGUUACAGGUUGAUGACAUGGCUUGCCAGCUGGAGCCUGGUGGUUAUAUAGUCUCUUGCACACGUGAAGAUUAACAGAGUUUGUUAUAGUAUUUCUUGUGCUUGUAAUUCGGUUUUAAUUAGUUAUAACCAGCUGAUUAGCACUUGCAAUUAGUUGAGAAUUAGUUCUAAUUACUACUGAUGUAUAUAAACAGAAGUAUGUACAGAUUCAGUCAAUUAAUGACUUGAGAUAAUAAAAACGAAGAAAGAGUUUUAGAAUUCUCUUAUUUUCCUUUAAGUUUUCUCUGUUUCCAAACAUCAUUGAAUUGUUACUUGGUAUCAGAGCCAACCAAUAAUGGCGUCUGUUAAUCUUGCUUCUUCUUCCUCAAUUCCAACUCUUAAUCAUGCUACAAAUUCAACAACUGUUUCCUUUACCUUUAACACACCAGUCAAGCUUGAUUAGUCCAAUUGUCUCAUAUGGCGAUCUCAAGUCCUAGCCUCAAUUCGUGGAAACAGGCUCGAAAAGUUUAUUGAUGAUGCAGUCACUCCACCUCCAUCUCAUAUAGCUCAGAGAGUUGAUGAUGAACUCAGAUCUGUGGAGAAUCCAGAAUUCGCAACAUGGAGAUCUCAAGAUCAGGUGCUGCUUGGAUGGCUGCUCUCUUCGAUGAGUGAAGGAAUCAUCAGUCUAGUGUUUAACCUGGAAUCAUCACUUGAAGUGUGGAAAGCUAUUAAGGUACAAUUUGGCUCGCAAUCUAAAUCCAGACUUUUACAUCUGAGAUACAUGAUGAAUUCAACAAGGAAAGAUUAUAUGAAAAUCAUAGACUAUUUUAUUAAGAUGAAAAACAUAGCUGAUAAUAUGGCAGCAGCAGGAAGUGCUUUAAGUAGUGAUGAUAUGAUUUUACAUGUAUUAUCUGGCCUAGGACCAGAUUAUAAUUCAGUAGCUACUUACAUUACUGGUCAAGUAGGAGUUGGUAAAAUGAAUGUAAAUGAAGCCUAUGCUAUGCUGUUAACUCAAGAGGCUAGGAUUGAACAACAAUCACAAAUGCUUGCUGGUGUGGAUAUGAAAAACAAUUUUGAGGCAAAUUAUGCUCAAAACAGAGGAGUAAAGAAGGGAAACAUAUCAGGUGGAAGAGGUUUUGGUGGUUAUGGCUAUAACUCUGGGUUUGGAAAAGGUGGUUAUUACAAAGGAAACUUUGGCACUGAAUCUGCUGGUGGUGGUACUGGUUUUAAUAGUCAGUUCAAAGGUUAUCAAUCUGGUAAUCAAAGAGGAGGAGGAGGAGGAAACUGGAACAAUAACACUAGAAUUAACAAUUUUAACAAUGGGAAACCACCUAUGAACUCUAAACCUCAGUGGAAUACUUCUAAACCUACCUGCCAAAUCUUCCUCAAGCCUGGACAUACUGCAAACAUUUGUUGGAAGCUGGAAGAAUUCAUUGCUUCAGGCUCUUACAGAUCACCUCCAAAUAGAGGACCAAAGGCUGCCUAUUUAGCCAACAUGGAUGCUCCAGCUGAUACAAAUUGGUAUCUUGACAGUGGUGCUACACACCACCUCACUAAUGAUAUGAGCAAUAUGAAUAUGGCUGAACCUUUUACAGGUAUUUCUAAACUUGUCAUUGGUAAUGGUGUUGGUUUAUUCAUAACACAUACAGGUUCUGCUGUUUUGAGAAUGAAAAGCUCUAUAAAUCAUGUUGAUCUUAAGCUAAACAAUAUUCUUCUUGUGCCUAAAAUAACCAAAAACCUGAUAAGUAUAUCAAAACUAACCAGAGAUAGUGAUGUUGUGGUAGAAUUUACUAAUGAUUUCUGUUUUGUUAAGGACAAGGUGAGGAAUUUGAUCAUGCUGCAGGGCAAAGCUGAAAAAGGAUUAUACAGAUUGCUAUUAGUCUCCUCAAAUAAAACCUCUCCUUAUCUGUCAAACCAAGGUCUUUUUGCUCAUGUUCAGUCAGCUGUCUCAACUCAACCUAUUUCCAAGUUUUCUGUUGUUGAUUCUAAAUGUCAGAAUAAAAUUGCUUCUCAGUUACAAACUGAAGCACAAUGUAGUCAAAACUCAGAUUGUAUGUUGAGUACUAUGGUUUUACACCAAAGAUUAGGUCAUCCCAAUGCUAGAGUGUUAAAUCAUGUUAUCAAUUCUUGUCCAUCUUUUAAAACCAUCGAUGGUAAUAAAGGUUUUGAUUCUUGUGAUGCUUGUAAGUUGGGAAAAAUGCACAAACUUCAUUUUCCAGUAACUGAAACUAAAACCAAAAAUGCACUUGAAAUCUUACAUACAGAUCUAUGGGGGCCUGCUCCUACACUUUCUAUACAAGGAUAUAAAUAUUAUAUCAACUUUGUAGAUGAUUACACAAGAUUCACCUGGAAUUUUCCUUUAAAAACCAAAGCUGAAGCAUUUCCAGUGUUCAAAGUUUUCAAAGCUCAAGUAGAGAAACAAUUAGAUAAACCUAUCAAGUGUCUUCAAUCUGAUUGGGGUGGUGAGUAUAGAUCAUUUGUUCAUUUUCUUCAAACAGAGGGGAUUCAGUUUAGACACUCCUGUCCCUAUACCCACAAUCAAAAUGGACUUGUGGAAAGAAAACAUAGACACAUCACUGAGUUGGGUUUAACCUUGCUUGCACAAGCCAAGUUACCUAUAAAAUUUUGGUGGGAUUCUUUUCAUACAGCUACCCAUAUUAUAAACAAACUUCCAACUCCUGUUCUUUCCUUGAAAACCCCUUAUGAAUAUCUAUUCCAUCAAAAACCAGACUAUCCAUUUCUCAAAACUUUUGGUUGUGCUUGUUUUCCUUUCUUAAGAGAUUACAAUCAUCACAAGUUUCACUUCCAUACUUCUAAAUGUGUCUUCUUAGGAUACAUCCCUUUACACAAAGGCUACAAGUGUCUUCAUCCAUCAGGAAGAAUUUACAUAGCUAGUCAUGUUCUUUUUUAUGAAACUUCCUUUCCAUAUUCUACUGAUUCUACCUUCUUACAGUCUAUGCCAUCUAAAUCUUCUGACUUCUUUUAUAAUUCCUUACAAGUAUAUCACAUCUCAGUUCCUAAUAGCAAUCAGAAUCCUUUAGCAGCUGCUCCUGCAGAUACAGAUUCUCAUGCCUCCAGUUCUACUCACAACAUCAUCUCCCUUCCUAUUCCUACAUCACAAGUAAAUUCCACCUCACUGAUUUCACCAAAUAAUACUAUAUCUUCACCCAUUGUCCACACAACAUCACCAGCUGCUACCAUAAACACUAUACCAAACACUACAACUUUACCUGCAAUACUACAAAAUUCACCUUCCAGAUCACUUCCCUCAGCUGCAACCAUAAACACUCAUUUUAUGAUUACCAGAGCUAAAGCUGGCAUAUUCAAACCAAAGGCCUUCUUGACAGAUCAUAACAGCCUAGAACCUUCCAAUGCUGGAGAAGCCUUAUCUGAUACUAAGUGGAAGGCAGCAAUGCAAGAUGAAUAUAAUGCUCUCAUUAGAAACAAAACCUGGAGCUUAGUACCAAUGAAUCCAGAAUACAAGUUAGUAGGCUGCAAGUGGGUCUUUAGAACUAAAUACAAUACUGAUGGUUCAGUCUCUAAGUACAAAGCUCGCUUAGUUGCAAAAGGGUUUCACCAAACUGCUAGGAUAGAUUACUCAUAAACUUUUAGUCCUGUAGUGAAAUCUUCUACUGUCAGAGUUAUUCUUAGCUUGGCAGUCAUGCAAGGCUGGAAUGUUAGACAAAUUGAUGUCAAUAACGCAUUUCUUAAUGGGAAUCUCACUGAGGAUGUAUACAUGCAACAGCCAGAGGGUUUUGUUUCAGAGGGAGGAUACAUCUGUAAACUAAACAAAGCUCUUUAUGGCUUAAAACAAGCUCCAAGAGCCUGGUAUGAUAAGCUUAAGGGAUGUCUUACAAGCUGGAAAUUCACUAAUUCUAAGGCUGAUACUUCUCUGUUUAUCAGGCAUGAUGUCAAAGGCAUAAUUCUUGUCUUAAUAUAUGUGGAUGACAUUCUGAUCACUGGACCAGAUUCAGACUUGCUGGAAUCUUUUAUUGCUAAGCUCAGCAAAGUUUUUGCAUUAAAAGACUUGGGUCUAGUAACAUAUUUCCUUGGUGUAGAAGUCAGCUAUACAGAUCAUGGAAUGCAUCUCUCUCAGACUAAGUACAUCAAGGAUAUGCUGUCCAAAGCCUCAAUGCAAGACUGCAAAGGAACUGACACUCCUUUCAGCACAGGCUACAAGUUGGAAAGGUCAGCAAAAGGCCUAUUGGGUGCUGAAUUUGAGAAUCCAACCCUCUAUAGAAGCAUUGUUGGAGGUUUGCAAUACUUAAUCUUAACCAGACCAGACAUUGCAUAUUCAGUGCAUAAGCUUAGUCAGUACCUCAGUGCUCCUACACUUCAACACUAGUUAGCUUGUAAAAAAGUGCUCAGAUACCUUCAAGCUACUGUCACAUAUGGUCUCUAUAUUCAACAGGAGGGAACUCUGGAAACUAUAGGACUAACAGGAUAUUCAGAUACUGAUUAGGCAUGUGAUAUUGAUGACAGAAAAUCCAUUGGAGCAUAUUGCAUUUUCCUUGGUAAUAAUUUGGUUUCCUAGUCUUCAAAAAAGCAAGCCGUUGUAGCAAAAUCUAGUACUGAGAGUGAAUACAGAGCCUUGUCAGCAGCCAGCUCUAAACUUUCUUGGCUAUAAUCAUUAUUCUCUGAGCUCAACAUCACAAAAUUACCAACUUCUGUUCUAUGGUGUGAUAACCAGAGUGCUGGAGAUCUAGCUAGAAAUCCAGUUUUUCAUUCAAAAUCAAAACACAUAGAGCUAGACAUUCAUUAUAUUAGAGACAAGGUUCUUAACAAUGAAUUGGAAGUGAGGUACAUUCCCACUGAAGAGCAAGUUGCAGAUGUUCUUACUAAGCCCCUGUCAUUUCCUAAGUUUAGUUAUUUUCGUUCCAAACUCAAUGUGUUCAGUAGACCCUUGAGCUUGAGAGGGGAUGUUAAGGAAGCUCACAUGAGCAGAAUAGUCAGUGGAGCAGAGGAUUGCAACACCUGCAGCUUGCUGUUACAGGUUGAUGACAUGGCUUGCCAGCUGGAGCCUGGUGGUUAUAUAGUCUCUUGCGCCCGUGAAGAUUAGCAGAGUUUGUUAUAGUAUUUCUUGUGCUUGUAAUUCAGUUUUAAUUAGUUAUAACCAGCUGAUUAGCACUUGCAAUUAGUUGAGAAUUAGUUCUAAUUACUACUGAUGUAUAUAAACAGAAGUAUGUACAGAUUCAGUCAAUUAAUGACUUGAGAUAAUAAAACGAAGAAAGAGUUUUAGAAUUCUCUUAUUUUCCUUUAAGUUUUCUCUGUUUCCAAACAUCAUUGAAUUGUUACUAUGGGCAGCAAAUUCAUAUAAAGCGUAGACAAUGGUGAUCAAAAAGGUGAUUCACAAUUUCACUUUUUUUAAUGAAAUUAAUUGUUUGGUUGGAGCUGAUAUUGUUAGAAGGCCAUUGAGCUAACCUAUGUCACUACUUGCCUAGAUUACAGGGGGUCAAAACUCAAAAGAGGCAUUGAAUUUUAAAAGGCAUCCAAUAAUUCUUGUGGCCAUAUAUCAAUUCAUGUAAGUUUGAAUGUAAUUAUUGGUGAAGGGGUUUCACUUCCCGUCUCUAAAUAAAAAUACUGAUUCUUUAAGGUACAUGCCACUAGGGAUUGCGAGAUUAACGAGUCUUUGGACAUUGGAAGAGCUUCUUGUGAGUGGAGGAGGAGGUGUUCAUGUGUAGCAAAGCAUGUGGGCAGUGGGCUUGAAUCUCUUAAAAACUUGGAACUCCUCCAAGCGUAAGUAUACGUAUACUGGGAAAUGUGUUAGAUGUGGAUGAGGCUAAGAGAUUAGAGCUUGACAAAAUGAAAUACCUCUGUCAUUGAGACUUAAAUUUGAUGGGGAAGAAGAAAAAGAAUAGGGAAGGAGAAAGAAUGAGAAUAAUCAACUUGUUCUUGAAGCCUUGCAACCACCUCUGAAUUUGAAGGAAUUAGAGAUUUGGUCAUACAGAGGCAACAUUGUUUCCCCCCGGAUGAUGCAAAAGUUGAAGGAAUUUACCAAUCUAAGGAGUUUGACACUCUUUAAAACUGCAAAAAUUGAGAGCAGUUGCCUUCUUUGGGAAAAUUGUGAUCCUUUGAAAAUCUCAGCAUAUUGUACAUGGAGAGUGUGAAAACAGUGGGUAAUGAAUUUAUGGGAAUAGAAAGUGAUCUUCAUGACUCAUCUUCAUCUUCAUCAGUUAUUAUUGCCUUCCCCAAAUUGAAAUCACUUUCAGUUGAGGGAUUGAUGGAAUUGGAGGAGUGGGAUUAUGGGAUUAAAAGAACAGGAAACACCUUCACCAACAUUAUGCCACGUCUUUCUUCCUUGGAAAUUAGUGUGGGGUUAUGGGAUCGCACAACGACGUUGAAGGUAUUGCAGAUUGUGGCAUGUGGUACUCUAAGAAGACGUUACAGACAGGGGAGAGCAGAAGACUGGCCUAAAAUGCUAAUGUGGAGUACAAUCAUAAAAUGCUAAUGUGGCCACCCUGGUUCUUAAUUAAGGUUGUGCAUAUUAUUGUAAAAGAUGAUUAAUUCAAUUUGAGUCAUUCGUUUGCUUUGAUAAUGAUAGUAAUUUUAUAUUUUGACAAUUUGCAAGGUGAGAAUGGUGCUGAUUGGUGAUACAGGAUAUGGUUCAAACACCAUUGAAUAAAGCUACGGACAUGGUGGCUCAACUUAGCUAGAUUGCUGUCAAAAUUGGUAAGUUGGCUUGUCAAUGUAUUGAUGCUUUUGUUUUCUCUCAACCCUAAUUACCUUACCUUCAUUUAGUUUGGCUUUGGAGUUGAGUAAUAACUUUCAAGGUUCUCAAACAGAGCAGGACAACCGAAAAAAAAUAGCUUAAUUUGCUGCAGAUCACGUGUUACCAAUUAUUUAAGGUAAUUCUCGUUUACUUGCUUCUACACUAUAGAGUACGUGUUCUGGCUGGUUUAUGUAAUUCAUCAAAUGUUAUUUCCUUAUUGUUCCAUUGAUAUGUUUGUUAGAAAGUGAAACCAUUUCCAGGCAGCAGUUGGCAGUGAAUUCAUGCAAAUGUUGAUGCCAUUCAUAGAUAUUGAAGACAAUGAUGAGCCAAAGGUGAUAAAUCAUUAAUGCAUAGUUACCAAAACCUCCAUCCUUCUCUCAUUGUAAUUUGAUUUGAAAUGAAUAAUUGCUAGGUAAUUGAAGCCAAUAUUGUUAGAAACGGUGUUGAGCUACCCAAGCUAAGAAGUUAGCUGCCAAAAAAUGCAGGGGAUCAAAAGAAGCAUUGCAGUGCUACAAUGAAGCUACUGGGAAAUUUAAAUCCCAUAUUAGACUUUCCUCACAUCAGAAGCUGUGGAUCUUCGGACAUCAGGUUUUUUCACAGUUCUGAAACUCUCAGGAUUAAACUCUAUUAAAGUUGUUGUAGUUGUCUACGUUCUCAGGUCAAGGAUUCUAAGCUGCCUAUUAAGGCAAAAUGUCAGAAUUCCCCUAUUAUUUUUUUUUCAUGUAAAAUUAUGUUGUUGUCUUCGCCCAUGAAUCUUAGCUAAAUUCUGAACCAAUUGUUUGCUAUUAUAAAUUUCAUUGUUAAAUAUUAAUUGUGAUGUUGGUGUUGAGUUUCUUUUAAAGUCACAGAAGCCUGACGAUUGAGUUCCGUGAUUCUGAGAAGCAGUAAUAUUUUGAACAAGUGAAGGUUCUUCGUUUUUAAUUAUGUUCUGCACCUUUACAGUAUGAGUAAAUGUCUAAGAGGCGAGAUUUUAAUUUCUGUAAAUGCUAAAUUUCGCAAAACAAUAAAAAAAUAAAUGCAUGACAGUGACUUCAAGAAAUUAGAUUAUUGAAUUUGGCCAUUUUAAAAUUGAACCAGAGCUCAGAAAUGUAGAAUAUAAAUAUUGGAGAUUUGAACUUCAAUCAUUAGAUUUGAAGCUAAAGAGGUAAGCCAUUAAUUACAUCAAAUGAUUUGGAAAAUGGAGGAAUUGUAAAAAGGAAACUUUUUCUUUGUCCGAUUCAAGAGGAACAAGAGUAGCCUAAGAUAUUAAAGACAAUGUUGAGGCAAAGGAAACAUAAAUCCCAACCAUUGCAUGUGAACAUGAUCACAAUAAAUCCCAACCAUCCAAACCAUUUUUUUGAGAAUUUUCAAUUGAAAGUGAAACCUUUUGACAUUUACCUAAUAAAGUAAGUUAAACGAGAGAAAUAAAGGGGGGAAAAAAAAGUUGACUCAAGUCAAUACAGAAUUAUUAGUUCAACCUAGAGUAACUAAAACAGAGCCACUUGAGUUUCAAAAAUAUCUGCAUUCAUCACCUUCUCCAACAGCUUAUGAGCUACACACGAAUCAUUUCCUUUUAGCAUUUUUGCAGCAGCAAUUUCUCCCCUCGUUUGUCAUCAAUUUCUCCCUUCUCUUGGGGAAAAAAGGGCAGUUGUAAAUUACAUUAUUUGUAACUUUGGCGGACUCUUUAUAUAACACAAAUUCUAUCAUUUAAAGAAAUUAUAAUGAUGCAAUCGUUUCCCCUCUCUUGGAGCAGCUGAUUAUCUUUGCUGCUGAAGAGAUGAGACAACAGGGGAAGCUGGUGAGUGUUGGAUGAGCGGAUCACAGCAUGCGCCAAAUUGCAAAUUGAGAGCGGCAUUGAUGACAAUGCUCUUGGUGCUCCUUAUCUGAAGAAGAAGGUAUAUUCCUGCUUUCCUGCUUCUUGCUUUGGUUUCAAGCAAGUCUUUCACUGUCAUAACAUUUAUUGUAAUUUCAUUUGGAGAUAUGUAAUAUCUGUUGUACAGAUAUAUUUCAUACACCAGCUGUUAAUAAUUCUGCCUGCAGAGAACUUACAAAGGAGCUGUGUGAUGUAAUAGAAGACUAUGUAGUCUGGUCAAUUUUUUCAACCUUAGAUAUUAGGAAGUUAUGUAUUUCAUUAUCAGUUAUCAUUAUGAUUUUCAUCUUCAAAAAGAUAAAUGGAUGGCUUUGAAUGGCUUGUGUUUGAGGAUUUUAGUUUGACUUAUCUUGAUUGAAGUACUUUUUGACAAUAGAAUUCCUUCAUGAUUUAAACAUUCUUUUGAAAACCAAAUAAUAAAAAAAUAAAUAAACUAACAAAUAUUAUUUUAUUAGUGCUCUUUUCAUCAAAUAUACAUAAGAGUAUUGUAAUUUAUAGCAACUAAUUUUUCAUUAAAUACACCCAUAACAAACUAUUAAAAAUAAAGUGAUAGAAAAAUGCCUAAUUUUUCAUACUUUCUAAUUUCUUUUGGCCCUAAAAUAUGGGUAUUUAUGCCAUAAUAAGCCCAUGUAGAUCUCAAUGCCGAAAGUUCGAUAAAUGGCUUUCAAGGAUUGAUAAUUAUCUAUUAACAUUCUUAAUUAUAUUCAGUUAAAAUAUUAAUAUUAAAUACAUUCUUAAUAUUAAUAUUCUUGGAUGAAUUUCUUUGUGGAUUUAAGAAUAAAAUAUUAAAUAAUUUUAUUUUUCUUUUAUUCCGUAACUUAGACCAAAAAAGGAAAUGAGUUUCCCAAGGACUUCUCAUGUUUCCCAUCCUCCAUACUGUGCAGAGGAGUUUAGCACCCAUCAACUUUUAUUUUUUAAAACUCAUAAUGGCCAAUGAAUAAAGCUGUGGUGGCUGAACUUAGGUUGAUGUCAAAGAGGUAAUUGAAUUGGCCUGUUAAGAUGGAUGCUUUUUGUUGAUCAGGCGACAGAGCAGGACUAUGAAAAAGACAAGCUUAUUACCGGUAACUCAAGUUUACUUGCUUGUUAUAUAAUAUGCUUUUUGUCACCGAAUUUCAUUUCCAGUACGUCUCCAUCGGUAUCAAGAAGAAACAGAACUCAAAGAAAUAUUUUUUCAAUCUUCAUAUUUGUCUGAAUUCGUCCUUUCAUUAAGAAUAACCAUUUUCAGGCAGCAGUUGGCACUGAAUUCACGCAAAUCUUGAUGCCAUUCGUAGUCGCAGACAUUAAAGACAAUGAUGAGCCAAUGGUGAUUAAUCAUAAAUGCAUAAUUAACAAACUUCCGUCCUUCUCUCAUUGUAAUUUGAUUUGAAAUUAAUUAUUGCUAGGUAACAUUAAUUCCAACCAUUGCAAGAUUUUUCCCUUAACAUAAUUCGGUAACAUUUAAUUGCAUGUGAAAUUGAUCAUAAUACCGUGAAGGACCUACCAAAACUUUUUUUUGAGAAAUUUCGAUUGAAAGUGAAACCUUUUGACGUUUACCUAAUAAAUUUAGUAAAUCUGGAAAAAAAAAAAAGUUGACACAAGCCAAUGCAGAAUAAUUAAUUAAAUCUGGAGUGACCACAUUUUCAAAAAUAUCUGCAUUCAUCACCUUCUCCAACAGCUAGUCAGCCACACACUGUUGGGGAAAAAUUAGGUUUUUAAAUUUUAUAAAACCUUUUGAAGAUCGCUCUCAUAUAAUAUAUAAGAAUUUGUAUUCUAGAAAUCGUACCUUGAAAAUCCGAGUUGGCUUUUUCCGCUGAAGUGAUUUAGGCUCCUAGAUCACGAUCCGCCACCACCACUCCUGUUAGAUCACAAUCCGUCACCACCACGCUUGUUAGAUCACGAACUGUCUCCAAUGAUCUUCCAAGUUAUAACUCAGGUUCGAUCUACACUUGACGUGUGGGUGCCUUUAUCACUACCAAAGCAACUAGCACGAGAAAAUUUUUCUUCAAUAGAGAGAAAAAUCUUAUUCUCCGAUUUGUAUAAAGUGGCUUCUACCUUUUCUUUAGAGAAAAAUAAGCUUUUUAUAUCACCCUUUAGUGAAAACCCUAGGCUCCAAAUAAUGCCCAAAAUAAAACUCACGUUACUUUUCAUUUAAUAGGGGACCCACCAUGUAAAAUAACAUAAGGCCCUUUACACAUAAGCUAAUUAAAUGGAGCCUCUUACUAAAUGAUAUAUUUAGGCUUUUGACCCAAAUAACUAGUUAUCUUGCUUAUUAGUCCAGUAGUGGUGCAGUCAAUUAAAUGAGCUAACCCGGGGAUCAUUUGGGAACAUACAAUAAUGGCUACAAUAAUUAGGCCUGUAAUUAAACUAGCCCAAUUAUUUAAUUUCAAAUCUACUCCACUAAAAGAUUGGAACUGACUUCCAUAAUUGCAUGCUCGAAUAAUAAUUCGUCCCAAGCCACAUUGAUUUCUUUACUGCACAAUCCUUUGUACCACAUCGUUAAUUAAAUUGAUAUCUCAACUGUCCAAUCAAUUUAAUAACAUCUUAUUCCUUGAUCCUUACUGAUUUUUUCUAAUGAUCAUUUUCAACAUACUAAAUAUGUUGACACACUCUGGCCAGAGAAUUCUAUGAUCAAGUGCCGAAAAUCUAUCAAGAGAUGUGUUGUACAAAUUCUAUAUUGUCAAUCCAUAACUCCAAUACUCAUAAUUGCUCCCACCAAGAUACCGGGUAAUCUUGACCACAAGGAUGUGUCGUGCCCAUUGGUAACUCAAAUGGAAUAACAAUUACAAUCAUGAAAUCAUAAUUAACUCAAGAUUAAGAUUACAGUAAAAUCAACGCCUAUGAGAUUUAAUAAGUCUGACAGUUAUUACAAAGUUAAUUAAAUCUCAUAUGUGAUCCUGUUCAAUGUAGUCGUACUACAUCAAUAAAUUCAUACAUGAUUAAGACAAAUCAUUCAAUGAAUUUAUUACAGUCUAUACCUAAAUAAAGUGCCCAACUUUAUUUAUCAACUGCAAACAAAAUUUAUUUAAUCAUAAGAUAACUUGUAUUUAUGUCUUCUGUGAAUCCACAUGGUGAUCACAUAAAUACAUAUAAUAUGAUUAAAUGGACUUUAAUAAAAAUAUUAAUACAAUUAAGAUAUUUGAAUAAAAUACCUCAUUAAUUUUAUUAAUCAGAAAAAAUGUUUAUUACAAUUAAAUAAACACAUAUGCUUUUAAAGAGCAUAUUUUCCCAACAAUCUCCCACUAGCUCUCAAAGCAUAUCUGGCAUAUUGCACAUGCUUUCGGGCUCUAAGUGCAGGUUAUAAAGGUUUCCCACUAAUGGCCAUUGUAAUAAGAUCUGCCAUUUAGCAUCUAAUGCCAUUUAGGGUACUGUCAUAUAACCUUUCUACACUAUUCCCUUAUAAGAUGAUACUUCAUGUCAGUAUGUUUUGUUUCUUGUGGUUCCUUAGAUUGAGCUACUGCACCACCAUUAUCACAAAAUAGUUUAAGGGGUGUAGUUACAACAGGUACCACCUCAAGAUUUUGUAGGAACUUGCGGAGCCUAUAUAGCUUCUUUUGCAGCUUCAGAUGUAGCCACAUAUUCAGCUUCAGUUGUGGAGUCUGUGAUACAAGAUUGUUUCACACUCAUCCAACUAAUAGCUCCACUUCCUAAUGUAAACACAUAGCCGGAAGUUGAUUUUCUAAAAUCCUUAUCUGACAAAAAAUCAGAAUUAGUAUAACUCACUAGAAUAAGUUCAUCACCAGAAUACACAAGCAUAUAAUUUUUAGUUCUUUUCAGAUACUUUAUAAUAUGCUUGACUGCAGUCCAGUAUUGAGGUCCAUGAUUAAAUUGAUAUCUGCUAACCAUCCCUACCGAAAAACAGAUGUCUGGCCUAGUGCAAAGCAUGGCAUACAUGAGACUUCCCACAGCUUCUGCAUAGGGAACUCAUCUCAUUCUCUCUAUCUCUUCAGAUGUUUUAGGUGAUUGAUCCUUAGAGAAUGUAAUUCCAUGUCUGAAUGGUAAUAAACCAGUCUUGGAAUUUUCCAUGCUAAAUCUAGCCAAUAUCUUAUCGAUAUAGACCGCUUGAGACAAGGCUAAAGUUUUAUUCUUCCAGUCUCGUAGUAACUUGAUACCAAGAAUAUAACUUGCCUUUCCCAGGUCUUUCAUAUCAAAUUGUUUUGCUAACCAAAUCUUUAUUGUAGUCAAUACAUAUAAUAUGAUUAAAUGGACUUUAAUAAAAAUAUUAAUGCAAUUAAGAUAUUUGAAUAAAAUACCUCAUUAAUUUUAUUAAUCAGAAAAAAUAUUUAUUACAAUUAAAUAAACACAUAUGCUUUUAAAGAGCAUAUUUUCCCAACACACACGAAUCAUUUCCUUUUAGCAUUUUGCAGCAUCAAUUUCUCUCCUGUUAAUCUGGAGGAAUCCGUCAGACUUUGGCUGGAUCGGCUCAAGUACGCAUCCUACGACAUUGAAGAUGUGUUGGAUGAGUGGAUCACAACAAGAGCCAAAUUGUAAACAAGAGGUUGAUGACAAAUAUAUCUGUUGCUUCUCAUCUGAAGAAGAAUGUAUCUUCCUGCUUCCCUGCUUUUUGCUUUGGUAUCAAAUAAGUCUUUCUCCGUCAUAACAUUUAUUGUAAUUUCAUAUGAGAUAUUACAUAAUAUAUCUGUUGUUCAAAUAUAUUUUAUAUACAAGCUGUUAAUACUUAUGCUUGCAGAAAGCUUACAAAGGAGUUGUGUGAUGUAAUAGAAGACUACAGUCUGGUCAAUUUUCAACUUUAGAUAUUCAGGUCAUCAGUUUCUCUUGAAUUCUUUCUUGAGUUUCUUUGAAUUAUUUGUGAAUAAGAUCUUAGUUGGCUGCUCCUCUUCAGGAUAAGGAAAGUGUGGCAAAACUCGUGAAGCUGAUAGAUAAAAGCAAUGGGUAUAUCUUUGCUGGCAUGGAUGCCAGCGCAGUUGAAUUCAGCAAGGUUGCCAUUCGCGAUGUUGAUUGGGAUUACUUCAGAUAUCCCUCUUUUCACCUAUUUUCAAUCUUGUGAUUCUCAUUUUCAUAAAACAUUUUGGUUAUUUAAUUAUGGCUCAUUGUAUGCAUCUGCAUCCUCUAACUUGUUCGUUUGAGAAACAAAUUUUGCUGUUAGGUAGGCUUCAAGCUUGAUUCAUGCUUUUUCCAUAAAUGUACCAAAAUCAUGGAAACAUCUUUUUCCCAGAUAUUGUAUCCACACUUUUCCCAUCUAAAAGACAAGUUUUGCUUAACAAAGAAAUCUACAGUAGCUGAAGUGCAGGAGAAGUACAUUAAGGAUGAUGACGAUGUUAACUAAAAGGGAACGCGAAGAUAUGUGGUGUGCAAAUCGUAAGCAAGCUGUGAGUUGAAUGAAUAAAGUUUGGUUUCCAGAAACGACCACGUUUUGGAGCUGUAAAACCUUCAUUAGUCACGUGCUGCUGUUCUUAACUGAAAACGAUUUAGUCGAAACGACAUGGGUGGAGCGCGUUUUACAUAUCAGUUUAAGUUAACCACAUGAGGAAGCAUGUGAUGAAGGUUAUUCUGAGUUUGUUAAAGGUUGUUAACCACGUGUCAACGAGCUGUACAAUCUAGAAAUCAAGUUGGCUGCCUAAACAGAGUAUAAAGGCUAGGUUUUGGGGAAAUUCAGGAACGAAUUUCAUGAGUCUUGCUGUGAGGGUUUUGUGAGAGAGAAAGUAUUAACUUGUUCUUUGUAAAGUCUGGUGGAAGGCUCUGUAACAAUCUCCAUUGUUGAUUCAAUAAAGCUCAUCUUGAGGCUUCUCCAAUGGAUGUAAGCUGAGCAUUCCAUGCUCAACUGAACCACGUUAAAUCUUGGUUUCUGUGGGUUUCUUGUUUCUAGUUCUUGUUCUUUUUGUUAUUGAGUGAGUUUGUCUAAUUAGAUCUUGGGGUUGUGCAACUUGCAUUGACUAGAUCACUAGCAUCCUGGGCAGUGAUCAAUUUAGCUUGGUUUAAAGGCUUGCUGUUCACUACAAUUGGUACUAGAGCUUGGUGUUCUGUGAUCAAGUCCAAGUAUGGUGUCUUCUAAGGUCGAUGUAGAAAAAUUUACAGGCAAGAAUGACUUCAAUAUGUGGAAGAUGAAAAUGGAAGCCUUGCUGAUCAUUUAGGGUUUGGGAGAUGCAAUUGAGCCUGAAAUGAAGGAAGGUAAAGGGGUUUCUUCAUCAAAGACUCCAGAGGAAGUUGUUGAAAUCCACAAAAAGGUCAGAAGUACAAUAAUCCUGAGUCUUGGUGAUUCAGUCAUUAAAGAAGUGGCCAAAGAUAAGACAGUUGCUGGAUUAUAGAGCAAACUGGAAAGUCUUUAUAUGACCAAGUCACUUGCAAACAGACUCUACAUCAAGAAAAGGAUGUUUACACUAAAAAUGGUGGAAGGAGCUUCACUGGAAGAACACAUCGAUGAGUUUAACAAGGUAUGUGAUACCCUGGAAACCAUUUAUGCUACUCUGGAUGAUGAGGGGAAGACUCUCUUGCUAAUCAAUUCAUUACCAAAAUCCUAUGAAAAUUUGGUUGAUGCCCUGAUGUAAGGAAGACAAACCCUAACACUUGAUGAAGUUAAAUCUACCCUAAAUACAAGGGAACUUCAAACUAAACAAGGGCAUUUGGAGAAUAAUAGAAGUGAAUGACUGAUAAUAAAGGUGAAAACUGACAAGAAGAAGAAGAAAGGCAAAUCCAAGAACAAAGAAAGAGACCUAAAAUGCUUUCAGUCUCACAAAGAAGGCCAUUUUAAGAGGGAUUGCCUUGAAAAGAGAUUCAAGCCCAAAGAUUCAAGAAACCAAAGUGGAGAUGCAGCUGUAGUGGAAGAGGAAGGAUAUGAGUCUGCUGGUGUAUGUGUGGCAAUAGAAAACAGCCAAAAAGGUAAAUGGGUUCUGGACUCUGGAUGCACUUUUCACAUGUGCCCUUUUAGAAAUUACUUUAAUAAAUAUCAAGAUUUUGAUGGAGGUAGAGUAAUUAUGGGAAAUAACUCUAUUUGUAAAAUCAUUGGAAUUGGGGAUGUAAGCCUUAAGCUACAUGAUGGUUCAAUAAGAGUGCUUAGGCAAGUCAGGCAUGUGCCAGACUUGAAAAGAAAUCUAAUUUCUCUUGAGGUGUUGGACCAAAUAAGGUGUAGAAUUAAGCUUGAAUCUGGAGAAUUGAGUGUUUUGAAUGGUUCAAAUCUAGUCAUGAAAGGGACGAGGAAGAAUGGAGUUUACAUCUUAGAUGGUGAGGUGAUAUCUGGAGUAGCUGAUGUAUCCAUUAAGCAUGCUAAAGAUAAAACCAGGUUAUGGCAUCCAAGGUUAGGGCACAUGAGUGAGAGAGGAUUAAAAGAGUUAGAAAAACAAAGGUUGUUUGGUUCUGACAAGAUUGGUAAUCUAGAGUUUUGUGAAGAUUGUGUUCUAGGGAAGUCUUCAAGAGGCAGCUUCAAUAGAUCUAGUCAAAAAUCAAAUGAGAGGUUGGAUUAUGCACACUCAGACUUGUGGGGGCCUGCACAGUGUGUAUCUCUGCGAGGGAAUAAGUAUUUUUUAUCUAUCAUAGAUGACUUCUCUAGGAAAGUUUGGGUGUAUGUGUUAAAGAACAAGGAUCAGACUUUUGAGAGGUUUAAAGAGUGGAAACAGAUGGUAGAAAACCAAACUGGUAAGAGAUUAAAGAAGCUGAAAACUGAUAAUGGUCUUGAAUUUUGCAACCAGCCAUUUGACAACUUUUGUGCAAAUAAAGGUAUUGGUAGACAUAAGACAGUAAGGAUGACCCCAUAACAAAAUGGGUUAGCUGAGAGGAUGAAUAGGACUCUAUUGGAGAAAGUAAGAUGUAUGCUGAUUUAGUCCAAGCUCCUAAAAACAUUGUGGGCAAAAAUCUUACUCACAGCAUGCUACCUUGUCAACCUAAGCCCUUCUAUUGGAAUUAAUUUCAAAACACCUUUUGAAUGUGGUCACGGAAACCUGCUGACUAUGGAAUCCUUAAAGCCUUUGGCUGCCCAACCUAUGUUCAUGUCAGUCAAGGUAAGCUAGCAGCUAAAGCCUUGAAAAGUGUUUUCAUAGGCUAUCCAGAAGGAGUCAAAUGGUUUAAAGUUUUGUGCACUGAGCUUAAUCCACCAAAAUGUAUAGUGAGUAGGGAUGUGGUGUUUAAUGUGGGGAGUUUGAUGAAGGUGAAUCAUGAACCUGAUCUGGAAACUGAAAAUUCAAGACUAAUAGAGAAACUAGAGUUUGAGGUGGAGCCAUCUACUUCCAGAAACACAACUGAAGCUGCAGAUUCAGGUGGUGUUCCUGAAAACACUGAUGACACACAGGCACCUCAAGAUCAAUCAAGUUCUCAGGAGCAAAUCAGAGAAUACCAGCUCACCAGAGAUAGACAAAAAAGGCAGAUCAAACCAACAAGGAGAUAUGGCUAUGCAGAUUUAAUAGGUUUUGCUCUAACAGUUGCAAAAGAUAUAGAUGGUGAGGAACCAAAGAAUUUUAAGGAAGCAACCCAGAGCCUGUUCAAAGAAGAAUGGCAAAGAGCUAUAGAUGAUGAAAUGGCCUCCCUCUAUAAAAACAACACAUGGGAGCUGGUCAAGAAGCCUAGAAAUAGAAGAGUGGUUGGCUGCAAAUGGAUUUUCAAAAUUAAGGAGGGCAUAAAUGGAUCUGAACCAAGGAGAUUCAAGGCUAGACUUGUGGCCAAGGGUUAUAAACAAAAGGAAGGGAUAGAUUUUAAAGAAGUAUUUUCUCUAGUGGUUAGACAUGCCUCAAUUAGAGUUAUGUUAGCCAUAACAGCUGUGCAAGACAUGGAGCUUGAUCAACUCAAUGUCAAGACAACAUUUCUGCAUGGAAGACUUGAGGAAGAAAUACCGAUGUCCCAACCUGAAGGGUAUGAGUUCCCAGGUAAAGAAGACCAUGUGUGUCAACUAAAGAAGUCACUCUAUGGGCUUAAACAGUCUCCCAGACAGUGGUACCUAAGAUUUGAUAAAUUCAUGCAACUGCAUGAGUUCAUCAAAUGUAGCUAUGACUGCUGUGUUUACUACAAGACAAUCAAGGAUGGUCUGUACAUAUACCUCCUUCUAUAUGUAGAUGACAUGUUGGUUGCUUGCAAAGAUAAAGAGGAAAUUGAUAAGCUCAAGGUGCUGCUGAAUUCAGAAUUUGAAAUGAAGGACCUGGGGUAUGCAAUGAAGAUUCUAGGAAUGGAGAUCAGAAGGAAUAUAAGUAAAGGGAUCAUGUUUCUGUCACAAGAAAAAUACUUGAAAAAAGUGUUAGAAACAUUUGACAUGAGUAAGUCUAAACCUGUGCAACUACCAUUAGCUUCACAUUUCAGGUUAAGCAAUUUGCAGUAUCCUUAAACAGAAGCUCAAAAGCAAGAUAUGGCAAAUGUGCCCUAUGCAAAUGCAGUAGGCAGCCUUAUGUAUGCAAUGGUAUUGACCAGGCCAGACAUAACUCAUGAUGUCAGUGUAGUUAGUAGAUAUAUGGCACAACUUGGGGAAGACCAUUAGAAGGCUAUAAAAUAGAUACUCAUGCAUCUCAAAGGCACUGUAAAUUGUGGUCUGAUGUAUGGCAAGACAAAAGCAAAUGAUGAGGUUUUGGAAGGGUAUGUUGACUCAGAUUAUGCAGGGGAUUUGGAUAAAAGAACGUCUCUUACAGGUUACAUAUUGAUGUUAAAUGGUUGUACUGUAAAUUGGAAGGCAACUCUACAAAGUGUAGUGGCUCUUUCAACAACUGAAGCAGAGUAUACAGCUGCUACAGAAGUUGUAAAGGAAACACUUUGGCUCAAGGGGUUGGUGACAGAGUUGGGAUUAAAUAAGAAGUCAGUAUCAAUCUGCUGUGAAAAUGGUGAAGAUUCAUACUGAUGAGAAUUCUGCAGAUGCUGUUACUAAGGUGAUUCCUGUGGAUAAGUUCAGAGCUUGCCUGGACCUAGCUGGCUUGUGCAGUCAGUGAUAUGCAUAAGGUUUGGAGAAGGAUUUAGAGUGAGGGUAAACUUUGAUUCAAGUUGGAGAAUUGUGAGUUGAAUGAAUCAAGUUGGUUUGCAUAAACGAUCGCGUUUUGGAGCUGUAAAACCUUCAUUAGCUCACAUGCUGCUCAGCUGGUUCUUAACUAAAAACGAUUUAGUUGAAAUGACAUUGGUGGAGUGCGUUUUACAUAUCAGUUUAAGUAACCACGUGAGGAAGCAUGUGAUGAAGGUUAUUCUGAGUUCAUUAAAGGUUGUUAACCACGUGUCAACGAGCUGAACAAUCUGGAAAUCAAGCUAGUUGCCCAAACAGAGUAUAAAGGUUGGGUUUUGGGGAAAUUCAGGAACGAAUUUCAUGAGUCUUGCUGUGAGGGUUUUGUGAGACAGAAAGUAUUAACUUGUUCUCUGUAAAGUCUGGUGUAAGGCUCUAUAACAAUCUCCAUUGUUGAUUCAAUAAAGCUCAUCUUGAGGCUUCUCCCGUGGAAUGCUCAGCUGAACCACGUUAAAUCUUGGUUUCUGUGGGUUUCUUGUUUCUAGUUCUUGUUCUUUUUGUUAUUGAGUGAGUUUGUCUAAUUAGAUUUUGCGGUUGUGCAACUUGCAUUGACUAGAUCACUAGCAUCCUGGGCAGUGAUCAGUUUAGCUUGAUUUAGAGGCUUGCUGUUCACUGCACAUGCCUUUUGCCUUUGUGGAUGUUCAAGCUUGUGAUUCAUGUUUGUUAAUCUAUUAUGCUCUCUUGCAGGAUUUAUAAAGUUUUCGAUCAAUCAAGCAUUUGACUCAAGUUCUUAGCUCUUCACUGCUUGAAUGGGUCAGAUAGGACAAGCGCCGAUGAGGUGGUUUUAAUCAGACCCCUCCUAAUUAUGAUGUAUGGUCCGAAUCUUGGACUUUUUGUACAAAUGUAGCUAUUGAGGACAAUGAUGAGACAAAGGUGAUCAUUCAUUAAUGCGUAAUUACCGAAACCUCCAUCCUUCUCUCAUUGUAAUUUGAUUUGAAAUGAAUAAUUGCUAGGUAAUUGAAGUCAAUAUUGUUAAAAACCGUGUUGAGCUACCCAAGCAAAGAAGUUAGUCGCCAAAAAAUGCAGGGGAUCAAAAGAAGCAUUUCAUUUGAAAAGGCAUGAGAUUCUGUUUAAAUUUGUGCUACUACGGUGCGGUAAUGCUGCUACUGGGAAAUUUGAAAAGGCAUCAGAAGCUGUGGAUCUUGGGACAUCAGGAUUUUUCACAGUUCUCAAACUCUCAGGAUUAAACUCUAUUAAAGUUGUAGUUAUCUUGUUGUCAGAAUUCCCAUAUUAUUAUCUUUUUCAUGUAAAAUUAUCUUGUUGUCUUCACCCAUGAAUCUAAGCUAAAAUUUGAACCAAUUGUUUGCUAUUAUAAAUUUCAUUGUUAAAUGUUAAUUGUGAUGUUGGCGUUGAGUUUCUUUUAAAGUCAUAGAAGCCUGACGAUUGAGUUCCAUGGGAUUCUGAGAAGCAGUAAUAUUUUGAACAAGUGAAGGUUCUUCGUUUUUAAUUAUGUUCUGCACUUUUACAGUAUGUGCAGAUGUCUAAGAGGCAGGAUUUUAAUUUCUGUAAUGCUAAAUUUCGCAAAACAAUAAAAAAAUAAAUGCAUGACAGUGACUUCAAGAAUUUAGAUUAUUGAAUUUGGUCAUUUUAAAAUUGUUGGAAUGUUGAACUUACGUAAUUUUGAUAAACCAGAGCUCAGAAAUGUAGAAUAUAAAUAUUGGAUAUUUGGACUUCAAUCAUUAGAUUUGAAGCUAAAGAGGUAAGCCAUUAAUUACAUCCAAGGAUUUGGAAAAUGGAGGGAUUGGAAAAAGGAAACUUUUUCAUAAACUUCAAGCAUUGGGCAUUUUCAUUUGUCCGAUUCAAGAGGAACGUCAUAGAAAGGGGUAAAGAAAAGAGUAGCCUAAGAUAUUAAAGACAAUGUUGAGCCAAAGGAAACAUAAAUCCCAACCAUUGCAUGUGAACAUGAUCACAAUAAAUCCCAACCAUCCAAACCAUUUUUUUGAGAAUUUUCAAUUGAAAGUGAAACCUUUUGACAUUUACCUAAUAAAGUAAGUUAAACGAGAGAAAUAAAGGGGAAAAGAAAAGUUGACUCAAGUCAAUACAGAAUAAUUAGUUCAAUCUGGAGUAACUAAAACAGAGCCACUAUAUUUUCAACAGCUAAUGAGCUACACACGAAUCAUUUCCUUUUAGCAUUUUUGCAGCAUCAAUUUCUCUCCUCGUUUGUCAUCCAAAAUUAUUCACCAAUACCAUGGCUGAUGCAAUCGUUUCCCUGGUCUUGGAGCAGCUGAUUAUCUUUGCUGCUGAAGAGUUGAAACAACAGGGGAAGCUGGUGAGUGUUGGAUGAGUGGAUAACAGCAUGCGUCAAAUCGCAAAUUGAUCAAUGCUCUUGGUGCUCCUUAUCUGAAGAAGAAGGUGCAAAUUGAGAGCUGAAUUGCACUGUCAUAACAUUUAUUGUAAUUUCAUUUGGAGAUAUGUAAUAUCUGUUGUCCAGAUAUAUUUCAUACACCAGCUGCUAAUAAUUCUGCUUGCAGAGAACUUGCAAAGUGAUUCUGGGAUAUGUAAUAUCUGUUGUAAUAUCUGGAGAUAUGUAAUAUCUGUUGUCCUAGAAAUAUAGAUGUGUGGUUCGCAAAAUUUUCUUGAUCUUAAGAAAGAGUUAUCUUGAAUAGAAGAUAACAUGGAGAAUUCAGCAACUAUACAGUCAUAUUGAUGUCUGUCAACUUGGGUCAGAUGGUGUCGUUUGGAUGGAGAUGUUAGGUCCCAGAUGGUAUGCUUGUUAUCAAUUCCAGUCUAAUUCAUUCAUGCUUUGAUGACAUAUGCGGUGCAGCUUCUUAUCUAAGACCUGUAUAUGUUCAGUCAUCAUUCAGUUCUGUAUUUGGCUGCCAUUCUUUCAAUGAAUUCAAACCACUUUCUGAAUACUUGCAAAUUCAUCCAGUGUUGUCAUUGAGAUGCCAAUAUGUAAAGGAGCAAUAGUUGCCCUUGAUAGUAUGCUUAUUGAUUGCCUCUUGCCUCACUCAGCCUAAGGAAUCUGGUUGUAUGGUGUUCUUGUAAUUUCAUUUGGAGAUAAGUAAUAUCUGUUGUUCAAAUGUAUUUUAUAUACAAGCAGUUAAUAAUUCUGCUUGCAGAAAGCUUACAAAGGAGCUGUGUGAUGUAAUAGAAGACUACAGUCUGGUCAAUUUUUCAACCUUAGAUAUUCAGGUCAUCGGUUUCUCUUGAAUUCUUUCUUGAGUUUCUUUGAAUUAUUUGUGAAUAAGAUCUUAGUUGGCUGCUCCUCUUCAGGAUAAGGAAAGUGUGGCAAAACUCGUGAAGCUGAUAGAUAAAAGCAAUGGGUACAUCUUUGCUGGCAUGGAUGCCAGUGCAGUUGAAUUCAGCAAGAUUGCCGUUCGCGAUGUGGAUUGGGAUUAUUACAGAUAUCCUUCUUUUCACCUACUUUCAAUCUUGUGAUUCUCAUAUUCAUAAAACUUUUAUGGUUCAUUGUAUGCAUCUGCAUCUUCUAAUUUGUACGUUUGAGAAACUAAUUUUGCUGUUAGGUAGGUGUCAAAUUUGAUUCAUGCGUUUUUUAUAAAUUUACCAAAAUCAUGGAAACUUCUUCUUCCCAGAUAUUGUAUCCACACUUUUCCCAUGUAAUUCAGUCAGACAAGUUUUGCUUAACAAAGAUAUCUACAGUAGCUGAAGUGCAGGAAAAGUACAUUGAGGAUGAUGACGAUGUUAACUAAAAUGGGACACGAAGAUAUAUGGUGCGCAAACCGUAAGCAUGCCUCUUACUUUUGUGCAUGUUUACUUGCUUGUGAUUCAUGUUUGUUAAUCUAUUAUGCUCUUUUGUUGGAUUUAUAAAGUUUUCAAUCAAUCAAACAUUUGACUGGUUCAGACAGGACAAGCGCGGAAGAGGUGGUUUUAAUCAAACCACUACUAAUUAUGAUGUAUCUCGGACCUUUGUACAAUAUCAAGCGAUUUUUUUAGUUGAAUCAGCUAGUGUACACAAAUGUCGUUUAUUGAUUUUUCUCUAGUAUAGUUCGUAAUUUUGGUAACACAUCUACUCUAGUAUCGAUUGUAAUUACAAGAAACAAAGUAAUGAAAUUUAUCACUGCAUUCAUAGUUAUGCUUAAGCUCAAAGACCACUGUCAAGAUCAUUUUGGGGCCUCUAUUUGUUCUAUAACAUGAUGUUGACACAUGUCAAAUUAUGAAGCUUGUGAUUAAAAUACUUUUCACAUAUAUAUUUUAAGUACCACUAAUAAUUAAAUAUAUGAAUAAAUAUGGUCAAUGAGGAGGGGAUAAAAUAAAAUGGUUUUAUUUUUUGAAUUACUCAACUGCUUCAAACUUCUAAGAAGUAGAUUUACGAUGAGCGGAAUCUUAAAUUGAGUACGAGCUAGGGAUAACUUAUAAAAUUGGGAUACAAGCUUCAAAGAAAGUGUAUUACUAUUCAUAUGUAGAUUUCGAAUUAAGAAGAUAUGCCAACUAAUUGUAUAAAAAUGUAAAAAUUGAUCACUGACAUAAUCCCAAAUGAUAAAAUGAGCUACCUCGAUCAAAAGGUCAAGAACCUACCUUCUCUUAGGGAUAAGUGAAAGCUUCCCAAUUGAAGGAAAGUGAAGAGAAGAUUCUAUGCUCUCAUUAUUAUUAUUAUUUGUUAGAAUGAAGUGCGAAGUGAGCACAUCAUGCAAGCUCAGCAGAAGUGAUAAGGUGACUUGUAACUCAGCUGGCACUCAAGAGACAAAGUGUAGUGGAGAAAAGUUUCCCAAUUGAAGGAAAGUGAAGGGAAGAUUCUAUGCUCUAAUAAUUAUUAGUUGACAAUGAAUUGGCAAAUAAAAACAAAAUAGCAAGCCUGUAAAGUAAUGAAGUGGAGACAAUGACCAUGUGAUUGAUUGGUAAAUAAAAACAAAAGAGCAAGCCUGUAAAGUAAUGUAAACUAUAGUGUAUAUUCAAGUUAAAGUAAUGGAAACAGUGUAUAUUCACAAAAAAUUCUUUUAUCUCUCAUUGUCUUGUUCUUUUCUUUAUUUACGUUGUCCAGAAGUAAAGCCAUACAUGUGAUGAAGCAUAAAUAAGAAAGCUAUCGCCCGAAAUUCAUUUUCACAAACACUUCAAUAUCCUUUUGAUCACUUUUGCAAACAUCAAUUUGUCUCCUCUUGUAUUCACCAUGGUUGAUGCCAUCGUUUCCCCUCUCGUGGAGCAGCUGAUUUCCUUCGCUGCUGAAGAGAUAAAACAACAGGUGAUCGAAGUUACACCCCUCAUAUUACAAAUACUUACAAUGAUUUUAUUUGGUUUUGCUUUUAUCAAAAACAUUAUAAUUAUAAUUUUUGAAAUUUGAAUUGAAUUUAAUUAAAAGGUGAUAUAGUAACCACUCAUUUUUAUUUUAUUUCAUUUAUAUUCUCGAUAACUACCCAUAUUGUGGUAACUUGCUAUAACUCUCGUAUAUAAGAAAUGAUCAAAACCCAUAAUUUUAACUCUGUAUAAAUAUUCAAUGUUGAGCUAAGGUUUUGUAGAACAUUCAAGUUUAUCAAACAGUCAUUAAUUUAAUGCUUAGUAAAAUCUCAACUCUGCACUGAAUCCCAUAACUAUUACUUAGACUCUAUGAAAAAUUUCAUAGUUUUCUUACAUUCUUUGAGUUUGGUAAGUGAUUUCAUAUAAUUUAUUUUCAAGUUAAAUUUUAAUUUGGUUUCUGAUAUAGUCUCUUUGCCGAAUUGUCUCUUUUAUGAUUCUUGGAUUUUGGGCUUCAACUUUUUAGGAUUUGAUAGUCACAUUUUAUGCCGUGCUCAGAUUGAUUUUCAUGAUUAUUAGUAGCCGUUAAGUGACUUACAAUUUGACGAAAGUUUGAAAGGAAAAAUGUUUCAGGAUUAUGUUUUAAUUGACCUUUUAGUGGAAAUAGGAUGCUUAUAACUUAAUGUGGAUGGUUCGUAAAAUCAUGAAAUUUGGAUAGGAUUCACUAGAAAUAUGUUCAAGACUCUCCAUAAAGUUUCAUAAUUUUUCAUUGGGUCUGGGCUGUUACAGGUGAUGCUUGUGACUGGUGUCGAGAAGGAAGUGAAAAGCCUUACGAACCACCUUCAUGCCAUUCAAGCUGUGCUCGAUGAUGCAGAGGAAAAGAAAGUGAAGAACAAAGCUGUUAGUCUUUGGCUGGGUAGGCUCAAGUAUGCAUCCUACGACAUUGAAGAUGUGUUGGAUGCGUGGAUCACAACAAGACGUAAAUUGCAAAUUGAGGGUGGCGUUGAUGACAAUGCUCUUGCUGCUCCUCAAAAGAAAAAGAAGGUGUGUUUCUGCUUUCCUGCCUCUUGUUUUGGAUUCAAACAAGAAGAAUUUGGUUUCAAACAAGUCUUUCUACGUUAUGACAUUGCCAACAAGAUCAAAGAAAUGAAUGAAGAGCUACAUGAUAUUGCCACUCAAAAAGACAUGUUUAAUCUUAAAAGUGGUGAAAGACCAAGGCGUGUACAGAGUACCUCCUUGAUUGAUGAGGAAGAGAUUUGUGGUAGAGUUGGUGAGAAGAAUGAACUCAUAAGCAAGCUGUUGCGUGAGAGUAGCGAGCAACAAAAAGGCCUCCAUAUCAUCUCAAUUGUUGGUAUGGGAGGCAUAGGGAAAACUACUCUUGCACAACUAGCUUGUAAUCAUGACGAGGUGAAGAGAAAGUUUGACAAAAUUCUGUGGGUGUGUGUAUCAGAAACUUUUGAGGAGUUUAGGGUAGCCAAAGCGAUCGUUGAAGCUUUGGAUAGUCGUGAAUCUCAUUUAGGUGAAUUUCAAUCUCUUCUUAAAUAUAUUUAUGAAUCAAUUGCAGGGAAGAGCUUUCUUCUUGUCUUAGAUGACGUGUGGGAUGGAAAUUACUUGAAAUGGGAACCAUUCUACCGUUGUCUAAAGAAUGGUCUCCAUGGAAGUAAAAUUUUAGUUACCACACGUAAAGGGUCAGUCGCAUCCAUGAUGGGAUCCAUAACUAUUAUCUCCGUUAAGGAGUUAGCUGAAGAGGAAUGUUGGUUGUUGUUUAAAAAGAUAGCAUUUUUUGAUCGGUCCAUCGAGGAACGUGAAAAAUUAGAACAAAUUGGGCAAAGAAUUGCAGGCAAGUGCAAAGGUUUACCUCUUGCAGCAAAGACAAUAGGGCAUCUCAUGCGUUCUAAACAAACUGAAGAAGAGUGGAAAAGAAUUUUAAAUAGUGAUUUAUGGAAAGUAGAAAAGAUUGAGAAAGAUGUUUUGUCCUCUUUAUUGUUGAGUUAUAAUGAUUUGCCAUCUAGAGUAAAAAGAUGUUUUUCAUAUUGUGCUGUCUUUCCAAAAGAUUAUAAUAUAAGAAAAGACAAACUAAUCUCAGUAUGGGUGGCUCAAGGUUAUCUUAGUGCAGAAGCAGCAGAACAAAAUGAGGAGUUGGAGACUAUAGGUGAAGAGUAUUUUAGCAUCUUAGCUUCUCGCUCUUUCUUUCAAGAGUUUAAGAAAAGUUAUGAUAAUUGGAUUAUAGAGUGUAAGAUGCAUGAUAUGGUACAUGAUUUUGCCCGAUUUGUAAGUCAAAAUGAAUGUUUUUCCAUGGCAAUUAAUGGUAGUGAAGAAUCAAACGCCACAAACUCUCUUGAUGAGAAGGUCCGUCAUUUAAUGUUAAUCUUUAGUAAAGGGGCUUCAUUACCUGUUUCCACUCUUAGAGUUAAAAGAAUGCGUAGCCUCUUUAUUAACGAUAGUGAAUCUGAUCAUUCAUCAUUAAAUGGUGAGAUCCUAGAAGAAUUAUUUAGGGAAUUGACAAGUUUAAGGGCAUUAGAUUUUGGCAAAUCGUGUAACUCAAGUUGGUCUUCGACUCUGGAGUAGGGAUGGCAAAAAUCCCCACGGGGACGGGUACCCUCGGGGAUUUUCCCCAUUCGGGGAGGGUAUGGGGAUAAUUUCAUACCCAAUUUCUUAUUCGGGGAGGGGACGGGGAAAUUUUUUUACCCAAUUUCUUAUUCGGGGAGGGGACGGGGAUGAGGUGGAAUCCCCAUCCCCUACCCAUUUCCCCAUUUUAAUUUUUAAUUUAAUUUUAAUUUUUUAAAAUUACUAGUAAAUAAAUUAUAAAAUUUAAAUUAUAAAAUUAUAAAUAUUGGUAAAAAUAAAAAAUAUCAAAAUAUUUAUAUUAUUAAACUUUUAGGCCUAAUUAGCUAAUUAAAGUUCUAAAUUUUUAUUUAGGACAUUAAAAAGACUGAGUAGAUUCUAUUAGCCAAAUUUUUUUUUAAUUUUGAUAUUCUUUAAAUAUUUUAAACUUAAAUCUAUUUUUUAUUUAAUUUUAGAUGUUAUAAUUGCCCACAGCGAAUCACAAUUUUAAUAUCUAAUCUAAUCUAAUCUAAUAUUUACUUUUGAUUUGCUCCGAUUUAACUAUUGUGUUGUAAAGGGAAUAGUCCACAUUUAUAAAGUGCCCACGCCACCAUUGAAAAAGUUAAUUUUGAAUCUAAAUUUGAUUUUAUUUGUAACAAUUUUGUAUUAGACUAUUAAUUUGUUCAUGAUAGUUUGUAAAAUAAGUUUGUAUCUCUUGUAUGUUGCGUUACUUACUAAUUUAAUGUAUGUGACUUUUGUAAUAGAUAUUAAUGUAAGAUAUAUUUCGAACUUUACUUUUAUUUGAAUUUUUUAUUUUAAUAUGAUUAACUCAAAAUCGAAAAAAAAAUGUAUUAGUUAAUCGGGGAUCGGGGACCCUCGGGGAUCCCCUGUUAUUAUCUUCNNNNNNNNNNNNNNNNNNNNNNNNNNNNNNNNNNNNNNNNNNNNNNNNNNNNNNNNNNNNNNNNNNNNNNNNNNNNNNNNNNNNNNNNNNNNNNNNNNNNACCUUAUUUGUGUUUUCAGAAAAUAGUGAAACUACCGGAGACAUUAUGCGAGUUGUAUAAUCUAGGAAAGUUAGAUAUUAGUUGUUGUUAUAGUCUUAAAGAAUUACCUGAAGGGAUUGGGAAGUUAAUAAACAUGAAGCAUUUACUAAAUAGAGAUACUCAUUCUUUAAGGUACAUGCCAGUAGGGAUUGGGAGAUUAACGGGUCUUAGGACCUUGGAUGAGUUCCACGUGAGUGCAGGAGGAGGUGUUGAUGAUAGGAAAGCAUGUAGGCUUGAAUCUCUAAAAAAAUUGGAACACCUUCAAGUAUGUGGUAUACGUAGACUGGGUGAUGUAUCAGAUGUGGGCGAGGCUAAGCGAUUAGAACUUGACAAAAAGAAAUACCUCUUCAGUUUGACCCUUGAGUUUGAUAAGAAGGAAAGAGGAAGAGAAAGGAGGAAGAACGAGGACGAUCAACUUCUUCUUGAAGCCCUGCGACCACCCCUGGAUUUUAAGGAAUUAGAGAUACGGUUCUACCGAGGCAACACUGUUUUCCCCAGCUGGAUGACGUCAUUAACCAACUUAAAGAGUUUAGAUCUCUGUAACUGCGAAAAUUGCGAGCAGCUGCCUCCUUUGGGAAAAUUGCCGUCCCUUGAAAAACUCAGCAUAAUGUUUAUGCCUGUGAAAAGAGUGGGUGAUGAAUUUUUGGGGAUAGAAAGUGGUCAUCGUGACUCAUCUUCAUCUUCAUCGGUUAUUAUUGCCUUCCCCAAAUUGAAAUCACUUUCAAUUGAGUCUCUGGACGAAUUGGAGGAGUGGGAUUAUGGGAUUACAGGAACGGGAAACACCUUCAUCAACAUCAUGCCACGUCUUUCUUCUUUGGAAAUUAAUUACUGCCCCAAAUUAAAGGCACUGCCCGACCACAUUCAUCAAACGACAACAUUGAAGGAAUUGCGCAUUUGGGGGUGUGACCUUCUGGAAGAACGUUACCGCAAGGGAGAAGGAGAAGACUGGCCUAAGAUAUCACACAUUCCCAACCUCCAUAUUGGGCUUUGACAAGUAAUUUCUUCUCUUACUCUGAUUUGCUUUGUUGUUGUUUUUAAUCUAAUUAAGAAGCGUAAAUAGCAUUUUGAAUCAAACUCUAUAUCAGAAAUCUGCAAUACUUACUUUCUAAUAUUCUGAUUUUCAUAUCCUAUGAAUAUACGAUUUUUAAUUUGUGAGAUGGGUAACGUUACUGUAAAAGAUUAUUAAUGCAAUAUGAGUAAUUCUUUUGCAGGACAAGUGACCUACAUUUAGUUUGGCUUUGGAGUUGAAUAAUAACCUUUCGGGAACUGGUGUGGACUGGCAAAGGAUGAUGAGAUAGUUUUUUGAGUGAGUAAAUUUUGGGAGCUUGAGUGUAUUGGGAUUUGCAAUUACAAUCAUCCUCUGCUUCAGGUGAUUUCUUCUCUUGCUCUGUCAUUGUUUGUUCUCUAAUUCAAAAGCAUGAAAUAUUUCAAUCAAUUUUUAUACCAGGAAUAUGCAAAAGUUUCUAAUAUUUUAUUUCCAUCUGUUACAAGAUCAAACUGAAGCAGAACUCAAACAAAAGUAUGCUACUUCUUGCGGAAAUCUUGCCUUUGUUCAGAUUAUGAAACCAUUUCCAUGCAGCAAAUUCAUCCAAAAGUUUGAAUAAGUUUCAUGGUCGGACACUGUUGGCUUCUUUUUCUUCUGGGGUGCAUUUAGGUGCUAUCAAGUGACAGCUGUAAGUAUGAUUGCACUAAGCUGCUGCUGGGAAAUUUGAGGUUUUGAUGGCUGCCCAUGUUAUUUUCAAGAAACUAUUGAUGUAAGAAGCCGUGGUUCUUUUCAUCAGCUUGAACCUGAAACUGUCGCUAUGGAUAACUCAGGUUUUUGUUAUCAACUAUAUCAUCUUUUUCACUAUUUUGAAACUCUUAAGAUUAAACGUUAGUAAAGUUGUUUCAGCUAUUCAAAUGAAAAACUCAUUGAUUUGAGACUUCCUUCAUUAUUGUUUCUAAUUACAAUGCUAACGAUCCAGAUAAAAUAAUAUUUAAUCGGCGAAGGUGUCCCUUGGAAGUACAUCCUUCUUUUUCUUUUAUUAUAUAAAUUCUUGCAAUGAGCUUAGUGAAGCUGUUGUGCUAUCAUGCCACUGCAUAAUUUGGCCCCUAAUGUGGGUACUCUGUUUCAUUGUUCUGCAAAUUCUCCAGCAGUUAAAAUCAAUAAAUUUUCUAUUAGCUCUAGUGCUUUGACCUAAAUGCUAUUCUAUAUUCUGAUUACAAUGUUUUAACCUUUAAAUUAACUACUCCUAGAUGUUGGAUUUUCUAGAACUUCAAAAUGAUUAAUGGAGAAAGAUCCCAUUAUCGUUAUUGCUAUAAGAAAUUGAUUUAUGCAUCCAAAGAUACAUUAUAUAUUUCUGUGUCUCUAUUUAUAGAUGACAUUUAAGCAUCCAUAAACCGUCAGACAGAGGAAGGGGGUUCAGUGCAAAGAUUCUGUUGACCUAGGGUUGACUGCAUAAUGUCACUUGUUCGCAAUCUAUUAUUUAUUUUAUAUUUUGAAGAAUUUAAUGGGUAAUCCUAAUUGUUUGUUUUGGCAGGUAUGUGUUGUUAUCUCCUUCUAUCUUACAGUCAUACCUAAAUAGCAUAGUUUCAUCUGUGUUACCAUGUGAUGUACAUAAUUUCACAUUUGCCUCAGAUUAAGCUUAAUUUCCCACAAAAUAGAGCUGUCGCGACUGGACUUAGGUUGAUGUCCAAAGAGGUAAAUUAUUGGCAUGCCUAGAUAAUUUGGCCAUUUCCUAAUUCAUAAGUCUACGUUAAUUUUGAUUUUGAGUUGACUGAUUUCUUUUCAAGGUCUGCUUCCUUAACGGAGUGACCAAUGUUUUUCAACUAAAUUUAUCAUAUGAUGCAGGAAGCAGGGCAGGAUAUGAAAUGAGAAGCUCAUUGGUGGAAGUAUUGCCAGUAGCAGAACCCAAUGAAAAUGAAACUAUUUCAAGGCAGCAGUUGGCAGUUGCAAGUGAAUGGAGGCCCUUGACAAAAUUCUCAAGCGGUUGCAAUGCAAUUACGAUCAUCCUCAGCCUCAGGUAAUUUCUUCUCCUGCUUUGUAUUUAUUUGUUAUCUAAUUAGGAAGCGUAAAGUAUCUUGAAUCAUUUUCUGUAUCUGGAAUAUAUGCAAGAGUUUCUAAAAUUUUGAUAUGAGUGUAAUGAUGGUAAUUUCUGUUUUCUGUCUGUCAUCAAAUGUUAGAAAACUUUCAUUGAGACCCUUGAACCGAGUCAUUUUUGACAAGUGAAGGACAAUUGCUGAAGAGUGGGAAUGGUGCUAGAUUGGGGAAUAAAGACAAAGGAGGUAAAUUAUUUGCAGUUUAUUCAGCAUUAUUUGCUUUGGACCAGCGCCUGAUUCACAAGUCUCCAUAAUUUGGCUUUUGACCAGUUAAUAAAUUUUUAAUUCCAUUGGUGCUAAAUGUACACGUGAAGCAGGCAGAGCAGGACUGUGGAAAUGAGAAGGUUUUUAGUGAAAGCUUAAACUCAGGUAAUUCUAAAAAGUACAUGUUUUUGCUGAUUUAUCUAAAUCAGGAAAUUUUAUUUCCAUCUGUUACAAGAUAAAACAGAAACAGUCAAACAGAACACACAGAAAAAUAUUCUACUUCUUGUGGCAAUCUUGCCUUCAUUCAGACAAUGAAACCAUUUCCUUUCACCAAUUUCUUCCAAAAGUUUGAAUAAGUUUCAUGGUUGGACAUAGUUAGCUUCUUUUUCUUUUGGUGCAUUUAGGUCCUAUCAAGUGACAGCCAUAAGUAUGAUUGCAUUAUUGGAAAAUUUUAGGUUUGGAUGGUUCCCCAUGUUAUUGCCAAGAAAGUCCUCAUGUCAGAAGCUGCGGUUCUUUUCAUCAGCCUGAACCCGAACCUGUCGUUAUGGAUAACUCAGGUUUUUGUCGUCAACUAUAUCAUCUUUUUUACUGUUUUGAAACUCUUAAGAUUAAACUUCAGUAAAGUUGUUUCAGUUAUCCAUGUAAUCCGGCUAAGGAUAUUUAGCAGCUUAUUUAGGCAACUGCCAGAAUUCAGUUUGUUUGCUCGAAACUUGUAUGGUGACAAGGAUACUGGCAAGGAUAGUGAGAUAGUUUUUUGUGUGAGUGAAAUUUGAAAGCUUGGGUGUUCUGGGAUUUGCAAUUGCAAUCAUCCUCUGAGUCAGGUGAUUUCUUCUCCUGCUCUGUCUUGAUUUUCUCUCUAAUUGAAAGCAUAAAGUAUUUCAAUCAAAUUCUGUACCAGGAAUACGUAAAAGUUACUAAUAUUUUAUUUCCAUCUGUUUGCAUUGAUAACUCGGCCGCAUAUGUUCUAGUUAAAGAACAAACAGAAACAGAGUUCAGGAAAAAGUUUCUUCGGCCACCAUAUUUGAAAAUGAAACCAUUUCCAGGAAGCAGUUGGCAGCAAAUUCAUAUGGAGUGUAGACAAUGAUGAGCGAAAAGGUGAUUCGCAAUUUCUUUUUUUUUUUUAAGUGAAAUUAUUUGUUAGAUUGAAGCUGAUAUUGUAAGAAGGCCAUUGAGCUAACCUAUGUCGCCACUUGCCUAGAUUGCAGGGGGUCAAGACUCAAAAGAAGCACUGAAAUUUAAAAAGCAUGCAAUAGUUCUUUUGCCAUGUGUCAAUUAAUGCAAGUUUGAAUAAGUUUAUUGGCUGAACGAUGUUAGCUUCUUUUCCUUUCGUGCACUUUGGUAUGCUAUCAAGUGACAGCCGUAUGUAUGGCUUGCAUAUAGCUGCUGCUGGGAAAAUUGACGAUUUCAUGGCUGGCCGUGUUAUUGUCUUAAAUUAGUUGUGAUAAGCUGUUGCUUGGAGAUUCUGUUGCCAAGACUUUGCUCACAUCAGAAGCUGUGGAAUCUGAACCCUUCGUUAUGUAUCAUCUUUUUCAUUGUUUUAAAACUCUCAGGAUUAAACUUGAGCGAAUUUGUUCGGUUGUCUAUAUAAUCAUGUAUUGAGUAAACUCUCAGGAAACUGAACAUGCAAAUGUUAUAACUCGGGUUGUUAGCCAAAAACUUGUUGAAUAGGGAUUUGGAUUUGUUAGGAAGUUAUCAUUUUUUAUUUUUUAUUUUGUUUUAUUUUUUUAUUUUUUUAUUUUUAUCUUCUGGUGGUGCUAUAUUUUCAAACGACAGUCCGAUUCAAAACUUGAUAUUCCAAUUAUAUUCAUAAGCUUCUAUAGUUAUCUUCAAAAAGACAAAUGGAAGGCUUUGAACGGCUUGGGUCUGAGUAUUGUAGUUUGAUUUAUUUUGAUGAAAGAACCUUUUGACAUUAAGAUUCUUUCAUGAGUUAAACAUUCUUUUUAAAACCAACUUAUUAAAAAAAAGUAACGAACAUAUAUUAUUUUGUUAGUGCUUUUUAAAUCAAAUAUAAAAAAGAGAACUGUAAUUCUUAGCAACCAAUUUUUCACUGAGUACAGCUACAACAAACUAUUAAAAAAUAAAGUGAUAGAAAAUGCCUGAUUUUUCGUACUUUCUAAUUACUUUUGGUCCUAAAAUAUGGCGAUUUGUGUAAUAAUAAGUCCAUGUAUAUCUUUAUGCCAUUAGUUUGAUAAAUAGCUAUCAAGGAUAACUUAUUAAGCUAAAAAUAUUUGAAGGAUAAAAUGAUAAAACUAAAAGGGUGGAGUAAUAUAGUUAUUUAGGAUUACAUAGUAAGUCAACUAUAUUCAAGGGAUAAAAUAUUAAAACUUGAAUAGUGAUAUUAAAAAUAUCUCGGUUAUUAUACUAUUAAAUCAUAUGCCGUAAUAGUAUUUUUUUUCAAACUUUAAAAAAUUCAGGAUUUUAAAUUAAAACAUGGAUUUCUUUAAGAUGCUAUAUAUGUUUUUUAUAGUAUUGAUAUUGGGAUUAGUGUGGACCCUUAGAUGAAAGAGUUUUAAUCUGAAUCAUUCAUUUAAUAUAAUAGAUAAUUAAAUAAUUAAUUAAAAUAUAGCAGGUAACUUAUAGGUUGUAGGUAAAAAAUUAAUUUUUUAAUUUUAAAUUAAAAUUAAUUUGGAAAAAUACCAUCCACACCCCUAAAGUUUACUUAAAUGAUCAUAUAAAUCCCUUUAGUUUCUACAUAGUUAUACAGAGCCUCUUAAUUUCAUAAAUUAUUAUUAUACUUUUAAUUAAAACAACCUAAAUGAAUAUAAAUAUAGUAAUAGGAUAGAAAUAAUAAAUAAAUAUCAGAUGAAACAAAUAAAAUAUUACAAUAAAUACAAUUAAUUAAAUAAUAUGUAUGAUGAAAAUUUUAUUCAUAUUAAGUUAUUAUUAGUCUAUCCCGAUGGAUUUACUCAAAUCAAUUAAUCCAAAAUUUAAUUUUAAGAUUGAUAUUAAUAUGGACAUAAUUAAAUAAGAUGUUGUAAUAUAUACUACUUUGAAUGUUAAGUAUAAUUAUCUAAUAUUAUUAGUAUGUGAAAUAGAUUUUAAUAUUAUUAAAAGAAUAUGACAAUAUAUAAUUUUGAAAUAAAUUUUUUAGUAUUCAUAAUAUUUUAUAAAUUUUAUCUUAUUUUAUAUAUUAUAUUUUUUUAUUUUAAUGUAUUAUAUAUGAUCAUUUAAGCAAAUUUUGGAGGUGCGGUGGUCUUUUCCCUAUUAAUUUUAUAGCAUAUUUAAAGUGUUAUAUCAUACAUCAUACAUCGCACUUUUGUUAAAGUGUUAUGUUAUUAAAAAUUAAACUUUGCAUUUAUAAUAUACUACCAUUUUAAUGUAAAGGUAAUAGAAAAUAUGAAGAUAUUUUUAAGUAGUCAAUUGUAGUUUUCUUUUACAAAAUAGCAGUAUAGAAAUACACACACACACACACACACAUAUCAAGUACUUGUAUGUUCCCCUAACUUUUAUUAAUAGGAAGGAAAUUAAAUUCAUAAUUUUCCCGGUGAAUUAUGAAUUGAUAAAUGAAAUAUAAAUAUUAGAAAAAAUUAAUUUGUCGACUAAAGAAGUAAACCAUAUUUUAUGGGCAUUUAAUACAUUAAUUUAAGGUCAAAUGAGAUAUAUCACAUGAUAUUUGAUAUAGUAGUCCAAUUUUCAACAUUUGCAUAUAGUUUCUAAGCUAGUAAUCUAAUAAAAUAUACCAAAUGAGAAAUUGAAGGCUAUUAUUUAUAUUUCACCAUUGGACAAACACCAUACAUUAGAAUAAAAAAAUCUCACAGUAGAGACGGCAUCUGUUUGCAUGUUUUGAAAAUAGAUUUUGAAAUUAGUUUAAUUACAUGAUAAUUAAAUUAUAUUAUAAAAUUAAGAAUAUGAUUUAAGUACUAUUUUAGCAAUUUUGAGUCUCACAUUGAGUAUUGAAGUUAAUUAAAUGUUGAAACUCUUUUCUAUUUGGCUUGAAAUCACUACUUAAUAAAAUUACAAAAAGUCAAUAAUGAAUGAUGUAGGACACAUAUGUAAAAUAAAUUUUAAAGUGUAAUUAAACAUUCCUAUCAAUAUUAGUUUUGUAUACAUAUUCAUAUAUUUUACUGAAACCAUAUAUAAUUAAAUUUUGUGUAAUUAAGUAAAAUAUAUUAUUCAAGUGAAUUUAUGAGAAUAUGUAAAAUUGUAGGGGUGGUCACUGAAAUUUGCCAAACUUGAGCCAACCGUGCAUGAUCCAAACAGUUUAUUUUAAUAAUUCUCAAUAUGUUAGUCUGUUUGACUGUUGGCAAAAUGAAUUCCUAUCAGCAAUGCAACACAAUUCAAAAUCAUAUCUGCAUACAACGAACAAUAUCUCAUCAAAGAUCAAAUUAUACAUUUUUUACACCAAAGCAUAAAUAUCUAAAUUGUCCCUCUUCAACUCACCAAGCUCAUACCUAACAACAGCAAGAUUAAAUGUCAUUUGAUCCAUCUUUUUUAUUAAGCUUUAUCAAUUCUUCUCAUGGUUGCAAUUUUGAAAGCUCGCUUCGCUAUUUCCAUUUGCUUUUAUGCUUUGUUUGAGCUCCAUCUACAUUUUACACUGUAAAAAAAAUUUAAAAAAAAUUACAAAGCUUCUUAUACUAGAAUAUGAGCAACAAUAUAAAUAAUAAACAAUAAAGUUAUGAUAGCACAGCAUACUCAUUAAAGUGCUUCUUUUUUUUUUUCAGCAAGAAAUUACUACUGAAUUAAAGAAUUGGCUUUGCAUUAAGGUUUGCCUUCAAUAACUCAACUCCCCACUUGGGUUUUGUCGUUUUCUUAAAAUCUCUGCUCAAUCAAUUUAAAGAUCCAUUUUUUUUUUCUUUCCAAAGAUCUAAAAGCAAUGUCUUUUAUUGGUACCCAACAAAAAUGCAAGGUCUGUGAGAAGACAGUUUGUCCAGUUGAACAGUUAUCUACUGAUGGGGUUGUUUAUCACAAGUCUUGCUUCAAGUGCUCUCACUGCAAAGGCACACUCAAGCUAAGCAAUUACUCAUCCCUGGAAGGUGCUCUUUACUGUAAGCCUCACUUUGAGCAGCUUUUGAAGGAGUCGAGUAACUUCAACAAGAAUUUCCAAUUACCUGCAAAGUCAGCUGAGAAGUUAACUCCUGAGCUGAGAAGGUCGCCUAGCAAAGUUGCCAGCAUGUUCUCUGGGCCCAAUAAAAAUGUGCUUCUUGCAGUAAAACAGUGUGUCCGUGGGAGAACGUAGCAGCGGAAAACCAAGCCUCUCACAAGACAUGUUUCAAGUGCUCACAUGGUGGUUAUUCCAUUAGCCCGUCAAAUUACGCAGCCCUAGAAGGCAUCUUGUAUUGCAAACAUAAUUUCUCCCAAUUGUUCAAGGAAAAAGGCAGCUACAACCACCUUAUAUAAAAUCUGCUUCCAUGAAGCGUGCUGCAGUCUCUGUUCAAGAAGCUUGAACAUGUUAUGUUAUCUUCCAUAAAUCUUAUUUGGCGUGGGUUUUCUCUGGCUUGAGGGUGUGCUUUCUAUUUUGAUCCCUCUUGUUGUUUUUGCGGGGAACUACCAAACCUUCGGUUCCCUCUGCUUCUUUGGAUCAUCUUUGUUGGGACAAAUUUCAUGUAAUUAGAGAUACUGAUUUAUGGGAGGCAUAAUCCCAUGGUCGUAAAUUGACCAUUUUCUGGCAAUGUUCUUUUUAAAAAGAGAUGAGCAGUUGUUUAACAAAAAAAAUAGCUGGCCUUCAUCAUGGUAUGUUACCAAACUGCUAUGUAUAGCUGCUAACUAUGAGCAUCCGAAAAUAUGGUGCAUCGUGAUUCAUGUAGUGCAAUAUGGCUACCAACGCAUCCUAAAUGGAGUAUUACUCAGUUAGUCAGCAAAAUAAGACAACAUAACUGAUAUUAAAAAAAUAAAAAAACUACAUUAAUAAGUGGGCAAGAUCAUGCCAGUUUAACUUUUCGCGCGUCGCUGCUGGAGAUAAUCAAAUCGGGGCAGAGAAAAGGAGAAUGGAAUCAGAGGCUAAGAUUAAUAAGUGGGCUUCUGCUUGCUUUGCCCCUCUUUCUUAAACGAUUGGUAGACUGCUGCUUCCACCGAUUAACCGGGUCUUCAACCACUGCUUUUACUGCCUGCCAUCUUGUUGUUUGUCGAAGGGAUGAAUUCGAGUCGAAAAGAGAAAGCGCGCUGAAAAAGAUAAAUCACUAGUGGUUAACUGCUUACUCAGCCAAGUGUUGGCUUCACUUGAUUCACCGAUUGAGGUUAUUUUGUCUUCUAUCUAAUGCAGCGAAGAAGCUUUGCUGCUUAACAUGCUGCAAUGCAACUUUAUCCUUUGAAGUUCACACUUCAGGGCUGCGCACUUUAUGUAAUCCUAUGAGUAAAAAGAAUUUGUUUUCAAAUGUGAAAAAAGAAAAUGUAAGGUAGUAACUAAAUAUUUUAUAGCAUCAAAGCAAUAUUUGAUAUGAAUUUAGUACAACAAAGAACAUCAAAUCUGUGAUUCCUUGUCUAGUGUCACCAUCGAGCAACAAAUUUAAAAGCCUACCUAUCAAAUACACGAGGCAAUAAACGGAGAAAAAGUUGAAUUACAAGAACAAGUUUACAAUUCUUGUCAAUGGUUAAUGAUUUGUGAACUGAGACAGCUUUCAAGAAUCCAAUUUCAAUACAACAACGUAAAAGAUAAACAGAUGAUGAAUUCUAUGAGAUAAAGAAGGAGAUCGUGUUUUAUCGUAUCUCUAUUUUCUUUCUUUUUAAAUUUAAAAUAAGCUUUUCAACCGGUUUGUUAACCGGUUAUAAUAUUUUUUAAAAUAAUUAAAUAUUUUCAUUAUUAAAAAUAAUGUGUACCGUUGAUUACAUCUAACGGUAUAUAUUUCUUACACUACUAAUAUCGUAAAAAAAAAAUACAGCAUCAUAGAGGGACCCUUAAAACAUUUUCAUUUGAAAUUAUUUGGUGAAGUGAAAAAGUUAAGAAAGAAAUAGUUGUCCCUUUGGUCAUUUCACAAAAAUGAAAGCCCCAUAUAACAUGGACUUGAAUGGAAGCCCAAUUGUUGUGUUUGAUUUCAAGCUUUAUCGGACCUUUGGACCUGGAUACUUUACUGCGGCCUCUAAGCGCUACAAAUUUUUUUUUUGGGAUAAAAGGCGCUUCAAUGAAAAAGCACUUUAAAACUUUGGAUUUUGCCAAAACUUCAAAGCGGUUGGUCCGGUUACGGUGUUAUGCUAACGGGUUUAAAGGUUCUGAUCCAAUGAGUUAGGGUGGAAUAUGAAUAUAUAAAUUCCAUAGCAUGUGAGGACUAGGAUUUGUUUGUUCAUAUCAAGAAAAAAGAUCUGAAAAUUUGAUGAUCAGAAGAUAAAAACACUUAAACACGUUUAUUACAGAGAAACAAACGACAACACGAUACUAGUAGUAGUUAUUCUUUUCAUCCGAUAUAUUACAUGGUAAUAUCACCACUCGUUCCACUGGUUUCAUAUACACCAUCGACCAGCAACAUGAUAAUUUUGUGUCAGUUCAUUUUGUUUGUAGGAAAGAGCAGUAUCUUUUUUAGAACUUGAAAAUAAUAAAAAGAUUUUAAAAUAUAAAUUGCAUAUUUGUUUAUUGCUGUUGUUUGGUCUAAUUUCUUACGUAGAAUUGCUUGUCAUUCUUUGUACGUUAUUGAUUAUAUUUUUGUCAGACUUGGCGUAUAUAUUCACAUAUGUUUUAUUUUGUCAUUUUGUAGAACAUUUUUACAUGCCAUAUUAUCACGACUCUUCUGUGUCUGAAUAAGAAGAAAGCAUAAUGCGACCCUCCAACAGCUUAAUCUAUGGAAUUAUCGUGUUUUGUAAGUUGAGGUCCAAUGGCGUUUUGGCACAUCAUAUGAUAGACCACUAUAUUGCGUUGCUUUACAAAAGAUUAAUAUUUUUAAAAUUAUUAGGUAAGUUUAGGCUCAGUGGCACUUUAACUCAUGAUAUGAUAGUCCAGGUUUUCAUCAGCCUGAACAUGGACCUGUCGCCAUGGAUAACUCAGGUUUUUUUUUUUUUAAUCAACUACGUCAUCUUUUCCACUGUUUUGAAACUCUUAAGAUUAAACUUUAGUAAAGUUAUUUUAGUUAUCCAUGUAAUCAAGCUGAGGAUACUUAGCUGCCUAUUUAGGCAAAUGUCAGAAUUUAGUUUGUUCGCUGGGAACUGGUGUGGUGACAGCGUCCUGGCAAAGGAUGAUGAGAUAGUUUUUUGAUUGAGUAAAUUUUGGGAGCUUGAGUGUAUUGGGAUUUGCAAUUACAAUCAUCCUCUGCCUCAGGUGAUUUCUUCUCCUGCCCUGUCGUUGUUUGUUCUCUAAUUCAAAAUUAUAAAAUUUUUCAAUCAAAUUUUAUGCCAGGAAUAUGCAAAAGUUUCUAAUAUUUUAUUUCCAUCUGUUUGCCUUGAUAACUUUGCGGCAUAUGUACUAGUUAAAUCCCUCAAAACGUAAACAAAACUCUGUUGGUAUUGAUUCCUAAGGUGGACCAUCCUACCAGUUUAACGAUGUUUCGGCCUAUAAGUUUAUGCACUGUCGCCUAUAAGACAGUGACUAAAAUUAUUGCCACUCGUUUACAAGAACUAUUACCUGAGCUGAUCGGGCCUCAUCAGACAAGUUUUGUUCCCGGACGACACAUUGUGGACAACAUUGUUAUUGCUCAGGAAGUGGUUCACUCCAUGCGCAGAAAAACUGGUAAAAGAGGGCUUAUGGCUAUUAAGGUGGAUCUCGAGAAGGCAUAUGAUCGGCUGAACUGGUCGUUUAUUUUUGAAACUCUUCAAUUGACAGGGCUCCCGAUUCAAUUAUCUCGGCUCAUCAUGGAAUGUGUUAAAUCAGCUAGCAUGAAUAUUUUGUGGAAUGGCGAGGUAACUGAGGAGUUUUUUCCGGGAAGAGGUAUUCGGCAGGGUGACCCUCUAUCUCCGUAUAUUUUUGUGCUCUGCAUCGAGCGUUUGAGCCAUGGAAUAUCCCAAGCUGUGGGGGAUGGAAGUUGGAAGCCAAUUCGGCUGGCUAAACAUGGCACUCCCCUUACCCACCUUUUUUUUGCUGAUGAUUUGCUUUUAUUUGCAGAAGCUUCGAUUGAUCAAGCUCAUAUCAUUGAUGCGGUUUUGGAGAAUUUUUGUCGAAGUUCUGAAGUAAAGGUUAACAAAGUGAAAACUACAAUUUUCUUUUCGAAGAACGUUGCUGCAAGAGAGGCCAAGCUCAUUGGUGCUGCCUUGGGGGUUUCGAUUACUCAUGAUCUGGGAAGCUAUCUUGGAAUGCCGUUACUUCAUUCGAGGGUGAAUAAAGCUACGUAUCAAUCUAUUUUAGACAAGGUAGACAUAAGGCUCAGUGGCUGGAACGCGGCUCAUUUAUCCUUUGCUGGUCGUGUUACUUUGGCGCAAUCGGUGAUUCAAGCUAUGCCAAUUUAUGCAAUGCAAACGACCAUGCUUCCUGCUUCGGUGCGCCAUAGAAUUGAUAAGAGCUGCCGUAGAUUUAUUUGGGAUGGGAAGUCGAAGAGUCCUAAGAUGUGCAUGGUGGGCUGGGAUAAAAUCUGCUUGCCGAAAUCAAGUGGUGGCUUGGGGUUUAAGAACUUAGAGGUGAUGAAUCAUGCCCUGUUGAUGAAGAUUAGUUGGGGCAUUAUCUCCAACUCAGAUAAGUUAUGGGUGCGGGUUCUCUGUUCCAAAUAUGGAUUGGACCCAUGCAAUUUGCCGUCUUCCCUCCCUGACAAACAAGGUUCGCGUAUCUGGUCUGCUAUAAGAAAAACGUGGAAUGCAACCAUGCAUGGAGCUCGCUGGGCAGUGUGUGAUAGUGCUCGAAUUCGUUUCUGGCUGGACUGUUGGGUGACGAAAUAUGAGCCUUUGAUUCACCUAGCUCUCCAACCGAUCCCUCAGGCCUCUCUCAAUGCUACGGUUAGCGAAUUUACUAAUGAUUAUGGUGGCUGGAGAUGGGCGAGCUUUGAAUUCCUACUGCCCCCUUCUGUUCUUAUGCAGAUUGCCUCGAUCAUGCCACCUGCGCCGCAUCUUGGUCCUGAUAGACUAUAUUGGAGUUAUAAUCCAAGAGGGUUGUUCACAGUCCGAACUGCUUAUGAGUCUCUUUGCUACCAUAACUUAGACACUCAAGAUAAAGUAUGGAAAUUGCCAUGGUCUUGGAAAGGGCCCCAAUCUAUAAAGCUCUUUAUUUGGCAGACUUUGCAUGGCAAAUUGAAGACCCACAGUGAGCUUAAUAGGCGUAAUAUCCCCGUUUCUGAAGUUUGUGUUAGGUGUGGGGUUUCGGCUGAGGGCAUUCUUCAUGCUGUGAGAGAUUGUAGUUGCAUUAAGAAUCUAUGGCUUAGUCUUGUUCCAACCUGUCAUCAACUUGCUUUCUUCCAAUCCAACUUACGUGCAUGGGUUGCUGCCAACAUGCAAAAUACGUGGAAAAUUGAUUCGGAGCUUCCUUGGGAUUGUAUUUUUGGAGUGGCUAUUUGGAGAUUAUGGUUUUGGCGUAAUCAAUUUAUUAUGGCUGGGAAUUUGGUAGAUAGCAAGACAAUAUAUUCGGAUAUUAUGGCCAGAGCUAGUGAGAUCCAUAGAAUUAAUAACUCACAUCUCAGCCCACAACCAAGGCGUAAGGAGAUUUUUAUUGGUUGGUUGCCUCCUCCAUGGCCAUGGUGUAAGUUGAACACAGAUGGUUUCUGUAAACAUACAGGAGCAACUGCAGCGGGUGGGGUUAUUCGCGACUCCGUUGGUAACUGGGUCUCAGGCUUUAGUAUGAAUAUUGGGGAAAGCUCAGUGAUUAUGGCUGAACUUUGGGGCCUGUAUCAAGGAUUGUCCCUCGCCUGGAAUGUUGGAAUUAGACAUCUUUUGGUGGAAGUAGACAGCCUCUGUGUAACUCAGAUGAUUUCUCAACAGAUGGUUGUGCCUAAUGUCUCCUACGCUUUAGUGGUGGCAAUUCGUGAUUUUUUAAACAGAAAUUGGCAGAUUAAUAUCUCGCAUAUCUACCGUGAAGCGAACUCAGCUGCGGAUUUCAUGGCAAAUAUGGCCCAUUUAAUACCGCAUGGUCUACAGUUAUUCUCUAACCCGCCUGUGGGUAUUUAUUCUAUUCUUUCACAAGACAUGUAUGGGGUUUGUCAACCCCGCAUUAUUCCUAUCUAGCUCGCCUUGAUGAGCCCCUUUUAAUAAAAAAAAAAAGAAGAACAAAUCGAAACAGAGCUCAGUUAAAAGUUUCUUCUGCCGUCAUAUUUGAAAAAUGAAACCAUUUCCAGGAAGCAAUGGGCAGCAAAUUCAUAUAAAGCGUAGACAAUGAUGAGUAAAAAGGUAAUUCACAAUUUCACUUUUUUUUUAAUGAAAUUAAUUGUUUGGUUGGAGAGGAUAUUGUUAGAAGGCCAUUGAGCUAACCUAUGUCACUACUUGCCUAGAUUGCAGGGGGUCAAAACUCAAAAGAGGCAUUGAUUUUAAAAGGCAUCCAAUAAUUCUUGUGGCCAUAUAUCAAUUCAUGUAAGUUUGAUUGUAAUUAUUGGUGAAGGGGUUUCACUUCCCGUCUCUAAAUAAAAAUACUGAUUCUUUAAGGUACAUGCCACUAGGGAUUGCGAGAUUAACGAGUCUUUGGACAUUGGAAGAGCUCCUUGUGAGUGGAGGAGGAGGUGUUGAUGGUAGCAAAGCAUGUGGGCAGUGGGCUUGAAUCUCUUAAAAACUCGGAACUCCUCCAAGCGUAAGUAUACGUAUACUGGGAAAUGUGUUAGAUGUGGAUGAGGCUAAGAGAUUAGAGCUUGACAAAAUGAAAUACCUCUUUCAUUGAGACUUAAAUUUGAUGGGGAAGAAGAAAAAGAAGAGGGAAGGAGGAAGAAUGAGGAUAAUCAACUUGUUCUUGAAGCCUUGCAACCACCUCUGAAUUUGAAGGAAUUAGAGAUUUGGUCAUACAGAGGCAACAUUUGUUUUCAAAUGUGAAAAAAGAAAAUGUAAGGUAGUAAUUAAAUAUAUUAUAGCAUCAAAGCAAGAUUUGAUAUGAAUUUAAUACAACAAAGAACAUCAAAUCUGUGAUUCCUUGUCUAAUGUCACCAUCGAGCAACAAAUUUAAAAGCCUACCUAUCAAAUACACGAGGCAAUAAACGGAGAAAAAGUUGAAUUACAAGAACAAGUUUACAAUUCUUGUCAAUGGUUAAUGAUUCGUGAACUCGGACAGCAUUCAAGAGUCUAAUUUCAAUACAACAACGUAAAAGAUAAACAGAUGAUGAAUUUUAUGAGAUAAAGAAGGAGAUCGUGUUUUAUCGUAUCUCUAUUUUCUUUCUUUUUAAAUUUAAAAUAAGCUUUUCAACCGGUUUGUUAACCGGUUAUAAUAUUUUUUAAAAUAAUUAAAUAUUUUCAUUAUUAAAAAUAAUGUGUACCGUUGAUUACAUCUAACGGUAUAUAUUUCUUACACUACUAAUACCGUAAAAAAAAAAUACGGCAUCAUAGAGGGACCUUAAAACAUUUUCAUUUGAAAUUAUUUGGUGAAGUGAAAAAGUUAAGAAAGAAAUAGUUGUCCCUUUGGUCAUUUCACGAAAAUGAAAGCCCCAUAUAACAUGGACUUGAAUGGAAGCCCAAUUGUUGUGUUUGAUUUCAAGCUUUAUCGGACCUUUGGACCUGGAUACUUUACUGCGGCCUCUAAGCGCUAUAAAUUUUUUUUUGGGAUAAAAGGCGCUUCAAUGAAAAAGCACUUUAAAACUUUGGAUUUUGCCAAAACUUCAAAGCGGUUGGUCCAGUUACGGUGUUAUGCUAACGGUUUUAAAGGUUCGGAUCCAAUGAGUUAGGGUGGAAUAUGAAUAUAUAAAUUCCAUAGCAUGUAAGGACUAGGAUUUGUUUGUUCAUAUCAAGAAAAAAGAUCUGAAAAUUUGAUGAUCAGAAGAUAAAAACACUUAAACACGUUUAUUACUGAGAAACAAACGACAACACGAUACUAGUAGUAGUUAUUCUUUUCAUCCGAUAUAUUACAUGGUAAUAUCACUACUCGUUCCACUGGUUUCAUAUACACCAUCGACCAGCAACAUGAUAAUUUUGUGUCAGUUCAUUUUGUUUGUAGGAAAGAGCAGUGUAUUUCUUAGAGCUUGAAAAUAAUAAAAAGAUUUUAAAAUAUAAAUUGCAUAUUUGUUUAUUACUGUUGUUUGGUCUAAUUUCUUAUGUAGAAUUUUCAGAAUCUGUAGGACGUUAAUUUAUAACUUUGGUAAUUUAAUUAUUUUCUUUUUAUUAAUGUCCGGACAAAAAAUUAUUAUAAAAGGGUAAUAUUGUAAAAGUAAGCCAAAAUAAAUAACAAAUAACGAUAAGAGUAUCAAUAUUUUAAUAGCAGGGAUAUUUCGAGAUAUUUUUAAAAAUACAGAGACUAACUGGACAUUAAUCUUAAAAUAUAAGGACUAAAUGAGCUUUUACCCUUUUUAUAAUCCACACCAUCCUGAUAUAAUUAAACACCAUUAAUAAUGUACCAGCCUUUUAAUAGUAAUUAAUUUAUUUAGUUGGCCACCUAAAAGAAUCCUGCAGGAAAUACUAGUUAAAAAAUUUAUUAAAUUUGAUUACCUCUGUAUCAUUAUAUAUAUAAAGACUGAAAUCCAAAUGAAAUAUUUUAUCAUUCAUUCAGCAAACACUUAUAAAACACAAAUAGUGAAUCUAUGCAUUGACAAUGUGGAUUAAGAAUUAUAACACAUGAAUUCAAACAUACCCUCGUGAAGUUAAGAAUAAGUUCAUACUUCAAAUGAUUUUUUUAGCUAAUAAAGCAAUCACUUUCAUUAAACGACAGUGUUGAAGGAAUUGUGCAAUUUUUUACGUUCUUUUCUAGACAGACGUUACAGAGAUGGGGAAAGUAGAGGACUGGCCUCAGAUAUCUCACAAUUAUUAUUCUUUUUCAUUGUUAUAAUAAUAAUUUUUUUCUUUUGACAGUUCUGCAGGACAAGUGAUCAGAGCUCAAUGAAUAUAUCCGUGGAGGGUGAACUUAGGUUGAUGUCAAAAGAGGUAAAUGAAUUGGCCUGUUUAUAUAUAUAUAUAUAUAUAUAUAUAUAUAUAUAUAUAUAUAUAUAUAUAUAUAUAUAUAUAUAUAUAUAUAUAUAUCAUAUAUAUAUAUAUAGAGAGAAAUGUUCCAGUCAGGAAUUUUAAAGUGCAGGAAAGUACGGGAAACCUUUAAAACCGCAUGGUUUUAAAGGCUUAAAACUGUAAGCCUUUAAAGCNNNNNNNNNNNNNNNNNNNNNNNNNNNNNNNNNNNNNNNNNNNNNNNNNNNNNNNNNNNNNNNNNNNNNNNNNNNNNNNNNNNNNNNNNNNNNNNNNNNNAGAAUUUCUCUGUUAAUAUAUAUAUAUAUAUAUAUAUAUAUAUAUAUAUAUAUCAUAUGAUGCAGGCCACAGCAGAGCAGGAUUAUGAAAAAGAGAAGCUUAUUAAUAAGUGUUUACUUGCUUUUGAAAUAUAUAUAUAUAUAUAUAUAUAUAUUUCAAAUUCAAGUUUACUUGCUUUUAUAUAAUAAGUGUUUUGGCCGAUUUAUCUAAUUCACCAAAUGUCAUUUCCGGUACAUAUCUCCAUUGGUAUCAAGAAGAGGCAGAACCCAAAGAAACGUUUCUUGCAUCUUCAUAUUUAUGCGAAUUCAUCCUUUCAUUGAGAAUAACCAUUUCCAGCCGGCAGUUGGCAAUCAAUACGCACGUCGAUGCUAUUCAUAGAUAUUAAAGACAAUGAUGAACCAAAGGUGAUAAAUCAUAAAUGUAUAAUUACCAAACAUCCAUCCUUCUCUCAUUAUGAUUUGAUUUUAAAUGAAUUAUUGCUUGGUAACAUUAUUUCCAACCAUUGCAAGAUUAUUAUUAUUAUUUUUUUUUGGGAGAAAUUUCAAUUGAAAGUGAAACCUUUAGACAUUUACCUAAUGAAGUUAGUUACUCGGGAGGGUGGAAAAAAAAAAGUUGACGCAAGUCAAUACACAAUAAUUAAUUAAAUCCGGAGUGACUAAAACAGAGCCACUACUUUUUCAAAAAUAUCUGCAUUCAUCACUUUCUCCAGCAGCUAGUCAGCUACACACGAAUCAAUUUCUCUCCUCGUUUGUCAUCCAAAAUUAUUCACCAAUACCAUGGUUGAUGCCGUCGUUUCCACUAUCUUGGAGCAGCUGAUUUCCUUCGCUGCUGAAGAGAUAAAACAACAGGUGAUCGAAGUUACACCCCUCAUAUUACAAAUACUUCCAAUGAUUUUAAUAAAUUUUGUUUUUAUCAAAAACAUUAUAUAUUUUUGCUUUAUUUUAUUUAUCUGGUAAUUUUAGAUUUUGAAAUUUGAAUUGAAUUUAAUUAAAAGGUGAUGUAGUUAGUAACCACUUAUUUUUAUUUUAUUUCAUUUAUAUUCUCAAUAACUACUCAUAUUUUGGUAACUUACUAUAACUUUCAUAUCUAAGAAAUGAUCAAAACCCACAAUUUUAACUCAGCACGAAUAUUCAACGUUGAGUCAUUAAUUCUAAACUCAGCACUGAAUCCCAUAGCUAUUACUUAGACUCUAUGAAAAAUUUCAUAGUUUUCUUACGUUCUUUGAGUUUGGUAAGUGAUUUCGUAUAAUUUCUUUUCAAGUUAAAUUUUAAUUUGGUUUAUGAUAUAGUCUCUGUGCCGAAUUGUAUCUUUUAUGAUUCUUGGAUUUUGGGCUUCAACUUUUUAGGAUUUGAUAGUCAUAUAUUUAUGCCAUGCUCAGAUUGAUUUUCAUGAUUUUUAGUAGCCGUUAAGUGACUUACAAUUUGACGAAAGUUUGAAAGGAAAAAUGUUUCAGGAUUCUGUUUUAAUUUACCUUUUAGUAGAAAUAGGAUGCUUAUAACUUAAUGUGGAUGGUUCGUAAAAUCAUGAAAUUUGGAUAGGAUUCACUAGAAAUAUGUACAAGACUCUCCAUAAAGUUUCAUAAUUUUUCAUUCGGUAUGGGGUGGUACAGGUGAAACUUGUGGUUGGUGUUGAAAAAGAAGUGAAAAGCCUUACCAGCCACCUUGAAGCCAUUCAAGUUGUGCUCGAUGAUGCAGAGGAAAAGCAAGUGAAGGACAAAGCUGUUAGUCUUUGGCUGGGUAGGCUCAAGUACGCAUCCUACGACAUUGAAGAUGUGUUGGAUGAGUGGAUCACAGCAAGACGCAAAUUGCAAAUUGAGGGUGGCGUUGAUGAAAAUGCUCUUGUUGUUCCUCAUAAGAAAAAGAAGGUAUGUCUCUGCUUUCCCGGCUCUUGUUUUGGAUUCAAACAAGAAGAAUUUGGUUUCAAACAAGUCUUUCUCCGUCAUGACAUUGCCGACAAGAUCAAAGAAAUCAAUGAAGAGCUACAUGAUAUUGCCGCUCAAAAAGACAUGUUUGAUCUUGUUAAGAGUGGCAAUAAAAGUAGUGAAAGACCAAGGCGUGUACAGAGUACCUCCUUGAUUGAUGAGGAAGAGAUUUGUGGUAGAGUUGGUGAGAGGAAUGAACUCAUAAGCAAGCUGUUGCGUGAGAGUAGCGAGCAACAAAAAGGCCUCCAUAUCAUCUCAAUUGUUGGUAUGGGAGGCAUAGGGAAAACUACUCUUACACAACUAGCUUGUAAUCAUGAUGAGGUGAAGAGAAAGUUCGACAAAAUUCUGUGGGUGUGUGUAUCAGAAACUUUUGAGGAGUUUAUGGUAGCCAAAGCGAUCGUUGAAGUUUUGGAUGGUCGUGAAUCUCAUUUAGCUGAAUUCCAUUCUCUUCUUCAACAUAUUUAUGAAUCAAUUGCAGGGAAGAGCUUUCUUCUUGUCUUAGAUGAUGUGUGGGAUGGAAAUUACUUGAAAUGGGAACCAUUCUACCGUUGUCUAAAGAAUGGUCUCCAUGGAAGUAAAAUUUUAGUUACCACACGUAGUGGGUCUGUUGCAUCCACGAUGGGAUCCACAGAUAUUAUCUCCGUCAAGGAGUUAGCUGAAGAGGAAUGUUGGUUGUUGUUUAAAAAGAUAGCAUUUUUUGAUCGGUCCAUCGAGGAACGUGAAAAAUUAGAACAAAUUGGGCAAAGAAUUGUAGGCAAGUGCAAAGGUUUACCUCUUGCAGCAAAGACAAUAGGGAGUCUCAUGCGUUCUAAACAAACUGAAGAAGAGUGGAAAAGAAUUUUAAAUAGUGAUUUAUGGAAAGUAGAAGAGAUUGAGAAAGAUGUUUUGUCCUCUUUAUUGUUGAGUUAUAAUGAUUUGCCAUCUAGAGUAAAAAGAUGUUUUUCAUAUUGUGCUGUCUUUCCAAAAGACUACGAUAUAAAAAAAGACGAACUAAUCACAUUAUGGAUGGCUCAAGGUUAUCUUAGUGCGGAACAAGAUGAAGAGAUGGAGACAGUAGGUGAAGAGUAUUUUGGCAUCUUAGCUUCUCGCUUGUUUUUUCAAGAGUUUAAGAAAAGUUAUGAUAAUCGUAUUAUAGAGUGCAAGAUGCAUGGUAUGGUACAUGAUUUUGCCCGAUUUGUAAGUCAAAAUGAAUGUUUUUCGAUGGCAAUUAAUGGUAGUGAAGAACCAAACGCCACAAACUCUCUUGAUGAGAAGGUCCGUCAUUUAAUGUUAAUCUUUAGUAAAGGGGCUUCAUUACCUGUUUCCACUCGUAGAGUUAAAAGAAUGCGUACCCUCGUAAUUAACGAUAGUAGAUCAUUAAAUGGCGAGAUCCUAGAAGAAUUAUUUAGGGAAUUGACAAGUUUAAGGGCAUUAGAUUAUGGCGGAUCGCCCCACUCAAGGCCGUUGUUGACUGCGGAGGUUCCAAGAAACAUAGAAAAGCUGGUACAUUUGAGAUACCUUAAUUUGUCUUUUCAGAAAAUAGUGAAACUACCGGAGACAUUGUGCGAGUUGUAUAAUCUAGAAAAGUUAGAUAUUAGUUGUUGUUUGUAUCUUAGAGAAUUACCUGAAGGGAUUGGGAAGUUAAUAAACAUGAAGCAUUUACGAAAUAGAGGUACUAGUUCUUUAAGGUACAUGCCAGUAGGGACUGGGAGAUUAACGGGUCUUAGGACCUUGGGUCAGUUCCAGGUGAGUGCAGGAGGAGGUGUUGAUGGUAGGAAAGCAUGUAGGCUUGAAUCUCUUAAAAAAUUGGAACACCUUCAAGUAUGUGGUAUACGUAGACUGGGUGAUGUAUCAGAUGUGGGCGAGGCUAAGCGAUUAGAACUUGACAAAAAGAAAUACCUCUUCAGUUUGACCCUUGAGUUUGAUAAGAAGGAAAGAGGAGGAGAAACGAGGAAGAACGAGGACGAUCAACUUCUUCUUGAAGCCCUGCGACCACCUCUGGAUUUAAAGGAAUUAGUGAUACGGUACUACCGAGGCAACACUGUUUUCCCCAGCUGGAUGACGUCAUUAAUCAACUUAAAGAGUUUAGAUCUCUCUUCCUGCGAAAAUUGCGAGCAGCUGCCUCCUUUGGGAAAAUUGCCGUCCCUUGAAAAACUCGGCCUAUCGGACAUGAAGAGUGUGAAAAGAGUGGGUGAUGAAUUUUUGGGGAUAGAAAGUGAUCAUCAUGGCUCAUCUUCAUCUUCAUCGGUUAUUAUUGCCUUCCCCAAAUUGAAAUCACUCUCAAUUGAGUUUCUGCGCGAAUUGGAGGAGUGGGAUUAUGGGAUUACAAGAACGGGAAACACCGUCAUCAACAUCAUGCCACGUCUUUCUUCAUUGACAAUUGUUGAUUGCACCAAAUUAAAGGCACUGCCCAACCACAUUCAUCAAACGACAACGUUGAAGGAAUUGUGCAUUGUGGAUUGUGAGCUUCUGGAAGAACGUUACCGCAAGGGGGAAGGAGAAGACUGGCCUAAGAUAUCACACAUUCCCAACAUAGAUAUUUUUUAAGAAGGAUUUGCGCAUUCGAGAUUUGGCGUUGACAAGUAAUUUCUUCUCUUACUCUGAUUUGCUUUGUUGUUGUUUUUAAUCUAAUUAAGAAGCGUAAAUAGCAUUUUGAAUCAAACUCUAUAUCCGAAAUCUGCAAUACAUACUUUCUAAUAUUCUGAUUUUCAUAUCCUACCAUUUUUAAUUUGUGAGAUGGGUAACGUUACUGUAAAAGAUUAUUAAUGGAACAUGAGUAAUUCUUUUGCAGGACAAGUGACCUACAUUUAGUUUGGCUUUGGAGUUGAAUAAUAACCUUUCAAGGCCAGGACCCAAAAGCAGGAAAAACAAAAAAAGGAACGAAGCUUAAUUUUGCCACAGAUUACAUGUAUUGCCAUUAUUGACAAGUUUCUGGACAAGUGAUCAAGGGUGAGAGUGGUGCUACAACAUUGAAUAAAGCAGUCGUGACUGAAUUUAGGUUGUGUCAAAAGUGGUAAAUUAUUUGCAUGUGUAGCUAAUUUGACCAUUUCCUGAUCUAUAAGUCUAUAUUAAUUUUGAUUUUUAGUUGAGUGAUUACAUUUCAAGGUUUGCUUACUUAACAGGGCGACCAAUUUCUUUUAACUAAAUGUAUUAUAUGAUGCAGGAAGCAAGGCAGGAUAUGAAAUAAGAAGCUUAUUAAUGGCAGUUGGCAGUGAAUGGAGGCCCUUGACUAAAUUCUCAAGCGGUUGCACUGCAAUUACGCUUAUCCGUAGCCUCAGGUAAUUUCUUCUUCUGCAUUUUUGUAAUUUGUUAUCUAAUUAAGGGGCGUGAGCUAUUUUGAAUCAAAUUCUAUAUCAGGAAUAUAUGCAACAUUUUUUAAAAUUUUGAUAUGAGAGUAAUGAUGGUAAUUUCUCUUUUUUGUCUGUCAUCGAAUGUUAAAUAACAUUCACUAAGACUCUUGAGAGUCAUUUUUUGACAAUUGCAGGACAAGCGACGAAGAGUGAGAAUGGUGUUAGAUUGGGGAUUGAGGCAAAAGGAGGUAAAUUAUUGGCAGAGAAUUUGGGAGCUUGAGUGUACAGGGAUUUGCAAUUACAAUCUUACUCUGCCUUAGGUGAUUUCUUCUCCUGCUUUGUCAUUGGUUGUUCUCUAGUUGAAAAGCAUAAAGUAUUUCAAUCAAAUUCUAUACCAAGAAUAUGCAAAACUUUAUUUCCAUCUGUUUGCAUUGAUAACUUUGCGGCAUAUGCGCUAGUUAAAGAACAAACAGAAACAGAGGUCAGGAACAAGUUUCCUCUGCCGUCAUAUUUGAAAAUGCAACCAUUUCCGGGAAGUAGUUGGCAGCAAAUUCAUAUAAAGUGUAGACAAUAAUGAGCAAAAAGGUGAUUCACAAUUUUAUUUUUUUUAAAUUAAUUGUUAGGUUGGAGUUGUUAAAAGGCCAUUGAGCUAACCUAUGUCAUUAGUUACCUAGAUUGCAGGGGGUCCCGAGACUCCAAAGAAGCAUUGAAUUUUAAAAGGCAUGCAAUAAUUCUUGUGGGCGUAUGAGUUUGAUUUAGAAUCAAACUCUAGAUCAGAAAUCUGCAAUGCAUAUUUUCUAAUAUUCUGAUUUUCAUAUCCUACUAUUUUUAAUUUGUGAGAUGGGUAACGUUACUGUAAAAGAUUAUUAAUGUAAUAUGAGUAAUUCUUUUGCAGGACAAGUGACCUACAUUUAGUUUGGCUUUGGAGUUGAAUAAUAACCUUUCGAGGUCAGGACAACAAAAAAAUGAAUCUUAAUUUGCCACAGAUUGCACUUAUUGCCAUUAUUGACAAAUUUCUUCACAAGGGAUCAAGGGCGAGGAUGUUGAUAGAAUAUUGAAUAAAGCUGCCGUGACUGAACUUACGUUGAUGUCAAAAGAGGUAAAUUAUUGGCAUGCCUGACUAUUUUGACCAUUACAUGAACAUGAGUUUACAUUAAUUUUGAUUUUGAGUUGAGUGACUUUUUAAGGUUUGCUUACUUAACCGGGUGAUGUGAUGCAGGAAGCAGGGCAGGAUAUGAAAUGAGAAGCGUAUUAGUGGAAGUAUUGCCAGUAACAGAACCCAAAAAAAAGUGGAACCAUUUUAAGGCAGCAGUUGGCAGUUGGGAGUGAAUGGAGGCCCUUGACAAAAUUCUCAAGCAGUUGCAAUGCAAUUACGAUCAUCCUCAGCCUCAGGUAAUUUCUUCUCCUGCUUUGUUGUUAUUUGUUACCUAAUUAAGAAGCAUAAAGUAUCUUGAAUCAUUUUCUGUAUCUGGAAUAUAUGCAACAGUCUCUAAAAUUUUGAUGACUGUAAUGAUUGUAGUUUCUGCUUUCUGUCCGACAUCGAAUGUAAGACGACUUUAUUAAGACUCUUGAACCGAGACAUUUUUGACAAUUGAAGGGCAAGUGCUGAAGAGUGGGAAUGGUGCUAGAUUGGGGAAUAAAGCAAAAGGAGGUAAAUUAUUGGUAGUUUCUGCAGCCUUGUUUUCUUUGAAUCAGCACCUGAUUCACAAGACUCCAUUAAUUUGGCUUUUGAUGAGCUGAGUGAUAAAUUUUCAAUUUCUUUGGUGCUAAAUGUAUGUGUGAAGCAGGUAGCAGGGCAUGACUGUGGAAAAGAGAAGAUUUUAGUGAAAGCUGAAACUCAGAUAAUUCUACAUUUAUCUAAUUCACGAAAUUUUAUUUCCAUCUGUUACAAGAUCAAACUGAAGCAGAACUCAAAGAAAGUAAUCUACUUCUUGCGGCAAUCUUGCCUUCGCUCAGAUUAUGAAACCAUUUCCAUGCACCAAAUUCAUCCAAAAGUUUGAAUAAGUUUCAUGGUUGGACACUGUUGGCUUCUUUUUCUUUUGGGGUGCAUUUUGGUGCUACCAAGUGACAGCUGCAAGUAUGAUUGCACUAACCUGCUGCUGGGAAAUUUGAGGUUUUGAUGGCUGCCCAUGUUAUUGUCAAGAAACUCCUCAUGUAAGAAGCUGUGGUUCUUUUCAUCAGCUUGAACCUGAAACUGUUGCUAUGGAUAACUCACGUUUUUAUUCUCAACUAUAUCAUCUUUUUUAGUGUUUUGAAACUCUUAAGAUUAAACUUUGGUAAAAUGUUUUCAGUUAUCCAUGUAAUCAGGCUGAGGAUAAUUUAGUAAAGUUGUUUCCGCUAUUCAAAUGAAAAACCCCAUUGAUUUUAACCAUGAUAAAGCUAAUGUUCCCAAUGAUUACUGCAGGUGAGACUUGUGAAGAGGGUGAGUGAGGCAACUGCUAAAAUUCCUGGCUGGGAUACAGUAACUAGAGGCUGAGAUCAGGUGGUGGAAUUUUUUGUUCCGUGGAUGAUACCAGAAUUGUCCAGAAAAGAUUUGUUGAUACUAAUUACAGAUGAUAGAAAGAGGUAUAGGUGGAGAAGAGAAAUCUGCGAGUCAAAUUAGGGAUAAUUGAUUCUGAUACUAGUUAUAUUGAAAAUAAUAAUAACAAUUGCAUGAAGAUAGUCAAUAUUCUUCUCUAGAUAUAUUGUAUGGACUUCCUUGCUGCCUUUAUCUAUGUGCAUGUUGACUAAAGCUAAUCUAGAAUCAAUAGAGAGGGAUAUUUAUCUAUUUUGUUUAACAUAAGAGUGCUGUAUAAUUUUUCACUAAAUACACCUACAACAAACUAUUAAUAAUAAAGUGAUAGAAGAAUGCCUAAAAUAUAGGUAUUAAUGUCAUAAUAAGCCCAUGUGGAUCUCAGUGCCGCAAGUUCGAUAAAUGGCUAUCAAGGAUUGCUUAUUAAGUCAAAAUAUUCAAAGGACAAAAUGGUAAAACUAUAAGGGUGGAGUAAUAUGGCUAUCUUGGGUUACAUAGUAAGUCAACUACAUUCAAAGUAUAAAAUAUUAGAACCUGAACGGCGGAGUAGUCGUCGUUAGAACCUGAACGGCGGAGUAAUCGUCGUUAGAAUCUGAAUGAUAUGUCUAAGACGUUGCAUGCAUCUAGAAAAUUGCAGAUGAUUAGACCUUGCCAUCUAUGCGUUGUAUGAGGUUAUAGCAACUAUCUAUCUGGUCACCGUUUUCAAGUCUCAAUUGGUAGUCCAAACUCCAAAGAAAAGAAUGAUUCUACAAUAGCAUUAAGUGUUAAUUGGACACAAAAAGAAAUGUUUUAACCACUUUAAGGAAAGUAAAUGUAAUUUUGUGUCCUAAAGAAAAGGUAAAUGUAUGCACUGUCAAUUAAUCUUUGGUCGACCAGCAACAUCAUAAUUUUGUGUAGGUUCAUUUUUGUUUCUUAGAGUUUGUAAAAAGAAUGGGAAGAUUUUAAAAUAUAAAUUUCAUAUCUGUUUAUUACUGUUGUUUGGUCUAAUUUCUUAUGUAGAAUUUUCAGAAUCUGUAGGACAUUAGUUUAUAAUUUUGAGAUUUUGCAGCCAUAAAUGUUUUUUUUUUCUUUUUUCUUUCUUUUUUUUUUUGUUGGCAUUUUAUUUUGCUCCUUUAUCUAUGUGCAUGUUGACUGGCUGCAGUGAGUGAAAAUUUACCCAUAUAUGCUGGCUAUUCUUGGACAAUAUUAGAGAAAAUAAUCAUAUUAUUUCGCUUGAUGUGAACUUCCAUAACUUAUCAAUUGAAUUGCUGUAAAAUAUUAAAUAGUUUUAUUUUUCUUUUAUCGUGUAACUUGGACCAAAAAAGGAAAUGAGUUUAACACGACCCUCAUUCUGCUUCUUGCUUUGGUUUCAAACAAGUCUUUCUCCUUUAUGACAUUUAUUGUAAUUUCAUUUGGAGACAUAUAUCUGUCGUUCAAAUAUAUUUCAUACGUAAGCUGUUAAUAAUUCUGCUUGCAGAAAGCCUACAAAGCAGCUGUGUGAUGUAAUAGAAGACCAUAGUCUCGUCAAUUUUUCAACAUUAGAUAUUCAGGUCAUCAGCUUCUCAUGAAUUCUUUCCUGAGUUUCUUUGAAUUAUUUGUGAUGUAAUAACUUGUGCAUUUGAGAAACUGUUCUCAUGAAUUCUUUCCUGAGUUUCUUUGAAUUAUUUGUGAAUAAGUUCCUAAUCGGCUGCUUCUCCUCAGGAUAAGGAAAGUGUUGCAAACUGGUGAAGCAGCUGAUAGAUAAAAGCAAUGGGUACAUCUUUGCUGGCAUGGAUCGAUGCCAGUGCGGUUGAAUUCAGCAAGACUGCCGUUCGUGAUGUUGUUGAUUGGGAUUACAUUAAGGAUGAUGACAACAUUGAUUAAAAUGGGACGUGAAGAUAUAUGGUGUGCAAAUUAACCCAACCCAACCAAACCCGUACAUUUUAUCAACCCAACCCAACCCAACCCGUAAAAAAUCACACGGAUUAGGUUGGUUUCACGGAUUGGGCGGGUUAAUUCUAAUUUCUUUAUAAGUUUACCAAAAUUAGAUCUGCUUACCUUUGUUCAUUCAGCAACAACACUUACAAUUCACAGCUAGAGAAUCUAUCCAUUGACAAUUGUGGAUUAAAAUUAUAACACCUGAAUUCAAACAUAUCCUUAUGAAGUUAUGAAUUUGUUCAUACUUCAAAUGAUUUUUUUUUUCCAAGCUAAUAAAGCAACGACUUUGAUCAAACGACGACGUUGAAGGAAUUACGUAUUUUCAAUGUCCUUUGCCAGACAGACGCUGGAGAGAGGGAAAGGAGAAGACUGGCCUAAUUAAGAUAUCUCACAAAGAUUAUUAUUGAGUUAAAAUGUUAUUGUAAAAGAUGUUUAAUACAAUAAUAGUACUUCUUUUGCAUUGUUAUAAUGAGGCUGGCGGGUUUCCUCAGAGGAUGGAUCUGGCUCGCUAGUAUGCAUUUGGGAAGCUGCUAAUUAUCGGCCAUAAAAAGUCAGGGGGUUGUGGCUCGUCCGUCGCCCAGAAAUUCCUAAACUCAUAUAUCAAACUUCAGAUGAACUUGGGCAUUAUGUAAAUAUGUAUUUUUGAGAAUUAAACUAGUGCGUUAGAAAAAUUUUGAGCCAUUGUAAUCAUUUUAUUUUGCUAAGAGAAAAUUUUACUCUGUGUUUCGCUUUGCCUUUUGUUUUUUCUGUGAUAAUAUGAUUCAUACGAAUGUGAUUACACACUAUCAUGCAUCUAUUUUCAUUUGCUUGUCAUGAAUGAUCAACAUGCUCGAAAUAUUUAUUUAGGUUGGAAAUAUUUAAAUCUAUUAAAAUACUAUACACACCCAUUUAAAAAUAAAAAUAUGAUUAUCAUAAUGAUCGCGAAGAUAACACGAUAUCAUACAUAAAAUAAAAUAUUUCGCAAAAAAGAAAAGAUACACUUGAAUACAUUGGUAUAAAAAAUAUUUUAGUGGAUUCAAGUAGCACUAAUGCCCCCUUAUCAAAAAAUAUAUAAAGAUAACUAAUCUGAUUGGGUAUACCGUGUGUGUGUGUAAUAUUUUUUGAUAUUAUUAUAUAAUAUUUUUUAAAAAGAAGAGAGUGGGCAAAGUCCAAAUCAAUUUUCUAAUCCCUAUCUCCUUUAGGAUUUCUAGUCAAAGAGGCUAAAUUGCACGAAAUUGUGCUAGCUUAUUUGAUUUUAAAAUUUUCCAAUGCACUGUAACACACUCUCAUGCUUGUACAUAGCUCGAAAAUCUCUAGAAUUUACCAGAGUAGUGUACCAUGUAGCUUGUACAUAGGUUUUUCUGGAACACUCCAAGCGUUACUAAGCAUAAGAGCUUUGAGAACUCUCUAGACAUAAAACAUUCAAGGGUAGGCCUACCCUAAAAAUAGGGCAUGAUGAUUGCCAUUUGAGCAUACAAGAAGUAAGAACAAAUCAAGUAUAUUUGUAAGCUCCCAAACUCUCUCGUACACACUCUUGUGAAUAAUAUGCUUUCUCUUUGACUACAUUACUCUCUCUUCUCUCUAGUUUUUUUCGUAAGUAUCAUAGCUUAGCUAGUCGAAAAGUUCAAGUAGGAAUGAUAAUUUUUCCUGACAGGAUGUGGGAUCCCAUCUCAUUUGGGACGGGAUUGGGACACAUUUUUAUCCCACAAAAAAAUAUAGGGACGGGAGUAGAAAUUUUUUUAUCCCACUUGUAUAUAUGGGACAGGACUGAGAUUAACAAAUUCAGUCUCGUCCCGUCCCGUCUCAUUACCAACUAGGGAUGGAAAUUUUUCCAAUUGGGAUGGGCUCUCGCAGAAUCCCAUUUAUUUUGGGAUGCAAUUGAGACAUAUUUUUAUCCCAAAAAAAUAUAUCGAGAGUGAGACUUUUUUUUAUCCCACUUGCAUAUUCGGGACGAGACUGAGAUUAGUAAAUCUCACCCUAUCCCAUCCCAUUGCCAACCCUAAGUUCAAGGCUUACUUUGCAAUUAUCUCAUAAAAGUUGUUUUAAGUACCACAGGAGUUUGUUGUGCAAAAUACUCAUCCCGUGACAUUAGCUAAAUAAAAUUAUUUGAAAGCCACUUACCCAAACUAUUAAACAAAUAUUAUUCUUUUAAUAUGUAAUCUUUUAAUAUAAAACUUUUGUCUUAAUUUUCUAUCUCCUACAAUAAAUUUUAUGAUUUUAAAAAUUGAAAAAAUUAGUAACUUUUAGAUAGAGCAUUCCUUACUGUGAAAAGAAAUAUGAAUGGUAAUAUAAAACUUACUUAUUAUAGUAUAAUGCUUUUAGUUUUUUGAAAUAUAGGUUCUUAUUUUUUUCAAGAUAAAGUUCAAAGAAAACAAGUUAAAUGUUGUGGAAAAUCUUACGCACAUACAAUAAAUUAUGACAGCUAAAUGCAAACCUGGCUGAAGUAUUAGUUGUUUUAUUACAGAGACAAAAGGACAAUAUCACUAUCCAAGUCAAAAGCAACUCAAUGUGAGUCUUAGGGCACUCGCAGUGAAUCCCAAGAUAAACUAAUUUCACUAGCAAGUUGGAUACCAAAGAGUAAGGCUUCAGCCUCAAUUAUAUUAACAUUAGCUGAGUAAACAUUAAAUACCACAAUCAAUCUCAGAAAUCAUAAUUAAACUAUCAUGAUUAAAAAUAAAGUUUUUUUUUUAGAUAUCCGUUUGUAGUAUCUCUUUAGAUGACAAGUAGGAGAUAAAGUAAAUAAAUAUUGGUUGCGUAAAUAAAAAUAAAUAAAUUUUUUAACUGAAAAAAAAAUUCCUAAAAACUAAAUAGUUCAAACUUUUUUUAACAUGAAAUAAAUAUUUGAUGCGUAAAUAAAAAAAAUUUAACUGAAAAAAAUUCCCAAGAACUAAAUAGAUCAAACUUUUUGUUUAACAUCAUGGGUUUUGUAUAUUCAAUUGAACCGAACAACUAAAUUAAAUCGAAAUUACCAUGUUCGGUUCAAAUGAAUAGACGAAAACCGAACAGUUUAUAUUUUUAUGAACUGAUGGUGCGUUUACUUCAUGAAAUGAAAAUAUGGUGGAAUGAGAAUGUGUUAAAAUGAAAAUGAGGAAUGAGAAUGAGAUUCUAAUGUUUAUUUAGUAAAAAUAAAGGGAAAUGAGAAUGUGCUGGAAUGUCAUUGAUGUGUUUAUUUGACAAAAUAAAUGACAAAAGUAUCAAUUCGGAUCCUGCUAAUGAUAGUUUGCCAUAUCCUUUGUCAUUGAACUUUCUUACAAAUGCUGUGGUUUGUUGUAGUAUAAUUAGUUCAAUCAGAAACUUCCUUGAUGUUAAUAUAGAUAUGAGUGUGCUGUGAAUAUUGAGGACUUCAUUAGACUAAGUGAUGUGAUGAUGGAGCAUUCACUUGGUCCCAAUGGAGGUUAGUCAGCCCAUUGUUGUUUACUCUUUCUUGCUUUAUCACGCAAUGAUAUUCCUUUGCUUCACAACAAAUUUCAUGAAAUUAACUUCAAUCGAGUGGCUAUGUUCAUACGCUAUUGAGAUUUUAUGGACAAUGAUUUGGUAGACUUUAUAUGCCGUCUUCUUUCUUUUUGCAGUGAUAUGUUUGUAUGCAAUGCACUUGUACUUGUUCUAUGGUUUCUAAAGUAGGCGUUUUUAUGAUAAACUAGGUCUUGGGUAUUGUAUGGACUAUCUAGAGAAGAAUAUUGACUGGUUGCAGUCGAAAUUGGAACCACUUUUGAAAGGUAAGAAGUGGCCAUUUUCCUUCAUUCUAAUGCCAAUAAUGCUGUCAUGAGACUCAUAAAAAUUGUUAAAACGUUAAUGUUUUUGGUAUUUUGCAGAUCAUUAUCUUCUGUUUGAUUUUCCUGGCCAAGUUGAAUUAUUUUUUCUUCAUUCCAAUGCCAAGAAUGUUAUAAUGAGACUCAUAAAGAAGUUAAAUCUCAGGGUAUUGUUACAUCUUACGUCUAUGAAGGGACUCAAAGAGUUGAGAUGAAUUCAUCAUUAUUAUUUUGAUGCCAGAAUUGUGCAAUUCUCAGUUGCUUCCUUUCACAUGCAGUUGACUGCAGUGCAUCUAGUUGAUGCGCAUCUUUGCAGUGACCCCGGGAAGUAUGUUAGUGCUUUGCUUCUCUCGUUGUCGACGAUGCUACAUCUGGAAUUUCCCCCAUGUCAAUGUCUUGUCUAAGAUCGGCCUGAUUGAGAAUUAUGGAAAGCUAGGUGUGGUUUUAAGUGUAGCUCUCCUACUUGUUUGUUUAGAUUGAGAUAUCAGAUAUUGUCACAAGCUCCUAUCUGCUACAUUUCCUCACCAAUCAAUUACUUUGGGUAUGUUGCAGCUUUUAAUCUCGAGUACUAUACGGAUGUGCAAGAUUUGUCAUUUUUACAGCAUGCUCUGGGUCAGGACCCUCGUUCUGCUAAGUAUAGGUUUGAAUUCUAGCUGAAUCAAUGAUGCAAAUUAUGUCCAUUGCUAUUUCUGACUGUCGUUUCUAUCAUUUUCAAUUGUUACCUCCCCUUGCCAUCUACUGCCAUACUGCAAUGCCCACACAAAUGUUAUGAAAUUUGUCAAUGGAAAUGACAUUCUAUUUGUCCAGAGACAGCUCUUAGAUGCAAGUGAACAAUUUUUGGCUUUGGCCGUAGUACAGCCUUAGAUUUCAACUUGCCAUAUCUUGUCUCGGAAGUCAAAAGAAAGCAUAUAUGUUAGCCAAAUUUUAUUUGAAUUUCUUGUGUAACAAUGAAUGGGGAAAAAAAACAGUUCCUCUUUUGUUUUGAUCAGACUCAAUGAAUAAGUGGUUAAAAUGUGCCUGUACUAGAAAUAUAGAUGUGUGGUUUCAUAAAAUUUUCUUGAUCUUAAGAAAGAGUUAUCUUGAAAAGAAGAUAACAUGGGGAAUUGAACAACUAUACAGUCAUAUUGAUGUCUGUCAACUUGGGUCAUAUGGUGUCGUUUGGAUGGAGAUGUUAGGUCCCAGAUGGUAAACUUGUUAUCGAAUUCCAGUCUACUUCAUUCAUGCUUUGAUGACAUAUGUGGUGCAGCUUCUUAUCUAAGACCUGCAUAUGUUACAGUCAACAUUCUGUUCUGUAUUUGGCUGCCAUUCUUUUCAAUGAAUUCAAACCACUUUCUGAAUACUUGGAAAUUCAUCCAGUGUUGUCAUUGAGAUGCCAAUAUGAAAAGAAGCCAUAAUUGCCCUUGAUAGUAUGCUUAUUGAUUGCCUCUUGCCUCACUCAACCUCAGGAAUCUGCUUGUAUGGUGUUCUUCUAAUUUCAAUUGGAGAUAAAUAAUAUCUGUUGUUCAAAUAUAUUUUAUUUACAAGCUGUUAAUAAAUCUGCUUGCAGAAAGCUUACAAAGGAGCUGUGUGAUGUAAUAGAAGUCUACAGUCUGGUCAAUUUUUCAACCUUAGAUAUUCAGGUCACCAGUUUCUCUUGAAUUCUUUCUUGAGUUUCUUUGAAUUAUUUGUGAAUAAGAUCUUAGUUGACUGCUUCUCUUCAGGAUAAGGAAAGUGUGGCAAAACUUGUGAAGCUGAUAGGUAAAAGCAAUGGGUACAUCUUUGCUGGCAUGGAUGCCAGUGCAGUUGAAUUCAGCAAGAUUGCCGUUCGCGAUGUUGAUUGGGAUUAUUUCGGAUAUCCUUCUUUUCACCUAUUUUCAAUCUUGUUAUUCUCAUAUUCAUAAAACUUUUUGGUUAUUUAAUUAUGGUUCAUCAUAUGCAUCUGCAUCUUCUAACUUGUUCGUUUGAGAAACUAAUUUUGCCGUUAGGUAGGCUUCGAGCUUGAUGAGUUGAUUCAUGCUUUUUCAUAAAUGUACCAAAAUCAUGGAAACUUCUUUUUCCCAGAUAUUGUAUCCACACUUUUCCCAUAUAAUUGGGUCAGACAAGUUUUGCUUAACAAAGAUAUCUACAGUAGCCGAAGUGCAGGAGAAGUACAUUAAGGAUGAUGACGAUGUUAACUAAAAUGAGACGUGAAGAUAUGUGGUGUGCAAACCGUAAGCCUGCCUCUUAAUUUUGUGCAUGUUUACUUGCUUGUGAUUCACGUUUGUUAAUCUAUUUUGCUCUCUUGCAGGAGUUAUAAAGUUUUCAAUCAAUCAAACAUUUAACUCAAGUCCUUAGCUCUUCACGGCUUGAAUGGGUCAGAUAGGACAAGCGCCGAAGAGGUGGUUUUAAUCAAACCCCUCCUAAUUAUGAUGUAUGGUCCGAAUCUCGGACUUUUUGUACAAUAUCAAGCGAUUUUUUUUUGGUUGAAUCGGCUAGUGUACGCAAAUGUCGAUUAUUGAUUUUUCUCCAGUAUUGUUUGUAAUUACAAGAAACGAAGUAAUGAAAUUUAUCACUGCGUUCAUAGUUAUGCUUAAGCUCAAAGAUUACCGUCAAGAUCAUUUUGGGCCCUCAAAGAAACAUGAUGUUGACACAUGUAAAAUUAUGAAGCUUGUGAUUAAAAUACUUUUCACAUAUAUAUGUUAAGUUCUAUUAAUAAUUAAAUAUAUGAAUAAAUAUGGUCAAUGAGGAGAGGAUAAAAUAAAAUGGUUUCAUUUUUUGAAUUACCCAUCCGCUUCAAACUUCUAAGAAGUAGAUAUACAAUCAGUGGAAUACUGAAUUGAGUACGAGCUGCGGAUAACUUAUAAAAUUGGGAUACAAGCUUCAAGGAAAGUGUAUUGCUAUUCAAAUGUAGAUUUCAAAUUAAGAAGAUAUGCCAACAAAUUAUUCUAAAUGAUGAAAUGAGCUAUCUUGAUCAAAAGGUCAAGAACCUACCUUACUUCUCUUAGAGAUAACUUGCAUCAACCGUUGUGGUAUUGAUACUUGUCUUCAGCUAGUAAAAGUGAAAGUUUCACAAUUGAAAUAAAGCUAAGGGAAGAUGCUAUGCUCCAUUUAUUAUUAUUAUUAUUAUUGACGUGGUCGAGAAGUAAAGCCGUGCAUAUGAUGAAGUAUAAAUAAGAAUGCAAUAGCCCGGAAUUCAUUUACACAAACACUUCAAUAUCCUUUCGAUCACUUUUGCAAACAUCAAUUUGUCUCCUCUUGUAUUCACCAUGGUUGAUGCCAUCGUUUCCCCUCUCGUGGAGCAGCUGACUUCCUUCGCUGCUAAAGAGAUAAUACAACAGGUGAUCGAAGUUACACCCCCCAUAGUAUAAAUACUUCUAAUGAUUUUAAUUGGUUUUGUUUUUAUCGAAAACAUUAACUUUGCUUUAUUUUACGCAUUUAGGCAUUUUAAAUUUUGAAAUUUGAAUUGAAUUUAAUUAAAAUGUGAUUUAGUUAGUAACCACUUUUUUUUUUCAUUUAUAUUCUCAAUAACUACCCAUAUUUUGGUAACUUACUGUAACCCCCGUAUCUAAGAAAUUAUCAAAACCCACAAUUUUAACUCCACAUAAAUAUUCCAUGUUGAGCUAAGUUCGAUGUUGAGGUAAGUUUUUUGCAUAACAUUCAAAUUUGUCAAAUAGUCAUUAAUUUAAUGUUUAGUAAAAACUCAUCUCUGAAAAAUUUCAUAAUUUUCUUACAUUAUUUGAGUCUGGUAAGUGACUUCAUAUAAUUUCUUUUCAAUUUAAAUUUUAAUUUGGUUUCUGAUAUAGUCUCUUUACUGAAUUUAUAUCUUUUAUGAUUCUUGGAUUUUGGGCUCCAACUUUUUAGGAUUUGAUAGUCACAUUUUAUGGCAUGCUUAGAUUGAUGUUCAUGAUUUUUAGUACUCGUUAAGUGACUGAGAAUUUGACAAAAGUUUGAAAGGAAAUCCGUUUCACGAUUCUUAUGUGGAAGGUUCGUAAAAUCAUGAAAUUUGGAUAGGAUUCAUUAGCAAUAUGUACAAGACUGUCCAUAAAGUUUCAUAAUUUUUCAUUCGGUCGGGGGUGGUACAGGUGAAACUUGUGGUUGGUGUUGAAGAAGAAGUGAAAAGCCUUACCAGCCACCUUCAAGCCAUUCAAGCUGUGCUCAAUGAUGCAGAGGAAAAGCAAGUGAAGGACAAAGCUGUUAGACAUUGGCUGGGUAGGCUCAAGUAUGCAUCCUACGACAUUGAAGAUGUGUUGGAUGAGUGGAUCACAGCUAGACACAAAUUGCAAAUUGAGGGUGGCGUUGAUGACAAUGCUCUUGCUGCUCCUCAAAAGAAAAAGAAGGUAUGUUUCUGCUUUCCUGCCUCUUGUUUUGGAUUCAAACAAGAAGAAUUUGGUUUCAGACAAGUCUUUCUACGUUAUGACAUUGCCAACAAGAUCAAAGAAAUGAAUGAAGAGCUACAUGCUAUUGCUACUCAAAAAGACAUGUUUAAUCUUGUUAAGAGUGGCAAUAAAAGUGGUGAAAGACCAAGGCGUGUACAGAGUACCUCCUUGAUUGAUGAGGAAGAGAUUUGUGGUAGAGUUGGUGAGAAGAAUGAACUCAUAAGCAAGCUGUUGCGUGAGAGUAGCGAGCAACAAAAAGGCCUCCAUAUCAUCUCAAUUGUUGGUAUGGGAGGCAUAGGGAAAACUACUCUUGCACAACAAGCUUGUAAUGAUGACGAGGUGAAGAGAAAGUUUGACAAAAUUAUGUGGGUGUGUGUAUCAGAAACUUUUGAGGAGUUUAGGGUUGCCAAAGCAAUGGUUGAAGCUUUGGAUGGUCGUGAAUCUCAUUUAGGUGAAUUCCAAUCUCUUCUUAAACAUAUUGAUGAAUCCAUUGCAGGGAGGAGCUUUCUUCUUGUCUUGGAUGACGUAUGGGAUGGAAAUUACGUGAGAUGGGAACCAUUCUAUCGUUGUCUAAAGAAUGGUCUCCAUGGAAGUAAAAUUAUAGUUACCACACGUAGUGGGUCCGUUGCAUCCAUGAUGGGAUCCAUAGAUAUUAUUCCCAUUAAGGAAUUAGCUGAAGAGGAAUGUUGGUUGUUGUUUAACAAGAUAGCAUUUUUUGGUAGGCCUAUCGAGGAACGUGAAAAAUUCGAACGAAUUGGGCGAAGAAUUGCAGGCAAGUGCAAAGGUUUACCUCUUGCUGCAAAGAUAUUAGGGAGUCUUAUGCGCUCUAAACAAACUGAAGAAGAGUGGAAAAUAAUUUUAACUAGUGAUUUAUGGAAAGUAGAAGAGAUUGAGAAAGAUGUUUUGUCCUCUUUAUUGUUGAGUUACAAUGAUUUGCCAUCUAGAGUAAAAAGAUGUUUUUCAUAUUGUGCUGUCUUUCCAAAAGACUACAAUAUAAAAAAAGACAAACUAAUUACAUUGUGGAUGGCUCAAGGUUAUCUUAGUGCAGAAGAAGAUGAGGAGAUGGAGACUAUAGGUGAAGAGUAUUUUAGCAUCUUAGCUUCUCGCUCUUUCUUUCAAGAGUUUGAGAAAAGUUAUGAUAAUCGUAUUAUAGAGUGCAAGAUGCAUGAUAUGGUACAUGAUUUUGCCCGAUUUGUAAGUCAAAAUGAAUGUUUUUCGAUGGAAAUUAAUGGUAGUGAGGAACCAAACACCAUAAACUCUCUUGAUGAGAAGGUUCGUCAUUUAAUGUUAAUCUUUAGUAAAGGGGCUUCAUUACCUGUUUCCACUCUUAGAGUUAAAAGAAUGCGUACCCUCUUAAUUAACGAUAGUAGAUCUGAUCAUUCAUUAUUAAAUGGUGAGAUCCUAGAAGAAUUAUUUAGGGAAUUGACAAGUUUAAGGGCAUUAGAUUUUGGCGGAUCGUACACACAUUUUUCUUUGACUCUGGAGAUUCCAAGAAACAUAGAAAAGCUGGUACAUUUAAGAUACCUUAAUUUGUCUUGUCAGAAAAUAGUGGAGCUACCGGAGACAUUGUGCGAGUUAUAUAAUCUACAAAAGUUAGAUAUUAGUGAUUGUUUUAAUCUUAAAGAAUUACCUGAAGGGAUUGGGAAGUUAAUAAACAUGAAGCAUUUACGAAAUAGAAGUACUAGUUCUUUAAGGUACAUGCCAGUAGGGAUUGGGAGAUUAACGGGUCUUAGGACCUUGGGUGAGUUCCACGUGAGUGCAGGAGGAGGUGUUGAUGGUGGGAAAGCAUGUAGGCUUGAAUCUCUUAAAAACUUGGAACACCUUCAAGUAUGUGGUAUACGUAGACUGGGUGAUGUAUCAGAUGUGGGCGAGGCUAAGCGAUUAGAACUUGACAAAAAGAAAUACCUCAUCAGUUUGACCCUUGAGUUUGAAAAGAAGGAGGAAGGAGGAGGAAGGAGGAAGAACGAGGACGAUCAACUUCUUCUUGAAGCCCUACAACCACUUCUCAAUUUAAAGGAAUUAGAGAUACAGUACUACCGAGGCAACACUGUUUUCCCCAGCUGGAUGACGUCAUUAACCAACUUAAAGAGUUUAGAUCUCUCUUUGUGCCUAAAUUGCGAGCAGCUGCCUCCUUUGGGAAAAUUGCCGUCCCUUGAAAAACUCAGCAUAAUGUUUAUGCCUGUGAAAAGAGUGGGUGAUGAAUUUUUGGGGAUAGAAAGUGGUCAUCGUGACUCAUCUUCAUCUUCAUCGGUUAUUAUUGCCUUCCCCAAAUUGAAAUCACUUUCAAUUGAGUCUCUGGACGAAUUGGAGGAGUGGGAUUAUGGGAUUACAAGAACGGGAAACACCGUCAUCAACAUCAUGCCACGUCUUUCUUCAUUGGAAAUUAAUUACUGCCCCAAAUUAAAGGCACUGCCCGACCACAUUCAUCAAACGACAACAUUGAAGGAAUUGCGCAUUUGGGGGUGUGACCUUCUGGAAGAACGUUACCGCAAGGGAGAAGGAGAAGACUGGCCUAAGAUAUCACACAUUCCCAACCUCCAUAUUGGGCUUUGACAAGUAAUUUCUUCUCUUACUCUGAUUUGCUUUGUUGUUGUUUUUAAUCUAAUUAAGAAGCGUAAAUAGCAUUUUGAAUCAAACUCUAUAUCAGAAAUCUGCAAUACUUACUUUCUAAUAUUCUGAUUUUCAUAUCCUAUGAAUAUACGAUUUUUAAUUUGUGAGAUGGGUAACGUUACUGUAAAAGAUUAUUAAUGCAAUAUGAGUAAUUCUUUUGCAGGACAAGUGACCUACAUUUAGUUUGGCUUUGGAGUUGAAUAAUAACCUUUCGGGAACUGGUGUGGACUGGCAAAGGAUGAUGAGAUAGUUUUUUGAGUGAGUAAAUUUUGGGAGCUUGAGUGUAUUGGGAUUUGCAAUUACAAUCAUCCUCUGCUUCAGGUGAUUUCUUCUCUUGCUCUGUCAUUGUUUGUUCUCUAAUUCAAAAGCAUAAAAUAUUUCAAUCAAUUCUUAUACCACGAAUAUGCAAAAGUUUCUAAUAUUUUAUUUCCAUCUGUUACAAGAUCAAACUGAAGCAGAACUCAAACAAAAGUAUGCUACUUCUUGCGGAAAUCUUGCCUUUGUUCAGAUUAUGAAACCAUUUCCAUGCAGCAAAUUCAUCCAAAAGUUUGAAUAAGUUUCAUGGUCGGACACUGUUGGCUUCUUUUUCUUCUGGGGUGCAUUUAGGUGCUAUCAAGUGACAGCUGUAAGUAUGAUUGCACUAAGCUGCUGCUGGGAAAUUUGAGGUUUUGAUGGCUGCCCAUGUUAUUUUCAAGAAACUAUUGAUGUAAGAAGCUGUGGUUCUUUUCAUCAGCUUGAACCUGAAACUGUCGCUAUGGAUAACUCAGGUUUUUGUUAUCAACUAUAUCAUCUUUUUCACUAUUUUGAAACUCUUAAGAUUAAACGUUAGUAAAGUUGUUUCAGCUAUUCAAAUGAAAAACUCAUUGAUUUGAGACUUCCUUCAUUAUUGUUUCUAAUUACAAUGCUAACGAUCCAGAUAAGAUAAUAUUUAAUCGGCGAAGGUGUCCCUUGGAAGUACAUCCUUCUUUUUCUUUUAUUAUAUAAAUUCUUGCAAUGAGCUUAGUGAAGCUGUUGUGCUAAUCAUGCCACUGCAUAAUUUGGCCCCUAAUGUGGGUACUCUGUUACAUUGUUCUGCAAAUUCUCCAGAAGUUAAAAUCAAUAAAUUUUCUAUUAGCUCUAGUGCUUUGACCUAAAUGCUAUUCUAUAUUCUGAUUACAAUGUUUUAACCUUUAAAUUAACUACCCCUAGAUGUUGGAUUUUCUAGAACUUCAAAUUAUAUAUAACCUUUAAAUUAUAUAUUUCUGUGUCUCUAUUUAUAGAUGACAUUUAAGCAUCCAUAAACCGUCAGACAGAGGAAGGGGGUUCAGUGCAAAGAUUCUGUUGACCUAGGGUUGACUGCAUAUGUCACUUGUUCGCAAUCUAAUAUUUAUUUUAUAUUUUGAAAAAUUUAAUGGGUAAUCCUAAUUGUUUGUUUUGGCAGGUAUGUGUUGUUAUCUCCUUCUAUCUUACAGUCGUACCUAAAUAGCAUAGUUUCAUCUGUGUUACCAUGUGAUGUACAUAAUUUCACAUUUGCCUCAGAUUAAGCUUAAUUUCCCACAGAAUAGAGCUGUCGCGACUGGACUUAGUUUGAUGUCCAAAGAGGUAAAUUAUUGGCAUGCCUAGAUAAUUUGGCCAUUUCCUAAUUCAUAAGUCUACAUUAAUUUUGAUUUUGAGUUGACUGAUUUCUUUUCAAGGUCUGCUUCCUUAACGGAGUGACCAAUGUUUUUCAACUAAAUUUAUCAUAUGAUGCAGGAAGCAGGGCAGGAUAUGAAAUGAGAAGCUCAUUGGUGGAAGUAUUGCCAGUAGCAGAACCCAAUGAAAAUGAAACUAUUUCAAGGCAGCAGUUGGCAGUUGCAAGUGAAUGGAGGCCCUUGACAAAAUUCUCAAGCAGUUGCAAUGCAAUUACGAUCAUCCUCAGCCUCAGGUAAUUUCUUCUCCUGCUUUGUUUUUAUUUGUUAUCUAAUUAGGAAGCAUAAAGUAUCUUGAAUCAUUUUCUGUAUCUGGAAUAUAUGCAAGAGUUUCUAAAAUUUUGAUAUGAGUGUAAUGAUGGUAAUUUCUGUUUUCUGUCUGUCAUCAAAUGUUAGAAAACUUUCAUUGAGACCCUUGAACCGAGUCAUUUUUGACAAGUGAAGUGCCGAAGAGUGAAGAGUAAGAAUGGUGCUAGAUUGGGGAAUAAAGCAAAAGGAGGUAAAUUAUUGGCAGCUUCUUCAGCCUUAUUUUCUUUGGACCAGUGCCUAAUUCACAAGUCUCCAUAAUUCGGCUUUUGACCAGUUGAUAGAUAAAAUUUUAAUUUCAUUGGUGCUAAUGUACCCGUGAAGCAGGCAGAGAAGGACUGUGGAAAAGAGAAGGUUUUUAGUGAAAGCUUAAACGCAGGUAAUUCUAUAAAUUAUAUGUUUUUGCUGAUUUAUCUAAAUCAGGAAAUUUUAUUUCCAUCUGUUACAAUAAAACAGAAACAGAACACAAAGAAAAAUAGUCUACCUCUUGUGGCAAUCUUGCCUUCAUUCAGACUAUGAAACCAUUUCCUUUCACCAAUUUCUUCCAAAAGUUUGAACACGUUUCAUGGUUGGACAUAGUUAGCUUCUUUUUCUUUUGGUGCAUUUAGGUGCUAUCAAGUGACAGCCAUAAGUAUGAUUGCAUUAUUGGGAAAUUUUAGGUUUUGAUGGCUCCCCAUGUUAUUGCCAAGAAAUUUUAAGUCCUCAUGUCAGAAGCUGCGUUUCUUUUCAUCAGCCUGAACCCGAACUGAGGUUUUUGUCAUCAACUAUAUCAUCUUUUUCACUGUUUUGAAACUCUUAAGAUUAAACUUCAGUAAAGUUGUUUCAGUUAUCCAUGUAAUCAGGCUAAGGAUAUUUAGCAGCUUAUUUAGGCAACUGCCAGAAUUCAGUUUGUUUGCUCGAAACUUGUAUGGUGACAAGGAUACUGGCAAGGAUAGUGAGAUAGAUUUUUGUGUGAGUGAAUUUUGAAAGCUUGGGUGUUCUGGGAUUUGCAAUUGCAAUCAUCCUCUGCUUUAGGUGAUUUCUUCUCCUGUUCUGUCUUUAUUUUCUCUCUAAUUGAAAGCAUAAAGUAUUUCAAUCAAAUUCUGUACCAGGAAUACGAAAAACUUACUAAUAUUUUAUUUCCAUCUGUUUGCAUUGAUAACUUGGCCGCAUAUGUACUAGUUAAAGAACAAACAGAAGCAGAGUUCAGGAAAAAGUUUCUUCGGCCACCAUAUUUGAAAAUGAAACCAUUUCCAGGAAGCAGUUGGCAGCAAAUUCAUACAAAGUACAGACAAUGAUGAGCAAAAAGGUGAUUCGCAAUUUCAUUUUUUAAAAAUGAAAUUAUUUGUUAAGUUGGAGCUGAUAUUGUUAGAAGGCCAUUGAGCUAACCUAUGACACUACUUGCCUAGAUUGCAGGAGGUCAAGACUCAAAAGAUGCACUGAAUUUUAAAAGGCAUGCAAUAAUUCUUAUGGCCAUUUGUCAAUGGUGGAAUGCUUUUAGCUUCUUUUCCUUUCGUGCAUUUUGGGGUUCUAUCAAGCGACAGCCGUAUGCAUGGAUGGAUAUAGCCGCUGCGUUGAUUUCUAAUGCGUUGUAUGAUGUUAUAGCAACUAUCCAUCUGGUCAAUGUUUCAAAAGAAUAAAACACAGGGAAAAAGAGAAAGCAAGUGGCCAAUCAAGUAUUCAUGUCCCAAAGAAAAGAAUGAUUCGACAAUAGCAUUAAGGGUUAAUUGGACACAAGAGAAGUGUUUUAACCACUUCAAGGAAUGUAAAUGUAAUUUUCUAUUCUGAAGAAAAAGUAAAUAUAUGCACUGUCAAUUAAUCUUUGGUCAACCAGCAACAUUCAUAAUUUCGUGUAAGUUUCAUUUCUGUUUGUUGGAAAUAGCAGUGUAUUUCUUAGAGUUUGUAAAAAAUGGAAAGAUUUUAAAAUAUAAAUUUCACAUCUGUUUAUUACUGUUGUUUGAUCUAUUUUCUUAUGUAGAAUUUUCGGAAUCUGUAGGACAUUAAUUUAUAAUUUUGAGAUUUUGUAGCCAUAAAUGUUUUUGUUCUUUUUUUCUUUUUUUUGUUGGCAUUUUAUUUUGCUCCUUUAUCUAUAUGCAUGUUGACUAAAGCUAAUCUAGAAUCAAUAGAGAGGGAUAUUUAUCUAUUUUGUUUAACAUAAGAGUGCUGUAUAAUUUUUCACUAAAUACACCUACAACAAACUAUUAAUAAUAAAGUGAUAGAAGAAUGCCUAAUUUUUCGUACUUUUUAAUUUCUUUCAGCCCUAAAAUAUAGGUAUUAAUGUCAUAAUAAGCCCAUGUGGAUCUCAGUGCCGCAAGUUCGAUAAAUGGCUAUCAAGGAUUACUUAUUAAGUCAAAAGUAUUCAAAGGACAAAAUGGUAAAACUAUAAGGGUGGAGUAAGAUGGCUACCUUGGGUUACAUAGUAAGUCGACUACAUUCAAAGGAUAAAAUAUUAGAACCUGAACGGCGGAGUAGUCGUCGUUAGAACCUGAACGGCGGAGUAAUCGUCGUUAGAAUCUGAAUGAUAUGUCUAAGACGUUGCAUGCAUCAAGAAAAUUGCAGAUGAUUAAACCUUGCCAUCCAUGCGUUGUAUGAGGUUAUAGCAACUAUCUAUCUGGUCACCGUUUUAAAAGAAUAAGACAAAGGGAAAAAGAGAAAGAAAAGAAUGAUUCGACAAUGGCAUUAAAGUUCAACGUACCCCAAGAUCUUGUAAUAAUGCCAUUAAUCAUUCUCUAGCUAGGCUAGCCUUAGAGAAAAGUGAAACUGUUGCACAGGUAGAAUCACACCCCUCAGAGAUAAUGUAUUUAUUCAGCUCUUCGAAUGAAUGAAGUUUAUUUUCUCGUCAAAAAAAAAAACUGCUCGCUCCGCUGGUUUCAUACAAUGUCAACUAGAAACAUCAUACUUUCGUGUAAGUUCAUUUCAGAAUAUUUCUUAGAGUUUGUAUAAAAUGAAAAGAUUUUAAAAUAUAAAUUUAAUAUUUGUUUAUUACCGUUGUUUGGUCUAAUUUCCUCGGGAGAAUUUUCAGAAUUUAUAGGACAUUAGUUUAUAAUUUUGAAAUUUUGUAACCUAAAUGAUUUUUUUUUCGGUUACCAUUUUGUUUUCCUGCUUUAUCUACGUGUAUGUUGACUAAAACUAAUCUAUUUUGUUAAACCUUUACCACUCUAGACAUUGCACUAAAUAUGAGUUCGUGAUGCUUGCAUUUUAUUGAUGCUGAUGAUUCGUUGAAUGUUUUAUGUUUUUGAUUUUUAAGUAUUCCGGAUCGAAGUUUGUGUCUACGCGGAAAUUGUAAAGGCAGCAUAUAAAGUACUCGUCGUUCUUUAGAUUUUAUUGAGUACACUUUUGUCACAUUUAGCGUAUGCUAUACACUACUGAUUUGCGCAUUGACAUAUAUCUUUUUUUUUUAUGAGAGGGGGCUCGUCAAAACGAGCUAAACAGGAACAAACCGGGGGUUAGAAAUCCCAAACAAGUCUUGCGAAAUGAUAGAAUAAACACCCAUAGGAGGGUUAGAGAACACAUGGAGGCCAAGAGGAGCUGAAUGAGCCAUAUUAGCCAUGAAAUCCGCAGCUGAGUUUGCUUCGCGAUAAAUAUGGGUGAUAGCAGUCUGCCAAUUUCUACUUAGUAAUUCCCGGACAGCUGAUAAUAAAGCAGUGAACGCAUUAGGAACAACCACCUGCUUAGAAAUCAUUUGUGUAAUACAAAUACUAUCCACUUCCACCAACAACCGUUUUAUGCCUACAUCCCAAGCAAGAAUUAGGCCCUGAUACAGCCCCCAAAGCUCAGCCAUAAGCACUGACCUGUCCCCAAUUUUCAUACAAAAGCCGGAUACCCAAUGACCAACUGAGUCUCGAAUAACACCUCCCGCUCCUGCUUCCCAAGUAUUUUUACAGGAGCCAUCUGUAUUUAAUUUACACCAUGGCCAAGGCGACGGCAGCCAAUGAAUAUAAAUCUCCUGUCUCCUCGGCUGCUGGCUUAGGCAAGAAUUAUUUACUCUGCAAAUUUCUUUAGCUCUCGCCAUAACAUCCAUAUAGAUUGUUAGACUAUCCACCAGCUUUCCCUCAAAGAAAAAAUGGUUCCUCCAGAACCAUAGCCUCCAAACUACCACACCAAAGAUACAAUCCCAGGGGAGGGGAGACCCAAUCUUCCAUUUAUUUUGCAGGUUCCCAGCAAUCCAUUCUCGUAAGUUCGAAUUGAAGAAAGUGUUAUGACUGGCCAUCGGAACAAGCUUCCGCCAAACCUGCUUGAUACAGCUGCAGUCUCUCAAUGCAUGGAGGAUAUCUUCAACCGCACCCCCACACCUAUCACAAUCCUCAGGAACAUUAAUAUGGCGCCUAACAAGUUCAUCACGAGUCUUGAGUUUCCCAUGCAUAAGCUGCCAAAGAAAAAGGCGGAUGGAUUGAGGCCCCUUCCAACUCCAUGGAAGCUUCCAAUUUCUGUCAUGAACAGCAGCUUGAUGAUAGCAAAGUGAUUCAUAAGCUGACCGAACCGAAAACAUGCCGCUUGGAUCAAAGCCCCAGUAAAUAAUAUCAGCCCCAAGAUGAGGAGCCGGAGGCAAGACUGAAGCAAUCUGCAUGAGAAUACCAUGCGGCAGAAGAUGCUCAAAGCUCGACCAAUUCCAUCCCCCAUGCCCAUUCGUAAAGUCACUCACAGUGGCAUUGAUAAGCUCGUGAGGAAUCGGCAAGAUGGCAAGGCUGAUCAGAGGAUAUUUCGUAGCCCAACAAUCAACCCAGAAUCGAGUUCUAACACCAUCACGAACUGACCAGCGAGCUCCCUGCACUGUUGCCAACCACGUGCUACGAAUAGCCCUCCAAAUCUGAGAACCCGGUUUGUCUGAAAGAGACAUUGGUAGGUUGCGAGACUCCAAACCAUAUUUGGAGCAGAAGACUUGCACCCACAGUUUAUCCGAAUUGGAAACAACCUCCCAGCUCAAUUUCAUCAACAUCGCCUGAUUCAUUUCGUCCAUUUUUUUGAAUCCCAGGCCUCCAUGUUUUUUCGGCUUGCAAAUUUUGUCCCACCCCACCAUACUCAUCUUGUGACUCUUUGAAUUCCCAUCCCAAAUAAAUCUUCGACAAGCUUUGUCUAUUUUAUGUCUCACUGGAGAAGGAAGUAAGGUCGUUUGCAUGGCAUAAACAGGCAUUGCUUGCAGGACUGAUUGAGCCAGAGUGACGCGUCCAGCAAAAGAUAGAUGAGCCGCGUUCCAACCAGUUAACCGCUUAUCCACUUUAUCAAGGAUGGAUUGAUACGUGUAUUUAUUAACCCGCGAAUGGAUUAAGGGCAUUCCAAGAUAAUCACCCAAAUUAUUUGUGGCCGAAACUCCCAAAGUCGAGCCUAUGAUAUUGGCAUCCCGAGAAGCGACAUUUUUUGAGAAGAAAACUUUAGUUUUCAUUUUGUUGACUUUUGCUUCCGAACUCCUACAAUAAUUAUCCAGAACAGCAUCUACGACAUAAGCUUGAUCAAUUGAAGCUUCCGCAAAUAAAAGCAAAUCAUCUGCAAAAAAGAGAUGCGUUAAAGGAGUUCCAUAUUUGGCCAACCGGAUAAGCCUCCAUCUCCUCUCCAUCACCGCUUGGGUUAUACCAUGGCUUAACCGUUCAAUGCACAGAACAAAAAGAUAAGGCGAGAGGGGAUCGCCCUGACGGAUACCCCUUCCCGGAGUGAAAGCUUAUGUCGCCUCGCCAUUCCACAAAAUACGCAUACUAGCUGAAGUUACGCAUUCCAUGAUUAGUCUAGAUAAGUGAAUUGGAAUACCAGUCUGGUUAAGCGUAUCAAAAAUGAAAUCCCAACUGAGCCGGUCAUAAGCCUUCUCAAGGUCGACCUUAAUGGCCAUAAAUCCUUUCCUGCCAGUUUUUCUGCGCAUAGAGUGAACUACUUCCUGAGCCACUACAAUAUUAUCUACUAUAUGCCUCCCAGGAACAAAGCUCGUCUGAUUGGGGCUUAUUAGAUUGGGCAGCAGUGUUUGCAAUCGAGUGGCUAUAAUUUUAGUCACCGUCUUGUAGGCCACUGUGUAUAGGCUUAUGGGCCUAAACAUCUUUAAGCUAGUGGGGUGCUCCUCUUUAGGAAUCAAAACCAAGAGGGUAGUAUUUAUCUCUUGCGGCACCUUCCCCGUUGUAAAAAUAUCAUGAAUAAACCUGCAAAACGACGGACCAACCACAUGCCAUUGGGAUUGAUAAAAUAUAGCGUGCAAACCAUCCGUACCUGGGGCUUUCAGCGGCUUCAUGCUAAACACAACGUUCCGAAUUUCCUCCCUCAAAAUUGGGGCUGCAGCCCCAUCUACGUCAUGAGAAUCCAAGGCUGGGAAAAAGUUUGGAGCAUGGUAAUUCCGAUAAGUUGCAUUAUCACUUGUAAAUAGGUCAGAAAAAUACCCCACUACAUGCCUCCUUAUAUCCUCCUCAUCAUAUAGCCAAUUCCCCGAACAGUCUCGGAUGGCCUCAAUUCUAUUCCGCCGCCUUCGAGCAAUGGUUUUUUGGUGGAAAAAAUUCGUAUUUCUGUCCCCAUGCAGAAGCCAAUCCUUUCGAGAUUUCUGAAGCCAAAGAAUUUCCUCCGAUUCAUCACCAUUUCGAGCUCAUUUUGCAUGCGGGCUUAUAAGCGCAACAAACUGUUAGAGCUAUAAUUCUCUAGAGUAGCUUGAAUUCCAUUAAUCCGAGCCAUAAGCCGGCGUUUUCUCUGAAAGAUAUUCCCAAACACAUCUCGAUUCCAAGCUUGAACCUCCUGGACAAAAUGAGAGGCUGCUGCACUAUAAUGGAUUUGCGGAUUCCACACCCGCUUAAUAAAGUUAUGAAAAUGCUCGUGAGUUAACCAAGCAGCCAAAAAGCGGAAAGGCCUGUUCCUCCUGUGACCGGCCACAGCUCUCUCAAACCGAACCAGCACCGGCCUGUGAUCCGAGGCAACCUUCGGGAGGUGGAGGACAGAAUUAUUCGGAUACUUAUGUAGCCAAUCACUAUUGCACAGAGCUCUAUCAAGCCGUUUAAAGAGCAAUCCACGUGACCAAGUAAACCUUGGACCUUUAAACUUUAAAUCAAAAAUUUGGUGCCCAUCAAACCAUUUCCGAAACAGAUUACACACUCCUGGGUUCCUGGCCUCACCCCCCUGCUUUUCAGAGGCAUAUAAGAUAGAAUUGAAAUCCCCACCUAUCAGCCAAGGGCCUCGAAUUGAAGGCGCAAGGUUCUCCAUAUGGCUCCACAACUGUCUCCUUAGCAUUGGAUUUGGGCUGGCAUACACAGCCGUUACCCAAGACACAAAGGUCUUAUUCAUACAAAAUUUAAAGUGAAUGAACUGCCUAUGAUUAAUUAAGACUUCCACCUCUAUGGAAUUUCGCCAAAGAAGCCAAAUUCCUCCAGAAAAACCCACAGCUUCCACCCGGUGCGAAUACUCAAAUCCACUUUUCUUUAUAAAGUCAUCGGCUUUAGCACCACUAGUGCGAGGUUCCAUUAACACCACCAUCGAUGGAUUGUAGUUUUUAAUAAUUGUUUUAAACGAGCGCCUAAAUACCCCCGAGGCUGCCCCUUGUACAUUCCAGAACAUGAUACUAGCUGACAUAAUAAAAAUAACAGGAGAGAAACAAACGUCUACUGCUGCUGUCCAAGGACUUCCUCCAUCCACGCCAAUGGCGUUUCUUGAACCAUCUCAACUUCAUUCUCAACCAUCCCAUCGCCAUCAACACCAUUUAUAGGUACAACUGGAUGGUUAUGAGCACUGUCACCUUCAUUCACCCGAUGGAUGGUUUGAUCAUCUGGAGGGUCUGCUACUUGUUGUGGAUCCGGACCUUGCCUCUCUAUGUGUUCCGCGGUCACGUCCCUUUCAUCACCAUUAGGAAGGGUUUGGGAGGAGCAAACAAACACUGUGUGUUUAGAGGGGUCCAGGGUGGUUGCGAAUGGUGCCACGAGUUGAUUGCUAGAAGCUUUCUGAGGGAAAAUAUGGGGUUCAAAGCUUCGGUUUGCAUGAGGUAGGAUGGAUAUUUCCUUCUCUCUGGUGCUGAAGACACUAGGCUGGAGAGGGUUACAGGUAGGAGUUACUGGGACGUUUGGUUUCCUGCUCUGAUUCCUUGCUGCCACGGCCUUAUUUUGCGGCUUACGACGAGCCAUAGUCUUUGCUGAGGUAUCUGCUCUGGCUGUGAAAGUAUGGUUUGAUGCGGGCAUGAAAGGUUGCCGUGAGGUGGAAGGGAAGUCUGGGCAAGCCUCAUGCACAUGGUUUCCACCUUCAUCCGAGACUUUGGAUAAUAUGUGAAACCGUGAGGUACCAGCUCCAGUAAACUCCCUAUUACGGUUUGAGUCUCCAGUGUUCUCCUUACCAAUAUUCGGCUUCCUUCCUCUCCUAGUGGCAAUCAUCCAGGGUCCGAAUAGUUCCACAUUAUUAUCACCAUUACUACCUACAGCCUGCUGGCCAGGAGCCUCAUUUUCCGGCACUGCCUGUUGGGGUUGACCAGCAUCUUCAGGGCUUGUCGAACUCUUAGCAUCCUUACAGUUGCUGCUACUAUGCCCGUAAGAUUCCACACUUAUAACAAAUUACUGGCAAUCCCUCGUAUUCCACCUUCUGGAUCUUCCCAUCCAAUUCAAACUGAGAUACCAGCGGCCUUGUUAACGAGAUACUUACUGCAAGACGUGCAAAUCUUCCACGAGAUGAGGAGGCUGUAUUCGAAUCGAUUUUAAUCACGUUACCCACUAACUGACCCAGCUUCUGUAGAACUUUUCGAUUAUAAAGAUGAACCGCAAGGCCUGGUAAACAGAUCCAUACCGUGACUUGAUCAAGAUCCGCAUUUGUGAAAUCAAAAGAGGGUGUCCAUGGCUGCACAGUUAAAUAUUGACCCAUUAUAAGCCACGGUCCCUUAGUUAAAACAUCCAUAGCAUCCCCUACCGAUCUGAAACGAACCAGAUAAUAAUUGUUUUCCAAGUCAAUCACGGAAAAACCCAUGGCUGAUUUCCACAUGACAUUUAAUCUUGCACACAUAGCUCUAUAGCCAAUUGUGCGGCCAAGCAACUUCACAACCACCGAGUUCUUCCAAGGCUCACUUAACUUAGCAUGAACCCUAGCCGAAAAAGUGAUGGAUGGCAUGGGUCCCUCGUUAGUUUCAAUAAUGUCUCCUUCCUCAAAAUCCCAGUCCUCUAGUCCACCUCCAAUUCCUUGCUCCAUCGCUUGUGUUGCAUUCACUAGGGUUUCUUUGUACGAAAACUGUACAGUGGUAUCCCCAGCAUGUUCUUCAUCACGAAAUCUUGCUUUUUUAAUCGUUCUAGCCUCCCUAAACGGCGGGGGAAAAAUCCCUCCGGAGUUAGGGUUUCCUUCACGUCCGAGGUUUUCGGAGCCUUCCAUAUGGUGUUGAUCUUUUUAAGUCACUCGUUUCAAUAUUUCAUUUAUUUCCUUUUCAAGCUAACAAUUAAUGUAUAUGAAUGUGCGGAUGCAUUGACAUAUAUCUUAUUUUAUCAUUUUGAAUGAAUUGCACGGCGAGGCUUAUCAACUUUGGAUGAAUCCUCCAAUUGUCGCAGUCCAAGACUGGCUGCAGUGAGUGAAAAUUUACCCAUAUAUAUGCUGGCUAUUUUUAUUGGCGACGAAUUCGUUGUAGUUGGUCCAUCUUGCUAUUCUCGGACAAUAUUAGAGAAAAUAAUCAUAUUAUUUCGCGUGAUGUGACCUUCCAUAACGUAUCAAUUGAAUUACUGUAAAAUUAUUGUGUAAGUUUAGGCCCAAUGGCACUUUAGUUCAUCACAUGAUAGCCUGGAUUUAAAAGGAAAACUAUAUUGCAUUGCUUCAAAAAAAAAAUUUAAUGUUUUUAAUAUGAAUAUUUUUAACUAUAUUCAGUUAAAAUAAUAUAUUCUUAAUAUUAAUAUUCAUAGAUGAAAUUCUUUUGCGGAUUUAAGAAUAAAAUAUCAAAUAGUUUUAUUUUUCUUUUGUUGUGUAACUUGGACCGAAAAAGAAAAUGAGCUUAACAUGACCCUCCUUCCGGCACUAUGCAUGUUUUUCUUUUAUUUUUCUUGUAUUGAUGACAGUGCUCUUGGUGCUUCUCAUCUGCUUCUUGCUUUGGUUUCAAACAAGUCUUUCUCCGUCGAGACAUUUAUUGUAAUUUGAUUUGGAGACAUCUGUCGUUCAAAUAUAUUUCAUAUGCAAGCUGUUGAUAAUUCUGCUUGAGAAAGCCUUCAAAGCAGCUGUGUGAUGUAAUAGAAGACUAUAUAUGCAAGCGGGUACCGAGCUCGAAUUCUUUCUUGAGUUUCUUUGAAUUAUUUGUGAAUGAGUUCUUAAUCGGCUGCUGCUCUUCAGGAAAAGGAAAGUGUUGCAAACUGGUGAAGCUGAUCGAUAAAAGCAAUGUACCAUCUUUGCUGCCAUGGAUCGAUGCCAGUGAGUUUUUUAAUUUGUCAACCUUUUUAAUAAUGCAUAUGUGUUUCUUCAACUUGAAGCGGCAUUUAAGACGAAAGAAGUGAUCUUUAAAGCAUUCUAUAGCAUUAUCCUUUCCUAUUAUAUAUAUCCAAUUGCUCCAAAUUAUUUGUAAAUUACUGAACACGAAUGCUGAUGAAUAAACUGAUGGCUCUAUGUAUGUAUGCACAUGCAUGGAGAAAUUUUAAGUCAGACAUUCCCAUAUAUAACUCGUGCUACCAAAUCAUUAAAUAAUCUUGAAAUCAAAGUAAUAAUUAAAUACAAAUAAAUUGCUCGAAUUGUACAUAUAUCUGAAUCAUGUAGUGAAGAAAAUACAACAACAACAACCAAUGGCUCAAAUUCCCCAUCAACUUCUAAUCUCAACACUUUUGAGUGUCAGAAGCAUUACUCUGCUACCAGUUAACAAACAUAUAAUUAGUAAUUUGCCAUUCACUUCCCUUUUAGGCCUAACACAUUUUCUAUAAAGGAGCCACAGAGUGAACUCAGCAGGAAACACUCAAUUUCAACCUACGUAGGACCAGGAAUUUCAACCAAAAAAAAAGUGUGCAAUUGCUUAUCCUAUCCUAUUGCUACUAGAAAGAAAGUGAACAAUUAAUUUCAGUGAAUAAAUUAAAAAAAAUUACUUCUGCAGAUACUCAAGCUAAGAACACAUUAACCCAUUAAAGACUCCAAAUUGCAUCAAACAAAUUGUUGUUAAACAAGUAAAACAAAGAAAGAGAGUUAAGGAAGCUGACCUAGUAGUAGGGGAGCUGAAGAAAGACUGCCAGUGAAUGUAAGAGAAAAUAAAAUGCAAUAAAUGGUGAAGUGCAGCUUUUCAUGUCAACUUGAAAUUGUUUCUUCUGUUUUUUUUUUUUUUAAUCUUUUGGAUUUUUAAAACAAAGAAAAUGAGGAGCAACCAGGGAGAUAAAAAGGGCGCCAAGGCAACUGUGUGUUGGGUUUAGAGCCCAAAAAAAAAGGAGGAUAAGACAUCGUGUUCUUGUGGAGACCAGACCUAUUACGUAACGUCCCCUUCAAUACCACUUGUUCCGUAUCUGGUUUUUUCUUCGUCUUUUACAUAUUUAUCCUGUGAUUUUACAAUAACUAAAUAAUCCCCGCAUAGUUUGCAAUUUUAUUCAUUUGAGCCCUACAGAUUUCAGUAAUAGGUAGAGUUGGCAAAACGGGUCAUCGGGUCGUGUUCGUGUCAUGUCAAAUUUAAGUCGACCCAAACCCGACCCAUUUAAUAAUCGUGUCAAAAUAUUGAGACCUAAAUCCGACACGGAAAAAUAAUCGGGUUACCCAAUAACUCGUUUAAUAUCAAUAUAUUGAACAAAAGUUACAUCAAAUAUUUACACACUAUCAUACAUACAUACAUAAUUUAUCGAUAUUAUAAAAUAUAUAUAUCUACUAAUAUAUUACACAUUUACACUAUUGAGGUUUUAAUUAUAUAUAUAUAUAUAUAUAUACCUACGAUGAUUGUUUAAGCCGCGGUAAACGCUUCUAGAACGCCCUCUGGCAGGAAGGAAGGUACUCAAAGAAAGUGGAGAUGAGGGAAACUCCGCUGGAGUGAGGGGAUUUAUCGGAAUCUCGUUCAGAGUGAGGAGUCAAUGAGGGUUUGCUUGUACUUGUGGUUCUAUUGAUAGGUGUUUGCAAUGGGCUUUCGUCUCAGGUAGUUCAGUCUCCGGGGUUACGCUUAGUUUCAUAUAAAAUAAAUGAAGAAGACAGCUGGACUUCAGAGUGGGAUCCUCCUAUGUUGUCGGCUGUUUGUUUGUCCGCAGCUAUUACAGCUUGUGCUCGAAUAUAUAUGUAUCCAUAUAUUUCCAGAUAUUAUAUAUCAAUAUAUAUAUAUAUUAUUUAUCAAUAUUAUAAAAUCUACAUAUCUAUCAAUUUUUUCACAUUUACACUAUUGAAGCUCUAAAUGUAUUUAAAAUUUUAUAAAUAAAAUAUUAUGUUUAUAUUCACCCUUUUAAAGAAUAAAAAAGAAAAUCAUUACUAAUAUUUGAGUUUUAAUGAUAAGAAUAUGUAAAUUAUUUUAAAAUAGAAAAUAUAAUCGGGUCAUUGAUCGGGUAAAUGGGUCAAGAAUUUUAACUCUAACCCGACACGGAAAAAAAUCGUGUUGACCCGGACCCGACCCAUUUAAUAAUCGUGUUAAAUUUGACGACCCAUAUUCAUUUAUUUAUGUCGUGUUCGUGUCGAGUAAUCGGGUCGUGUCAAAUUUUGCCAGCUCUAGUAAUAGGAAUUAUUAAGGGACAAGAGCGCAAAACAAAAACUCUGUCCACUACUGAUGAUAUAACAACGAACCUUUGUUUUUUUCUUCUUUUUUUUUUACAAAAUAUCAUUAGAGAAAUGAAAAUAUUAACUAACAUCACCCUACUGAUGAUAUAACAACGAACCUUUGUAGUUUCUGCCUGUUAAUAUGAAUUGAUCAGGAGUGUUUCCUCACUUAAAAAUUACGAAUUUACAAAUAUGUAUGUAAGUAUGUAUGUAUGUACGUACGUACGUGAGUAUGUAUGUACAUAUAUGCAUACACCUAUGUAACAUUUACUUAUCCAUCCUUUUGAGUUUAAAACUUAAUACACAUUUUCAUGAAAUUUUUAUUUUAUUAAGUAUACAACUACAGUAAUGUAUAUAUUUUUUAUAUAAGACAUGCCGUCAUAUUAUUCAUAAGUAAAACAAUGUGUUGUAAAUAGUUUAAUUAUUAAAUAUCAUACAAUAUCUUUCAACAACCGGCAAUAGACCUUUACCCAUUUUUCUUUUUCGACCAUUAGAUUCAUUCAGUUUACAUCCAACGGCAGUUUAGGAUGGAGACAAAAAGUGUGGUACGUUACCACAGUGGUAACAUUGGAUUGGGAUUGUAUGUCGUGUUUAAUUUGAAUUGGUUGAUUCCUCUAAUGAAUUAUUUUGAUAAAUUUAGUAGCAGUAUUUGGCGGCAAAAGUAUCAUUAAUUUUUGGAAAUAUGAUUAUGUUAUUAAUUAUUUUAGCAUUCUAAAAAGUCAAUGGUUAUGUUGGAAAUACUCUAAGGUAGAAUAGAGUACAAAUCACAGUCACACAUACAAAAUGAUAAAUAAUAAAAAAUAUAUUAUAUUUUUGAUCAUAUGAUUAUGAAGACGUAUUUUACCUUAAAGAAGUUCUAAUAAGCGAAUUCUUCUAAAACAAUAUAAAAUUUCUUUUUUAUCAUACUCAACCGCUUCAAACUUCUAAGAAGUAGAUAUACAAUGAGUGGAAUACUGAAUUGAGUGCGAGCUGCGGAUAAUAUAUAAAAUUGGGAUACAAGCUUCAAGGAAAGUGUAUUGCUAUUCAAAUGUAGAUUUCAAAUUAAGAAGAUAUGCCAGCAAAUUGUAUAAAAAUGUAUAAAUUGAUCAGUAACAUUAAUUCCAAAUGAUGAAAUGAGUUAUCUUGAUCAAAAGGUCAAGAACCUACCUUACUUCUCUUAGAGAUAACUUGCAUCAACCGUUGUGGUAUUGAUACUUGUCUUCAGCUAGUAAAAGACUAAAAGUGAAAGUUUCACAAUUGAAAUAAAGCUAAGGGAAGAUGCUAUGCUCCAUUUAUUAUUAUUAUUAUUGAUGUGGUCGAGAAGUAAAGCCAUGCAUAUGAUGAAGUAUAAAUAAGAAUGCAAUAGCCCGGAAUUCAUUUACACAAACACUUCAAUAUCCUUUUGAUCACUUUUGCAAACAUCAGUUUGUCUCUUGUAUUCACCAUGGUUGAUGCCAUCGUUUCCUCUCUUGUGGAGCAGCUGACUUCCUUCGCUGCUAAAGAGAUAAUACAACAGGUGAUCGAAGUUACACCCCCCAUAUUAUAAAUACUUCUAAUGAUUUUAAUUGGUUUUGUUUUUAUCGGAAACAUUAACUUUGCUUUAUUUUAUUUAUUUAGGCAUUUUAAAUUUUAAAAUUUGAAUUGAAUUCAAUUAAAAUGUGAUGUAGCUAGUAACCACUUUUUUUAUUUCAUUUAUAUUCUCAAUAACUACCCAUAUUUUGGUAACUUACUGUAACCCCCGUAUCUAAGAAAUGAUUAAAACCCACAAUUUUAACUCCACAUAAAUAUUCCAUGUUGAGCUAAGUUUUUGCAUAACAUUCAAGUUUGUUAAAUAGUCAUUAAUUUAAUGUUUAGUAAAAACUUAUCUCUGAAAAUUUUCAUAAUUUUCUUACAUUCUUUGAGUUUGGUGAGUGACUUCAUAUAAUUUCUUUUCAAUUUAAAUUUUAAUUUGGUUUCUGAUAUAGUCUCUUUACUGAAUUUAUAUCUUUUAUGAUUCUUGGAUUUUGGGCUCCAACUUUUUAGGAUUUGAUAGUCACAUUUUAUGGCAUGCUUAGAUUGAUUUUCAUGAUUUGAGUACUCGUUAAGUGACUGAGAAUUUGACAAAAGUUUGAAAGGAAAUCCGUUUCACGAUUCUUAUGUGGAAGGUUCGUAAAAUCAUGAAAUUUGGAUAGGAUUCGCUAGCAAUAUGUACAAGACUCUUCAUGAAGUUUCAUAAUUUUUCGUUCGGUCUGGGGUGGUACAGGUGAAACUUGUGGUUGGUGUUAAAGAAGAAGUGAAAAGCCUUAUCAGCCACCUUCAAGCCAUUCAAGCUGUGCUCGAUGAUGCAGAGGAAAAGCAAGUGAAGGACAAAGCUGUUAGACAUUGGCUGGGCAGGCUCAAGUAUGCAUCCUACGACAUUGAAGAUGUGUUGGAUGAGUGGAUCACAGCUAGACACAAAUUGCAAAUUGAGGGUGGCGUUGAUGACAAUGCUCUUGCUGCUCCUCAAAAGAAAAAGAAGGUAUGUUUCUGCUUUCCUGCCUCUUGUUUUGGAUUCAAACAAGAAGAAUUUGGUUUCAGACAAGUCUUUCUACGUUAUGACAUUGCCAACAAGAUCAAAGAAAUGAAUAAAGAGCUACAUGAUAUUGCCACUCAAAAAGACAUGUUUAAUCUUGUUAAGAGUGGCAAUAAAAGUGGUGAAAGACCAAGGCGUGUACAGAGUACCUCCUUGAUUGAUGAGGAAGAGAUUUGUGGUAGAGUUGGUGAGAAGAAUGAACUCAUAAGCAAGCUGUUGCGUGAGAGUAGCGAGCAACAAAAAGGCCUCCAUAUGAUCUCAAUUGUUGGUAUGGGAGGCAUAGGGAAAACUACUCUUGCACAACUAGCUUGUAAUGAUGACGUGGUGAAGAGAAAGUUCGACAAAAUUCUGUGGGUGUGUGUAUCAGAAACUUUUGAGGAGUUUAGGGUUGCCAAAGCAAUCGUUGAAGCUUUGGAUGGUCGUGAAUCUCAUUUAGGUGAAUUCCAAUCUCUUCUUAAACAUAUUGAUGAAUCCAUUGCAGGGAAGAGCUUUCUUCUUGUCUUAGAUGACGUGUGGGAUGGAAAUUACUUGAAAUGGGAACCAUUCUAUCGUUGUCUAAAGAAUGGUCUCCAUGGAAGUAAAAUUUUAGUUACCACACGUAGUGGGUCCGUUGCAUCCACGAUGGGAUCCAUAGAUAUUAUUCCCAUUGAGAAAUUAGCUGAAGAGGAAUGUUGGUUGUUGUUUAACAAGAUAGCAUUUUUUGGUAGGCCUAUCGAGGAACGUGAAAAAUUCGAACGAAUUGGGCGAAGAAUUGCUGGCAAGUGCAAAGGUUUACCUCUUGCAACAAAGACAAUAGGUAGUCUCAUGCGUUCUAAACAAACUGAAGAAGAGUGGAAAAGAAUUUUAAAUAGUGAUUUAUGGAAAGUAGAAGAGAUUGAGAAAGAUGUUUUGUCCUCUUUAUUGUUGAGUUACAAUGAUUUGCCAUCUAGAGUAAAAAGAUGUUUUUCAUAUUGUGCUCUCUUUCCAAAAGACUACGAUAUAGAAAAAGACAAACUAAUCACAUUGUGGAUGGCUCAAGGUUAUCUUAGUGCAGAAGAAGAUGAGGAGAUGGAGACUAUAGGUGAAGAGUAUUUUAGCAUCUUAGCUUCUCGCUCUUUCUUUCAAGAGUUUAAGAAAAGUUAUGAUAAUCGGAUUAUAGAGUGUAAGAUGCAUGAUAUGGUACAUGAUUUUGCCCGAUUUGUAAGUCAAAAUGAAUGUUUUUCGAUGGCAAUUAAUGGUAGUGAAGAACCAAACGCCACAAACUCUGUUGAUGAGAAGGUCCGUCAUUUAAUGUUAAUCUUUAGUAUAGAGGCUUCAUUACCUGUUUCCACUCCUAGAGUUAAAAGAAUGCGUACCCUCUUAAUUAACGAUAGUAGAUCUGAUCAAUCAUUAUUAAAUGGUGAGAUCCUAGAAGAAUUGUUUAGGGAAUUGACAAGUUUAAGGGCAUUAGAUUUUGACAAAUUGUACCACUCAAUUUGGUCUUCGACUCUGGAGAUUCCGAGAAACAUAGAAAAGCUGGUACAUUUAAGAUACCUUAAUUUGUCUUCUCAGAAAAUAGUGGAGCUACCGGAGACAUUGUGCGAGUUAUAUAAUCUAGAAAAGUUAGAUAUUAGUUUUUGUUUUGAUCUUAGAGAAUUACCUGAAGGGAUUGGGAAGUUAAUAAACAUGAAGCAUUUACUAAAUUAUGAUACUGAUUCUUUAAGGUACAUGCCAGUAGGGAUUGGGAGAUUAACGGGUCUUAGGACCUUGGAUGAGUUCCACGUGAGUGCAGGAGGAGCUGUUGAUGGUAGGAAAGCAUGUAGGCUUGAAUCUCUUAAAAACUUGGAACACCUUCAAGUAUGUGGUAUACGUAGACUGGGUGAUGUAUCAGAUGUGGGCGAGGCUAAGCGAUUAGAACUUGACAAAAAGAAAUACCUCUUCAGUUUGACCCUUGAGUUUGAUAAGAAGGAGGAAGAAGAAGGAGAAAGAAGGAAGAACGAGGACGAUCAACUUCUUCUUGAAGCCCUGCGACCACCUCUGGAUUUAAAGGAAUUAGAGAUACGGUUCUACCGAGGCAACACUGUUUUCCCCAGCUGGAUGACGUCAUUAACCAACUUAAAGAGUUUAAAACUCUCUUUCUGCGAAAAUUGCGAGCAGCUGCCUCCUUUGGGAAAAUUGCCGUCCCUUGAACAGCUCUUCAUAUCGUACAUGUCGAGUGUGAAAAGAGUGGGUGAUGAAUUUUUGGGGAUAGAAAGUGAUCAUCAUGGCUCAUCUUCAUCUUCAUCGGUUAUUAUUGCCUUCCCCAAAUUGAAAUCACUUUCAAUUGAGUUUCUGUGCGAAUUGGAGGAGUGGGAUUAUGGGAUUACAAGAACGGGAAACACCGUCAUCAACAUCAUGCCACGUCUUUCUUCCUUGACAAUUGCUCUUUGCCCCAAAUUAAAGGCACUGCCCGACCACAUUCAUCAAACGACAACAUUGAAGGAAUUGCACAUUUGGGAUUGCAGGCUUCUGGAAGAACGUUAUUGCAAGGGGGAAGGAGAAGACUGGCCUAAGAUAUCACACAUUCCCAACCUCCAUAUUGGGCAUUGACAAGUAAUUUCUUCUCUUACUCUGAUUUGCUUUGUUGUUGUUUUUAAUCUAAUUAAGAAGCGUAAAUAGCAUUUUGAAUCAAACUCUAUAUCAGAAAUCUGCAAUACUUACUUUCUAAUAUUCUGAUUUUCAUAUCCUAUGAAUAUACGAUUUUUAAUUUGUGAGAUGGGUAACGUUACUGUAAAAGAUUAUUAAUGCAAUAUGAGUAAUUCUUUUGCAGGACAAGUGACCUACAUUUAGUUUGGCUUUGGAGUUGAAUAAUAACCUUUCGGGAACUGGUGUGGACUGGCAAAGGAUGAUGAGAUAGUUUUUUGAGUGAGUAAAUUUUGGGAGCUUGAGUGUAUUGGGAUUUGCAAUUACAAUCAUCGUCUGCCUCAGGUGAUUUCUUCUCCUGCUCUGUCAUUGUUUGUUCUCUAAUUCAAAAGCAUAAAAUAUUUCAAUCAAUUUUUAUGCCAGGAAUAUGCAAAAGUUUCUAAUAUUUUAUUUCCAUCUGUCACAAGAUCAAACUGAAGCAGAACUCAAACAAAAGUAUGCUACUUCUUGCGGAAAUCUUGCCUUCGUUCAAAUUAUGAAACCAUUUCCAUGCAGCAAAUUCAUCCAAAAGUUUGAAUAAGUUUCAUGGUUGGACACUGUUGGCUUCUUUUUCUUCUGGGGUGCAUUUAGGUGCUAUCAAGUGACAGCUGUAAGUAUGAUUGCACUAAGCUGCUGCUGGGAAAUUUGAGGUUUUGAUGGCUGCCCAUGUUAUUUUCAAGAAACUAUUGAUGUAAGAAGCCGUGGUUCUUUUCAUCAGCUUGAACCUGAAACUGUCGCUAUGGAUAACUCAGGUUUUUGUUAUCAACUAUAUCAUCUUUUUCACUAUUUUGAAACUCUUAAGAUUAAACGUUAGUAAAGUUGUUUCAGCUAUUCAAAUGAAAAACUCAUUGAUUUGAGACUUCCUUCAUUAUUGUUUCUAAUUACAAUGCUAACGAUCCAGAUAAAAUAAUAUUUAAUCGGCGAAGGUGUCCCUUGGAAGUACAUCCUUCUUUUUCUUUUAUUAUAUAAAUUCUUGCAAUGAGCUUAGUCAAGAUGUUGUGCUAAUCAUGCCACUGCAUAUAAAUUCUCCAGAAGUUAAAAUCAAUAAAUUUUCUAUUAGCUCUAGUGCUUUGACCUAAAUGCUAUUCUAUAUUCUGAUUACAAUGUUUUAACCUUUAAAUUAACUACCCCUAGGUGUUGGAUUUUCUAGAACUUCAAAAUGAUUAAUGGAGAAAGAUCCCAUUAUCGUUAUUGCUAUAAGAAAUUGAUUUAUGCAUCCAAAGAUACAUUAUAUAUUUCUGUGUCUCUAUUUAUAGAUGACAUUUAAGCAUCCAUAAACCGUCAGACAGAGGAAGGGGGUUCAGUGCAAAGAUUCUGUUGACCUAGGGUUGACUGCAUAAUGUCACUUGUUCGCAAUCUAUUAUUUAUUUUAUAUUUUGAAGAAUUUAAUGGGUAAUCCUAAUUGUUUGUUUUGGCAGGUAUGUGUUGUUUUCUCCUUCUAUCUAACAGUCGUACCUAAAUAGCAUAGUUUCAUCUGUGUUACCAUGUGAUGUACAUAAUUUCACAUUUGCCUCAGAUUAAGCUUAAUUUCCCACAGAAUAGAGCUGUCGCGACUGGACUUAGGUUGAUGUCCAAAGAGGUAAAUUAUUGGCAUGCCUAGAUAAUUUGGCCAUUUCCUAAUUCAUAAGUCUACAUUAAUUUUGAUUUUGAGUUGACUGAUUUCUUUUCAAGGUCUGCUUCCUUAACGGAGUGACCAAUGUUUUUCAACUAAAUUUAUCAUAUGAUGCAGGAAGCAGGGCAGGAUAUGAAAUGAGAAGCUCAUUGGUGGAAGUAUUGCCAGUAACAGAACCCAAAGAAAAUGAAACUAUUUCAAGGCAGCAGUUGGCAGUUGCAAGUGAAUGGAGGCCCUGACAAAAUUCUCAAGCGGUUGCAAUGCAAUUACGAUCAUCCUCAGCCUCAGGUAAUUUCUUCUCCUGCUCUGUUUUUAUUUGUUAUCUAAUUAAAAAGCAUAAAGUAUCUUGAAUCACUUUCUCUAUCUGGAAUAUAUGCAGCAGUUUCUAAAAUCUUCAUAUGAGUGUAAUGAUGGUAAUUUCUGUUUUUUGUCUGUCAUUGAAUGUUAGACAACUUUCAGUGAGACUCUUGAACCGAGACAUUUUUGACAACUGAAGGACAAUUGCUGAAGAGUCGGAAUGGUGCUAGAUUGGGGAAUAAAGACAAAGGAGGUAAAUUAUUUGCAGUUUAUUCAGCAUUAUUUGCUUUGGACCAGCGCCUGAUUCACAAGUCUCCAUAAUUUGGCUUUUGACCAGUUAAUAAAUUUUUAAUUCCAUUGGUGCUAAAUGUACACGUGAAGCAGGCAGAGCAGGACUGUGGAAAUGAGAAGGUUUUUAGUGAAAGCUUAAACUCAGGUAAUUCUAAAAAGUACAUGUUUUUGCUGAUUUAUCUAAAUCAGGAAAUUUUAUUUCCAUCUGUUACAAGAUAAAACAGAAACAGAACACAAAGAAAAAUAUUCUACUUCUUGUGGCAAUCUUGCCUUCAUUCAGACAAUGAAACCAUUUCCUUUCACCAAUUUCUUCCAAAAGUUUGAAUAAGUUUCAUGGGUGGACCUAGUUAGCUUCUUUUUCUUUUGGUGCAUUUAGGUCCUAUCAAGUGACAGCCAUAAGUAUGAUUGCAUUAUUGGGAAAUUUUAGGUUUGGAUGGCUCCCCAUGUUAUUGCCAAGAAAGUCCUCAUGUCAGAAGCUGCGGUUCUUUUCAUCAGCCUGAACCCGAACCUGUCGUUAUGGAUAACUCAGGUUUUUGUCAUCAACUAUAUCAUCUUUUUUACUGUUUUGAAACUCUUAAGAUUAAACUUCAGUAAAGUUGUUUCAGUUAUCCAUGUAAUCAGGCUAAGGAUAUUUAGCAGCUUAUUUAGGCAACUGCCAGAAUUCAGUUUGUUAGCUCGAAACUUGUAUGGUGACAAGGAUACUGGCAAGGAUAGUGAGAUAGUUUUUUGUGUGAGUGAAAUUUGAAAGCUUGGGUGUUCUGGGAUUUGCAAUUGCAAUCAUCCUCUGAGUCAGGUGAUUUCUUCACCUGCUCUGUCUUGAUUUUCUCUCUAAUUGAAAGCAUAAAGUAUUUCAAUCAAAUUCUGUACCAGGAAUACGUAAAAGUUACUAAUAUUUUAUUUCCAUCUGUUUGCAUUGAUAACUCGGCGGCAUAUGUUCUAGUUAAAGAACAAACAGAAACAGAGUUCAGGAAAAAGUUUCUUCGGCCACCAUAUUUGAAAAUGAAACCAUUUCCAGGAAGCAGUUGGCAGCAAAUUCAUAUGGAGUGUAGACAAUGAUGAGCAAAAAGGUGAUUCGCAAUUUCUUUUUUUUUUUAAGUGAAAUUAUUUGUUAGAUUGAAGCUGAUAUUGUAAGAAGGCCAUUGAGCUAACCUAUGUCGCCACUUGCCUAGAUUGCAGGGGGUCAAGACUCAAAAGAAGCACUGAAAUUUAAAAAGCAUGCAAUAGUUCUUUUGCCAUGUGUCAAUUAAUGCAAGUUUGAAUAAGUUUAUUGGCUGAACGAUGUUAGCUUCUUUUCCUUUCGUGCACUUUGGUAUGCUAUCAAGUGACAGCCGUAUGUAUGGCUUGCAUAUAGCUGCUGCUGGGAAAAUUGACGAUUUCAUGGCUGGCCGUGUUAUUGUCUUAAAUUAGUUGUGAUAAGCUGUUGCUUGGAGAUUCUGUUGCCAAGAAUUUGCUCACAUCAGAAGCUGUGGAAUCUGAACCCUUCGAUUCUGUUGCCAAGAAUUUGCUCACAUCAGAAGCUGUGGAAUCUGAACCCUUCGUUAUGUAUCAUCUUUUUCAUUGUUUUAAAACAGUAAACUCUCAGGACACUGAGCAGGCAAAUGUUAUAACUCGGUUUGUUAGCCAAAAACUUGUUGAAGAUUCUUGACAAAGCUGCGUCGAGUGAAUUGUCGGAGCUCUGAGGGUGAGAGAAAUUAGAGGGUGUAUAGGGAUUUGGAUUUGUUAGGAAGUUAUCAUUUUUAUUUGUCCGAUUCAAAACUUGAUAUUCCAAUUAUAUUCAUAAGCUUCUACAGUUAUCUUCAAAAAGACAUUCCAAUUAUAUUCAUAAGCUUCUACAGUUAUCUUCAAAAAGACAAAUGGAAGGCUUUGAACGGCUUGGGUCUGAGUAUUGUAGUUUGAUUUAUUUUGAUGAAAGAACCUUUUGACAUUAAGAUUCUUUCAUGAGUUAAACAUUCUUUUUAAAACCAACUUAUUAAAAAAAAAGUAACGAACAUAUAUUAUUUUGUUAGUGCUUUUUAAAUCAAAUAUAAAAAAGAGAACUGUAAUUCUUAGCAACCAAUUUUUCAUUGAGUACACCUACAACAAAUUAUUAAAAAAUAAAGCGAUAGAAAAUGCCUGAUUUUUCGUACUUUCUAAUUACUUUUGGUCCUAAAAUAUGGCGAUUUGUGUAAUAAUAAGCCCAUGUAUAUCUUUAUGCCAUUAGUUUGAUAAAUAACUAUCAAGGAUAACUUAUUAAGCUAAAAAUAUUUGAAGGAUAAAAUGGGAAAACUAAAAGGGUGGAGUAAUAAAGUUAUUUAAGAUUACAUAGUAAGUUAACUAUAUUCGAGGGAUAAAAUAUUAAAACUUGAAUAGUUAUAUUAAAAAUAUCUCGGCUAUUAUACUAUUAAACCAUAUGCCGUAAUAAUGUUUUUUUUCAAACUUUAAAAAAUUCAGGAUUUUAAAUUAAAACAUGGAUUUCUUUAAGAUGCUAUAUGUGUUUUUACAGUAUUGAUAGUGGGAUUAGUGUGUACCCUUAUAUGAAAGAGUUUUAAUCUGAAUCAUUCAUUUAAUAUAAUAGAUAAUUAAAUAAUUAAUUAAAAUAUAGCAGGUAACUUAUAGGUUGCAGGUAAAAAAUUAAUUUUUUAAUUUUAAAUUAAAAUUAAUUUGGAACAAAACCAUCCACACCCCUAAGGUUUACUUAAAUGAUCAUAUAAAUCCCUUUAGUUUCUACAUAGUUAUACAGACCCUCUUAAUUUCAUAAAUUAUUAUUAUACUUUUAAUUAAAACAACCUAAAUGAAUAUAAAUAUAGUAAUAGGAUAGAAAUAAUAAAUAAAUAUCAGAUGAAACAAAUAAAAUAUUACAAUAAAUACAAUUAAUUAAAUAACAUGUAUGAUGAAAAUUUUAUUCAUAUUAAGUUAUUAUUAGUCUAUCCCGAUGGAUUUACUCAAAUCAAUUAAUCCAAAAUUUAAUUUUAAGAUUGAUAUUAAUAUGGACAUAAUUAAAUAAGAUGUUGUAAUAUAUACUACUUUGAAUGUUAAGUAUAAUUAUCUAAUAUUAUUAGUAUGUGAAAUAGAUUUUAAUAUUAUUAAAGAAUAUGACAAUAUAUAAUUUUGAAUUAAAUUUUUUAGUAUUCAUGAUAUUUUAUAAAUUUUAUGUGAUUUUAUAUAUUAUAUUUUUUAAUUUUAAUGUAUUAUAUAUGAUCAUUUAAGCAAAUUUUGGAGGUGCGGUGGUCUUUUCCCUAUUAAUUUUGUAGCAUAUUUAAAGUGUUAUAUCAUACAUGAUACAUCACACUUUUGUUAAAGUGUUAUGUUAUUAAAAAUUAAACUUUGCAUUUAUAAUAUACUACCAUUUUAAUGUAAAGGUAAUAGAAAAUAUGAAGAUAUUUUUAAGUAGUCAAUUGUAGCUUUCUUUUACAAAAUAGCAGUAUAGAAAUACAAUUGGUAAAAUGUAAUAAAAAUGGUAUGGAAAAAAGUUAGUAGAGGCAAUUAUUCUUGUAGUUGCUAAAACAUAUGAAGUGACACACACACACACACACAUAUCAAGUACUUGUAUGUUCCCCUAACUUUUAUUAAUGGGAAGGAAAUUAAAUUCGUAAUUUUCCCGGUGAAUUAUGAAUUGAUAAAUGAAAUAUAAAUAUUAGUAAAAAUUAAUUUGUCGACUAAAGAAGUAAACCAUAUUUUAUGGGCAUUUAAUACAUUAAUUUAAGGUCAAAUGAGAUAAUAUCACAUGAUAUUUGAUACAAGAGUCCAAUUUUCAACAUUUGCAUAUAGUUUCUAAGCUAGUAAUCUAAUAAAAUAUACCAAAUGAGAAAUUGAAGGCUAUUAUUUAUAUUUCACCAUUGGACAAACACCAUACAUUAGAAUAAAAAAAUCUCACAGUAGAGACGGCAUCUGUUUGCAUGUUUUGAAAAUAGAUUUUGAAAUUAGUUUAAUUACAUGAUAAUUAAAUUAUAUUAUAAAAUUAAGAAUAUGAUUUAAGUACUAUUUUAGCAAUUUUGAGUCUCACAUUGAGUAUUCAAGUUAAUUAAAUGUUGAAACUCUUUUCUAUUUGGCUUGAAAUCACUACUAAAUAAAAUUACAAAAAGUCAAUAAUGAAUGAUGUAGGACACAUAUGUAAAAUAAAUUUUAAAGUGUAAUUAAACAUUCCUAUCAAUAUUAGUUUUGCAUACAUAUUCAUAUAUUUUACCGAAACCAUAUAUAAUUAAAUUUUGUGUAAUUAAGUAAAAUAUAUUAUUCAAGUGAAUUUAUGAGAAUAUUUAAAAUUGUAGGGGUCGUCACUGAAAUUUGCCAAACUUGAGCCAACCGUGCAUGAUCCAAACAGUUUAUUUUAAUAAUUCUCAAUAUGUUAGUCUGUUUGACUGUUGGCAAAAUAAAUUCCUAUCAGCAAUGCAACACAAUUCAAAAUCAUAUCUGCAUACAACGAACAAUAUCUCAUGAAAGAUCAAAUUAUACAUUUUUUACACCAAACCAUAAAUAUCUAAAUUGUCCCUCUUCAACUCACCAAGCUCAUACCUAACAACAGCAAGAUUAAAUGUCAUUUGAUCCAUCUUUUUUAUUAAGCUUUAUCAAUUCUUCUCAUGGUUGCAAUUUUGAAAGCUCGCUUCGCUAUUUCCAUUUGCUUUUAUGCUUUGUUUGAGCUCCAUCUUUUCUCUCCAUCUACAUUUUACACUGUAAAAAAAAUUUUAAAAAAAUUACAAAGCUUCUUAUGCUAGAAUAUGAGCAACAAUAUAAAUAAUAAACAAUAAAGUUAUGAUAGCACAGCAUGCUCAUUAAAGUGCUUCUUUUUUUUUUUUUUCAACAAGAAAUUACUACUGAAUUAAAGAUUUGGCUUUGCAUUAAGGUUUGCCUUCAAUAACUCAACUCCCCACUUGGGUUUUGUCGUUUUCUUAAAAUCUCUGCUCAAUCAAUUUAAAGAUCCUUUUUUUUUUCUUUCCAAAGAUCUAAAAGCAAUGUCUUUUAUUGGUACCCAACAAAAAUGCAAGGUCUGUGAGAAGACAGUUUGUCCAGUUGAGCAGUUAUCUACUGAUGGGGUUGUUUAUCACAAGUCUUGCUUCAAGUGCUCUCACUGCACUGCAAAGGCACACUCAAGCUAAGCAAUUACUCAUCCCUGGAAGGUGUUCUUUACUGUAAGCCUCACUUUGAGCAGCUUUUGAAGGAGUCGAGUAACUUCAACAAGAAUUUCCAAUUACCUGCAAAGUCAGCUGAGAAGUUAACUCCUGAGCUGAAAAGGUCGCCUAGCAAAGUUGACAGCAUGUUCUCUGGGCCCAAUAAAAAUGUGCUUCUUGCAGUAAAACAGUGUGUCCGUGGGAGAAGGUAGCAGCGGAAAACCAAGCCUCUCACAAGACAUGUUUCAAGUGCUCACAUGGUGGUAAUUCCAUUAGCCCGUCAAAUUACGCAGCCCUAGAAGGCAUCUUGUAUUGCAAACAUAAUUUCUCCCAAUUGUUCAAGGAAAAAGGCAGCUACAACCACCUUCUAUCAAAUCUGCUUCCAUGAAGCGUGCUGCAGUCUCUGUUCAAGAAGCUUGAACAUGUUAUGUUAUCUUCCAUAAAUCUUAUUUGGCGUGGGUUUUCUCUGGCUUGAGGGUGUGCUUUCUAUUUUGAUCCCUCUUGUUGUUUUUGCGGGGAACUACCAAACCUUCGGUUCCCUCUGCUUCUUUGGAUCAUCUUUGUUGGGACAAAUUUCAUGUAAUUAGAGAUACUGAUUUAUGGGAGGCAUAAUCCCAUGGUUGUAAAUUGACCAUUUUCUGGCAAUGUUCUUUUUAAAAAGAGAUGAGCAGUUGUUUAACAAAAAAAAUAGCUGGCCUUCAUCAUGGUAUGUUACCAAACUGCUAUGUAUAGCUGCUAACUAUGAGCAUCCGAAAAUAUGGUGCAUCGUGAUUCAUGUCGUGCAAUAUGGCUACCAACGCAUCCUAAAUGGAGUAUUACUCAGUUAGUCAGCAAAAUAAGACAACAGUAAGAUAUUAAAAAAAUAAAAACUACAUUAAUAAGUGGGCAAGAUCAUGCCAGUUUAACUUUUCGCGCGUCGCUGCUGGAGAUAAUCAAAUCGGGGCAGAGAAAAGGAGAAUGGAAUCAGAGGCUAAGAUUAAUAAGUGGGCUUCUGCUUGCUUUGCCCCUCUUUCUUAAACGAUUGGUAGACUGCUGCUUCCACCGAUUAACCGGGUCUUCAACCACUGCUUUUAUUGCCUGCCAUCUUGUUGUUUGUCGAAGGGAUGAAUUCGAGUCGAAAAGAGAAAGCGCGCUGAAAAAGACAAAUCACUAGUGGUUAACUACUGACUCAGCCAAGUGUUGGCUUCACUUGAUUCACCGAUUGAGGUUAUUUUGUCUUCUAUCUAAUGCAGCGAAGAAGCUUUACUGCUUAACAUGCUGCAAUGCAACUUUAUCUUUUGAAGUUCACACUUCAGGGCUGCGCACUUUAUGUAAUCCUAUGAGUAAAAAGAAUUUAUUUUCAAAUGUGAAAAAAGAAAAUGUAAGGUAGUAACUAAAUAUAUUAUAGCAUCAAAGUAAGAUUUGAUAUGAAUUUAGUACAACAAAGAACAUUAAAUCUGUGAUUCCUUGUCUAAUGUCACCAUCGAGCAACAAAUUUAAAAGCCUACCUAUCAAAUACACGAGGCAAUAAACGGAGAAAAAGUUGAAUUACAAGAACAAGUUUACAAUUCUUGUCAAUGGUUAAUGAUUCGUGAAUUGAGAUAGCAUUCAAGAAUCCAAUUUCAAUACAACAACGUAAAAGAUAAACAGAUGAUGAAUUUUAUGAGAUAAAGAAGGAGAUUGUGUUUUAUCGUAUCUCUAUUUUCUUUCCAUUUAAAUUUAAAAUAAGCUUUUCAACCGGUUAUAAUAUUUUUUGAAAUAAUUAAAUAUUUUUAUUAUUAAAAAUAAUGUGUACCGUUGAUUACAUCUAACGCUACAUAUUUCUUACACUAUUAAUACCGUAAAAAAAAUCAUAGAGGGACCCUUAAAACAUUUUCAUUUGAAAUUAUUUGGUGAAGUGAAAAAGUUAAGAAAGAAAUAGUUGUCCCUUUGGUCAUUUCACAAAAAUGAAAGCCCCAUAUAACAUGGACUUGAAUGGAAGCCCAAUUGUUGUGUUUGAUUUCAAGCUUUAUCGGACCUUUGGACCUGGAUACUUUACUGCGGCCUCUAAGCGCUACAAAUUUUUUUUUUGGGAUAAAAGGCGCUUCAAUGAAAAAGCACUUUAAAACUUUGGAUUUUGCCAAAACUUCAAAGCGGUUGGUCCAGUUACGGUGUUAUGCUAACGGGUUUAAAGGUUCCGAUCCAAUGAGUUAGGGUGGAAUAUGAAUAUAUAAAUCCUAGUCAUGUAAGGACUAGGAUUUGUUUGUUCAUAUCAAGAAAAAAAAUCUGAAAAUUUGAUGAUCAGAAGAUAAAAACACUUAAACACGUUUAUUACAGAGAAACAAACGACAACAUGAUGCUAGUAGUAAUUUUAUUUUUCUUUUAUUGUGUAACGUGGACCAAAAAAAAGGAAAUGAAUUUAAUAAAACCGUCAUUCCGCAAUAAUAAUGUACCAGCCUGGUUUUUAUAAUCCAUACCAUCCUGAUAUAAUUAAACACCAUUAAUAAUGUACCAGCCUUUAAAUAGUAAUUAAUUUAUUUAUCUAAUUCACCAAAUGUCAUUUCCGGUACAUAUCUCCUGGUAUCAAGAAGAGGCAGAACCCAAAGAAACGUUUCUUGUAUCUUCAUAUUUGUGCGAAUUCAUCCUUUCAUUGAGAAUAACCAUUUCCAGGCGGCAGUUGGCAAUCAAUUCAUGCGCAAGUCGAUGCUAUUCAUAGAUAUUAAAGACAAUGAUGAACCAAAGGUGAUAAAUCAUAAAUGCAUAAUUACCAAACCUCCAUCCUUCUCUCAUUAUGAUUUGAUUUUAAAUGAAUUAUUGCUUGGUAACAUUAUUUCCAACCAUUGCAAGAUUAUUAUUAUUUUUUUUUGGGGAGAAAUUUCAAUUGAAAGUGAAACCUUUAGACAUUUACCUAAUGAAGUUAGUUAAUGGGGAGGGUUGGAAAAAUUCCCAAGCCGUUGCACAGCAAUUACGAUCAUCCUCGGCCUCAGGUAAUUUCUUCUCCUGCAUUUUUGUUAUUUGCUAUCAAGUGACAUUCGUAAGUAUGAUUGUAUUAAGCUGCUGCUGGGAAAUAUAAGGUUUUGAUGGCUGCCCAUGCUAUUGUCAGAAGCUGCGGUUCUUUUCAUCAGCCUGAACCUGGACCUGUCGCCAUGGAUAACUGAGGUUUUUUUUUUUUUAAAUCAACUACGUCAUCUUUUCCACUGUUUUGAAACUCUUAAGAUUAAACUUUAGUAAAGUUGUUUUAGUUAUCCAUGUAAUCAGGCUGAGGAUACUUAGCUGCCUAUUUAGGCAAAUGUCAGACUUUAGUUUGUUCGCUGGGAACUGGUGUGGUGACAGCGUCCUGGCAAAGGAUGAUGAGAUAGUUUUUUGAUUGAGUAAAUUUUGGGGGCUUGAGUAUAUUGGGAUUUGCAAUUACAAUUAUCCUCUGCCUCAGGUGAUUUCUUCUCCUGCCCUGUCGUUGUUUGUUCUCUAAUUCAAAAUUAUAAAAUAUUUCAUCAAAUUUUAUGCCGGGAAUAUGCAAAAGUUUCUAAUAUUUUAUUUCCAUCUGUUUGUCUUGAUAACUUUGCAGCAUAUGUACUAGUUAAAGAACAAAUCGAAACAGAGUUCAGUUAAAAGUUUCUUCUGCCGUCAUAUUUGAAAAAUGAACCCAUUUCCAGGAAGCAAUGGGCAGCAAAUUCAUAUAAAGCGUAGACAAUGAUGAGCAAACAGGUGAUUCACAUUAAUGAAAUUAAUUGUUUGGUUGGAGCGGACAUUGUUAGAAGGCUAUUGAGCUAACCUAUGUCACUACUUGCCUAGAUUACAGGGGGUCAAAACUCAAAAGCGGCAUUGAAUUUUAAAAGGCAUCCAAUAAUUCUUGUGGCCAUAUAUCAAUUCAUGUAUGUUUGAAUGUAAUUAUUGGUGAAGGGGUUUCACUUCCCGUCUCUAAAUAAAAAUACUGAUUCUUUAAGGUACCUGCCACUAGGGAUUGCGAGAUUAAUGAGUCUUUGGACAUUGGAAGAGCUCCUUGUGAGUGGAGGAGGAGGUGUUGAUGGUAGCAAAGCAUGUGGGCAGUGGGCUUGAAUCUCUAAAAAACUUGGAACUCCUCCAAGCGUAAGUAUACGUAUACUGGGAAAUUUGUUAGAUGUGGAUGAGGCUAAGAGAUUAGAGCUUGACAAAAUGAAAUACCUCUUUCAUUGAGACUUAAAUUUGAUGGGGAAGAAGAAAAAGAAGAGGGAAGGAGGAAGAAUGAGGAUAAUCAACUUGUUCUUGAAGCCUUGCAACCACCUCUGAAUUUGAAGGAAUUAGAGAUUUGGUCAUACAGAGGCAACAUUGUUUCCCCCCGGAUGAUGCAAAAAUUGAAGGAAUUUACCAAUCUAAGGAGUUUGACACUCUUUAAAACUGCAAAAAUUGAGAGCAGUUGCCUCCUUUGGGAAAAUUGUGAUCCUUUGAAAAUCUCAGCAUAUUGUACAUGGAGAGUGUGAAAACAGUGGGUAAUGAAUUUCUGGGAAUAGAAAGUCAUCUUCAUGACUCAUCUCCAUCUUUAUCAGUUAUUAUUGCCUUCCCCAAAUUGAAAUCACUUUCAGUUGAGGGAUUGAUGGAAUUGGAGGAGUGGGAUUAUGGGAUUAAAAGAACAGGAAACACCUUCACCAACAUUAUGCCACGUCUUUCUUCCUUGGAAAUUAGUGUGGGGUUAUGGGAUCGCACAACCACGUUGAAGGUAUUGCAGAUUGUGGCAUGUGGUACUCUAAGAAGACGUUGCAGACAGGGGAGAGCAGAAGACUGGCCUAAGUUCUCUCACAUUCUAGACAUCAUGAUUGUGUGAAAAGAGGCCCUUGACAAAAUUCUCUAGGCGGCUACAUGGAGUACAAUCAUAAAAUGCUAAUGUGGCCACCCUGGUUCUUAAUUAAGGUUGUGAAAUAUUAUUGUAAAAGAUGAUUAAUUCAAUUUGAGUCAUUCGUUUGCUUUGAUAAUGAUAGUAAUUUUAUAUUUUGACAAUUUGCAAGGUGAGAAUGGUGCUGAUUGGUGAUACAGGAUACGGUUCAAACACCAUUGAAUAAAGCUACGGACAUGGUGGCUCAACUUAGCUAUUGCUGUCAAAAUUGGUAAGUUGGCUUGUCAAUGUAUUGAUGCUUUUGUUUUCUCUCAACCCUAAUUACCUUACCUUCAUUUAGUUUGGCUUUGGAGUUGAGUAAUAACUUUCAAGGUUCUCAAACAGAGCAGGACAACCGAAAAAAAAAGCUUAAUUUGCUACUGAUCACGUGUUACCAAUUAUUAAGGUAAUUCUCGUUUACUUGCUUCUACACUAUAGAGUACGUGUUCUGGCUGGUUUAUCUAAUUCAUCAAAUGUUAUUUCCUUAUUGUUCCAUUGAUAUAUUUGUUAGAAAGUGAAACCAUUUCCAGGCAGCAGUUGGCAGUGAAUUCAUGCAAAUGUUGAUGCCAUUCAUAGAUAUUGAAGACAAUGAUGAGCCAAAGGUGAUAAAUCAUUAAUGCAUAGUUACCAAAACCUCCAUCCUUCUCUCAUUGUAAUUUGAUUUGAAAUGAAUAAUUUCUAGGUAAUUGAAGCCAAUAUUGUUAGAAACGGUGUUGAGCUACCCAAGCUAAGAAGUUGGCUGCCAAAAAAUGCAGGGGAUCAAAAGAAGCAUUGCAUUUGAAAAGGAAUGAGAUUCUGGUUGCUACAUGUCAAUUCGUAGAAGUUUCAAUAAAUUUAAUGGUUCAAGAUUUUAGUUUCUGUUUAAAUUUGUGCUACUGCAGUGCUGCAGUGCUGCUACUGGGAAAUUUAAAUCCCAUAUUAGACUUUCCUCACAUAAGAAGCUGUGGAUCUUCGGACAUCAGGUUUUUUCACAGUUCUGAAACUCUCAGGAUUAAACUCUAUUAAAGUUGUUGUAGUUGUCUACGUUCUCAGGUCAAGGAUUCUAAGCUGCCGAUUAAGGCAAAAUGUCAGAAUUCCCCUAUUAUUUUUUUUUUCAUGUAAAAUUAUGUUGUUGUCUUCGCCCAUGAAUCUUAGCUAAAUUCUGAACCAAUUGUUUGCUAUUAUAAAUUUCAUUGUUAAAUAUUAAUUGUGAUGUUGGUGUUGAGUUUCUUUUAAAGUCAGAGAAGCCUGACGAUUGAGUUCCAUGGGAUUCUGAGAAGCAGUAAUAUUUUGAACAAGUGAAGGUUCUUCGUUUUUACAGUAUGUGCAGAUGUCUAAGAGGCAGGAUUUUUAUUUCUGUAAUGCUAAAUUUCGCAAAACAAUAAAAAUAAAUAAAUGCAUGACAGUGACUUCAAGAAUUUAGAUUAUUGAAUUUGGUCAUUUUAAAAUUGUUGGAAUGUUGAACUUAAGUAAUUUUUAUAAACCAGAGCUCAGAAAUGUAGAAUAUAAAUAUUGGAGAUUUGGACUUCAAUCAUUAGACUUGAAGCUAAAGAGGUAAGCCAUUAAUUAUAUCAAAGGAUUUGGAAAAUGGAGGGAUUGGAAAAAGGAAACAUUUUCAUAAACUUCAAGAGGAACGUCACAGAAAGGGGUAAAGAGAAGAGUAGCCUAAGAUAUUAAAGACAAUGUUGAGCCAAAGGAAACAUAAAUCCCAACCAUUGCAUGUGAACAUGAUCACAAUAAGGUCAAAAACCAUUUUUUUGAGAAUUUUCAAUUGAAAGUGAAACCUUUUGACAUUUACCUAGUAAAGUUAGUUAAACGAGAGAAAUAAAGGGGAAAAGAAAAGUUGACUCAAGUCAAUACAGAAUAAUUAGUUCAAUCUGGAGUAACUAAAACAGAGCCACUAUAUUUUCAAAAAUAUCUGCAUUCAUCACCUUCUCCUCCAGCUAGUGAGCUACACACGAAUCCUUUCCUUUUAGCAUUUUUGCAGCAUCAAUUUCUCCCCUCGUUUGUCAUCAAUUUCUCCCUUCGUUUCACCAAUACCAUGGCUGAUGCAAUCGUUUCCCCUCUCUUGGAGCAGCUGAUUAUCUUUGCUGCUGAAGAGUUGAAACAACAGGGGAAGCUGGUGAGUGUUGGAUGAGUGGAUCACAGCAUGCGCCAAAUCGCAAAAUAGAUCAAUGCUCUUGGUGCUCCUUAUCUGAAGAAGAAGGUGCAAAUUGGGAGCUGCAUUUCACUGUCAUAACAUUUAUUGUAAUUUCAUUUGGAGAUAUGUAAUAUCUGUUGUCCAGAUACAUAUCAUACACCAGUUGCUAUGUAAUUUCGUUUAGGUUCAUUUUUGUUUCUUAAGAGUUUGUAAAAAGAAUGGAAAGAUUUUAAAAUAUAAAUUUCAUAUCUGUUUAUUACUGUUGUUUGGUCUAAUUUCUUAUGUAGAAUUUUCAGAAUCUGUAGGACAUUAGUUUAUAAUUUUGAGAUUUUGCAGCCAUAAAAAAAAUUUUUUUUUUUUGCCAUUUUAUUUUGCUCCUUUAUCUAUGUGCAUGUUGACUGGCUGCAGUGAGUGAAAAUUUACCUAUAUAUGCUGGCUAUUCUUGGACAAUAUUAGAGAAAAUAAUCAUAUUAUUUCGCGUGAUGUGAACUUCCAUAACUUAUCAAUUGAAUUGCUGUAAAAUAUUAAAUAGUUUUAUUUUUCUUUUAUCGUGUAACUUGGACCAAAAAAGGAAAUGAGUUUAACACGACCCUCAAUAUAACCUCCAUUUCAGCACAAUACAUGUUAAUUGUUCCCCAAGGACUUCUCCUGUUUCCCAUUCCCACCUCCAUGCUCUCGAGAGGAAUUUAGCACCCAUCAAUUUUUAUUUUUGAAAACUCGUAAUGGUCUGAUAAAAUUAAACAACAUCAAUAAUGUUACCAGUCUUUAAAUAGUAAUUAAUUUAUUUAAUUUGCCACCUAAAAGAAUCCUGCUGGAAAUAGAGGUUAAAAAUUUUAUUAGAUCUGCUUACCUUUGUUCAUUCAGCAAAAACACUUACAAUUCACAGCUAGAGAAUCUAUCCAUUGACAAUUGUGGAUUAAAAUUAUAACACCUGAAUUCAAACAUAUCCUUAUGAAGUUAUGAAUUUGUUCAUACUUCAAAUGAUUUUUUUUUCCAAGCUAAUAAAGCAACCACUUUGAUCAAACGACGACGUUGAAGGAAUUACGUAUUUUCAAUGUCCUUUUCCAGACAGAUGUUGGAGAGAGGGAAAGGAGAAGACUGGCCUAAUUAAGAUAUCUCACAAAGAUUAUUGAGUUAAAAUGUUAUUGUAAAAGAUGUUUAAUACAAUAAUAGUAAUUCUUUUGCAUUGUUAUAAUGAGGCUGGUGGGUUUCCUCAGAGGAUGGAUAUGGCUCGCUAGCAUGCAUUUGGGAAGAUGCUAAUUAUCGGCCAUAAAAAGUCAGGGGGUUGUGGCUCUUCCGUCGCCCAGAAAUUCCUAAACUCAUAUAUCAAACUUCAGAUGAACUUGGGCAUUAUGUAAAUAUGUAUUUUUGAGAAUUAAACUAGUGCGUUCGAAAAAUUUUGAGCCAUUGUAAUCAUUUUAUUUUGCUAAGAGAAAAUUUUACUUUGUUUCGCUUUGCCUUUUGUUUUUUCUGUGAUAAUAUGAUUCAUACGAAUGUGAUUACACACUAUCAUGCAUCUAUUUUCAUUUGCUUGUCAUGAAUGGUCAACAUGCUCGAAAUAUUUACUUAGGUUGGAAAUAUUUGAAUCCACUAAAAUACUAUACAAACCCAUUUUAAAAUUAAAAAAAUGAUUAUCAUAAUACUCGUGAAGAUAACACGAUAUCAUACAUAAAAUAAAAUAUUUCGCAAAAAAGAUAAGAUACAAAUCUUGAGUAAAUAGGUACAAAAAAUAUUUUAGUGGGUUAAGUAGCACUAAUGCCCCCUUAUCAAAAAAUAAAUAAAAAUAACUAGUCUGAUUGGGUAUACCGUUUAUAUAUAUGUACAUAUUCUUGAUAAUGUGUAAUGUACAUUAUAGACAAAGAUUUUGAAAGCAAUAUUUUUUAAAAAGUCGAGAGAAUAGGAAAAGUCUAAAUCAAUUUUCUAAUCUCUACCUCCUUUAUGAUUUAAACUUUAGUGUUUAGUGUCGCGAGCCACUCAAAUUUUCUAAUCAAAGAGACUAAAUUGCACGAAAUUGUGCUAGCUUAUUUGAUUCUAGAAAUUUCUACUACACUGUAACACACUCUCACGUAGGGAUGGCAAUGGGGAGGGGAGGGGAGGGGACCAAUCUCCCCAUAUCCAUCCCCGAUAUUUUACAUAUGUCCCCGUCCCCGUCAGAAUUGCUUGAGAGAAUCCCCAUCCCCUCCUCGAAUAAUAACAGGGGAUCCCCGAGGGUCCCCGGUCCCCGAAUAACUAAUAAUCUAAUACAUUUUUUUAUUUUCGAUUUUAAAUUAAUCAUAUUAAAAUAAACUCAUACCGCUAUUGUAAGCUCGUAACCAAUUUUGACAGCACAUUAAGGCCUCCAAUGUGCUUGGAUGAAGUCUGUUAUGGUAUGGGCUCACAACUCUACCACUAGUGUUAAAAGCUGAUUCAGAAGCAACUGUUGUAAUUGGAAUUGCCAAAAUAUCUCUAGCAAUUCGAGCUAAUGUAGGAUACCUAUUAGCAUUUGUCUUCCACCAACUCAAAAUAUUAAAAUCUUCCAUCCGAGGUAUAACUUUCUCAUCCAAAUAUGAAUCUAAUUCAUCUGCAACAACUGCACAAUCUCCAUUGUUUACAUAAUCAUCAAAACCUAUCAUCCAUUUGGUUGCUUUCUUAUAAGAAUCCCCUGUAGAUCUAGUAGAAGAACUACUACCAGUAUAAUCAAAGCAAUAAACAGUUGGUGAAAACUUCAAUUAAUACUCUUCAACUAAUUCCCGGCAAAGGAUGACCACUUUCCCAACAUACAACUAUUUUGAUAUUUAUUAUUUUUAACAAUAUUUAUAAUUUUGUUAUUUAUUUAUUAGUAAUUUUAAAAAUAAAAAUAAAAUUAAAAAUUAAAAUGGGGAAAUGGGUAGGGGAUGGGGAUUCCACCUCAUCCCCGUCCCCUCCCCGAAUAAAAAAUUGGGUAAAAAAUUUUCCCCGUCCCCUCCCCGAAAAAAAAAUUGGGUAUAAAAUUAUCCCCGUACCCUCCCCGAAUGGGGAAAAUCCCCGAGGGUAUCCGUCCCCGUGGGGAUUUUUGCCAUCCCUACUCUCACGCUUGUACAUACCUCGAAAUUCUCUAGAAUUUACUAGAGUAGUGUUGCAUGUAGCUUGUACAUAGGUUUUUCUGGAACACUCCAGGCAUUACUAAGCAUGAGAGCCUUGAGAACUCUCUAGCCAUAAAACAUUCUAGGGUAAGCCUACCCUAAAAAUAGGGCAUGAUGCUUGCCACUUGAGCAUACAACAAGUAAGAACAAAUCAAGCAUACUUGUGAGCUCUCAAACUCUCUUAUACACACUUUUAUGAAUAAUAUAUUCUCUCUUUGGCUAUAUUGCUCUCUCUUCUCUCUAGUUUUUUUCGCAAGCAUCAAACCUUAGUUAGUCGAAAAAUUCAAGGCUUACUUUAUAGCUAUCUCGUAAAAGUUGUUUAAGUACCAUAGAGAUUUGCUGUGCAAAAUACUCAUCACAUGACAUUAGCUAAAUAAAAUUGUUUGAAAGCCACUUACCCAAACUAUUAAACGAAUAUUGACUUUUGUCUUAAUUUUCUAUCUCCUACGAUAAAUUUUAUAGUUAAAAAUUGAAAAAAAUUAAUAACUAUUAGAUAGAGCAUUCUUUAUUGUUAAAAGAAAUCUAUAUAGAUAGAUAGAUGGUAAUAUAAAAACUUACUUAUUGUAGUAUAAUGUUUUUAGUUUUUUGAAACACAGAUUCUCACUUUUUAAAGAUAAAAUUCAAAGAAAACAAGUUAAAUGUUGUAGAAAAUCUUCCAGCCAUACAAGAAAUUGUGAUGGCUAAAUGCAAACCUAACUAAAGUAUUAGUUGUUUUAUUACAAUCUCCAAAAAGAUGAGCAAUUCCAAAAUCUUUUUUUGUGACAAUAAACACUACACGUCAGUAAUUAUCCAGGUCAAAAGCAAGCUACUCUAUUAAAAAAAAAAAAAACUUGCAGUGAAUUCGAAGAUAAACCAAUUUUACUAGCAAGUUGGAUACAAAAGAGUAGGGCUUCGGCCUCAAUUACUCAGUGUACCAACAACUCAAUCUCGGUGAGUUAAAAUCAACUUCCAUCAGUCUUUUAUUUGUUGAUAGAUCGAUUAAGGUACCAAAAAGAAUAAUUAAAGAUGUAUUAGUUCAAGUUAAUAAAUUCAUAUAUCUUGUGGAUUUUAUUAUUUUGGAAACUGAACCAAUUGCUAAUGAAUGCAAACAAAUUCCUGUUACAUUGGGUCGUCCAUUUUUAACUACUGCUAAUACAUUGAUUAAUUGCUGGAAUGGAGUAAUGAAUUUAUCUUUCGGCAACAUGACAUUGGAACUUGAUGUGUUCAACAUAUGUAAACAACCUCACCACCAGGAAGAUGAUGAUAAUGAGAAUUAGGAGAUUGAUUUCAUCGAGCCAAUCAUUGAGGAACACAUUCAGAAUAAGAAUUUUACAAAUUCUGUGGAAAUUUAUUCUUCUUGUUCUUUUGAAUCGAGUAAAGAAUUAAAUUAUGAUACUGCUAACAUAUAACCUACAAUUGAUUCUAUGCAGGUACAUGCUGACAAUGGCCAAUCAAACUUUAAAGAUACAGAACAACCUGAAGAACCAAACGAAGAGCAAGUACCAGAGCUCAAAUUAAAGCCCUUACUGGAAGAAUUGAAGUAUGUCUAUCUUGGAGAACAACAGAUUUAUCCUGUGGUAAUUUUUUUCCCAACUCACGCUUGAUCAAGAAGGUAAGUUGUUGUCUGUACUAAAAAGGCAUAAAACUGCAUUUGGCUGGACUUUAAAAGACAUAAAAAACAAUAAUUCUUUAAUCUGCACACACCGAAUACACUUAGAGGAAAAUACCAAAACAACCCAUCAACAUCGACAUUAUAUGUGUAAACAUUAAAUACCAAAAUCAACCCCAAAAACUAUAAAUAAAAUAUCAUGAUUAAAAUGAAGUUUUUUUUUAGAUAUUCGUUGUAGUAUCUCUUUAGAUCGCAAACAAGAGAUAAAAUAAAUAAAUAUUUGCUAUGUAAAUAAAAAUAAAUAAUUUUUUUUAACUGAAAAAUAUUCUCAAAAACUAAAUAGUUCAAACUUUUUUUAACAUCAUGUGUUUCUAGGGUUGGGCAUUCAGUUCGGUUUUUACCGAACCGAACAACUAAAUUAAAUCGAAAUUACCUGUUCGGUUCAAUUGAAUAGACAAAAACCGAAGAGUUUAUAUUUUCAUGAACUGAAUGAUUUGUGUUUCAGUUGAGUUCGGUUCGAUUCUGGACCUGAACCGAACCGAACCGAUCCGUGAAUCGUAAACUGCCCACCCUUACGUAGUAGUUUCCGUUAACCGACGUUGUAUUGCUCGUAUAAAAUUGUUCAAAUGUUCAAAUCACAGUCUCCCGCUCUCAGCUCAGUCAGAGUUUCCAGGUCCAGAGACUUCCCGCUGACUGAGAACUUUUUCGUAGCAGGUCUACAAAUAAUGGAGUAGAGCUGAUUUUAUGAUUAAUUUAUUUCCUUUUUCAAUUUCUCUUGAUUGCGAUUUAAUCUGGAAAGUUAAACGUGAAUUGUUUAGUGCGGAUUAAAUGUUCGACGAAUUUCCCACAAGAGUAUUAAGUUCAAGAGAAAAAAAGAAAACAAUUGAGCGUGAGCGUGAGCGAGAAUGGUGUUUGGGCAAGUGGUGAUUGGUCCGCCCGGCUCGGGAAAGACCACUUACUGCAAUGGCAUGUCUCAGUUUCUCAGCCUUGUUGGCAGGUAACUUCGUUUCUUGAUUUCAAGCAGCUUUAUCUUCGAUGACCAAAAAUAUUGAUUUGGGCUUUGCCAUUAAAUGAAUGUAAGAGCAGUAGGGAAUAACUGAGUUAUAGGAUUAGCUUUAAGUGAACAUUGAUGGUAAUGUGAAGGUUGUAUGUGUUCAGUGGCAAGCUGUAUGCCAAUUUGGUCUAUAUGGUUGCUUAGGUAGUAACUUAUUAAUUUUUAGGCAGGAAGGUUGCAGUCAUCAAUUUAGUUCCUGCUAAUGAUAGUUUGCCGCAUCCUUUGUCAUUGAACUUUCUUACAAAUGCUGUGGUUUGUUGUAGUAUAAUUAGUUCAAUUGGAAAUUUCCUUGAUGUUAAUAUAGAAAUGAGUGUGCUGUGAAUAUUGAGGACCUCAUUAGACUAAGUGAUGUGAUGAUGGAGUAUUCACUUGGUCCCAAUGGAGGUUAGUCAGCCUAUUGUUGUUUACUCUUUCUUGCUUUAUCACGCAAUGAUAUUCCUUUGCUUUACAACAAAUUUCAUGAAAUUAACUUCAAUCAAGUGGCAAUGUUCAUACGCUGUUGAGAUUUUAUGGACAAUGAUUUGGUAGAAUUUAUAUGCCGUCUUCUUUCUUUUUGCAGUGAUAUGCUUGUAUUCAAUGAGCUUGUACUUAUUCUAUGGUUUCUAAAGUAGGUGUUUUUAUGAUAAACUAGGUCUUGUGUAUUGUAUGGACUAUCUAGAGAAGAAUAUUGACUGGCUGCAGUCGAAAUUGGAACUACUUUUGAAAGGUAAGUAGAGGCCAUUUUCCUUCAUUCUAAUGCCAAUAAUGCUGUCAUGAGACUCAUAAAAAUUGUUAAAACGUUAAUGUUUUUGGUAUUUUGCAGAUCGUUAUCUUCUGUUUGAUUUUCCUGGCCAAGUUGAAUUAUUUUUUCUUCAUUCCAAUGCCAAGACUGUUAUAAUGAGACUCAUAAAUAAGUUAAAUCUCAGGGUAUUGUUACAUCUUACAUCUAUGAAGGGACUCAAAGAGUUGAGAUGAAUUCAUCUUUGUUAUUUUGAUGCCAGAAUUGUGCAAUUCUCAGUUUGUUCCUUUCACAUGCAGUUGACUGCAGUGCAUCUAGUUGAUGUGCAUCUUUGCAGUGACCCCAGGAAGUAUGUUAGUGCUUUGCUUCUCUCAUUGUCUACGAUGCUACAUCUGGAACUUCCCCAUGUCAAUGUCUUGUCUAAUCGAUCUGAUUGAGAAUCAUGGAAAGCUAGGUGUGGUUUUAAGUGUAGCUCUCCUGCUUGUUUGUUUAGUUUGAAAUAUCAGAUAUUGUCACAAGAUCCUAUUUGCUACAUUUCCUCACCAAUCAAUUAUUUUGGGUCUGUUGCAGCUUUUAAUCUCGAGUACUAUACAGAUGUGCAAGAUUUGUCAUAUUUACAGCAUGCUCUCGGUCAGGACCCUCGUUCUGCUAAGUACAGGUUUGAAUUCUAGCUGAAUCAAUGAUGCAAAUUAUGUCCAUUGUUAUUUCUGCUGUUGUUUCUAUCAUUUUCAAUUGUUACUUCCCCUUUCCAUCUACUACCACACUACAAUACCCACACAAAUGUUGUGAAAUUUGUCAAUGGAAAAAAAACAGUUCCUCUUUUAUUUUGAUCAGACUCAAUGAAUAAGUGGUUAAAAUGUGCCUGUCCUAGAAAUAUAGAUGUGUGGUUUCGUAAAAUUUUCUUGAUCUUAAGAAAGAGUUAUCUCGAAAAGAAGAUAACAUGGAGAAUUCAACAACUAUACAGUCAUAUUGAUGUCUGUCAACUUGGGUCAUAUGGUGUCGUUUGGAUGGAGAUGUUAGGUCCCAGAUGGUAAACUUGUUAUCGAAUUCCAGUCUACUUCAUUCAUGCUUUGAUGACAUAUACGGUGCAGCUUCUUAUCUAAGACCUGCAUAUGUUCAAUCAUCAUUCUGUUCUGUAUUUGGCUGCCAUUCUUUUCAAUGAAUUCAAACCACUUCUGAAUACUUGCAAAUUCAUCCAGUGUUGUCAUUGAGAUGCCAAUAUGAAAGGAAGCCAUAAUUGCCCUUGAUAGUAUGCUUAUUGAUUGCCUCUUGCCUCACUCAGCCUCAUGAAUCUGCUUGUAUGGUGUUCUUGUAAUUUCAUUUGGAGAUUAGUAAUAUCUGUUGUUCAAAUGUAUUUUAUAUACCAGCAGUUAAUAAUUCUGCUUGCAGAAAGCUUACAAAGGAGCUGUGUGAUGUAAUUUUUCAACCUUAGAUAUCCAGGUCAUCAGUUUCUCUUGAAUUCUUUCUUGAAUUUCUUUGAAUUAUUUGUGAAUAAGAUCUUAGUUGGCUGCUUCUCUUCAGGAUAAGGAAAGUGUGGCAAAACUCGUGAAGCUGAUAUAUAAAAGCAAUGGGUACAUCUUUGCUGGCAUGGAUGCCAGUGCAGUUGAAUUCAGCAAGAUUGCCGUUCGCGAUGUUGAUUGGGAUUAUUUCGGAUAUCCUUCUUUUCACCUAUUUUCAAUGUUGUUAUUCUCAUAUUCAUAAAAUUUUUUGGUUAUUUAAUUAUGGUUCAUCAUAUGCAUCUGCAUCUUCUAACUUGUUCGUUUGAGAAACUAAUUUUGCCGUUAGGUAGGCUUCGAGCUUGAUGAGUUGAUUCAUGCUUUUUUCAUAAAUGUACCAAAAUCAUGGAAACUUCUUUUUCCCAGAUAUUGUAUCCACACUUUUUCCAUGUAAUUGGGUCAGACAAGUUUUGCUUAACAAAGAUAUCUACAGUAGCCGAAGUGCAGGAGAAGUACAUUAAGGAUGAUGAUGAUGUUAACUAAAAUGAGACGUGAAGAUAUGUGGUGUGCGAACCGUAAGCCUGCCUCUUAAUUUUGUGCAUGUUUACUUGCUUGUGAUUCACGUUUGUUAAUCUAUUUUGCUCUCUUGCAGGAGUUAUAAAGUUUUCAAUCAAUCAAACAUUUAACUUAAGUCCUUACCUCUUGCUGCAAAGACAAUGGGAAGUCUCAUGAGCUCUAAAAAAACUGAAGAAGAGUGGAAAAUAAUUUUAAAUAGUGAUUUAUGGAAGGUAAAAGAGAUCGAGAAAGGUGUUCUAACCCCUUUGUGGUUGAGUUAUAAUGAUUUGCCGUCCAGAGGAAAAAGAUGUUUCUCGUAUUGUGCUGUCUUUCCAAAAGACUACAAUAUAAAAAAAGACAAAUUAAUUACUUUGUGGAUGGCUCAAGGUUAUCUUAGUGCAGAAGCAGCAGAACAAGAUGAGGAGUUGGAGACUAUAGGUGAAGAGUAUUUUGGCAUCUUAGCUUCUCGCUCUUUCUUUCAAGAGUUUCAGAAACGUUAUGAUAAUCGUAUUAUAGCGUGCAAGAUGCAUGAUAUGGUACAUGAUUUUGCCCAAUUUGUUAGUCAAAAUGAAUGUUUUUCGUUGGAAGUUAAUGGUAGUGAGGAACUAACCGUCACAAACUCUACAAACUCUCUUGAUGAGAAGGUCCGUCAUUUAAUGUUAAUCUUUAGUAAAGGGACUUCAUUACCUGUUUCCACUCGUAGAGUUAAAAGAAUGCGUACCCUCUUAAUUAACGAUAGUAGAUCUGAUCAUUCAUUAUUAAAUGGUGAGAUCCUAGAAGAAUUAUUUAGGGAAUUGACAAGUUUAAGGGCAUUAGAUUUUGGCAAAUCGUAUAACUCAAGUUGGUCUUCGACUGUGGAGAUUCCGAGAACCAUAGAAAAGCUGGUACAUUUAAGAUACCUUAAUUUGUUUUAUCAGGGAAUAAAGAAACUACCGGAGACAUUAUGCGAGUUGUAUAAUCUAGAAAAGUUAGAUAUUAGUUUAUGUUUUAAUCUUAAAGAAUUACCUGAAGGGAUUGGGAAGUUAAUAAACAUGAAGCAUUUACGAAAUAGAGGUACUAGUUCUUUAAGGUACAUGCCAGUAGGGAUUGGGAGAUUAACGGGUCUCAGGACCUUGGAUGAGUUCCACGUGAGUGGAGGAAAGCGUGUAGGCUUGAAUCUCUUAAAAAAUUGGAACACCUUCAAGUAUGUGGUAUACGUAGACUGGGUGAUGUAUCAGAUGUGGGCGAGGCUAAGCGAUUAGAACUUGACAAAAAGAAAUACCUCUUCAGUUUGACCCUUGAGUUUGAUAAGAAGGAGGAAGAAGAAGGAGAAAGGAGGAAGAACGAGGACGAUCAAGUUCUUCUUGAAGCCCUACAACCACCUCUCAAUUUAAAGGAAUUAGAGAUAGAGUACUACCGAGGCAACACUGUUUUCCCCAGCUGGAUGACGUCAUUAACCAACUUAAAGAGUUUAGAUCUCUCUUCCUGCGAAAAUUGGGAGCAGCUGCCUCCUUUGGGAAAAUUGCCAUCCCUUGAAGCACUCAGCCUAUGGGACAUGAAGUGUGUGGAAAGAGUGGGUGAUGAAUUUUUGGGGAUAGAAAGUGAUCAUCAUGGCUCAUCUUCAUCGGUUAUUAUUGCCUUCCCCAAAUUGAAAUCACUUUCAAUUGAGGUUCUGCGCGAAUUGGAGGAGUGGGAUUAUGGGAUUACAAGAACGGGAAACACCGUCAUCAACAUCAUGCCACGUCUUUCUUCCUUGACAAUUGCACUUUGCCCCAAAUUAAAGGCACUGCCCGACCACUUUCAUCAAACGACAACAUUGAAGGAAUUGCACAUUUGGGAUUGCAGGCUUCUGGAAGAACGUUAUUGCAAGGGGGAAGGAGAAGACUGGCCUAAGAUAUCACACAUUCCCAACCUCCAUAUUGGGCUUUGACAAGUAAUUUCUUCUCUUACUCUGAUUUGCUUUGUUGUUGUUUUUAAUCUAAUUAAGAAGCGUAAAUAGCAUUUUGAAUCAAACUCUAUAUCAGAAAUCUGCAAUACUUACUUUCUAAUAUUCUGAUUUUCAUAUCCUAUGAAUAUACGAUUUUUAAUUUGUGAGAUGGGUAACGUUACUGUAAAAGAUUAUUAAUGCAAUAUGAGUAAUUCUUUUGCAGGACAAGUGACCUACAUUUAGUUUGGCUUUGGAGUUGAAUAAUAACCUUUCGAGGUCCCGACAACCAAAAAACGAAGCUUAAUUUGCCACAGAUUGCACGUAUUGCCAUUAUUGACAAUUUUCUGCACAAGCUUAGGUUGAUGUCAAAAGAGGUAAAUUAUUGGCAUGCCUGACUAUUUUGACCAUUACACGAUUCAUAAGUUUACAUUAAUUUUGAUUUUGAGUUGAGUGAUUAGUUUUCUAGGUUUGCUUACUUUAACUGGGUGACCAAUUUCUUGUAACUAAAUGUAUGAUGUGAAGCAGAACUCAAACAAAAGUAUGCUACUUCUUGCGGAAAUCUUGCCUUUGUUCAGAUUAUGAAACCAUUUCCAUGCAGCAAAUUCAUCCAAAAGUUUGAAUAAGUUUCACGGUUGGACACUGUUGGUUUCUUUUUCUUCUGGGGUGCAUUUAGGUGCUAUCAAGUGACAGCUGUAAGUAUGAUUGCACUAAGCUGCCGCUGGGAAAUUUGAGGUUUUGAUGGCUGCCCAUGUUAUUUUCAAGAAACUAUUGAUGUAAGAAGCUGUGGUUCUUUUCAUCAGCUUGAACCUGAAACUGUCGCUAUGGAUAACUCAGGUUUUUGUUAUCAACUAUAUCAUCUUUUUCACUAUUUUGAAACUCUUAAGAUUAAACUUUAGUAAAGUUGUUUCAGCUUUUCAAAUGAAAAACUCAUUGAUUUGAGACUUCCUUCAUUAUUGUUUCUAAUUACAAUGCUAACGAUCCAGAUAAGAUAAUAUUUAAUCGGCGAAGGUGUCCCUUGGAAGUACAUCCUUCUUUUUCUUUUAUUAUACAAAUUCUUGCAAUGAGCUUAGUGAAGCUGUUGUGCUAAUCAUGCCACUGCAUAAUUUGGCCCCUAAUGUGGGUACUCUGUUACAUUGUUCUGCAAAUUCUCCAGAAGUUAAAAUCAAUAAAUUUUCUAUUAGCUCUAGUGCUUUGACCUAAAUGCUAUUCUAUAUUCUGAUUACAAUGUUUUACCUUUAAAUUAACUACCCCUAGAUGUUGGAUUUUCUAGAACUUCAAAAUGAUUAAUGGAGAAAGAUCCCAUUAUCGUUAUUGCUAUAAAAAAUUGAUUUAUGCAUCCAAAGAUACAUUAUAUAUUUCUGUGUCUCUAUUUAUAGAUGACAUUUAAGCAUCCAUAAACCGUCAGACAGAGGAAGGGGGUUCAGUGCAAAGAUUCUGUUGACCUAGGGUUGACUGCAUAAUGUCACUUGUUCGCAAUCUAUUAUUCUUUUCAAGGUCUGCUUCCUUAACGGAGCGACCAAUGUUUUUCAACUAAAUUUAUCAUAUGAUGCAGGAAGCAGGGCAGGAUAUGAAAUGUGAAGCUCAUUGGUGGAAGUAUUGCCAGUAACAGAACCCAAAGAAAAUGAAACUAUUUCAAGGCAGCAGUUGGCAGUUGCAAGUGAAUGGAGGCCCUUGACAAAAUUCUCAAGCGGUUGCAAUGCAAUUACGAUCAUCCUCAGCCUCAGGUAAUUUCUUCUCCUGCUUUGUAUUUAUUUGUUAUCUAAUUAGGAACCGUAAAGUAUCUUGAAUCAUUUUCUGUAUCUGGAAUAUAUGCAAGAGUUUCUAAAAUUUUGAUAUGAGUGUAAUGAUGGUAAUUUCUGUUUUCUGUCUGUCAUCAAAUGUUAGAAAACUUUCAUUGAGACCCUUGAACCGAGUCAUUUUUGACAAGUGAAGUGCUGAAGAGUGAAGAGUAAGAAUGGUGCUAGAUUGGGGAAUAAAGCAAAAGGAGGUAAAUUAUUGGCAGCUUCUUCAACCUUAUUUUCUUUGGACCAGUGCCUAAUUCACAAGUCUCCAUAAUUCGGCUUUUGACCAGUUGAUAGAUAAAAUUUUAAUUUCAUUGGUGCUAAUGUACCCGUGAGGCAGGCAGAGAAGGACUGUGGAAAAGAGAAGGUUUUUAGUGAAAGCUUAAACUCAGGUAAUUCUAAAAAUUAUAUGUUUUGGCUGAUUUAUCUAAAUCAGGAAAUUUUAUUUCCAUCUGUUACAAUAAAACAGAAACAGAACACAAAGAAAAAUAUUCUACUUCUUGUGGCAAUCUUGCCUUCAUUCAGACUAUGAAACCAUUUCCUUUCACCAAUUUCUUCCAAAAGUUUGAACACAUUUCAUGGUUGGACAUAGUUAGCUUCUUUUUCUUUUGGUGCAUUUAGGUGCUAUCAAGUGACAGCCGUAAGUAUGAUUGCAUUAUUGGGAAAUUUUAGGUUUUGAUGGCUCCCCAUGUUAUUGCCAAGAAAUUUUAAGUCCUCGUGUCAGAAGCUGCGUUUCUUUUCAUCAGCCUGAACCCGAACCUGUCACUAUGGAUAACUGAGGUUUUUGUCAUCAACUAUAUCAUCUUUUUCACUGUUUUGAAACUCUUAAGAUUAAACUUCAGUAAAGUUGUUUCAGUUAUCCAUGUAAUCAGGCUAAGGAUAUUUAGCAGCUUAUUUAGGCAACUGCCAGAAUUCAGUUUGUUCGCUCGAAACUUGUAUGGUGACAAGGAUACUGGCAAGGAUAGUGAGAUAGUUUUUUGUGUGAGUGAAUUUUGAAAGCUUGGGUGUUCUGGGAUUUGCAAUUGCAAUCAUCCUCUGCUUUAGGUGAUUUCUUCUCCUGUUCUGUCUUUAUUUUCUCUCUAAUUGAAAGCAUUUCAAUCAAAUUCUGUACCAGGAAUACGAAAAAUUUACCAAUAUUUUAUUUCCAUCUGUUUGCAUUGAUAACUUGGCCGCAUAUGUACUAGUUAAAGAACAAACAGAAGCAGAGUUCAGGAAAAAGUUUCUUCGGCCACCAUAUUUGAAAAUGAAACCAUUUCCAGGAAGCAGUUGGCAGCAAAUUCAUACAAAGUAUAGACAAUGAUGAACAAAAAGGUGAUUCGCAAUUUCAUUUUUUUAAAAUGAAAUUAUUUGUUAAGUUGGAGCUGAUAUUGUUAGAAGGCCAUUGAGCUAACCUCUGACACUGCUUGCCUAGAUUGCAGGAGGUCAAGACUCAAAAGAUGCACUGAAUUUUAAAAGGCAUGCAAUAAUUCUUAUGGCCAUUUGUCAAUGGUGGAAUGCUUUUAGCUUCUUUUCCUUUUGUGCAUUUUGGGGUUCUAUCAAGCGACAGCCGUAUGUAUGGAUGGAUAUAGCUGCUGCGUUGAUUUCUAAUGCAUUGUAUGAUGUUAUAGCAACUAUCCAUCUGGUCAAUGUUUCAAAAGAAUAAGACAGGGAAAAAGAGAAAGCAAGUGGCCAAUCAAGUUGCAUCAACCAAAUUGUUGUUAAACAAGUAAAACAAAGAAAGAGAGUUAAGGAAGCUGACCUUGUAGUAGGGGAGCUGAAGAAAGGCUGCCAGUGAAUGUAAGAGAAAAUAAAAUGCAAGAAAUGGUGAAGUGCAGCUUUUCAUGUCAACUUGAAAUUGAUUUUUCUGUUUGUUUUUUUUUUUUUGUAAUCUUUUGGAUUUUUCAAACAAAGAAAAUGAGGAGCAACCAGGGAGAUAAAAAGGGCGCCAAGGCAACUGUGUGUUGGGUUUAGAGCCAAAAAUAAAUAAAUAAAUAAAUAAGACAUCGUGUUCUUGUGGAGACCAGACCUAUUACGUAACGUCCCCUUCAAUACCACUUGUUCCGUAUCUGGUUUUCUCUUCGUCGUUUACAUAUUUAUCCUGUGAUUUUACAAUAACUAAAUAAUCCCCGCAUAGUUUGCAAUUUUAUUCAUUUGGGCCCUACAGAUUUCAGUAAUAGGAAUUAUUAAGGGACAAGAGCGCAAAACAGAAACUCUGUCCACUACUGAUGAUAUAAUAACGAACCUUUGUUUUUUUUUUUUAAAAAAAAAAAGAGUAACAAAAUAUCAUUAGACAAAUGAAAAUAUUAUCUAACAUCACCUAUUCACCUUACUGAUGAUAUGAAAAUAUGUAUGUAUGUAUGUAUGUAUGUACAUAUAUACAUACACCUAUGUAACAUUUACUUAUACAUUCUUUUGAGUUUAAAUCUUAAUACAACUACAUACAACCACAUCAAUGUAUAUAUUUUUUACAUAAGACAUGCCGUCCUAUUAUUCAUAAGUAAACAAUGUGCCGUAAAUAGUAUUCUGUGUUUUCUCAAAGUUGACUUUUCGUCUUUUAUUUUCAGACGCAGACGCUAUGUCAUUUUGUAAUCGUCCGAACAUAUACAGAGCAGAAUUGGUGUUAUCUGAUUUUGUGAUGCAAUAAGAUUUGCACUUCCUGUGCAUUCAAUGGAAUCAUGCCACGCUAGUAGACAAUAUGCUAGUUUGAACAAACUUGUUUGAAUGGCAAAAACGACAUGACCUGCUGUAGUAUUAAUUCUUUCCCGAACCAACGGGUGAUUUGCUACGUUGGAUCAUGAAAAUUAACCAAAAUAAAAAUUCUUAAGGAAUUAGUUAGUUAAUUGAUUGAUCGAAUUUAAUCUAAAUUUGAAAAUGAUAAGAUAAAUUUAAAUUUAUUAUUAUUAUUAUUAUUAUUAUUUUAAAGUGGGUGGGUUUAUACAAUUUGAGCGGUGGAAAUAUCACUGCUGAAUUAUUAAAUAUACAGUGUAAAAUUUUGACCUUUAAAAUAUUCCCUUUUUUUUUUUAUUUAGCACUAUAAGUUUAAAAAUUUAACAUUUUACCUCAAUAAUUAAAUACUUUUAACUUUAAUCUUCAAAUAUUUACCCUACAACAUUUGGACCUAAAUUUUUAAUCCGACUCGGCCCCUGACCCAAGUGGGAAGAAGAUCAGGCUUAUAAGUUAUAACUAUCACCAACAUAACAUCUUCUGGAAAAUAAUAAGAUUACUCACCUGCAAUUAUGUGAUCAAACUAAUGGUAAGCAAAAUAGAACAGCGUUAUUUCAGUCCCCUUUCAGUUUCUUUAUCAUUUUUCUUUUCCUAUUUAUAAGCUUAAUUCGGUUCAAAAUCGGCUAAUUCACUUUGAUUUCACUUUUCUUUCUUUCGGUUCAAAAAAAUUGAACCCAUUGGCUGUCAAUUCAAUUUUGUUGAAAACCAACUUUGCCUGAAUUUAAGUAAUAAUAGAGGAAAAAAAAAGAGUACUUAGCAGAAGAGAUUUCUCAUUUUUUUCUCAUUCAAACUUCUAAAAUAAAAGAAAAAAAAACAAGAGUAAUUGUUAAUUAUCAAAAUUUUGUUUAUACUAUUCCACCAAGAAAAUUAUACAAAAAAAAAAAUUUUAAAAAUUGGAGAAGAAAUAUGAGGUGAAAUACGUGGAUGGCUUAGACUAAUAAUGUGAACAAAUUCCUCUUGGAAGCAUGUCAUUGUUCAUCCGGACAACACGCGGCGAUGAGAUUCGAGAAUAAAAGGAUAGGAAUCAACUGUAACCUCAUAAACAAAUGGCCUUGGAGUUGUAACCAAAGCUUUUAAUUAUUGAUCAUUAAGAUCGAUAUAAAGUAUCACGAAAUGAUGUGUACGACGACAAUAUCAAUAGCGUAGUGUGAAGACCUGGCUGUAAACACAAGGCUCGGCAGAUUAAUUAAACAAGAGUAUCCGAAUUUUCUAUGAUAAUCUCUAGGAAACGAUCAGCUAUAAUGUACGAAAUUAAAAUAUUGCAUAUAUUUUUGAAUUUUUGAACUCAUGCAUUAAUUUAAAAAAUUAUAUCGUAUUAUAAUUUAUUCACAAAAGAAAGAAAAAUUCACUAAUCAAGUGAAAUCGUAUUCUUAUUGAAAUGAAUUCCAGUAAUUGGAUAAAUAUAAGUAUUUCUUCCGUUGUAAUUUUUGUUUAACAGAAAAUCUAUUUGAGAUUUUGUGAGAAGAAACUCAACAAUAAAGUUUGAUAGACUUUGUGGAUAUUAAGAGUUUGACAAGUAAUUGAAAUCUGAAGUUUACUGAAAUUUACGAGCAAACAAACUGAAAUCCGAAGUUUACUGAAGUUUACUAUCAAGAGUUUCAAAACAGUGAAAAAGAUGAUAUAGUUGAUGACAAAAACCUGAGUUAUCCAUAGCGACAAGUAACAUACUGAAGUAAGCCGUUGGGAGCUGGCCUGUUCAUGGGCUAUUUUUCUCUGAUGAUCUGCAUUUUUCUUCCUUUUAAAGUGAACCUUGACUCGUAUCAAACCUGUCAAAAGAACAGUUCAUCAACUGAGCUGAGAUUUGCUUUCCUUUUUCAAAACCCACCUGAGAUAUUGUAAUUCCCAAAUUUCUCUCUCUCAGCUACACGAGCAAGCAGCCGCUUUUUCACUUCAUCGAAGAAGGUAAGCGAUUUAUCUAUUUCGUCCGAUUGAUUUCUUGUUUCGUUUUCAGUGUUCGGGUAAAUUAUUGGCAUGCCUGACUUUUUGACCAUUACAUGAUUCAUAAAUUUCUAUUAAUUUUGAUUUUGAGUUGACUGGUUACUUUUAUAGGUUUGUUUACUUUGACUAGGUGACCAAUUUCUUGUAACUAAAUUUAUGACGUGAUGCAGGAAGCUCGGCAGGAUAUGAAAUGAGAAUCUUAUUAGUGGAAGGAUUGCCAGUAACAGAACCCAAAGAAAAUGAAACCAUUUCAAGGCAGCAGUUGGCAGUUGGGAGUGGAUGGAGGCCCCUGACAAAACUUCAGUAAACUUCAGAUUUCAGUUUGUUUGCUCGAAACUUGCAUGGUGACAAGGAUACUGGCAAGGAUAAUGAGAUAGUUUUUGUGUGAAUGAAAUUACGAUCAUCCUCAGCCUUAGUUGUUAUUUGUUACCUAAUUAAGAAGCAUAAAGUAUCCUGAAUCAUUUUCGUUGUCUGGAACAUAUGAGUGUAAUGAUUGUAAUUUCUGUUUUCUGUCUGUCAUCGAAUGUAAGACAACUUUAUUAAGAUUCUUGAACCGAGUCAUUUUUGACAAUUGAAGGACAAGUGCUGAAGAGUGGGAAUGCAAAAAGUUUUGUUGUUUCUAGCCUUGUUUUCUUUGAACCAGCGCCUGAUGAUAUAACAGAAACAAGGCUAGAAACAACAAAAACUCUGUCCACUACUGAUGAUAUAACAACGAACCUUUGUUUUUUUCUUUUUUCUUUUUUUUUUUAAAAAAAGUAACAAAAUAUCAUUAGAGAAAUGAAAAUAUUAUCUAACAUCACCCUACUGAUGAUAUGAAAAUAUGUAUGUAUGUAUGUAUGUAUAUACGUAUGUAUGUACAUAUAUACAUACACCUAUGUAACAUUUAAUUAUACAUUCUUUUGAGUUUAAAUCUUAAUACACAUUUUCAUGAAAUUUUUAUUUUAUUAAGUAUACAACUACAUACAACUACAUUAAUGUAUAUAUUUUUUACAUAAGACAUGCCGUCCUAUUAUUCAUAAGUCAACAAUGUGUUGUAAAUAGUGUUCGUGUCUCAAAGUUGACUUUUCGUCUUUUAUUUUCAGACGCAGACGAUAUGUCAUUUUAUACACAGCAGAAUUGGUGUUAUCUGAUUUUGUGAUGCAAUAAGAUUUGCACUUCCUGUGCACUCAAUGGAAUCAUUUCUUUGUAACUAAUUGGGUGCUGGAAUGGUGGUCAAAUCUCGAACGAAGACAGAUCUAUCAAACUCCAGAAUUGGUGUUAUCUGAUUAAUUGAUUGAUCGAAUUUUAUCUAAAUUUGAAAAUGAUAAGAUAAUUUUGAAUUUAUUAUUAUAAUUAUUAUUUUAAAGUGGGGUGGGUUUAUACAAUUUGAGCGGUGGAAAUAUCACUACUGAAUUAUUAAAUAUACAGUGUAAAAUUUUGACCUUUAAAAUAUUCCCUUUUUUUUUUAUUUAGCAUCUAUAAAUUUAAAAAUUUAACAUUGUACCUCAAUAAUUAAAUACAUUUAACUUUAAUCUUCAAAUAGUUACCCUACAACAUUUGGACCUAAAUUUUUAAUCCGAUUCGGCCCCUGAUCCAAGUGGGAAGAAGAUCAGGCUUAUAACUAUCACCAACGUAACAUCUUCUGGAAAAUAAUAAGAUUAUUCACCUGCAAUUAUGUGAUCAAACUAACGGUAACCAAAAUAGAACAGCGUUAUUUGAGUCCCCUUUCAGUUUCUUUAUCAUUUUUCUUUUCCUAUUUAUAAGCUUAAUUCGGUUCAAAAUUGGCUAAUUCACUUUAAUAAGUUUAUUGGUUUGAACGCUGUUAGCUUCUUUUCCUUUCGUGCAUUUUGGUAUGCAACAGUUCUUGCCUAUGACACUGCUUGCCUAGAUUGCAGAAGGUCAAGGCUCAAAAGAAGCACUGAAUUUUAAAAGGCAUGCAACAGUUCUUGUGCCAUAUGUCAAUUCAUGCAAGUUUGAAUAAGUUUUUUGGUAUGCUAUCAAGUGACAGCCGUAUGUAUGGUUUGCAUAUAGCUGCUGCUGGGAAAUGUGAGGAUUUCAUGGCUGGCCGUGUUAUUGUCUUAAAUUAGAUGUGAUAAGCUGUUGCUUGGUGAUUCUGUUGCCAAGAAUUUGCUCACAUCAGAAGCUGUGGAACCUGAACCCUUCUCUAGAUAUCAUCUUUUUCAUUGUUUUAAAACUCUCAGGAUUAAACUUGAGUAAUUUUGUUCGGUUGUCUAUAUAAUCAUGUAUUGAGUAAACUCUCAGGAUACUGAGCAGGCAAAUGCCAUAACUCGGUUUGUUCUUCAAAAACUUGUUUAAGAUUCUUGACAAAGCUGCAUGAAGUGAAUCUUGGGAGCUUUGAGGGUGAGAGAAAUUAGAGGGUGUAUAGGGAUUUGGGCUUAUUAGGAAGUUAUAUAUGUAUUUCGUCACUUAUCAUUAUCAUUUUUUUUUUCACAGAAAACCUUCUGAUGGUGCUAAAUUUUCAAACACCGGUCCGAUUCAAAACUUCAUAUUCCAAUUAUAUUCAUAAGACAAAUGGAACACUUUGAACGGCUUGUGUCCGAGCAUUGUAGUUUGAUUUAUUUUGAUGACAGUACCUUUUGACAUUGAGAUUCUUUCAUGAUUUAAACAUUCUUUUAAAAACUAAAUUAUUAAAAAAAAAGUAACUAACAUAUAUUAUUUUAUUAGUGCUUUUUAAAUCAAAUAUACAUAGGAGAACUGUAAUUCUUAGCAAUCAAUUUUCCACUAAAUACACCUGCAACAAACUAUUAAUAGCAAAGUGAUAGAAAAUACCUGAUUUUUCAUACUUUCUAAUUUCUUUUGGUCCUAAAAUAUGGGCAUUUGUGUAAUAAUUAGCCCAUGUGGAUCUCUAUGCCAUGAGUUUGAUAAGUAGCUAUCAAGGAUCACUUAUUAAGCUAAAAAUAUUUGGAGGACAAAAUUGUAAAACUAAAAGGGUGGAGCAAAUAUGGCUAUCUAGGAUUAAAUAGUAAGUCAACUAUAUUUAAAGGAUAAAAUAUUAAAACUUGAAAUGUGAUAUUAAAAAUAUCUCAACUAUUAUGUUAUUAAACCAUAUGUUGUAAUAGUUUAUUUUUUAAGCUUCAAAAUGUUCAGGAUUUUAGAUUGAAACAUUUUCAUUUGAAAUUAUUUGGUGCAGUCACAAGUUAAGAAAGAAAAAGUUGUCCCAUUGGUCAUUUCACAAAAAUGAAAGCCCUGUAUAACAUGGGCUUGAAUGGAAGCCCAAUUGUUUGUGUUUGAUUAAUUGAUUUCAAGCUUUAUCGAACCUUUGUACCUGGAUACUUUACUGCGGCCUCUAAGCGCUAUAAAUUUUUUUGGGGAUAAACGGCGCUUCAAUGAGGUCAUCUCCGAUGCUUAACACCAUUUUGGUGUAAUACCAACAUUAAAAAUAUACAUUUUUCACACUAAAUUACUAUUUCAUCUCCAACCCAUUUACACCAAAAAAAAUAUUUUUCUUUUUAUUCUUUUAAUUCUCAAGAAUUAAUUCAAUUAACACAAUAAAUACUACUAUUAACAUAGAUAAUUAAGUAAUAAGUAAUUUUAUCGAUUAACAAAAAAAUAUAGAAAAUUAUUAAAUUUGCAUUUAAUUAACUAAAUUAGUACAUUAUGAAAAUUAAACAUUACAUUAAUAUAGAAAAAUACAAUAACAAUAAUAAUAAUUUUAUAUCUAAUAUUUUGAUGAUAUUGGAGGAUCUAAUAAUGAUCUUCCAGAUUAUUAAAUAAUUGUUCUAAUUUAUACUAGUAGUAGUAGCUUUUUUAAUUUGUGUUAAUUUAAUUUUGUAAUAUGUAAUAUAGUAAUUAAUGUUACUAGCAUUUUAUUAUUAUUAUUAAUUUUUGUGUUGAAUAUUUUUUAUUUAAAAUAUUAGUAUAAUAUUCAAAAAUUAAAAAAUGAAAUAAAAAUAAUAACAAAAAUAAUAAUAAUAAUAACUUAAAAUAUUAUAUAAAAUAGGACAUAUAUGUAAAUAAGAAAAAGUAAUAAAGAUAUUUAAGAGCUUUUUUUCCUAGCACCAAAUGAAUAGUGUUACACCAUAUUUGGUGCAAUACUAUUCACAACACCAUUUUGUUGUUGGUUUUGGUGUUACAUUGGAGAAGCAUUUUACACCAAAAAUAGUGUAAAAGGUGGUUUGGUGUUAGUUUUGGUGUCACAUUGGAGAUGGCCUGGAAAAGCACUUGAAAACUUUGGAUUUUUGGUUCGUCCAGUUACGGUGUUAUGCUAACGGGGUUAAAGGUUCCGAUCCAAUGAGUUAGGAUCCGAAGGUUACUGAAGUUUACUAUCAAGAGUUUCAAAACAGUGAAAAAGAUGAUAUAGUUGAUGACAAAAACCUGAGUUAUCCAUAGCGACAAGUAACAUACUGUUUAUUACAGAGAAACAAACGACAACAUGAUACUAGUAGUAGUUAUUCUUUUCAUCCGAUAUAUUACAUGGUAAUAUCACUACUCGUUCCACUAGUUUCAUGUACACUGUCGACCAGCAACAUGAUAAUUUCGUGCCAGUUCAUUUUGGUUUGUUGGAAAAAGCAGUGUAUUUCUUAGAACUUGAAAAUAAUAAAAAUAUUUUAAAAUAUAAAUUGCAUAUUUGUUUAUUACCAUUCUUUGGUCUAUUUCUUCUGUAGACUUUUCAGAAUCUGUAGGACGUUAGUUUAUAACUUUGGGAUUUUGUAGCCCUAAUUUUUUUUUUUGGCAUUUUAUUUUGCUGCUUUAUCUAUGUGCAUGUUAACUAAAUUAAGCUAAUCUAGAAUUAAUAGAGAGGGAUAUUUAUCUAUUUUGUUUAACCUUUACCACUCUAGGCAUUGUACUACAUGUGAGCUUGUGAUGCUUGCAUUUUAUUGAUGUUGAUGAUUCGUUGAAUGUUUUAUUUUUUGAUUUUUUAAGUUUUCCAGAGUCAUGUUUGUGUCUACGAAGAAAUUGUAAAGGCUGUGCACGAAGCACUUGUCAUUCUUUAGACUUUAUUGAUUAUAUUUUUGUCAGAUUUGCGUGUAUAUUCACAUAUGUUUUAUUUUUUCAUUUUGUAGGACAUUUUUACAUGCCAUAUUAUCACGACUCUUCUGUGUCUGAAUAAGAAGAAAGCAUAAUGCGACCCUCCAACAGCUUAAUCUAUGGAAUUAUCGUGUUUUGUAAGUUCUGGUCCAAUGGCGUUUUGGCACAUCAUAUGAUAGACCACUAUAUUGCGUUGCUUUACAAAAGAUUAAUAUUUUUAAAAUUAUUAACUCAUGAUAUGAUAGUCCAGGUUUUCGAGGACCACUAUAUUGUAUGGAUUUAAAAAAAAUUAAUAUUUUUUAAUAUUAAUAUUCUAAAUUAUAUUCAGUUAAAAUAUUAAAUAUUAAAUACAUUCUUAACAUUAAUAUUCUUAGAUGAAAUUCUUUUGCUGACUUAAGAAUAAAGUAUUAAAUAAUUUUAUUUUUCUUUUAUUUUGUAACGUGGACCCAAAAAAAAAAGGAAAUGAAUUUAAUAAAACCUUCAUUCCGCCAACAUGCAUGUUAAUUGUUUCCAAAUUCCAACCUCCGUACUCUCUUGAGGAGUUUCCCAUUCAUCAAUUAUUAUUUUUUAUAAUCCAUACCAUCCUGAUAUAAUUAAACACCAUUAAUAAUGUACCAGCCUUUAAAUAGUAAUUAAUUUAUUUAUCUAAUUCACCAAAUGUUUUUUUCCGGUACAUAUCUCCAUUGGUAUCAAGAAGAAGCAGAACCCAAAGAAAUGUUUCUUGCAUCUUCAUAUUUGUGCGAAUUCAUCCUUUCAUUGAGAAUAACCAUUUCCAGGCAGCAGUUGGCAAUCAAUUCAUGCGCAUGUCGAUGCUACUCAUAGAUAUUAAAGACAAUGAUGAACCAAAGGUAAUAAAUCAUAAAUGCAUAAUUACCAAACCUCCAUCCUUCUCUCAUUAUGACUUGAUUUUAAAUGAAUUAUUGCUUGGUAACAUUAUUUCCAACCAUUGCAAGAUUUUUUUUUGGAGAAAUUUCAAUUGAAAGUAAAACCUUUAGACAUUUACCUAAUGAAGUUAGUUAAUCGGGAGGGUGGAAAAAAAAAAGUUGACGCAAGUCAAUACACAAUAAUUAAUUAAAUCCGGAGUCACUAAAACAGAGCCACGACUUUUUCAAAAAUAUCUGCAUUCAUCACUUUCUCCAGCAACUAGUCAGCUACACACGAAUCAAUUUCUCUCCUCGUUUGUCAUCCAAAAUUAUUCACCAAUACCAUGGCUGAUGCAAUCGUUUCCCCGCUCUUGGAGCAGCUGAUUUCCUUCGCUGCUGAAGAGAUAAAACAACAGGUGAUCGAAGUUACACCCCUCAUAUUACAAAUACUUCCAAUGAUUUUAAUUGGUUUUGUUUUUAUCAAAAACAUUAUAUAUUUUUGCUUUUUUUUAUUUAUCUGAUAAUUUUAUAUUUUGAAAUUUGAAUUGAAUUUAAUUAAAAGGUGAUGUAGUAACCACUUAUUUUUAUUUUAUUUCAUUUAUAUUCUCAAUAACUACUCAUAUUUUGGUAACUUACUAUAACUUCCAUAUCUAAGAAAUGAUCCAAACCCACAAUUUUAACUAUGUAUAAAUAUUCAACGUUGAGCUAAGGUUUUGCAGAACAUUCAAGUUUAUCAAAUAGUCAUUAAUUUAAUGUUUUAGUAAAACCUCAACUCAUCACUGAAUCCCAUAGCUAUUACUUAGACACUAUGAAAAAUUUCAUAGUUUUCUUACAUUCUUUCAGUUUGGUAAGUGAUUUCAUAUAAUUUCUUUUCAAGUUAAAUUUUAAUUUGGUUUCUGAUAUAGUCUCUUUGCCGAAUUGUAUCUUUUAUGAUUCUUGGAUUUUGGGCUCCAACUUUUUAGGAUUUGAUAGUCACAUUUUAUGCCAUGCUCAGAUUGAUUUUCAUGAUUUUUAGUACCCGUUAAGUGACGUACAAUUUGACAAAAGUUUGAAAGGAAAUAUGUUUCAGAAUUCUGUUUUAAUUGACCUUUUAGUGGAAUUAGGAUGCUUAUAACUUAAUGUGGAUGGUUCGUAAAAUCAUGAAAUUUGGAUAGGAUUCACUAGCAAUAUGUACAAGACUCCCCAUAAAGUUUCAUAAUUUUUCAUUCGGUCUGGGGUGGUACAGGUGAAACUUGUGGUUGGUGUUGAAAAAGAAGUGAAAAGCCUUACCAGCCAUCUUCAAGCCAUUCAAGUUGUGCUCGAUGAUGCAGAGGAAAAGCAAGUGAAGGAAAAAGCUGUUAGUCUUUGGCUGGGUAGGCUCAAGUAUGCAUCCUACGACAUUGAAGAUGUGUUGGAUGAGUGGAUAACAACAAGACGCAAAUUGCAAAUUGAGGGUGGCGUUGAUGAAAAUGCUCUUGUUGUUCCUCAUAAGAAAAAGAAGGUAUGUCUCUGCUUUCCCGGCUCUUGUUUUGGAUUCAAACAAGAAGAAUUUGGUUUCAAACAGGUCUUUCUCCGUCAUGACAUUGCCGACAAGAUCAAAGAAAUCAAUGAAGAGCUACAUGAUAUUGCCGCUCAAAAAGACAUGUUUGAUCUUGUUAAGAGUGGCAAUAAAAGUAGUGAAAGACCAAGGCGUGUACAGAGUACCUCCUUGAUUGAUGAGGAAGAGAUUUGUGGCAGAGUUGGUGAGAGGAAUGAACUCUUAAGCAAGCUGUUGUGUGAGAGUAGCGAGCAACAAAAAGGCCUUCAUAUCAUCUCAAUCGUUGGUAUGGGAGGCAUAGGGAAAACAACUCUUGCACAACUAGCUUGUAAUCAUGACGAGGUGAAGAGAAAGUUCGACAAAAUUCUGUGGGUGUGUGUAUCAGAAACUUUUGAGGAGUUUAGGGUUGCCAAAGCGAUCGUUGAAGUUUUGGAUGGUCGUGAAUCUCAUUUAGCUGAAUUCCAUUCUCUUCUUCAACAUAUUUAUGAAUCCAUUGCAGGGAAGAGCUUUCUUCUUGUCUUAGAUGACGUGUGGGAUGGAAAUUACUUGAAAUGGGAACCAUUCUACCAUUGUCUAAAGAAUGGUCUCCAUGGAAGUAAAAUUUUAGUUACCACACGUAAAGGGUCAGUCGCAUCCAUGAUGGGAUCCAUAGAUAUUAUCUCCGUUAAGGAGUUAGCUGAAGAGGAAUGUUGGUUGUUGUUUAACAAGAUAGCAUUUUUUGAUCGGUCCAUCGAGGAACGUGAAAAAUUAGAACAAAUUGGGCAAAGAAUUGCAGGCAAGUGCAAAGGUUUACCUCUUGCAGCAAAGACAAUAGGGAGUCUCAUGCGUUCUAAACAAACUGAAGAAGAGUGGAAAAGAAUUUUAAAUAGUGAUUUAUGGAAAGUAGAAGAGAUUGAGAAAGAUGUUUUGUCCUCUUUAUUGUUGAGUUAUAAUGAUUUGCCAUCUAGAGUAAAAAGAUGUUUUUCAUAUUGUGCUGUCUUUCCAAAAGACUACAAUAUAGAAAAAGACAAACUAAUCACGUUAUGGAUGGCUCAAGGUUAUCUUAGUGCAGAAGAAGAUGAAGAGAUGGAGACAGUAGGUGAAGAGUAUUUUGGCAUCUUAGCUUCUCGCUCAUUUUUUCAAGAGUUUAAGAAAAGUUAUGAUAAUCGGAUUAUAGAGUGUAAGAUGCAUGAUAUGGUACAUGAUUUUGCCCGAUUUGUAAGUCAAAAUGAAUGUUUUUCGAUGGCAAUUAAUGGUAGUGAAGAACCAAACGCCACAAACUCUCUUGAUGAGAAGGUCCGUCAUUUAAUGUUAAUCUUUAGUAUAGAGGCUUCAUUACCUGUUUCCACUUGUAGAGUUAAAAGAAUUCGUAGCCUCUUAAUUAACGAUAGUAGAUCUGAUCAUUCAUUAUUAAAUGGUGAGAUCCUAGAAGAAUUAUUUAGGGAAUUGACAAGUUUAAGGGCAUUAGAUUUUUGCAAAUCGUAUAACGCAAGCUGGUCUUCGACUCUGGAGAUUCCGAGAAACAUAGAAAAGCUGGUACAUUUAAGAUACCUUAAUUUGUCUUAUCAGGGAAUAAAGAAACUACCGGAGACAUUAUGCGAGUUGUAUAAUCUAGAAAAGUUAGAUAUUAGUUAUUGUUAUAAGCUAGAAGAAGUACCUGAAGGGAUUGGGAAGUUAAUAAACAUGAAGCAUUUACGAAAUAGAGGUACUAGUUCUUUAAGGUACAUGCCGGUAGGGAUUGGGAGAUUAACGGGUCUUAGGACCUUGGGUGAGUUCCACGUGAGUGCAGGAGGAGGUGUUGAUGGUAGGAAAGCAUGUAGGCUUGAAUCUCUUUAAAACUUGGAACACCUUCAAGUAUGUGGUAUAUGUAGACUGGGUGAUGUAUCAGAUGUGGGCGAGGCUAAGCGAUUAGAACUUGACAAAAAGAAAUACCUCUUCAGUUUGACCCUUGAGUUUGAUAAGACGGAAAGAGGAGGAGAAAGGAGGAAGAACGAGGACGAUCAACUUCUUCUUGAAGCCUUGCGACCACCCCUGGAUUUAAAGGAAUUAGAGAUACGGUACUACCGAGGCAACACUGUUUUCCCCAGCUGGAUGGCGUCAUUAACCAACUUAAAGAGUUUACAUCUCCAUAGGUGCGAAAAUUGCGAGCAGCUGCCUCCUUUGGGAAAAUUGCCGUCCCUUGAAAAUCUCUACAUAUGGCGCAUGGAGAGUGUGAAGAGAGUGGGUGAUGAAUUUUUGGGGAUAGAAAGUGAUCAUCAUGACUCAUCGUCAUCUUCAUCAGUUACUAUUGCCUUCCCCAAAUUGAAAUCACUCACAAUUUAUUCGAUGCUGGAAUUGGAGGAGUGGGAUUAUGAGAUUACAAGAACAGGAAACACCGUCAUCAACAUCAUGCCACGUCUUUCUUCCUUGACAAUUGUUGAUUGCACCAAAUUAAAGGCACUGCCCGACCACAUUCAUCAAACGACAACGUUGAAGGAAUUGAGCAUUUUUAUGUGUUGGCUUCUGAACAAACGUUACCGCAAGGGGAAAGGAGAAGACUGGCCUAAAAUAUCACACAUUCCCAACCUCCAUAUUGGGCUUUGACAAGUAAUUUCUUCUCUCACUCUGAUUUGCUUUGUUGUUGUUUUUGUUGAAAAGUUAAAAAGUUUGGUUGGAAAAGAAAAGUGAGCCACAUGCAUUGCUUUUGUUUUUCAAAGUCGGCACCAAAUUGCAAACUGUAUUUGGCAUUUGACAAUCCUGCACCAAAUGAAGAAAAAUGCAAAAGUUAGCAAAAUUUGUCAAAUUGACAGAGAUGGAGAUUGAUAAAUUGCAGAGGGAUUAGGUGGAAUAGUGCAUGCUUGAAGCCUAUAAAUUGAAGCCAUUUCUUCAUUCUAAAUAAUCCCAAAAUUGUUAAACUUAUAAGUUUCUAAGCUUUUGAGAGAAGUGAGAGAAGUGUGUCUGUGGAAUUUAUUUUUCCUGCAGAGUGUGAGAGUACUUGGUAUAUUUGGGUUUCUGGGAAGUGAGAUUCGUUACUCAAAUAUUGUAUUCUAUUAAUUGUUAAAUAAACAAUUAUUCUUUCUUACCUCCGUGGAUGUAGGUUUAAUUACCGAACCACGUAAAAUCUUGUGUCCUUUAUUUUUCAGUAAUUAUUUGGUGCGCUUGAUUCCGCAUUCCGCGCACAACAGUUUUUAAUCUAAUUAAGAAGCGAAAAUAGCAUUUUGAAUCAAACUCUAUAUCAGAAAUCUGCAAUACUUACUUUCUAAUAUUCUGAUUUUCAUAUCCUAUGAAUAUACGAUUUUUAAUUUGUGAGAUGGGUAACGUUACUGUAAAAGAUUAUUAAUGCAAUAUGAGUAAUUCUUUUGCAGGACAAGUGACCUACAUUUAGUUUGGCUUUGGAGUUGAAUAAUAACCUUUCGAGGUCCCGACAACCAAAAAACAAAGCUUAAUUUGCCACAGAUUGAACGUAUUGCCAUUAUUGACAAUUUUCUGCACAAGUGUGACUGAACUUAGGUUGAUGUCAAAAGAGGUAAAUUAUUGGCAUGCCUCACUAUUUUGACCAUUACAUGAUUCAUAAGUUUACAUUAAUUUUGAUUUUGAGUUGAGUGAUUAGUUUUCUAGGUUUGCUUACUUUAACUGGGUGACCAAUUUCUUGUAACUAAAUGUAUGAUGUGAUGCAGGAAGCAGGGCAGGAUAUGAAAAGAGAAGCUUAUUAGAGGAAGGAUUGCCAGUAACAGAAUCCAAAGAAAAAGAAACCAUUUCGAGGCAGCUGUUGGCAGUUGGCAGUGAAUGGAGCCCCUUGAAAAAAUUCCCAAGCCGUUGCACUGCAAUUACGAUCAUCCUCGGCCUCAGGUAAUUUCUUCUCCUGCAUUUUUGUUAUUUGCUAUCAAGUGACUAUUUUAAGUAUGAUUGCAUUAAGCUGCUGCUGGGAAAUUUGAGGUUUUGAUGACUGCCCAUGCUAUUGUCAGAAGCUGCGGUUCUUUUCAUCAGCCUGAACCUGGACCUGCCGCUAUGGAUAACUCAGGUUUUUUUUUUUUUUUAAUCAACUGCCAUCUUUUCCACUGUUUAGAAACUCUUAAGAUUAAACUUUAGUAAAGUUGUUUUAGUUAUCCAUGUAAUCAGGCUGAGGAUACUUAGCUGCCUAUUUAAGCAAAUGUCAGAAUUUAGUUUGUUCGCUGGGAACUGGUGUGGACUGGCAAAGGAUGAUGAGAUAGUUUUUUGAGUGAGUAAAUUUUGGGAGCUUGAGUGUAUUGGGAUUUGCAAUUACAAUCAUCGUCUGCCUCAGGUGAUUUCUUCUCCUGCUCUAUCAUUGUUUGUUCUCUAAUUCAAAAGCAUAAAAUAUUUCAAUCAAUUUUUAUGCCAGGAAUAUGCAAAAGUUUCUAAUAUUUUAUUUCCAUCUGUUACAAGAUCAAACUGAAGUAGAACUCAAACAAAAGUAUGCUACUUCUUGCGGAAAUCUUGCCUUUGUUCAGAUUAUGAAACCAUUUCCAUGCAGCAAAUUCAUCCAAAAGUUUGAAUAAGUUUCAUGGUUGGACACUGUUGGCUUCUUUUUCUUCUGGGGUGCAUUUAGGUGCUAUCAAGUGACAGCUGUAAGUAUGAUUGCACUAAGCUGCCGCUGGGAAAUUUGAGGUUUUGAUGGCUGCCCAUGUUAUUUUCAAGAAACUAUUGAUGUAAGAAGCUGUGGUUCUUUUCAUCAGCUUGAACCUGAAACUGUCGCUAUGGAUAACUCAGGUUUUUGUUAUCAACUAUAUCAUCUUUUUCACUAUUUUGAAACUCUUAAGAUUAAACUUUAGUAAAGUUGUUUCAGCUAUUCAAAUGAAAAACUCAUUGAUUUGAGACUUCCUUCAUUAUUGUUUCUAAUUACAAUGCUAACGAUCUAGAUAAAAUAAUAUUUAAUCGGCGCAGGUGUCCCUUGGAAGUACAUCCAACUUUUUCUUUUAUUAUAUAAAUUCUUGCAAUGAGCUUAGUGAAGCUGUUGUGCUAAUCAUGCCACUGCAUAAUUUGGCCCCUAAUGUGGGUACUCUGUUACAUUGUUCUGCAAAUUCUCCAGAAGUUAAAAUCAAUAAAUUUUCUAUUAGCUCUAGUGCUUUGACCUAAAUGCUAUUCUAUAUUUUGAUUACAAUGUUUUAACCUUUAAAUUAACUACCCCUAGAUGUUGGAUUUUCUAGAACUUCAAAAUGAUUAAUGGAGAAAGAUCCCAUUAUCGUUAUUGCUAUAAGAAAUUGAUUUAUGCAUCCAAAGAUACAUUAUAUAUUUCUGUGUCUCUAUUUGUAGAUGACAUUUAAGCAUCCAUAAACCGUCAGACAGAGGAAGGGUGAUGGGUGUCGAAGCCAACAAAAAUAAAUUCCUACUCUAAAUAAAUUGUGUAUAGUGAUUGAGCAGGGUCGUGUCCACAGAGAUCGGUAAUUAAUUAAAUCCUUUUGAAACGUAAAACAUAAAAUGGGGGAAUUGUUGACAAUAAUAAAAAUCAAAUUAAAAUAACAAGAAUGCAAAUUAAAGUUGUAAUUCAAAUUAGAGAAAGCUCUGGUUGAAGGAAUUAACUCAGCUUGAUUCGACUACUGAUCAUUGAUUCAAAUAUAGAUUAUUAUUACUCAUGAAUAGACCGGUUAUAGCUACUGAGACCCUCUAAUAGCCAAUCUCUCCUUAACUAGUCGAUAACCAAGGUACGACCAUUGGUUAUUUCCCUAAUCAAUAGACAACCCUAGAUACGAUCAUAGAAUUUAAUCAAUUGACAGCCUGAAAAACCAGAGAGACCCAAAUCCUAAUCAACACAUAUGAUGAUUCAUUUAAAUUAGAUUGUUUAUUCUCACAACACAACUCUCUGCUAUGUUAUUUGUCACAAACAUUAAAUUCUUCAUACGAUGAAUCCUUUAAUUGACAAUAGAUUAAGUUGAUAAUUAAAUAGUGGCCAAUUACCUAAUUAACAAACAUAAUCAUGAAAAUAAUUCAGAGAAUAAACAAAUACCCAAAAAGUAAUAAAACAAUUAAAGCACAAGAAAGAUCUCACAGUAGUGAUGAAUCAAAGCUUCAUUAACCUUCAACCAGAAAAAUAGGUUUAGCUCUUCAUAGAGAGAAGAGAAAAAUUAGAUCUAGGGUUUCUUUCUUUUUCUCCAAUCCAAAAAUCCCCCUUUUUCACAAUAGAUUCCUCCCUUAAAUACUUUCUCUCUCUUCUCUUUUAGAAUUCUAUUUAAAAUAAAAUCCUAAUAUCUGAAAUAUUAAAUUCGUAAUUACAAAAAUAACCAAAAAUACAAAACACGUUAAACUAAAAACUGCAGGUCCGCAGUUGACAGCACGCGCCCACGCCUUAUCAACAAAGUUCUUCUGACGCUCAUAAUUUCUCCAAGAGAACAAUCAUCCUUAAACAUCAUCUUAUAGCUCAAUUUUAUCAUCAAUCAAUAGAAUUGCACCUACAAAAGUAAAACACAAGUAAAUCACUAUUAUUAAGUGCAAAACAUUGAUAUUAAGGGAAGUAAAUAAUGCAAAACUAGUGCAUAAAUUGCACUCUAACAAAGGGGGUUCAGUGCAAAGAUUCUGUUGACCUAGGGUUGACUGCAUAAUGUCACUUGUUCGCAAUCUAUUAUUUAUUUUAUAUUUUGAAGAAUUUAAUGGGUAAUCCUAAUUGUUUGUUUUGGCAGGUAUGUGUUGUUAUCUCCUUCUAUCUAACAGUCGUACCUAAAUAGCAUAGUUUCAUCUGUGUUACCAUGUGAUGUACAUAAUUUCACAUUUGCCUCAGAUUAAGCUUAAUUUCCCACAAAAUAGAGCUGUCGCGACUGGACUUAGGUUGAUGUCCAAAGAGGUAAAUUAUUGGCAUGCCUAGAUAAUUUGGCCAUUUCCUAAUUCAUAAGUCUACAUUAUUUUUGAUUUUGAGUUGACUGAUUUCUUUUCAAGGUCUGCUUCCUUAACGGAGUGACCAAUGUUUUUCAACUAAAUUUAUCAUAUGAUGCAGGAAGCAGGGCAGGAUAUGAAAUGAGAUCUCAUUGGUGGAAGUAUUGCCAGUAGCAGAACCCAAUGAAAAUGAAACUAUUUCAAGGCAGCAGUUGGCAGUUGCAAGUAAAUGGAGGCCCUUGACAAAAUUCUCAAGCGGUUGCAAUGCAAUUACGAUCAUCCUCAGCCUCAGGUAAUUUCUUCUCCUGCUUUGUAUUUAUUUGUUAUCUAAUUAGGAAGCGUAAAGUAUCUUGAAUCAUUUUCUGUAUCUGGAAUAUAUGCAAGAGUUUCUAAAAUUUUGAUAUGAGUGUAAUGAUGGUAAUUUCUGUUUUCUGUCUGUCAUCAAAUGUUAGAAAACUUUCAUUGAGACCCUUGAACCGAGUCAUUUUUGACAAGUGAAGGACAAUUGCUGAAGAGUGGGAAUGGUGCUAGAUUGGGGAAUAAAGACAAAGGAGGUAAAUUAUUUGCAGUUUAUUCAGCAUUAUUUGCUUUGGACCACCGCCUGAUUCACAAGUCUCCAUAAUUUGGCUUUUGAGCAGUUGUUAAUAAAUUUUUAAUUCCAUUGGUGCUAAAUGUGCACGUGAAGCAGGCAGAGCAGGACUGUGGAAAUGAGAAGGUUUUUAGUGAAAGCUUAAACUCAGGUAAUUCUAAAAAGUACAUGUUUUUGCUGAUUUAUCUAAAUCAGGAAGUUUUAUUUCCAUCUGUUACAAGAUAAAACAGAAACAGAACACAAAGAAAAAUAUUCUACUUCUUCUGGCAAUCUUGCCUUCAUUCAGACAAUGAAACCAUUUCCUUUCACCAAUUUCUUCCAAAAGUUUGAAUAAGUUUCAUGGUUGGACAUAGUUAGCUUCUUUUUCUUUUGGUGCAUUUAGGUCCUAUCAAGUGACAGCCAUAAGUAUGAUUGCAUUAUUGGGAAAUUUUAGGUUUGGAUGGCUCCCCAUGUUAUUGCCAAGAAAGUCCUCAUGUCAGAAGCUGCGGUUCUUUUCAUCAGCCUGAACCCGAACCUGUCGUUAUGGAUAACUCAGGUUUUUGUCAUCAACUAUAUCAUCUUUUUUACUGUUUUGAAACUCUUAAGAUUAAACUUCAGUAAAGUUGUUUCAGUUAUCCAUGUAAGCAGGCUAAGGAUAUUUAGCAGCUUAUUUAGGCAACUGCCAGAAUUGAGUUUGUUUGCUCGAAACUUGUAUGGUGACAAGGAUACUGGCAAGGAUAGUGAGAUAGUUUUUUGUGUGAGUGAAAUUUGAAAGCUUGGGUGUUCUGGGAUUUGCAAUUGCAAUCAUCCUCUGAGUCAGGUGAUUUCUUCUCCUGCUCUGUCUUGAUUUUCUCUCUAAUUGAAAGCAUAAAGUAUUUCAAUCAAAUUCUGUACCAGGAAUACGUAAAAGUUACUAAUAUUUUAUUUCCAUCUGUUCGCAUUGAUAACUCGGCGGCAUAUGUGUUGUGCGCGGAAUGCGGAAUCAAGCGCGCCAAAUAAUUAUAGAAAAAUAAAGGACACAAGAAUUACGUGGUUCGGUAAUUAAACCUACAUCCACGGAGGCAAGAAAGAAUAAUUGUUUAUUUAACAACUAAUAGAGUACAAUAUUUGAGUAACGAAUCUCACUUCCCAGAAACCCAAAUAUACCAAGUACUCUCACACUCUGCAGGAAAUAUAAAUUCCCCAGACACACUUCUCUCACUUCUCUCAAAAGCUUAGAAACUUAUAAGCUUAACAAUUUUGGGAUUAUUUCAAAUGAACAAUUUCCCUUCUAUAUAUAGGAACCGUAGCUCACCUACCACUUCCAAUUUGGCUACAACUUGCCGAAUUGAUAAAUUGAAUUUAGAAUGGAAAAUCAAUUUGGUGAGCAACAAAAUCAACAAGUUUGAAAAAUCAAUUGGCUUCUAGAAAAACAUCACAUUUUUCCUCCAUACAAUUUCAACAAAAUCGUCCCACCAACCAUGUCUUUUGAAAUUUGCAUGCCAUUCUUUGACUUGUUGUGCGCGGAAUGCGGAAUCAAGCUCACCAAAAAUUACUGCAAAAAUAAAGGACACAAGAAUUUACGUGGUUCGGUAAUUAAACCUACAUCCACGGAGGCAAGAAAGAAUAAUUGUUUAUUUAACAAUUAAUAGAAUACAAUAUUUGAGUAACGAAUCUCACUUCCCAGAAACCCAAAUAUACCCAGUACUCUCACACUCUGCAGGAAAGAUAAAUUCCCCAGACACACUUCUCUCACUUCUCUCAAAAGCUUAGAAACUUAUAAGCUUAACAAUUUUGCGAUUAUUUCAAAUGAACAAUUUCCCUUCUAUAUAUAGGAACCGUAGCUCACCUACCACUUCCAAUUUGGCUACAACUUGCCGAAUUGAUAAAUUGAAUUUAGAAUGGAAAAUCAAUUUGGUGAGCAACAAAAUCAACAAGUUUGAAAAAUCAAUUGGCUUCUAGAAAAACAUCACAUUUUUCCUCCAUACAAUUUCAACAAAAUCGUCCCACCAACCAUGUCUUUUGAAAUUUGCAUGCCAUUCUUUGACUUUUCAACAAUUCUCCACCUCGGCGAAAAUUUUCCAAAUCUGAGCCGACUACCAACUAACCAUCCCCAAAGUGAUCCUUCAAUAAGGAUCCAGAAUGGCUGUGUCGAUUCGACUGCCUACGUACCCAAACUGUCUUGAUUUUCUCUCUAAUUGAAAGCAUAAAGUAUUUCAAUCAAAUUCUGUACCAGGAAUACGUAAAAGUUACUAAUAUUUUAUUUCCAUCUGUUCGCAUUGAUAACUCGGCGGCAUAUGUGUUGUGCGCGGAAUGCGGAAUCAAGCGCGCCAAAUAAUUAUAGAAAAAUAAAGGACACAAGAAUUACGUGGUUCGGGAAGCAGUUGGCAGCAAAUUCAUAUGGAGUGUAGACAAUGAUGAGCAAAAAGGUGAUUCUCAAUUUCUUUUUUUUUUAAAGUGAAAUUAUUUGUUAGAUUGAAGCUGAUAUUGUAAGAAGGCCAUUGAGCUAACCUAUGUCGCCACUUGCCUAGAUUGCAGGGGGUCAAGACUCAAAAGAAGCACUGAAAUUUAAAAAGCAUGCAAUAGUUCUUUUGCCAUGUAUCAAUUAAUGCAAGUUUGAAUAAAAUUAACAUAUAUCAAGACACAACUAGAAACAUCAUACUUUCGUGUAAGUUCAUUUCAGAAUAUUUCUUAGAGUUUGUAUAAAAUGAAAAGAUUUUAAAAUAUAAAUUUAAUAUUUGUUUAUUACCGUUGUUUGGUCUAAUUUCCUCGGGAGAAUUUUCAGAAUUUAUAGGACAUUAGUUUAUAAUUUUGAAAUUUUGUAACCUAAAUGUUUUUUUUUUUCGGUUACCAUUUUGUUUUCCUGCUUUAUCUACGUGUAUGUUGACUAAAACUAAUCUAUUUUGUUAAACCUUUACCACUUUAGACAUUGCACUAAAUAUGAGUUCGUGAUGCUUGCAUUUUAUUGAUGCUGAUGAUUCGUUGAAUGUUUUAUGUUUUUGAUUUUUAAGUAUUCCGGAUCGAAGUUUGUGUCUACGCGGAAAUUGUAAAGGCAGCAUAUAAAGUACUCGUCGUUCUUUAGAUUUUAUUGAGUACACUUUUUUCACAUUUAGCGUAUGCUAUACACUACUGAUUUGCGCAUUGACAUAUAACUUAUUUUAUCAUUUUGAAUGAAUUGCACGGCGAGGCUUAUCAACUUUGGAUGAAUCCUCCAAUUGUCACAGUCCAAGACUGGCUGCAGUGAGUGAAAAUUUACCCAUAUAUAUGCUGGCUAUUUUUAUUGGCGACGAAUUCGUUGUAGUUGGUCCAUCUUGCUAUUCUCGGACAAUAUUAGAGAAAAUAAUCAUAUUAUUUCGCGUGAUGUGACCUUCCAUAACUUAUCAAUUGAAUUACUGUAAAAUUAUUGUGUAAGUUUAGGCCCAAUGGCACUUUAGUUCAUCACAUGAUAGCCUGGAUUUAAAUGGAAAACUAUAUUGCAUUGCUUCAAAAAAAUAAAUUAAUGUUUUUAAUAUGAAUAUUUUUAACUAUAUUCAGUUAAAAUAAUAUAUUCUUAAUAUUAAUAUUCAUAGAUGAAAUUCUUUUGCGGAUUUAAGAAUAAAAUAUCAAAUAGUUUUAUUUUUCUUUUGUUGUGUAACUUGGACCGAAAAAGAAAAUGAGCUUAACAUGACCCUCCUUCCGGCACUAUGCAUGUUUUUCUUGUAUUGAUGACAGUGCUCUUGGUGCUUCUCAUCUGCUUCUUGCUUUGGUUUCAAACAAGUCUUUCUCCGUCAAGACAUUUAUUGUAAUUUCAUUUGGAGACAUCUGUCGUUCAAAUAUAUUUCAUAUUCAAGCUGUUGAUAAUUCUGCUUGAGAAAGCCUACAAAGCAGCUGUGUGAUGUAAUGGAAGACUAUAUAUGCAAGCGGUCAUCAGUUUCUCUUGAAUUCUUUCUUGAGUUUCUUUGAAUUAUUUGUGAAUGAGUUCUUAAUCGGCUGCUGCUCUUCAGGAAAAGGAAAGUUUUGCAAACUGGUGAAGCUGAUCGAUAAAAGCAAUGUACCAUCUUUGCUGGCAUGGAUCGAUGCCAGUGAGUAGCUCAUUGGUGGAAGUAUUGCCAGUAACAGAACCCAAAGCAAAUGAAACUAUUUCAAGGCAGCAGUUGGCGCUUGCAAGUGAAUGGAGGCCAUUGACAAAAUUCUCAAGUGGUUGCGAUGCAAUUACGAUCAUCCUCAGCCUCAUGUAAAUUCUUCUCCUGCUUUGUUUUUAUUUGUUAUCUAAUUAAGAAGCACAAAGUAUCUUCAAUCAUUUUCUGUAUCUGGAAUAUAUGCAACAGUUUCUAAAAUUUUGAAACGAGUGUAAGGAUGGUAAUUUCUGUUUUCUGCCUGUCAUCCAAUGUUAGACAACUUUCAUUGAGACUCUUGAACAGAGUCAUCUUUGCUGGCAUGGAUCGAUGCCAGUGAGUUUUUUUAUUUGUCAACCUUUUUAAUAAUGCAUAUGUGUUUCUUCAACUUGAAGCGGCAUAUAAGACGAAAGAAGUGAUCUUUAUCCAAUUGCUCCAAAUUAUUUGCAAAUUACUGAACACGAAUGCUGAUGAAUAAACUGAUGGCUCUAUGUAUGUAUGCACAUGCAUGGAGAAAUUUUAAGUCAGACAUUGACUCGUGGUACCAAAUCAUUAAAUAAUCUUGAAAUCAAAGUAAUAAUUAAAUACAAAUAAAUUGCUCGAAUUGUACAUAUAUCUGAAUCAUGUAGUGAAGAAAAUACAACAACAACAGCCAAUGGCUCAAAUUCCCUAUCAACUUCUAGUCUCAACACUUUUGAGUGUCAGAAGCAUUACUCUGCUACUAGUUAACAAACAUAUAAUUAGUAAUUUGCCAUUCACUUCCCUUUUAGGCCUAACACAUUUUCUAUAAAAGAGCCACAGAGUGAACUCAGCAGGAAACACUCAAUUUCAACCUACGUAGGACCAGGAAUUUCAACCAAAAAAAAAGUGUGCAAUUGCUUAUCCUAUCCUAUUGCUACUAGAAAGAAAGUGAACAAUUAAUUUCAGUGAAUAAAUUAAAAAAAAAAUUACUUCUGCAGAUACUCAAGCUAAGAACACAUUAACCCAUUAAAGACUCCAAAUUGCAUCAAACAAAUUGUUGUUAAACAAGUAAAACAAAGAAAGAGAGUUAAGGAAGCUGACCAAGUAGUAGGGGAGCUGAAGAAAGACUGCCAGUGAAUGUAAGAGAAAAUAAAAUGCAAGAAAUGGUGAAGUGCAGCUUUUCAUGUCAACUUGAAAUUGAGUUUUCUGUUUUUUUUUUUUUUUUUAAUCUUUUGGAUUUUUCAAACAAAGAAAAUGAGGAGCAACCAGGGAGAUAAAAAGGGCGCCAAGGCAACUGUGUGUUGGGUUUAGAGCCAAAAAAAAAAAGAAUAAGACAUCGUGUUCUUGUGGAGACCAGACCUAUUACGUAACGUCCCCUUCAAUACCACUAGUUCCGUAUCUGGUUUUUUCUUCGUCUUUUACAUAGUUUGCAAUUUUAUUCAUUUGAGCCCUACAGAUGAUAUAAGGGACAAGAGCGCAAAACAGAAACUCUGUCCACUACUGAUGAUAUAACAACGAACCGGGGUUUUUAAUUAAAUACCCUUUAAUAGUUUCAAAAUUAUUUAAAUACCUCCUCCCUUUUUAGUUUUCAUGGAUACCCUAACAAAAUUAUUUAAAAAUGGUUCAAUUUUAUUCUACUCUCAGGAAUUAAGUGUUGGAUAGACUAGAAAAUUCUGAGUACAAAGCAUCGCUUGUUUUCGUUGGUUUUUUUUUUGCAUUCCAGUAGAAAGGUUGUGUACAAUUGAAUCUGAUAACUAUGGCAGGAGGUAAGUUUUCUAACUUGCGCAUGAUGAAUAUAGUCUUUUAUUUCUUCCAUUGUAAUUUUUGUUUAAUAGAAAAUCUAUUUGAGAUUUUGUGAGAAGAAACUCAACAAUAAAGUUUGAUAGACUUUGUGGAUAUUAAGAGUUUGACAAGUAAUUGAAAUCUGAAGUUUACUGAAGUUUACGAGCAAACAAACUGAAAUCCGAAGUUUACUGAAGUUUACUAUCAAGAGUUUCAAAACAGUGAAAAAGAUGAUAUGGUUGAUGACAAAAACCUGAGUUAUCCAUAGCGACAAGUAACAUACUGAAGUAAGCCGUGGGGAGCUGGCCUGUUCAUGGGCUAUUUUUCUCUGAUGAUCUGCAUUUUUCUUCCUUUUAAGUGAACCUUGACUCGUAUCAAACCUGUCAAAAGAACAGUUCAUCAACUGAGCUGAGAUUUGCUUUCCUUUUUCAAAACCCACCUGAGAUAUUGUAAUUCCCAAAUUUCUCUCUCUCAGCUACACGAGCAAGCAGCCGCUUUUUCACUUCAUCGACGAAGGUAAGCGAUAAUAUCUAUUUCGUCCGAUUGAUUUCUUGUUUCCUUUUCAGUGUUCGGGUAAAUUAUUGGCAUGCCUGACUUUUUGACCAUUACAUGAUUCAUAAAUUUAUAUUAAUUUUGAUUUUGAGUUGACCGGUUACUUUUAUUGGUUUGCUUACUUUGACUAGGUGACCGAUUUCUUGUAACUAAAUUUAUGACGUGAUGCAGGAAGCUGGGCAGGAUAUGAAAUGAGAAUCUUAUUAGUGGAAGGAUUGCCAGUAACAGAACCCAAAGAAAAUGAAACCAUUUCAAGGCAGCAGUUGGCAGUUGGGAGUGAAUGGAGGCCCCUGACAAAACUUCAGUAAACUUCAGAUUUCAGUUUGUUUGCUCGAAACUUGCAUGGUGACAAGGAUACUGGCAAGGAUAAUGAGAUAGUUUUUGUGUGAAUGAAAUUACGAUCAUCCUCAGACUCAGGUAAUUUCUUCUCCUGCUUAGUUGUUAUUUGUUACCUAAUUAAGAAGCAUAAAGUAUCUUGAAUCAUUUUCGUUGUCUGGAAUAUAUGCAACAGUUUUUAAAAUUUUGAUAUCAGUGUAAUGAUUGUAAUUUCUGUUUUCUGUCUGUCAUCGAAUGUAAGACAACUUUAUUAAGAUUCUUGAACCGAGUCAUUUUUGACAAUUGAAGAACAAGUGCUGAAGAGUGGGAAUGCAAAAAGUUUUGUUGUUUUUAGCCUUGUUUUCUUUGAACCAGCGCCUGAUUCACAAGAGUUCAUUAAUUUGGCUUUUGAUCAGCUGAUUGAUAAAUGUUCAAUUUCUUUGGUGAUAAAUGUAUAUGUGAAGCAGGCAGCAGGGCAUGACUGUGGAAAAGAGAAGAUUUUAGUGAAAGCUGAGACUCAGAUAAUUCUACGCGUUUUGGCUGAUUUAUAUAAUUCGUGAAAUUUUAUUUCCAUCUGUUACAAGAUCAAACUGCAAUUAGCAAUUUAACAUUCCCUUAAAACCACUAGCUACAUUUCAUCUUUGCACAAUUACACUUAAAAUUCCACUAAAAGAAACUCUUGAGUUGCUCGCAAGCUAUAUGUCAUUAUCCAUUGAAUUCUUACCACAUACAUCUCACCUUUCAAUCAAUCACAUAAUAAUCAAUAUACAUAUUGUAAGAAUUCAACAAAUGGAGAACAUAAUAUACUAUAAAAGCAUCCAAAAUUUUUCCAUCUCAAAUUAUUACUAAACUUCUUGAACAAGUUGAAGAUUGGGGGGAAAAAGUGCAAGAAGGAAAAGCAUUAUUCUACUAGUUUCUAGGUUUCUCAUUUGAACAGAAAGAUUAAAUAAGAUAUUUGUGUAUGGCUGUAGUACUACACGGUAUCUGCUAGAAAGCAAAAUACCUUCUGCUGAUUGCACAUUGGAAUGGGAAUAAGUUGGUAAAUAUAUAAGUUACAUAAAUUAUUUUGGAUAAUUCUGCUGGUGAAUUAAUUAUCUUAAAAUCACCCUUUUAUUUUUUAAAAAAUCUUAAGUUAUUUUUCAUAUAUCUUAGGAAGACAAACAAACUUUCAUCAACUCUCCUUUUUUAGCUUUUCCCUUCAAUAAUGUUAGAAAUUCUAACAUUUGAGUCCUGCUUGAGCUUAAUACUAUUUAUCACUCAUUUAUUAGAUGAUGAAUUUUUUAAAUUAUAAAGUUAUUUGACUACCAUUCAAUGAAUGAAUGUCACAUCAUUUAAAACUCAAAGAAAAGUAUUCUACUUCUUGCGGCAAUCAUGCCUUCAUUCAGACUAUGAACCAUUUCCUUUCACCAAAUUCUUCAUAAACAUUGAAUAAGUUUCAUGGUUGGACAUAGUUAGCUUCUGUUUCUUUUGGUGCAUUUAGGUGCUAUCAAGUGACGGCCGUAAGUAUGAUUGCAUUAUUGGGAAUUUUACGAUUUGAUGGUUCCCCACGUUAUUGCCAAGAAAGUUCUCAUGUCGGAAGCAGCGGUUCUUUUCAUCAGCCUGAACCCGAACCUGUCGCUAUGGAUAACUCAGGUUUUUGUCAUCAACUAUAUCAUCUUUUUCACUGUUUUGAAACUCUUAAUAUUAAACUUACAGUAAACUUCAGAUUUCAGUUUGUUUGCUCGAAACUUGUAUGGUGACAAGGAUACUGGCAAGGAUAAUAAGGUAGUUUUUUGUGUGAGUGGAUUUUGAGAGCUUGUGUGUAUAGGGAUUUGCAAUUACAAUCAUCCUCUGCCUCAGGUGAUUUCUUCUCCUGCUCUGUCUUUAUUUGCUCUCUAAUUGAAAAGCAUAAAGUAUUUCAAUCAAAUUCUGUACCAGGAAUAUGUAAAAGUUCCUAAUAUUUUAUUUUCAUUUGUUUGCAUUGAUAACUUGACGGCAUAUGUACUAGUUAAAGAACAAACAGAAUCAGAGCUCAAGAAAAAGUUUUUUCUGCCAUCAUAUUUGAAAAUGAAGUCAUUUGCAGGAAGCGGUUGGCAGCAAAUUCAUACAAAGUGUAGACAAUGAUGAGCAAAAAAGGUGAUUCACAGUUUGAUUUUUUUUUAAUAAUGAAAAUAAUUUGGUAGGUUGAAGCUGAUAUUGUAAGAGGGCCAUUGAGCUAACCUAUGUCGCUACUUGCCAAGAUUGCAGGGCGUUAAGACUCAAAAGAAGCACUGAAUUUUAAAAGGCAUGCAAUAGUUCUUGUGCCAUAUGUCAAUUCAUGCAAGUUGGAAUAAGUUUAUUGGUUUGAACGCUGUUAGCUCCUUUUCCUUUCGUGCAUUUUGGUAUGCUAUCAAGUGACAGCCGUAUGUAUGGUUUGCAUAUAGCUGCUGCUGGGAAAUGUGAGGAUUUCAUGGCUGGCCGUGUUAUUGUUUUAAAUUAGAUGUGAUAAGCUGUUGCUUGGAGAUUCUGUUGCCAAGACUUUGCUCACAUCAGAAGCUGUGGAACCUCAACCCUUCUCUAGAUAUCAUCUUUUUCAUUGUUUUAAAACUCUCAGGAUUAAACUUGAGUAAAUUUGUUCGGUUGUCUAUAUAAUCAUGUAUUGAGUAAACUCUCAGGAUACCGAGCAGGCAAAUGCCAUAACUCGGUUUGUUCUUCAAAAACUUGUUUAAGAUUCUUGACAAAGCUGCAUGAAGUGAAUCUUGGGAGCUUUGAGGGUGAGAGAAAUUAGAGGGUGUAUAGGGAUUUGGGUUUAUUAGUAAGUUAUAUAUGUAUUUCGUCACUUAUCAUUAUCAUUUUUAUUUUCACAGAAAACCUUCUGAUGGUGCUAAAUUUUCAAACACCGGUCCGAUUCAAAACUUCAUAUUCCAAUUAUAUUCAUAAGACAAAUGGAACACUUUGAACGGCUAGUGUCCGAGCAUUGUAGUUUGAUUUAUUUUGAUGAAAGUACCUUUUGACAUUGAGAUUCUUUCAUGAUUUAAACAUUCUUUUUUAAACCAAAUUAUUAAAAAAAGUAACUAACAUAUAUUAUUUUAUUAGUGCUUUUUAAAUCAAAUAUACAUAGGAGAACUGUAAUUCUUAGCAAUCAAUUUUUCACUAAAUACACCUGCAAUAAACUAUUAAUAACAAAGUGAUAGAAAAUACCUGAUUUUUCAUACUUUCUAAUUUCUUGUGGUCCUAAAAUAUGGGCAUUUGUGUAAUAAUUAGCCCAUGUGGAUCUCUAUGCCAUGAGUUUGAUAAAUAGCUAUCAAGGAUCACUUAUUAAGCUGAAAAUAUUUGGAGGACAAAAUUGUAAAACUAAAAGGGUAGAGCAAAUAUGGCUAUCUAGGAUUAAAUAGUAAGUCAACUAUAUUUAAAGGAUAAAAUGUUAAAACUUGAACUGUGAUAUUAAAAAUAUCUCAACUAUUACAUUAUUAAACCAUAUGUUCUAAUAGUUUUUUUUUAAGCUUCAAAAUGUUCAGGAUUUUAGAUUGAAACAUUUUCAUUUGAAAUUAUUUGGUGCAGUCACAAGUUAAGAAAGAAAAAGUUGUCCCAUUGGUCAUUUCACAAAAAUGAAAGCCCUGUAUAACAUGGACUUGAAUGGAAGCCCAAUUGUUUGUGUUUGAUUAAUUGAUUUCAAGCUUUAUCGGAUCUUUGGACCUGGAUACUUUACCGCGGCCUCUAAGCGCUAUAAUUUUUUUUUUUUUGGGAUAAACGGCGCUUCAAUGAGGGCAUUUCCAAUACUUAACACUAUUUUGGUGUAACACCAACACUAAAAAUGUACAUUUUUCACACUAAAUUACUAUUUAAUCUCCAACCCAUUUGAUCUACCAUGAUUGUGACUCCCACUGGGGCCACGUUCUGUUGAUCACCCUCUCGUCACCGAUAGCGCCUCCGCUUGUGGCGAACUUGCUUGUCUAUUUUCCCUAUUUUUCCGCUUACUCUCCUCAUUUAAUACGGAGGCUGCAACAUCAUCGAAAACUAGACUGUCCACUGAAUUGUAGUUUGUCAGGUUGACGAUGAGUUGUUCAUACGAAUCUUAUAGACUUUGAAGUAGAAGCUCUGCAUGUACAUUAUCCUCUAUAUUAUGACCCAACGUUGUGAGUUGUGAAAAUAGAGUCUUCAAGGUGUUGAUGUGGUCGGUCACCAUUGUAGAUUCCACCAUUCGAAGAGUAUAAAGUCUCCUCUUCAAAAAGAUUUUGUUGUGUAGUGACUUGGCCUCGUACAAUUUUGUAAGAGUAUCUCAUAUUUCCUUUGCUGUAUUUUUCUCUGCCACACUGGAUAAUACUCCAUCCGCAAGUGCCAAGUGUAGAUCAGAAAUAGCGUUGCCAUCUAUCUCAUUCCACUUGUCAUCAGUUAUCUCCAUGGGCCUUUCUCCAAUUGCUGCCAAACAAUUAUUUUUCCUCAAUACAACUUUCAUCUUCAUUUUCCACAAUGAAAAAUUAUUUCCGUUAAACUUCUCAAUUUCAUAUUUUGCUGCCAUUUUUUUGAUAAAUACCGCACACAAGUUAGUGUAUCACCUUGAAUAGUUGUCGGUAUGUGUGAGAAUGCACACCAGGAAAGUUCCCAGGAAAGACUGGAGGGGUCACACUGGUCCACUUAAAACUCAGACUCCUUAAGCACUUAUCGCGUUUGUAACAGAACUUUCCUAGACAUGUACAAAACCACACAGUUGCUUUUACUUACACCACUAUUUCCUACUUUGCAGUGCAAAAGUUCUUGGAUCGCUCCCAUCGUUUCUCGUGAACAGUACCAUAUACGUGAACAGUGCCACAUACAUGAAUAGUACCGUAUACGUGAACAGUACCGUAUACGUGAAUACUACCCUUUACGUGAACAGUACUUGACUCCAAAAAAUUCAACCAAUAGCUUUGAUACCACUGUUAGGAAAUUGGUAGGUGAAGCAGACACGCAGCUAAAAUAAAAUUGGAAGAAAAUAAAGAACAAGUACAAAGUGGACACCAAGAAAUUACGUGGUUCGGCUUUUAGCCUACGUUCACGGGCGAAGAUAGAAGGAAAAUAUUAUACUAGUGAUAUGAAGAUUACAAGUAUUGUAAUAUUUUGGCUCACUAUCCAAAACCCCAAUACACUCAAUCUCUCACUCAAUAAACUCUCAGGAGCUUUAUUAUUUUAAGCUCUUAAAAUCUCUCAAGCUUUCUCCUUAUUAUUCUCUCACAAAUUGUAUGCUAAAAUUAGGGUGGGAAGCCCUCUUUAUAUAUCCAAGAUUUUGGCUCUUUUUUUUUUAUAUAACAAGUCAACACGGCACCAUUAAGAAUGGCGAGCCAUGUUGAAUGGCAUGGCACCGCCCAUCUAGAUGGCCGGUGCCAACCAUGACUUUAACAUUCUAUCACUUGGAGAUUUGAUUGAGAAUCAAUCAAUCUCCACAUCAUCCUUUCUACUUCGCCAUAAUCAUGUUGCCUACGUUUUUACUAGGCCACAAGAGGAUCUACUCCAGUUAAACUUAUCAAUAUUGAUUGGCUUAGUCAAAACAUCUGCUAGGUUCUCCUUCGUAUGGAUUUUUGCAAAUUGACACUUCCAUCUUCCACUACUUCUCGAACGAAGUGAUACUGAACUCCUAUGUGCUUUGUCUUGGAAUGAAAGGCUGGAUUCCUUGCAAUGUGCAAGGCACUCUGACUGUCACAAAACACAGGAAUUUUCUGUUGUUUGUGCCCGAGCUCCUCCAAUAAUCUUUGUAUCCAAAUAGCUUCCUUGCAAGCUUGUAUAGCUGCCAUGUAUUCUGCUUCUGUUGUAGAUAAAGCCAGAACGGUCUGCAGUUUCCAAACCCAACUUACAACUCCUCAUGCAAAUGUAAACACAUAACUAGUAGUGGAUUUCCUUUUAUCAAGGUCUCCUGCAAAAUCUGAAUCCACAUAGCCCCUGACAGUAAACUCUGAUCCUCAAUAACAUAAUACAACAUCUGAGGUUCCUCUUAUGUAUCUCAGAAUCCUCUUCACAGCUAUCCAAUGCUGUCCACCAGGAUUCACCAUGUAUCGACUGAUUGCUCCCACUGCUUGUGCAAUGUCUGAUCUUGUACAUAUCAUAGCGAACAUCAAACUUCCCACUGCUGAUGCAUACGGUACUUGAGACAUCUCCUUCCUCUCUGCUUCAUUGCUAGGACACAUACUUGAGGAUAAUUUGAAAUUAACAGGAAGUGGGGUAGAAAUUGACUUACAAUCUUGCAUGUUGAAGCGCCACAAGAUUUUCUUCAAGUAGUUAUUCUCAGAAAGCCAAAUCUUUCUGUUAUUUCUGUCUCAGUGAAUUUGCAUCCCUAGAAUCUUGUUUGCUGGUCCCAAGUCCUUCAUUUCAAACUCCCUAGCCAACAGUGCCUUCACUUCUUGGAUUCGAUCUUUGUCGGGGCCUGCUACCAACAUGUCAUCCACAUAUAACAACAAAAUAAUGAAAUCAUUAUCUUCAAACCUUUUGUAAUAUGCACAAUGGUCUGAACUGAGUCUGUUAUAUCCAAGACUCAUGAUGAAGGAAUCAAAUCUCUUAUACCAACACCUCGGCGCCUGUUUGACACCGUAUAGAGAUUUGUUCAACCUACAAACCAAGUUUUCCUUUUCUGUUUCUGCAAAACCUUCUGGUUUGAGCAUAUAAAUUUUCUCUUCAAGUUCUCCAUGAAGAAAUACAGUUUUCACAUCUAACUGCUCUAGAUGUAGGUCAAAUAUAGCACACAUUGCCAAGACUACUCUGACUGUUGUGAGUCGAACCACCGGAGAAAAUAUCUCGUUGAAGUCAAUACCUUCUUUCUGAGCAUAUCCUUUCACCACCAAUCUUGCACGAUACCGCUCCACUUGAUCAUUGCCAUCACGUUUGAUCUUGUAGACCCAUUUGUUUCCAAUGACUUUUCUUCCAUGUGGUAGUGGUACAAGUUCCCAUGUCUUAUUUUUAUGUAGAGCUUCAAUUUCUUCCUGCAUUGCUGUCAUCCACAAAGCAACAUUUGAACUUUCUAAAGCUUCAUGGAAAGUUGAUGGCUCUCCAUCCUCUGUUAGAAGACAGUAUGCAACAUGGAUCUCUGUGACAUACUCCGAGUGCCACGCUGGCGAUCGUCUCUCACCAAUUGACCAAAGAACUUCUGGAGUCUCAGACUCGACUGGUUCUUGUUCCUCGUGCUCUGGUGCUGCUUUAGAAGAAUCUGAAUCUUCUAGAUUAUUUCCACAUAUACCGGCACAGUUUCUGACUUUUCUUUUACAGUGUCAUCAUCUCCAUCUUUCCUUUACAGUUGAUCUUCUACAAAAAUAACAUCUCUGUUGAUGACGAUCUUGUGGGCAGUGGGGUCCCACAAACGAUACCCCUUUACUCCAUUAGCAUAUCCCAAGAAGAUACAUCUUCUAGAUUUUGGAUCCAGCUUUGUUCUUUCUUACGGAUUGUACAUCACAUACACAGGACAUCCAAAUGCAUGUAAGUAGGAAUAAUCAGCUGGCUUUCCAGUCCACAUCUCCACGUUGUCUUCAGCCCAAUAGCUGUAGAUGACGACUGAUUUACUAUAUAACAAGCAGUUUUGGCUGCUUCUUCCCAAAAUGAAUUGGGUAGACCAGCAGUCCUCAACAUAGCUCUUAUUCUUUUGUAAGAGUUUUGUUCAUCUACUCCGCCACUCCAUUUUGUUGAGGAGUGUAUGCUACCGUGAACUGUCUAUGAAUACCUUCUUACUUACAGAAAGCAAGAAACUCACCGUCUGUAUACUCUCCACCAUUAUCUGUCCUCAAGCACUUGACCCUUUUACCAGAUUCAAGUUCCACCCGCGCUUUGUAUUCUUUAAAUACUGGAAAUAUAAUUGACUUUUUCAUAAUUGGAUACACCCAACAUCUCCUGGAAUAAUCAUCAAUGAAAGUCACCAUAUACUUUGCACCUCCCAUGGAUAUAUCCAGUGAUUCCCAAACAUCAGAAUGAAUCAAGUCUAAAAUGCAUUUACUUCUAGCAAUAGAUUUACUGAAUUUUAAUCUAUGCUGCUUACUUGUAACACAAUGCUCGCAAAAUGGUAAACUUACCGAUUUAAGCCCCGGAAGUAAUUUUCACUCAGAGAGAAUCUUCAAACAUUCUGACAUGUGACCAAAUUUGAGAUGCCACAUCAUCGUUGACUCUUCUCCAUUUGAUACGAGACACGCAUUAGCCUCCUAUAGUGUUUCUCCUUUAAGCAUGAAUAGAUUAGCACCGAUCUUUUCUGCCUUCAUCAAUACAAGCGCUCUUUUAACAAUUUUCGUAAUUUCAUUCUCCAUAUGAGUUUUAUACCCAUGACUAUCCAUUUGUCCCAAAGACAAUAGAUUUUUAUUCAGGUCAUUGACAUGUCGUACCUCCCCAAUUGUGCGAAUUGUACCAUCAAAAUUUUUAUUUUGAUAGUGUCAAUACCAGCGAUCUCCAAGGUAUGAUCAUUACCCAUAUAUAUAGAUCCUCCUGAGAUAUGUUCAUAUGUGUGGAACCAUUCUCUCCGAGAGGUCAUGUGCCAGGUAGCUCCUGAGUCUAUAAUCCAGACAUCAGAUAGUCGUUUUCUACCUUCUAAAACAGUUGUUGCCUCGCUUUAGAGAAUUUCACCAUUAUCUGAAGUACUUGCUACACACCCUUGAGCAUUUGAUGACUCAGGUUAUUUGCCCUCUCUUCUCUUCUGGUUACUCCAACACUUUUUCUUGACGUGCCCUUUCUUGCCACAGUUGUAGCAUUUAACAUUCUUCUUACUUCUGGAUUUUGAUCUACCAUGAUUAUGACUUCUACUGGGGUCACGUUCUGUUGAUCUCCCUCUCGUCACCAAUAGCGUCUCCGCUUGCUGCGAACUUGCUUGUCUGCUUUCAUUAUUUUUCCGCUUACUCUCCUCAUUUAAUACGGAGGUUGCAACAUCGUCGAAAACUAGACCGUCCGCUGGAUUGUUGUUUGUUAGGUUGAUGAUGAGUUGAUCAUACGAAUCUGGUAGACUUUGAAGUAGAAGCUCUGCAUGUACAUUAUCCUCUAUAUUAUGAUCCAACGUUGUGAGUUGCGAAAAUAGAGUCUUCAAGGUGUUGAUGUGGUCGGUCACCAUUGUAGAUUCCACCAUUCGAAGAGUAUAAAGUCUCUUCUUCAAGAAGAUUUUGUUGUGUAGUGACUUGGCCUCGUACAAUUUUGUAAGAGUAUCUCAUAUUUCCUUCGCUGUAUUUUUUUCUGCCAUACUGGAUAAUACUCCAUCCGCAAGUGCCAAGUGUAGAUAAAAAAUAGCGUUGCCAUCUAUCUCAUUCCAUUUGUCAUCAGUUAUCUCCAUGGGCUUUUCUCCAAUUGCUGCAAAACAAUUAUUUUUCCUCAAUACAGCUUUCAUCUUCAUUUUCCACAACAAAAAAUUAUUUCCGUUAAACUUUUCAAUUCCAUACUUUGCCGUCAUUUUGUUCAUAAAUACCGCACACAAGUUAGUGUACCACCUUGAAUAGUUGUCAGUAUGUGUGAGAAUGCACACUAGGAAAGUUCUCAGGAAAGACUGGAGGGGUCACACUGGUCCCACUUAAAACCCAAACUCCUUAAGCUCUUAUCGCCUUUGUGACAGAACUUUCCUAGACAUGUACAGAAUCACACAGUUGCUUUACUCACACCACUAUUCCCUGCUUUGCACCGCAAAAUUCUUGGAUCGCUUCCACCGUUUCUCGUGAACAGUAUCGUAUACGUGAACAAUGUCGUACAUGUGAAUAGUAUCAUACAUGUGAAUAGUAUCGUAUACGUGAACAGUACCGUAUACAUGAAUACUACCCUUUACGUUAAGAAAUUGGUGGGUGAAGCAGACACGCAGCUAAAAUAAAAUUGGAAGAAAAUAAAGAACAAGCACAAAGUGGACACCAAGAAAUUACGUGGUUCGACUUUUAACCUACGUCCACGGGCGAAGACGGAAGAAAAAUAUGAUACUAGUGAUAUGAAUAUUACAAGUAUUGUAAUAUUUUAAUUUACUACCCAGAACCCCAAUACACUCAAUCUCUCACUCACUAGACUCUCAGGAGCUUUAUUAUUUUAAGCUCUUAAAAUCUCUCAAGCUCUCCUUAUUAUUCUCUCACAAAUUGGAUGCUAAAAUGAGGUGGGAAGCCCUCUUUAUAUAGCCAAAAUUUUGGCUCCUUUUUUUUUUUUAUAACAAGUCAACACGGCACCACCAAGAAUGGUGGGCCGUGUUGAAUGGCAUGGCACCGCCCAUCUAGAUGGCCGGUGCCAACCAUGACUUUAACAUUAUAGUCCAAGUUUUCGAGGACCACUAUAUUGUAUUGAUUUAAAAAAAACUAAUAUUUUUAAUAUUAAUAUUCUAAAUUAUAUUCAGUUAAAAUAUUAAAUAUUAAAAACAUUCUUAAUAUUAAUAUUCUUAGAUGAAAUUAUUUUGCUGACUUAAGAAUAAAAUAUUAAAUAAUUUUAUUUUUCUUUUAUUGUGUAACGUGGACCAAAAAAAAGGAAAUGAAUUUAAUAAAACCUUCAUUCAAAACCUUCAUUCCGCCACCAUGCAUGCAUGUUAAUUGUUUCCAAAUUCCAACCUCCGUACUCUCUUGAGGAGUUUCCCAUUCAUCAAUUAUUAUUUUUUAUAAUCCAUACCAUCCUGAUAUAAUUAAACACCAUUAAUAAUGUACCAGCCUUUAAAUAGUAAUUAAUUUAUUUAGUUGGCCACCUAAAAGAAUCCUGCAGGAAAUAGAGGUUAAAAAUUUUAUUAAAUUUGCUUACCGCUGUAUCAUUAUAUAUAUAAAGAGUGAAAUCUAAAUGAAAUUUUUUAUCAUCCAUUCAGCAAACACUUAUAAUUCACAAAUAGUGAAUCUAUGCAUUGACAAUGUGGAUUAAGAAUUAUAACACAUGAAUUCAAACAUACCCUUGUGAAGUUAAGAAUAAGUUCAUACUUCAAAUGAUUUUUUAGCUAAUAAAGCAAUCAGUUUCAUUAAACGACAGCGUUGAAGGAAUUGUGCAAUUUUUUACGUUCUUUUCUAGACAGACGUUACAGAAAUGGGGUAAGUAGAGGGCUGGCCUCAGAUAUCUCACAAUUGUUAGUGAGAUAAAAUGUUAUUGUAAAAGGCGUUUAAUAGAAUAAUAUUAAUUCUUUUGCAUUGUUAUAAAAAUAUUUUUUUCUUUUGACAGUUCUGCAGGACAAGUGAUCAGAGCUCAAUGAAUAUAGCCGUGGAGGCACAGCAGAGCAGGAUUAUGAAAAAGAGAAGCUUAUUACAGGUCAUUCAAGUUUACUUGCUUUUAUAUAAUAAGUGUUUUGGCCGAUUUAUCUAAUUCACCAAAUGUUUUUUCCGGUACAUAUCUCCAUUGGUAUCAAGAAGAGGCAGAACCCAAAGAAACGUUUCUUGCAUCUUCAUAUUUGUGCGCAUUCAUCCUUUCAUUGAGAAUAACCAUUUCCAGGCAGCAGUUGCCAAUCAAUUCGCACGUCGAUGCUAUUCAUAGAUAUUAAAGACAAUGAUGAACCAAAGGUGAUAAAUCAUAAAUGCAUAAUUACCAAACCUCCAUCCUUCUCUCAUUAUGAUUUGAUUUUAAAUGAAUUAUUGCUUGGUAACAUUAUUUCCAACCAUUGCAAGACCUUUUUUUUUUUUUGGGAGAAAUUUCAAUUGAAAGUGAAACCUUUAGACAUUUACCUAAUGAAGUUAGUUAAUCGGGAGGGUGGAAAAAAAAAAGUUGACGCAAGUCAAUACACAAUAAUGAUUAAUUAAAUCCGGAGUGACUAAAACAGAGCCACUACUUUUUCAAAAAUAUCUGCAUUCAUCACUUUCUCCAGCAGCUAGUCAGCUACACACGAAUCAAUUUCUCUCCUCGUUUGUCAUCCAAAAUUAUUCACCAAUACCAUGGCUGAUGCAAUCGUUUCCACUAUCUUGGAGCAGCUGAUUUCCUUCGCUGCUGAAGAGAUAAAACAACAGGUGAUCGAAGUUACACCCCUCAUAUUACAAAUACUUCCAAUGAUUUUAAUUGGUUUUGUUUUUAUCAAAAACAUUAUAUAUUUUUGCUUUUUUUUAUUUAUCUGAUAAUUUUAUAUUUUGAAAUUUGAAUUGAAUUUAAUUAAAAGGUGAUGUAGUAACCACUCAUUUUUAUUUUAUUUCAUUUAUAUUCUCGAUAACUAACCAUAUUUUGGUAACUUAAUAUAACUCUCGUACAUAAGAAAUGAUCCAAACCCACAAUUUUAACUCUGUAUAAAUAUUCAACGUUGAGUCAUUAAUUCUCAACUCAGCACUGAAUCCCAUAGCUAUUACUUAGACUCUAUGAAAAAUUUCAUAGUUUUCUUACAUUCUUUGAGUUUGGUAAGUGAUUUCGUAUAAUUUCUUUUCAAGUUAAAUUUUAAUUUGGUUUAUGAUAUAGUCUCUGUGCCGAAUUGUAUCUUUUAUGAUUCUUGGAUUUUGGGCUCCAACUUUUUAGGAUUUGAUAGUCACAUUUUAUGCCAUGCUCAGAUUGAUUUUCAUGAUUUUAACUACCCGUUAAGUGGCUUACAAUUUGACAAAAGUUUGAAAGGAAAUAUGUUUCAGGAUUCUGUUUUAAUUGACCUUUAAGUAGAAAUAGGAUGCUUAUAACUUAAUGUGGAUGGUUUGUAAAAUCAUGAAAUUCGGAUAGGAUUCACUAGAAAUAUGUACAAGACUCUCCAUAAAGUUUCAUAAUUUUUCAUUCGGUAUGGGGUGGUACAGGUGAAACUUGUGGUUGGUGUUGAAAAAGAAGUGAAAAGCAAGUUGUGCUCGAUGAUGCAGAGGAAAAGCAAGUGAAGGACAAAGCUGUUAGUCUUUGGCUGGGUAGACUCAAGUACGCAUCCUACGACAUUGAAGAUGUGUUGGAUGAGUGGAUCACAGCAAGACGCAAAUUGCAAAUUGAGGGUGGCGUUGAUGAAAAUGCUCUUGUUGUUCCUCAUAAGAAAAAGAAGGUAUGUCUCUACUUUCCCGGCUCUUGUUUUGGAUUCAAACAAGAAGAAUUUGGUUUCAAACAAGUCUUUCUCCGUCAUGACAUUGCCGACAAGAUCAAAGAAAUCAAUGAAGAGCUACAUGAUAUUGCCGCUCAAAAAGACAUGUUUGAUCUUGUUAAGAGUGGCAAUAAAAGUAGUGAAAGACCAAGGCGUGUACAGAGUACCUCCUUGAUUGAUGAAGAAGAGAUUUGUGGCAGAGUUGGUGAGAGGAAUGAACUCUUAAGCAAGCUGUUGUGUGAGAGUAGCGAGCAACAAAAAGGCCUUCAUAUCAUCUCAAUCGUUGGUAUGGGAGGCAUAGGGAAAACAACUCUUGCACAACUAGCUUGUAAUCAUGACGAGGUGAAGAGAAAGUUCGACAAAAUUCUGUGGGUGUGUGUAUCAGAAACUUUUGAGGAGUUUAGGGUUGCCAAAGCGAUCGUUGAAGUUUUGGAUGGUCGUGAAUCUCAUUUAGCUGAAUUCCAUUCUCUUCUUAUAAGUAUUGAUAAAUCUAUUGCGGGAAAGAGAUUUCUUCUUGUCUUAGAUGACGUAUGGGACGGAGAUUACAUUAAGUGGGAACCGUUCUACCGUUCCCUAAAGAAUGGUCUCCAAGGAAGUAAAAUUUUGGUUACUACACGUAAGGAGUCAAUUGCGUUUAUGAUGGGAUCCAUUGAUAUUAUCUCUAUCAAGGGAUUGGCCGAAGAAGAAUGUUGGUCGUUGUUUAAGCGGUUAGCAUUUUUCGGUCGAUCCAUUGAGGAAUGUGGAAGAUUGGAACAAAUUGGACAAAGAAUUGCAGGAAAGUGUAAAGGCUUACCUCUUGCAGCAAAGGUAAUAGGGAGUCUCAUGCGUUCUAAAAAAACUGAAGAAGAGUGGCAAAGAAUCUUAAAUAGUGAGCUAUGGAAAAUAGAAGAGAUCGAGAAAGGUGUUCUAACUCCUUUGUGGUUGAGUUAUAACGAUUUGUCAUCUCGAGUAAAAAGAUGUUUUUUAUAUUGUGCUGUCUUUCCAAAAGACUACAAUAUAAAAAAAGACAAACUAAUUACAUUAUGGAUGGCUCAAGGUUAUCUUAAUGCAGAACAAAAUGAAGAGAUGAAGACAAUAGGUGAAGAGUAUUUUGGCAUCUUAGCUUCUCGCUCUUUCUUUCAGGAGUUUACGAAAAGUUAUGAUAAUCGUAUUAUAUGGUGCAAGAUGCAUGAUAUGGUGCAUGAUUUUGCCCGAUUUGUAAGUCAAAAUGAAUGUUUUUCGAUGGAAAUUAACGGCAGUGAGGAACCAAACGCCACAAACUCUCCUCAUGGGAAGCUUCGUCAUUUAAUGUUAAUCAUUGGUGAAGGGGCUUCAUUUCCUGUCUCCACUUGUAGAGUCAAAAGAAUGCGAAGCCUCUUAAUUGAUAGUAGCAGAUUUGAUUAUCAGUCGUUAAAUGGUGAGAUCCUAGAAGAAUUAUUGAGGGAAUUGACAAGUUUAAGGGCAUUCGAUUUUUGCAGAUCGGACCACACACGAUUGGGUUUCACUCUAGAGAUUCCAAGAAAUAUAAAAAAGCUGAUACAUUUAAGAUACCUUAAUUUGUCUGGUCAGAAAAUAGAGAAGCUACCGGAGGCAUUGUGCGAGCUAUAUAAUCUAGAGAAGUUAGAUAUUUGUGGUUGUUGGUGUCUUAAAGAAUUACCUGAAGGGAUUGGGAAGUUAAUAAACAUGAAGCAUUUACUAAAUAGAAAUACCGAUUCUGUAAGGUACAUGCCAGUAGGGAUUGCGAGAUUAAAGAGUCUUCAGACAUUGGAAGAGGUCAGUGUGAGUGGAAGAGGAUGUCUUGAUGGUAGGAAAGCAUGUAGGCUCGAAUCUCUUAAAAACUUGGAACACCUUCAAAUAUGCGGUAUACGUGGACUGGGUGAUGUAUCAGACGUGGGCGAGGCUAAGCGAUUAGAACUUGACAAAAAUAAAUACCUCUUCAGUUUGACCCUUUGGUUUGAUAAGAAGGAGGAAGAAGGAGAAAGGAGGAAGAACGAGGACGAUCAACUUCUUCUUGAAGCCCUGCAACCACCUCUGGAUUUAAAGAAAUUAACGAUAUGGUCAUACAGAGGCAACACUGUUUUCCCCAGCUGGAUGAUGUCAUUAACCAAUUUAAGGAGUUUAGGUCUCUGUUACUGCAAAAAUUGUGAGCAGCUGCCUCCUUUGGGAAAAUUGCCAUCCCUUGAAACGCUCCACAUAUUGGGCAUGAAUAGUGUGAAAAGAGCGGGUAAUGAAUUUUGGGGUAUAGAAAGUAAUCACCAUGACUCAUCUUCAUCUUCAUUUUCAUCAGUUAUUAUUGCCUACCCCAAAUUAAUAUCACUUUCAAUUCAUUGUCUGACGGAAUUGGAGGAGUGGGAUUAUGGGAUUACUAGAACGGGAAACACGUUCAUCAACAUCAUGCCACGUCUUUCUUCCUUGCGAAUUACUAUGUGCCCCAAACUAAAGGCACUGCCCGACCACAUUCAUCAAACGACAACACUGAAGGACUUGACCGUUGGGUGGAACUCUGAUCUUCUGCAAGAACGUUACAGCGAGGGUAUAGGAGAAGACUGGCCUAAGAUAUCUCACAUUCCCAACGUCAGGAUUUGGCAAGACGUAAUUUCUUCUCCUACUCUGAUUUGCUUUGUUGUUGUUUUUAAUCUAAUUAAGACGCAUAAAUAGCAUUUUGAUUUUGAGUUGACAAUUUUCUGGACCAGUGAUCAAGGGUGAGAAUGGCGCUAGGAUAUUGAAUAAGGCACUGAACUUAGGCUGAUGUCAAAAGAGGUAAAUUAUUGACAUGUGUAGCUAAUUUGACCGUUUCCUGAUUCAUAAGUCUACAUUAAUUUUGAUUUUGAGUUGAGUGAUUACAUUUUAAGGUUUGCUUACUUAACAGGGCCAGGACAUGAAAUGAGAAGCUUAUUAGUGGCAGUUGGCAGUGAAUGGAGGACCUUGACUAAAUUCUCAAGCGGUUGCACUGCAGUUACGCUCAUCCUAAGCCUCCUGUAAUUUCUUCUCCUGCAUUUUUGUAAUUUGCUAUCUAAUUAAGGAGCGUAAACUAUUUUGAAUCGACUUCUAUAUCAGGAAUAUAUGCAACAUUUUCUAAAAGUUUGAUAUGAGUGUAAUGAUGGUAAUUUCUCUUUUUUGUCUGUCAUCGAAAUGUAAGAUAACAUUCAUUAAGACUCUUGAGAGUCGUUUUUGGCAAUUGCAGGACAAGUGAUGAAGAGUGAGAAUGGUGCUAGAUUGGGGAUUAAAGCAAAAGGAGGUAAAUUAUUGGCAGAGAAUUGUGAGAGCUUGAGUGUACUGGGAUUUGCAAUUACAAUCAUCCUCUGCUUCAGGUGAUUUCUUCUCCUGCUCUGUCGUUGUUUGUAUCUCAAUCAAAUUCUAUAACUGGAAUAUGCAAAAGUUUCGAAUUUUUUAUUUCUAUCUGCUUGCAUUGAUAACAUCACGGCAUAUGCACUAGUUAAAGAACAAACAGAAACAGAGCUCCGGAAAAAGUUUCUUCUGCCAUCACAUUUGAAAAUUCAUGUAAAAUGUAGACAGUAAUCAGCAAAAAGGUGAUUCACAAUUUCAUUUUUUUUAUGAAAUUGAUUGUUAGGUUGGAGUUGCUAAAAGGCCAUUGGGCUAACCUAUGUCGUUACUUACCUAGAUCAAGACUCAAAACAAGCAUUGAAUUUUAAAAGGCAUGCAAUAAUUUUUGUGGCCAUAUGUCAAGUCAGGUAAGUUUGAAUAUAAUUAUUGUUGAAGGGGUUUUAUUUUCGGUGUCCAAAUAGAGAUACUGAUUCUUUAAGGUAAUGCCAGUAGGAAUUGCAAGAUUAACAAGUCUUCGGACAUUGCGAGAGUUCCAUUGAGUGGUGGAUGAGGUGUUGAUGGUAGCAAAGCAUGUGGUAUGCGUAGACUGGAAAACAUGUAAGAUGUGGGCGAGGCUAAGAGAUUAGAGAUUGACCAAAUGAAAUACCUCUUUAGUUUGAGGCUUAAAUUUGAUGGUGAAGAAGAAGGAAGGAGGAAGAAUGAGGAUGAUCAACAUCAGCUUGUUCUUGAAACCUUGCAACCACCUCUGACUUUGAAGGAAUUAGAGAUAUGGUCAUACAGAGGCAACACUGUUUCUGCAAGUAGUCCUCUCUUUUCUUUUUAUUAUAUUUUAUUUAGUUAUUAUUUAUUAUUUAUUUUUUGGUUUACUCUGCUUCUUCUUUUUACGUUUCUCAAAUUUUGAAUUUCAUUACUUUUGAACAUACGACAGUCUGUUAUGUGGCGACCCUGGUUUUUAAUUAAGGUUGUAAAAUAUUAUUGUAAAAGAUGAUUUAUUCAAUUUGAGUAAUUCGUUUGCUUUGAUAAUGAUAGCAAUUUUUUAUUUUGACAAUUUGCAAGGUGAGAAUGGUGCUGAUUGGUGAUUCAGGAUAUGGUUCAAACACCAUUGAAUAAAGCUAUGGACAUGGUGGCUCAACUUAGCUAGAUUGGUAUCAAAAUUGGUAAGUUGGCUUGUCAAUGUACCGAUGCUUUUGUUUUCUCUCAACCCUAAUUACCUUAACUUCAUUUAGUUUGGCUUUGGAGUUGAGUAAUAACUUAUUGUUCAAAUGUUAUUUCCUUAUUGUUCUAAUUCAUCAAAUGUUAUUUCCUUAUUGUUCCAUUGAUAUAUUUGUUGCAUAUCAAGCAGAAACAGAACCCAAAGAAAAUGAAACCAUUUCCAGGCAGCAGUUGGCAGUGAAUUCAUGCAAAUGUUGAUGCCAUUCAUAGAUGUUGAAGACAAUGUUGAGCCAAAGGCGAUAAAUCAUUAAUGCAUAAUUCCCAAAACCUCCAUCCUUCUCUCAUUGUAAUUUGAUUUGAAAUGAAUAAUUGCUAGGUAAUUGAAGCCAAUGUUGUUAAAGACCGUGUUGAGCUACCCAAGCUAAGAAGUUACUUGCCAAAAAAUGCAGGGGAUCAAAAGAAGCAUUGCAUUUGAAAAGGCAUGAGAUUCUGGUGGCUACAUGUCAACUCAUAUAUGUUUGAAUAAGUUUGAUCGUUCAAGAUUGUUAGCUUCUGUUUAAAUUUGUGCUACUGCGGUGCUACAAUGCUGCUACUGGGAAAUUUGAAUCCCAUAUUAGACUUUCCUCACAUCAGAAGCUGUGGAUCUUCGGACAUCAGGUUUUUUCACAGUUCUGAAACACUCAGGAUUAAACUCUAUUAAAGUGUUGUAGUUAUCUUGUUGUCAGAAUUCCCAUAUUAUUAUCUUUUUCAUGUAAAAUUAUCUUGUUGUCUUCGCCCAUGAAUCUAAGCUAAAAUUUGAACCAAUUGUUUGCCAUUAUAAAUUUCAUUGUUAAAUGUUAAUUAUGAUGUUGGCGUUGAGUUUCUUUUAAAGUCAUAGAAGCCUGACGAUUGAGUUCCAUGGGAUUCUGAGAAGCAGUAAUAUUUGAACAAGUGAAGGUUCUUCUCUUUUAAUUAUGUUCUGCACUUUUACAGUUUGGCUUUGGAGUUGAGUAAUAACCUUUCGAGGUCGCGGCUAUAAAAAGGCGAUGCUCAAUUUGCCACAGAUUACAUGUAUUGCCAUCAUUGACAAUUUUCUGGAUAAGUGAUGAAGGGUGAGAGUGGUGCUAGACUUCAGCCCUCCAGAAUAUUGAAUAAAGCUGUCAAAAGAGGUAAAUUAUUGGCAUGCCUGUUAGUGAAUUGGAUAAAGCUGGAGCAGAGCAUGAUGUUGCUGUAUAGCUGGAGCAGAGCAUGUUGUUGCUGUGUAGCUGGUUGUAGCAGAUCAACUCACUGAGCUGACCUGUCAAAGCUGGAGCAGAGCAGAGCAGAGCGGAUAAAGCUGGAGCAGAGCAGAGCGGAUAAAGCUGGAGCAGAGCAGAGCAUGAUGUUGCUGUAUAGCUGGAGCAGAGCAUGCUGUUGCUGUGUAGCUGGAGCAGAGCAUGCUGUUGCUGUGUAGCUGGUUGUAGCAGAUCAACUCACUGAGCUGACCUGUCAAAGUUAGUUAGCUGGUUGAGCUGAUGUGUAAAGUUAGUUAUGCAGCAAAUGGUUAUGUGAUGUAACAAACUCGUGUGUGUAGUGAAGAUUGUAGCUUAGUAUAAAUGUCAAUCAGUAUUCAUUAAGUUGAAAUAUCUGAGGAUAAUAAAAAGGUUCUUUAGAGUUCUCUUUCAUUUUCUUUUACUUUCUUGCUUGCCAAACAAUAUAGAACUAAGUUUCUUUCAUGGUAUCAGAGCCAUAAAUGGCAAAUACAGUUCAAAACAACAACUCUUUUAGUUUUGUUACGCCUGUAAAGCUAGAUCAAAACAACUAUAUUUUGUGGCGCACACAAAUUCUAGCUUCGAUCAAAGGAAAUGGUUUGGAAGGUUUUAUCAAUGGUGAUCGAGAAUGUCCUGAGCAGUUUCUUUCUUCUGGCAACAACAAUGGAGCUGAAAUCUUAACUGAAUCUGGAUCCAGAUCUGUUACUGAAUCUGGAUCCAGAUCUGUUACUGAAUCUGGAUCCAGAUCUGUUAAUCCAGAGUUCGUAGCUUGGAUGAAGGCUGAUCAACUUCUGCUGAGUUGGAUGAUGUCAUCGAUACAACAAAAUCUGCUUGCUACUAUGAUUGACUCAACAACCUCAAAACAGCUUUGGGAGACUCUUGCUAGUAUGUUUAUCUCUCAAUCACAGGCUAGAAUUCAAACACUUAGAAUGCAGAUUCAAACUAUUAAGAAAGGUGCAAUGCAUAUGUCUGAUUACUUUGUAAAAGUAAAACGUAUAGCUGAUACUUUAGCUCUAGCUGGAAAACCUGUUGAGUUAAAUGAUCUUGUGAUGCAUGUAUUAACUGGUCUUGAUUCAUCAGAUUAUGAAUCUUUAGUCACUGCUGUGUUAGCUCGAGGUGAAAAGAUAACAUUAGAUGAACUAUAUUCUUUGCUGUUAAAUCAUGAAAAUAGAGUUGAGCAAAAGAAAGGAAAAAUUGCUGGUGAUGUGAUGCAUAACAUGACAGCAAAUAUUGUUCAGAAGAACUCAUAUGCUAGAAAGAAUAAUGGAAAUUUUCAGAAACAGUAUGGAAAUAACUCUGGAGGUGGUAAUAAUUCUGGAUAUGGAUAUGGUCAGUUUAAUAAUAAUAGUAAUUUCUCUGAAGUUGUUUGCCAAAUUUGCUUCAUACCUGGUCAUGCAGCCUAUAAAUGCAGAAAUAGGUACAACUCAUCUUUUGUUCCACAUAGGAACCAUGGUAGAGGUAAUAUGAAUGGUGGCGGAGGUUUUAAUCAAGGGCAAUAUGGUCGAGGAAGAGCCUUUAAUGGUAAUAGUGGAAGAGGUUUUGGAGGUUUUGGUUCAAAUGCUGGUUUUGGACAAAAUGUUGGUUUUGGUAAUGCCCCCAGGGGUUUUGGCUAUCAAGGAAAUAUAGUAUAUCCAGAGAGCAACCCAUCUGCUUAUUUCUCAUUCAACCCUGGAUCAUCUAAUUUUGUUUCUGGUCUAGGACAUAAUAAUCUGGAACAGUCAAGUGCUUCCUCCUCCUCUGCUAUGUCUUCUUCACUUCCACCUGAACACAUUGAAGAUCCUUCCUGGUAUAUUGAUAGUGGAGCAACAAAUCAUAUUACCAACGAUCUAGGUAAGCUUCUGGAUUCAAAAGUUUACACUGGUACUGAAAGGUUAUUUGUUGGAGAUGGAAAUGCAUUAGCUAUUACACAUGUAGGGUCAGUUGUGCUAAAUACUUCAGCUUCUCAAUCCUUAUUUCUUAACCAUGUUCUUCAUGUCCCUUUUAUUACUAAGAAUUUGCUUAGCAUCUCAAAAUUGUUGGCUGACAAUCCAGUUACUGUUGAAUUUCUUGGUGAUUUGUGUUUUAUAAAGGCCAAGAACACAGGGAAAAUUUUACUUGAAGGUGUUGCUAAAGGUGGGCUUGUAUAGAGUCUCUUCUCAUGCUGCUGUUCAUUCAGUCUUUCUCAGUUCAGUUGGUCAAAACAAAAUUCAGUCUCUUUUUGCUUGUUCUCCUGUUUUUAAUUCUGCUCAGCUCUCUACUGUUAGCUCUUAUGAGUUGAAUAAAACGUCAUGUCUGUCAGUUGUUGCAAAGGGUUCUAUUGAUGUAAAUCUUCUUCAUAGAAGAUUAGGACACCCAGCAUCUUAUACUCUCAAAACCAUUCUCAAAGCUUGUAACAACUCUACUGCUUUUAAUAAAGUUGACAGUUUGAAAUUUUGUUCAGCAUGCCAAUAUGGUAAAAAUCACAUGCUGCAUUUUGAUUCAGUAGAAACAAAAACUUCAGCACCUUUACAACUGAUAUAUGCAGAUCUUUGGGACCCUUCUCAUGUUUGUUCUACCCAAGGAUAUAAUUACUACUUGUCAAUCCUAGAUGAUUACAGUAGGUUUACCUGGAUUUUUCCCUUAUCAGCAAAAUCUGAUGCUCUUGAAGUUUUUACCAAUUUCAAAAUAUUCAUUGAGAAGCAUCUUCAACUUUCCAUCAAAACUGUACAAACUGACUGGGGAGGGGAGUUCAGAACAUUUUCAUCGUUACUCACUACUUCUGGCAUCCAUUUUCGACAUCCUUGCCCCCACAUUCAUCAUCAAAAUGGAAAAAUUGAGAGGAAACAUAGACACAUAGUUGAUGUAGGACUGACUUUAUUAGCUCAAGCACAUUUACCACUCAAAUUUUGGUGGAAUACAUUCCAUACAGCUGUCUACUUGAUAAACAGACUUCCAACUCCAGUUCUAAACAGCAUUUCUCCUUUUCAAAAGUUGUUUAAUUCCCAACCAGAUUAUUCAACACUUAAAAUUUUCGGCUGUGCUUGUUAUCCAACACUCAGACCAUACAAUAGACAUAAGUUUGAUUUCAGAACAGCUAGAUGUAUAUUCAUUGGCUACAGUUCACGACACAAGGGAUAUCAGUGUCUUCACUCUUCUGGGAGGGUCUAUAUUUCAAAUCAUGUAACCUUUGAUGAAAGUUCUUUUCCUUAUGAGUCAGGAACAGAUUUUUCUUCAGUUUCUUCAAACUGUCAGUCAUCAACUCAUUCUGAGUCUUCUUUUAAUUCUUCUACUCCUUUUGUUACUCAGUUACAAGCACCUUUAGCAGCAUCAUCAGAAUAUCAUCUUAAUGAUUCUCAGUCACAUGCUUCUAUUUCCUUCCCAAAUUCUACUCCAGUUUACUUUUCUGAUAAUUUCAAUUCCACUUCUUCUUCUCCUUCUUCACCAUCCCAUCAUUCACCUCCACAUACCUUGUCACAACCUGCAUCAUCUGGUCAUCCAAUGAUAACCAGGUCAAAAGCAGGUAUCUUCAAGCCCAAGAUCUACUUGUCAGCUUUACUAGCUCAGAAAUCAGAACCAACCUCUGUUUCCAAAGCACUUUCUGAUCCUAUGUGGUAUAAAGCUAUGCAAGAAGAGUAUCUAGCUCUUAAAACCAAUCACACCUGGGAUUUAGUCUUACCUGCUACUCCAGUGAAGAUAGUUGGCAACAAGUGGGUAUUUCGAGUAAAGUAUAACUCAGAUGGUUCAGUUUCAAGGUAUAAAGCCAGGCUUGUGGCUAAAGGGUUUCAUCAGACACAUGGGAUUGACUACACAGAAACCUUCAGUCCAGUGGUUAAGUCCUCCACUGUUAGAGUUAUUCUUAGCUUAGCAGUAUUGAGUCACUGGGUUGUAAGGCAGGUGGAUGUUAACAAUGCCUUUCUAAAUGGCAUUUUAAUUGAAGAUGUGUACAUGGCUCAACCUCAAGGUUUUGUUGAUUCAACUAAACCUAAUCAUAUCUGCAAGCUAAAUAAGGCUUUGUAUGGCUUAAAACAGGCUCCUAGAGCCUGGUUUGAUAGGUUUAAGGAUGCAAUGAUCUCCAAGUGGCAUUUUUAGCAUUCCAGGUCUGAUAACUCUCUCUUUUAUGCCUGGAACAGUGGUCAUCUAACUGUUGUUUUGGUCUAUGUUGAUGAUAUUAUCAUCACUGGUUCCAGUCCAUCCAUAAUUCAACAAGUUAUCCAGAAUAUGCAUCAAGCUUUUGCUUUAAAAGACCUGGGGGAACUUCACUAUUUUCUGGGGAUUGAAGUCAGCAAAUCUUCACAAGGGGUUUCCUUGACACAAGCAAAGUACAUUGCUGAUAUUCUGGAUAAACAUGGCAUGACAGACUGCAGUCCUGUGCCAACUCCAAUGUCUACAGGCUUUUAUCUCACCAAAGACUCAGGAGAGCCACUUGAUAAUGUUUCUCAAUAUCGAAGUGUUAUAGGAGCUCUUCAAUAUGUUACUCUUACCAGACCUGACAUUGCCUUCUCUGUAAACAAGUUAAGUCAGUUCCUUUCCAGUCCUAGAACUCAACAUUGGGAAGCAUGUAAAAGGUUAUUGAGGUACUUAAAAGGCAUUAUCCAUCUGGGGCUGCAUUUCUACAAUCAAGGAGCUCUGCAAUUACAUUGUUUUUCAGAUUCUGAUUGGGCUUGUGAUCAUGAUGAUAGGAAGUCAGUGGCUGGCUUUGCUGUUUAUCUAGGUCCUAAUCUUGUUUCCUGGUCGUCAAAGAAACAAGCUGUUGUUUCCAGAUCCAGCACAGAAGCUGAGUAUAGAUCUCUUGCUCAUGCUGCUUCAGAAGUUACCUGGAUUAAAUCCUUACUUGGUGAACUUAGUAUCACAUUAAGCUCCACUCCUAUGAUGUGGUGUGAUAAUCAAGGAGCAAUUGCUUUAGCUUAUAAUCCAGUUUAUCAUGCUAAGACUAAGCAUGUUGAAUUGGAUAUACAUUUUAUCCGAGAUAAGGUCACUGCUAAAGAGGUUGCAGUAUGCUAUGUGCCUAGUCCAGAUCAAACAGCAGAUGUGUUGACUAAGGCUCUUACUUUCAAACAAUUCAGUUACUUCAGAAGCAAGCUGAAUGUUCAUCCUAAACAUUUCAGCUUGAGGGGGGAUGUUAGUGAAUUGGAUAAAGCUGGAGCAGAGCAUGAUGUUGCUGUAUAGCUGGAGCAGAGCAUGUUGUUGCUGUGUAGCUGGUUGUAGCCAAAGCUGGAGCAGAGCAGAGCAGAGCGGAUAAAGCUGGAGCAGAGCAGAGCGGAUAAAGCUGGAGCAGAGCAGAGCAUGAUGUUGCUGUAUAGCUGGAGCAGAGCAUGCUGUUGCUGUGUAGCUGGUUGUAGCAGAUCAACUCACUGAGCUGACCUGUCAAAGUUAGUUAGCUGGUUGAGCUGAUGUGUAAAGUUAGUUAUGCAGCAAAUGGUUAUGUGAUGUAACAAACUCGUGUGUGUAGUGAAGAUUGUAGCUUAGUAUAAAUGUCAAUCAGUAUUCAUUAAGUUGAAAUAUCUGAGGAUAAUAAAAAGGUUCUUUAGAGUUCUCUUUCAUUUUCUUUUACUUUCUUGCUUGCCAAACAAUAUAGAACUAAGUUUCUUUCAAUGCCUAGCUAAUUUGACCACUACCUGAUUCAUAAGCCUACAUCAAUUUUGAUUUUGAGUUAAGUGAUUAAUUUUCAAGGUUUGCUUACUUAACCGGCGACUAAUUUCUUGUAACUAAAUGUAUCAUAUGAUGCAGGAAGCAGGGCAAGAUAUGAAAUGAGAAGCUUAUUAGUGGAAGGAUUGCCAGAAACAGAACCCAAAGAAAAUGAAAACAUUUCAAGGCAGCAGUUGGCAGCUGGCAAUGAAUGGAGGCCCUUGAAAAAAUUCCCAAGCCGUUGCACUGCAAUUACGAUCAUCCUCGGCCUCAGGUAAUUUCUUCUCCUGCAUUUUUGUUAUUUGCUAUCAAGUGACAUUCGUAAGUAUGAUUGCAUUAAGCUGCUGCUGGGAAAUUUGAGGUUUUGAUGGCUGCCCAUGCUAUUGUCAGAAGCUGCAGUUCUUUUCAUCAGCCUGAACCUGGACCUGUCGCCAUGGAUAACUCAGGUUUUUUUUUUUUUUAAUCAACUACGGCAUCUUUUCCACUGUUUUGAAACUCUUAAGAUUAAACUUUAGUAAUGUUGUUUUAGUUAUCCAUGUAAUCAGGCUGAGGAUACUUAGCAGCCUAUUUAGGCAAAUGUCAGAAUUUAGUUUGUUCGCUGGGAAUUGGUGUGGACUGGCAAAGGAUGAUGAGAUAGUUUUUUGAGUGAGUAAAUUUUGGGAGCUUGAGUGUAUUGGGAUUUGCAAUUACAAUCAUCGUCUGCCUCAGGUGAUUUCUUCUCCUGCUCUGUCAUUGUUUGUUCUCUAAUUCAAAAGCAUAAAAUAUUUCAAUCAAAUUGUAUGCCAGGAAUAUGCAAAAGUUUCUAAUAUUUUAUUUCCAUCUGUUUGCCUUGAUAACUUUGCUGCAUAUGUACUAGUUAAAGAACAAAUCGAAACAGAGCUCAGUUAAAAGUUUCUUCUGCCGUCAUAUUUGAAAAAUGAAACCAUUUCCAGGAAGCAAUGGGCAGCAAAUUCAUAUAAAGCAUAGACAAUGAUGAGCAAAAAGGUGAUUCACAAUUUCACUUUUUUUAAUGAAAUUAAUUGUUUGGUUGGAGCGGAUAUUGUUAGAAGGCCAUUGAGCUAACCUAUGUCACUACUUGCCUAGAUUACAGGGGGUCAAAUAAGGCAUCCAAUAAUUCUUGUGGCCAUAUAUCAAUUCAUGUAAGUUCGAAUGUAAUUAUUGGUGAAGGGGUUUCACUUCCCGUCUCUAAAUAAAAAUACUGAUUCUUUAAGGUACAUGCCACUAGGGAUUGCGAGAUUAACGAGUCUUUGGACAUUGGAAGAGCUCCUUGUAGUGGAGGAGGAGGUGUUGAUGGUAGCAAAGCAUGUGGGCAGUGGGCUUGAAUCUCUUAAAAACUUGGAACUCCUCCAAGCGUAAGUAUACGUAUACUGGGAAAUGUGUUAGAUGUGGAUGAGGCUAAGAGAUUAGAGCUUGACAAAAUGAAAUAACUCUUUCAUUGAGACUUAAAUUUGAUGGGGAAGAAGAAAAAGAAGAGGGAAGGAGGAAGAAUGAGGAUAAUCAACUUGUUCUUGAAGCCUUGCAACCACCUCUGAAUUUGAAGGAAUUAGAGAUUUGGUCAUACGGAGGCAACAUUGUUUCCCCCCGGAUGAUGCAAAAAUUGAAGGAAUUUACCAAUCUAAGGAGUUUGACACUCUUUAAAACUGCAAAAAUUGAGAAAAGUUGCCUCCUUUGGGAAAAUUGUGAUCCUUUGAAAAUCUCAGCAUAUUGUACAUGGAGAGUGUGAAAACAGUGGGUAAUGAAUUUCUGGGAAUAGAAAGUGAUCUUCAUGACUCAUCUUCAUCUUCAUCAGUGAUUAUUGCCUUCCCCAAAUUGAAAUCACUUUCAGUUGAGGGAUUGAUGGAAUUGGAGGAGUGGGAUUAUGGGAUUAAAAGAACAGGAAACACCUCCACCAACAUUAUGCCACGUCUUUCUUCCUUGGAAAUUAGUGUGGGGUUAUGGGAUCGCACAACGACGUUGAAGGUAUUGCAGAUUGUGGCAUGUGGUACUCUAAGAAGACGUUACAGACAGGGGAGAGCAGAAGACUGGCCUAAGAUCUCUCACAUUCCAGACAUCAUGAUUGUGUGAAAAGAUGCCCGUGACAAAAUUCUCUAGGCGGCUACAUGGAGUACAAUCAUAAAAUGCUAAUGUGGCCACCCUGGUUCUUAAUUAAGGUUGUGAAAUAUUAUUGUAAAAGAUGAUUAAUUCAAUUUGAGUUAUUCGUUUGCUUUGAUAAUGAUAGUAAUUUUAUAUUUUGACAAUUUGCAGGGUGAGAAUGGUGCUGAUUGGUGAUACAGGAUAUGGUUCAAACACCAUUGAAUAAAGCUACGGACAUGGUGGCUCAACUUAGCUAGAUUGCUGUCAAAAUUGGUAAGUUGGCUUGUCAAUGUAUUGAUGCUUUUGUUUUCUCUCAACCCUAAUUACCUUAACUUCAUUUAGUUUGGCUUUGGAGUUGAGUAAAUUCUGGCCUCUUCCGAAAAAAAAAGCUUAAUUUGCUACUGAUCACGUGUUACCAAUUAUUUAAGGUAAUUCUCGCUUACUUGCUUCUGCACUAUAGAGUACGUGUUCUGGCUGGUUUAUCUAAUUCAUCAAAUGUUAUUUCCUUAUUGUUCCAUUGAUAUAUUUGUUAGAAAGUGAAACCAUUUCCAGGCAGCAGUUGGCAGUGAAUUCAUGCAAAUGUUGGUGCCAUUCAUAGAUAUUGAAGACAAUGAUGAGCCAAAGGUGAUAAAUCAUUAAUGCAUAGUUACCAAAACCUCCAUCCUUCUCUCAUUGUAAUUUGAUUUUAAAUGAAUAAUUGCUAGGUAAUUGAAGCCAAUAUUGUUAGAAACGGUGUUGAGCUACCCAAGCUAAGAAGUUAGCUGCCAAAAAAUGCAGGGGAUUAAAAGAAGCAUUGCAUUUGAAAAGGAAUGAGAUUCUGGUUGCUACAUGUCAAUUCGUAGAAGUUUCAAUAAAUUUAAUGGUUCAAGAUUGUUAGUUUCUGUUUAAAUUUGUGCUACUGCAGUGCUACAACGCUGCUACUGGGAAAUUUGAAUCCCAUAUUAGACUUUCCUCACAUCAGAAGCUGUGGAUCUUGAGACAUCAGGUUUUUUCACAGUUCUGAAACUCUCAGGAUUAAACUCUAUUAAAGUUGUUGUAGUUGUCUACGUUCUCAGGUCAAGGAUUCUAAGCUGCCGAUUAAGCAUUGCGCAUUUUCAUUUGUCCGAUUCAAGAGGAACGUCACAGAAAGGGGUAAAGAAAAGAGUAGCCUAAGAUAUUAAAGACAAUGUUGAGCCAAAGGAAACAUAAAUCCCAACCAUUGCAUGUGAACAUGAUCACAAUAAGGUCAAGAACCUACCAAACCAUUUUUUUGAGAAUUUUCAAUUGAAAGUGAAACCUUUUGAUAUUUACCUAAUAAAGUUAGUUAAACGAGAGAAAUAAAGGGGGAAAGAAAAGUUGACUCUAAGUCAAUACAGAAUAAUUAGUUCAAUACAGAAUAAUUGCUGUAAAAUAUUAAAUAGUUUUAUUUUUCUUUUAUCGUUUAACUUGGACCAAAAAAGGAAAUGAGUUUAACACGACCCUCAUUCUGCUUCUUGCUUUGGUUUCAAACAAGUCUUUCUCCUUUAUGACAUUUAUUGUAAUUUCAUUUGGAGACAUAUGUCUGUCGUUCAAAUAUAUUUCAUACGCAAGCUGUUAAUAAUUCUGCUUGCAGAAAGCCUACAAAGCAGCUGUGUGAUGUAAUAGAAGACCAUAGAUAGUCUCGUCAAUUUUUCAACAUUAGAUAUUCAGGUCAUCAGCUUCUCAUGAAUUCUUUCCUGAGUUUCUUUGAAUUAUUUGUGAUGUAAUAACUUGUGCAUUUGAGAAACUGUUCUCUUGAAUUCUUUCUUGAGUUUCUUUGAAUUAUUUGUGAAUAAGUUGUUAAUCGGCUGCUUCUCUUCAGGAUAAGGAAAGUGUUGCAAACUGGUGAAGCAGCUGAUAGAUAAAAGCAAUGGGUACAUCUUUGCUGGCAUGGAUCGAUGCCAGUGCGGCUGAAUUCAGCAAGACUGCCGUUCGUGAUGUUGUUGAUUGGGAUUACAUUAAGGAUGAUGACAACAUUGAUUAAAAUGGGACGUGAAGAUAUAUGGUGUGCAAAUUAACCCAACCCAACCAAACCCGUACAUUUUAUCAACCCAACCCAACCUGUAAAAAAUCACACGGGUUAGGUUAGUUUCACGGAUUGGGAGGUUGGUGCCCACCCCUAAAUAUAACCUCCAUUUCAGCACAAUGCAUGUUAAUUGUUCCCCAAGGACUUCUCCUGAUUCCCAUUCCCAACCUCCAUGCUCUUGAGAGGAAUUUAGCACCCAUCAAUUUUUAUUUUUGAAAACUCGUAAUGGUCUGAUAAAAUUAAACAACAUCAAUAAUGUUACCAGUCUUUAAAUAGUAAUUAAUUUAUUUAAUUUGCCACCUAAAAGAAUCCUGCUGGAAAUAGAGGUUAAAAAUUUUAUUAGAUCUGCUUACCUUUGUUCAUUCAGCAAAAACACUUACAAUUCACAGCUAGAGAAUCUAUCCAUUGACAAUUGUGGAUUAAAAUUAUAACACCUGAAUUCCAACAUAUCCUUAUGAAGUUAUGAAUUUGUUCAUACUUCAAAUGAUUUUUUUUUCCCAAGCUAAUAAAGCUACCACUUUGAUCAAACGACGACGUUGAAGGAAUUGCGUAUUUUCAAUGUCCUUUUCCAGACAGACGUUCGAGAGAGAGAAAGGAGAAGACUGGCCUAAUUAAGAUAUCUCACAAAGAUUAUUAUUGAGUUAAAAUGUUAUUGUAAAAGAUGUAUAAUACAAUAAUAGUAAUUCUUUUGCAUUGUUAUAAUGAGGCUGGUGGGUUUCCUCAGAGGAUGGAUCUUGCUCGCUAGUAUGCAUUUGGGAAGCUGCUAAUUAUUGGCCAUAAAAAGUCAGGGGGUUGUGGCUCUUCCGUCGCCCAGAAAUUCCUCAACUCAUAUCUCAAACUUCAGAUGAACUUGGGCAUUAUGUAAAUAUGUAUUUUGAGAAUUAAACUAGUGCCUUAGAAAAAAUUUGAGCCAUUGUAAUCAUUUUAUUUUGCUAAGGGAAAAUUUUACUUUGUGUUUCGCUUUGACUUUUUUUUUUUUGCCUUGUGAUAAUAAGAUUCAUACGAAAGUGAUUACACGCCUAUCAUGCAUCUAUUUUCAUUUGCUUGUCAUGAGAGAUCAACAUGCUCGAAAUAAUUACUUAGGUUGGAAAUAUUUGAAUCCACUAAAAUACUAUACAAACCCAUUUUAAAAUUAAAAAAAUGAUUAUCAUAAUACUUGUGAAGAUAACACGAUAUCAUACAUAAAAUAAAAUAUUUCGCAAAAAAGAUACGAUACAAAUCUUGAGUAAACAGGUACAAAAAAUAUUUUUUUUUGGUUAAACCACGAGGUACAAAAAAUAUUUUAGUGGGUUAAGUAGCACUAAUGCCCCCUUAUCAAAAAAUAUAGAAAAAUAACUAGUUUGAUUGGGUAUACCGUUUAUAUAUAUGUACAUAUUCUUGAUAAUGUGUAAUGUAUAUUAUAGACAAAGAUUUUGAAAGCAAUAUUUUUUGGUAUUAUUAUAUAAUAUUUUUUAAAAAGUUGAGAGAAUAGGCAAAGUCCAAAUCAACUUUCUAAUCCCUACCUCCUUUAUGAUUUAAACUUUAGCGUUUAGUGUCGCGAGCCACUCAAAUUUUCUAAUCAAAGAGACUAAAUUGCACGAAAUUGUGCUAGCUUAUUUGAUUCUAGAAAUUUCCAGUACACUGUAACACACUCUCAGGCUUGUACAUACCUCGAAAUUCUCUAGAAUUAAUUUACUAGAGUAGUGUUGCAUGUAGCUUGUACAUAGGUUUUUCUGGAACACUUCAGGUAUUACUAAGCAUGAGAGCUUUGAGAACUCUCUAGCCAUAAAACAUUCUAGGGUAUGUCUACCCUAAAAAUUGGGCAUGAUGCUUGCCACUUGAGCAUACAACAAGUAAGAACAAAUCAAGCAUACUUGUAAGCUCUCAAACUCUCUUAUACACACUUUUAUGAAUAAUAUACUUUCUCUUUGGCUAUAUUGCUCUCUCUUCUCUCUAGUUUUUUCGCAAGCAUCAUACCUUAGUUAGUCGAAAAGUUCAAGGCUUACUUUAUAGCUAUCUCACAAAAGUUGUUUAAGUACCACAUGGAUUUGCUGUGUAAAAUACUCAUCACAUGACAUUAGCUAAAUAGAUUUGUUUGAAAGCCACUUACCCAAACUAUUAAACGAAUAUUAACUUUUGUCUUAAUUUUCUAUCACCUAUGAUAAAAUUUAUAAUUAAAAAUUGAAAAAAUUAAUAACUAUUAGAUAGAGCAUUCUUUACUGUUAAAAGAAAUCUAUAUAGAUAGAUAGAUGGUAAUAUAAAAACUUACUUAUUGUAGUAUAAUGUUUUUAGUUUUUUGAAACAUAGAUUCUUACUUUUUUAAGAUAAAAUUCAAAGAAAACAAGUUAAAUGUUGUGGAAAAUCUUCCAGCCAUACAAGAAAUUGUGAUAGCUAAAUGCAAACCUAACUAAAGUAUUAGUUGUUUUAUUACAAUCUCCAAAAAGAUGAGCAAUUCCAAAAUAUUUUUUUGUAACAAUAAACACUAUAGGUCAGCAAUUAUCCAAGUCAAAAGCAAGCUACUCUAUUAAAAAAAAAAAAAACUUGUAGUGAAUCUGAAGAUAAACCAAUUUUACUAGCAAGUUGGAUACCAAAGAGUAGGGCUUCAGCCUCAAUUACUCAAUGUACCAACAACACAGUCUCGGUGAGUUAAAAUCAACUUCUACCACUCUUUUACUUGCUGAUAGAUCGAUUAAGGUACCAAAAGGAAUAAUCGAAGAUGUAUUAGUUCGAGUUGAUAAAUUCAUAUAUCCUGUGGAUUUUAUUGUUUUGGAAACUGAACCAAUUGCUAAUGAAUGCAAACAAAUUCCUGUUACAUUGGGUCGUCCAUUUUUAGCUACUGCUAAUGCAUUGAUUAAUUGCUGGAAUGGAGUAAUGAGUUUAUCUUUCGGCAACAUGACAUUGGAACUCAAUGUGUUCAACAUAUGUAAACAACCUCACCACCAGGAAGAUGAUGAUAAUGAGAAUGAGGAGAUUGAUUUCAUCGAGCCAAUCAUUGAUGAACACAUUCAGAAUAAGAAUUUUACAAACUCAGUGGAAAUUUAUUCUGCUCGUUCUUUUGAAUCGAGUAAGAAAUUAGAUUACGAUACUGAUAACAUAUACCCUACACUUGAUUCUAUGCAGGUACUUGCUGACGGUGACCAAUCAAACUUUAAAAAUACAGAACAAUCUAAAGAACCAAACGAAGAGGAAGUACCAGAGCUCGAAUUAAAGCCCUUACCGGAAGAAUUGAAGUAUGCCUAUCUUGGAGAAUAACAAACUUAUCCGGUGGUAAUUUCUUCCCAACUCACGCAUGAUCAAGAAGGUAAGUUGUUGUCUGUACUAAAAAGGCAUAAAACUGCAUUUGGUUGGACCUUAAAAGACAUAAAAAGUAUUAAUCCUUUAAUCUGCACACACCGAAUACACUUAAAGGAAAAUACCAGAACAACCCGUUAACAUCGACAUUAUCAGUGUAAACAUUAAAUACCAAAAUCAACCCCAAAAACUAUAACUAAACUAUCAUGACUAAAAUAAAGUUUUUUUUUUUUAGAUAUUCGUUGUAGUAUCUCUUUAGAUGACAAACAAGAGAUAAAAUACAUAAAUAUUUGCUGUGUAAAUAAAAAUAAAUAAUUUUUUUGAACUGAAAAAUAUUCUCAAAAACUAAAUAGUUCAAACUUUUUUUAACAUUAUCGGUUCUGGACCUGAACCGAACCGUGAACCGUAAACUGCCCACCCUUACGUAGUUGUUUCCGUUAACCGAUGUUGUAUUGCUGGUAUAAAAUUGUUCAAAUGUUCAAAUCACAGUCUCCCGCUCUCAGCUCAGUCAGAGUUUCAGGUCCAGAGACUUCCCGCUGACUGAGAGCUUUUUUGUAGCAGUUCUACAAAUAAUGGAGUAGAGCUGAUUUUAUGAUUAAUUUAUUUCCUUUUUCAAUUUCUUAUGAUUGCGAUUUAAUCUGGAAAGUUAAACGUGAAUUGUUUAGUGCGGAUUAAAUGUUCGACGAAUUUCCCGCAAGAGUAUUAAGUUAAAGAGAAAAAAGAAAACAAUUGAGCGUGAGCGUGAGCGUGAGCGAGAAUGGUGUUUGGGCAAGUGGUGAUUGGUCCGCCCGGCUCGGGAAAGACCACUUACUGCAAUGGCAUAACUCAGUUUCUCAGCCUUGUUGGCAGGUAACUUCGUUUCUUGAUUUCAAGCAGCUUUAUCUUUGAUGACCAAAAAAAUUGAUUUGGGCUUUGCCCAUUAAAUGAAUGUAAGAGCGGUAGGGAAUAACUGAGUUAUAGGAUUAGCUUUAAGUGAACAUUGAUGGUAACAUGCGCGUGAAGGUUGUAUGUGUUCAGUGGCAAGCUGUAUGCCAAUUUGGUCUAUAUGGUUGCUUAGGUAGUAACUUAUUAAUUUUUACGCAGGAAGGUUGCAGUCAUCAAUUUAGAUCCUGCUAAUGAUAGUUUGCCGCAUACUUUGUCAUUGAACUUUCUUACAAAUGCUGUGGUUUGUUGUAGUAUAAUUAGUUCAAUUGGAAACUUCCUUGAUGUUAAUAUAGAAAUGAGUGUGCUGUGAAUAUUGAGGACCUCAUUAGACUAAGUGAUGUGAUGAUGGAGUAUUCACUUGGUCCCAAUGGAGGUUAGUCAGCCUAUUGUUGUUUACUCUUUCUUGCUUUAUCACGCAAUGAUAUUCCUUUGCUUUACAACAAAUUUCGUGAAAUUAACUUCAAUCAAGUGGCAAUGUUCAUAUGCUGUUGAGAUUUUAUGGACAAUGAUUGGUAGACUUUAUAUGCCGUCUUCUUUCUUUUUGCAGUGAUAUGCUUGUAUUCAAUGAGCAUGUACUUAUUCUAUGGUUUCUAAAGUAGGUGUUUUUAUGAUAAACUAGGUCUUGUGUAUUGUAUGGACUAUCUAGAGAAGAAUAUUGACUGGCUGCAGUCGAAAUUAGAACCACUUUUGAAAGGUAAGAAGAGGCCAUUUUCCUUCAUUCUAAUGCCAAUAAUGCUGUCAUGAGACUCAUAAAAAUGUUAAAACGUUAAUGUUUUUGGUAUUUUGCAGAUCAUUAUCUUCUGUUUGAUUUUCCUGGCCAAGUUGAAUUAUUUUUUCUUCAUUCCAAUGCCAAGACUGUUAUAAUGAGACUCAUAAAGAAGUUAAAUCUCAGGGUAUUGUUACAUCUUACAUCUAUGAAGGGACUCAAAGAGUUGAGAUGAAUUCAUCUUUGUUAUUUUGAUGCCAGAAUUGUGCAAUUCUCAGUUGGUUCCUUGCACAUGCAGUUGACUGCAGUGCAUCUAGUUGAUGUGCAUCUUUGCAGUGACCCCGGGAAGUAUGUUAGUGCUUUGCUUCUCUCAUUGUCUACGAUGCUACAUCUGGAACUUCCCCAUGUCAAUGUCUUGUCUAAUCGAUCUGAUUGAGAAUCAUGGAAAGCUAGGUGUGGUUUUAAGUGUAUCUCUCCUACUUGUUUGUUUAGUUUGAAAUAUCAGAUAUUGUCACAAGCUCCUAUUUGCUACAUUUCCUCACCAAUCAAUUACUUUGGGUAUGUUGCAGCUUUUAAUCUCGAGUACUAUACAGAUGUGCAAGAUUUGUCAUAUUUACAGCAUGCUCUCGGUCAGGACCCUCAUUCUGCUAAGUACAGGUUUGAAUUCUAGCUGAAUCAAUGAUGCAAAUUAUGUUCAUUGCUAUUUCUGCUGUUGUUUCUAUCAUUUUCAAUUGUUACCUCCCCUUGCCAUCUACUGCCACACUGCAAUGCCUACACAAAUGUUAUGAAAUUUGUCAAUGGCAAUGCCAUCCUGUUUGUCCAGAGACAGCUCUUAGAUGCAAGUGAACAAUUUUUGGCUUUGGCCGUAGUACAGCCUUAGAUUUCAACUUGCCAUAUCUUGUCUCGGAAGUCAAAAGAAAGCGUAUAUGUUAGCCAAAUUUUAUUUGAAUUUAUUAAGUAACAAUGAAUGGGUCAGAAAAACAGUUCCUCUUUUGUUUUGAUCAGACUCAAUGAAUAAGUGUUUAAAAUGUGCCUGUCCUAAAAAUAUAGAUGUGUGGUUUCACAAAAUUUUCUUGAUCUUAAGAAAGAGUUAUCUUGAAAAGAAGAUAACAUGGAGAAUUCAGCAACUAUACAGUCAUAUUGAUGUCUGUCAACUUGGGUCAGAUGGUGUCGUUUGGAUGGAGAUGUUAGGUCCCAGAUGGUAUGCUUGUUAUCAAAUUCCAGUCUAAUUCAUUCAUGCUUUGAUGACAUAUGCGGUGCAGCUUCUUAUCUAAGACCUGUAUAUGUUCAGUCAUCAUUCAGUUCUGUAUUUGGCUGUCAUUCUUUCAAUGAAUUCAAACCACUUUCUGAAUACUUGCAAGGGAAAUUAUCAUUCGUAUACCCUAUAUUUACUCUGUUAUCAAAAAUACUACAACACUUUGAGGGUGUAUCAAUCGUCCACCAUAAGUUGACAAAAUGUAUCAACCGACCACCAAACCGUUAAUUGUCGUUUGAAAGUUAACGGAAUUACAGUGAAUUGACGAUUUUACCCUUGAAAAUUAUCACUUGUAUACCCAUAAAAUUCUCUUUUUAGCACUUGUAUACCCUUAAAUUAUCACUUGUAUCAUAUGAAAAGACCAAAUUACCCUUCUGAUGUUAUCAUAUUUAAACGGCAACUAACGGUUUGGUGGUCGGCUGAUACAUUUUGUCAACUUAGGGUGGACGAUUGAUACACCCUCAAAGUGUUGUAGUAUUUUUGAUAAUUGAGUAAACUAAGGGUAUACAAGUGAUAAUUUCCCUACUUGCAAAUUCAUCCAGUGUUGUCAUUGAGAUGCCAAUAUGUAAAGGAGCAAUAGUUGCCCUUGAUAGUAUGCUUAUUGAUUGCCUCUUGCCUCACUCAGCCUAAGGAAUCUGGUUGUAUGGUGUUCUUGUAAUUUCAUUUGGAGAUAAGUAAUAUCUGUUGUUCAAAUGUAUUUUAUAUACAACCAGUUCAUAAUUCUGCUUGCAGAAAGCUUACAAAGGAGCUGUGUGAUGUAAUAGAAGACUACAGUCUGGUCAAUUUUUCAACUUUAGAUAUUCAGGUCAUCAGUUUCUCUUGAAUUCUUUCUUGAGUUUCUUUGAAUUAUUUGUGAAUAAGAUCUUAGUUGGCUGCUCCUCUUCAGGAUAAGGAAAGUGUGGCAAAACUCGUGAAGCUGAUAGAUGAAAGCAAUGGGUACAUCUAUGCUGGCAUGGAUGCCAGGGCAGUUGAAUUCAGCAAGAUUGCCGUUCGCGAUGUUGAUUGGGAUUAUUUCGGAUAUCCUUCUUUUCACCUAUUUUCAAUCUUGUUAUUCUCAUAUUCAUAAAACAUUUUGGUUAUUUAAUUAUGGUUCAUCAUAUGCAUCUGCAUCUUCUAACUUGUUCGUUUGAGAAACUAAUUUUGCCGUUAGGUAGGCUUCAAGCUUGAUUCAUGCUUUUUUCAAAAAUGUACCAAAAUCAUGGAAACUUCUUUUUCCCAGAUAUUGUAUCCACACUUUUCCCAUAUAAUUGGGUCAGACAAGUUUUGCUUAACAAAGAUAUCUACAGUAGCCGAAGUGCAGGAGAAGUACAUUAAGGAUGAUGACGAUGUUAACUAAAAUGGGACGUGAAGAUAUGUGGUGUGCAAACCGUAAGCCUGCCUCUUAUUUUUGUGCAUGUUUACUUGCUUGUGAUUCACGUUUGUUAAUCUAUUUUGCUCUCUUGCAGGAGUUAUAAAGUUUUCAAUCAAUCAAACAUUUAACUCAAGUCCUUAGCUCUUCACGGCUUGAAUGGGUCAGAUAGGACAAGCGCCGAAGAGGUGGUUUUAAUCAAACCCCUCCUAAUUAUGAUGUAUGGUCCAAAUCUCGGACUUUCUGUACAAUAUCGAGCGAUUCGGACCUUUCAAGUCGAAUAUUGAUUUUUCUCCAGUAUUGUUUGUAAUUACAAGAAACGAAGUAAUGAAAUUUAUCACUGCGUUCAUAGUUAUGCUUAAGCUCAAAGAUUACCGUCAAGAUCAUUUUGGGCCCUCAAAGAAACAUGAUGUUGACACAUGUAAAAUUAUGAAGCUUGUGAUUAAAAUACUUUUGACAUAUAUAUGUUAAGUACUAUUAAUAAUUAAACAUAUGAAUAAAUAUGGUCAAUGAGGAGAGGAUAAAAUAAAAUGGUUUCAUUUUUUGAAUUACUCAACCGCUUCAAACUUCUAAGAAGUAGAUAUACAAUGAGUGGAAUACUGAAUUGAGUGCGAGCUGCGGAUAACUUAUAAAAUUGGGAUGCAAGCUUCAAGGAAAGUGUAUUGCUAUUCAAAUGUAGAUUUCAAAUUAGGAAGAUAUGCCAGCAAAUUGUAUAAAAAUGUAUAAAUUGAUCAGUAACAUUAAUUCCAAAUGAUGAAAUGAGUUAUCUUGAUCAAAAGGUCAAGAACCUACCUUACUUCUCUUAGAGAUAACUUGCAUCAACCGUUGUGGUAUUCAUACUUGUCUUCAGCUAGUAAAAGUGAAAGUUUCACAAUUGAAAUAAAGCUAAGGGAAGAUGCUAUGCUGCAUUUAUUAUUAUUAUUAUUGAUGUGGUCGAGAAGUAAAGCCAUGCAUAUGAUGAAGUAUAAAUAAGAAUGCAAUAGCCCGGAAUUCAUUUUCACAAACACUUCAAUAUCCUUUUGAUCACUUUUGCAAACAUCAAUUUGUCUCCUCUUGUAUUCACCAUGGUUGAUGCCGUCAUUUCCCCUCUCGUGGAGCAGCUGACUUCCUUCGCUGCUAAAGAGAUAAUACAACAGGUGAUCGAAGUUAAACCCCCCAUAUUAUAAAUACUUCUAAUGAUUUUAAUUGGUUUUGUUUUUAUCGAAAACAUUAACUUUGCUUUAUUUUACUUAUUUAGGCAUUUUAAAUUUUGAAAUUUGAAUUGAAUUUAAUUAAAAUGUGAUGUAGUUAGUAACCACUUUUUUUUAUUUCAUUUAAAUUCUCAAUAACUACCUAUAUUUUGGUAACUUACUGUAACCCCCGUAUCUAAGAAAUGAUCAAAACCCACAAUUUUAACUCCACAUAAAUAUUCCAUGUUGAGCUAAGUUCGAUGUUGAGGUAAGUUUUUGCAUAACAUUCAAGUUUGUCAAAUAGUCAUUAAUUAAAUGUUUAGUAAAAACUUAUCUCUGAAAAAUUUCAUAAUUUUCUUACAUUCUUUGAGUUUGGUAAGUGACUUCAUAUAAUUUCCUUUCAAUUUAAAUUUUAAUUUGGUUUCUGAUAUAGUCUCUUUACUGAAUUUAUAUCUUUUAUGAUUCUUGGAUUUGGGGCUCCAACUUUUUAGGAUUUGAUAGUCACAUUUUAUGGCAUGCUUAGAUUGAUUUUCAUGAUUUUUAGUACUCGUUAAGUGACUGAGAAUUUGACAAAAGUUUGAAAGGAAAUCCGUUUCACGAUUCUUAUGUGGAAGGUUCAUAAAAUCAUUAAAUUUGGAUAGGAUUCAUUAGCAAUAUGUACAAGACUCUCCAUGAAGUUUCGUAAUUUUUCAUUCGGUCUGGGGUGGUACAGGUAAAGCUUGUGGUUGGUGUUGAAAAAGAAGUGAAAAGCCUUACCAGCCACCUUCAAGCCAUUCAAGCUGUUAGCGAUGAUGCAGAGGAAAAGCAAGUGAAGGACAAAGCUAUUAGACUUUGGCUGGGUAGGCUCAAGUACGCAUCCUACGACAUUGAAGAUGUGUUGGAUGAAUGGAUCACGGCAAGAGGCAAAUUGCAAAUUAAGGGUGGCGCUGAUAAGAAAAAGAAGGUUUGUUUCUGCUUUCCCGCCUCUUGUUUUGGAUUCAAACAAGUCUUUCUACGUCAUGACAUUGCCAACAAGAUCAAAGAAGUCAGUGAAGAGCUACAUGAUAUUGCCACCCAAAAAGACAUGUUUAAAUUUGAGAGUAGCAGUAAAAGUAGUGAAAGACCAAGGCGUGUGCAGAGUACCUCCUUGAUUGAUGAGGAAGAGAUUUGUGGUAGAGUUGGUGAGAGGAAUGCACUCUUAAGCAUGCUGUUGUGUGAGAGCAGUGAGCAACAAAAAGGCCUUCAUAUCAUCUCAAUUGUUGGUAUGGGAGGCAUCGGGAAAACAACUCUUGCACAACUAGCAUGUAAUCAUGUUGAGGUAAAGAGAGAGUUUGACAAAAUUUUAUGGGUGUGUGUAUCAGAAACUUUUGACGAGUUUAGGAUUGCCAAAGCGAUGCUUGAAGCUUUGACUGGUUCAACUUCUAAUUUAGAUGCAUUGCAAUCUCUUCUUAUAAGUAUUGAUGAAUCUAUUGCGGGAAAGAGAUUUCUUCUUGUCUUAGAUGACGUGUGGGACGGAGAUUACAUUAAAUGGGAACCAUUCUACCGUUGCCUAAAGAAAGGUCUCCAUGGAAGUAAAAUUUUAAUUACGACACGUAAGGAGUCAAUUGUGAGCAUGAUGAGAUCCACAGAUAUUAUCUCUAUCAAGGAAUUGGCUGAAGAAGAAUGUUGGGCAUUGUUUAAGCGGUUAGCAUUUUUCGGUCGUUCCACUGAGGAGUGUGAAAAAUUGGAACAAACUGGUCAAAGAAUUGCAAGAAAGUGUAAAGGUUUACCUCUUGCUGCAAAGACAAUGGGAAGUCUCAUGAGCUCUAAAAAAAUUGAAGAAGAGUGGAAAAGAAUUUUAAAUAGUGAUUUAUGGAAGGUAGAAGAGAUCGAGAAAGGUGUUCUAACCCCUUUGUGGUUGAGUUAUAACGAUUUGCCAUCUAGAGUAAAAAGAUGUUUCUCGUAUUGUGCUGUCUUUCCAAAAGACUACAAUAUAGAAAAAGACAAACUAAUUACUUUGUGGAUGGCUCAAGGUUAUCUUAGUGCAGAAGCAGCAGAACAAGAUGAGGAGUUGGAGACUAUAGGUGAAGAGUAUUUUGGCAUCUUAGCUUCUCGCUCUUUCUUUCAAGAGUUUGAGAAACGUUAUGAUAAUCGUAUUAUAGCGUGCAAGAUGCAUGAUAUGGUACAUGAUUUUGCCCAAUUUGUUAGUCAAAAUGAAUGUUUUUCGUUGGAAGUUAAUGGUAGUGAGGAACUAAACGUCACAAACUCUACAAACUCUCUUGAUGAGAAGGUCCGUCAUUUAAUGUUAAUCUUUAGUAAAGGGGCUUCAUUACCGGUUUCCACUCUUAGAGUUAAAAGAAUGCGUACCCUCUUAAUUAACGAUAGUAGAUCUGAUCAUUCAUUAUUAAAUGGUGAGAUCCUAGAAGAAUUAUUUAGGGAGUUGACAAGUUUAAGGGCAUUAGAUUUUGGCAAAUCGUAUAACUCAAGUUGGUAUUCGACUCUGGAGAUUCCGAGAAACAUAGAAAAGCUGGUACAUUUAAGAUACCUUAAUUUGUUUUAUCAGGGAAUAAAGAAACUACCGGAGACAUUAUGCGAGUUGUAUAAUCUAGAAAAGUUAGAUAUUAGUUUAUGUUUUAAUCUUAAAGAAUUACCUGAAGGGAUUGGGAAGUUAAUAAACAUGAAGCAUUUACGAAAUAGAGGUACUAGUUCUUUAAGGUACAUGCCAGUAGGGAUUGGGAGAUUAACGGGUCUCAGGACCUUGGAUGAGUUCCACGUGAGUGGAGGAGGAGGUGUUGAUUGUAGGAAAGCAUGUAGGCUUGAAUCUCUCAAAAACUUGGAAAACCUUCGAGUGUGUGGUAUAUGUAGACUGGGUGAUGUAUCAGAAGUGGGCGAGGCUAAGCGAUUAGAACUUGACAAAAAGAAAUACCUCUCUUGUUUGAGACUUCGGUUUGAUAAGAAGAAAGAAGAAGGAGAAAGGAGGAAGAACGAGUACGAUCAACUUCUUCUUGAAGCCCUACAACCACCUCUCAAUUUAAAGGAAUUAGAGAUAGAGUACUACCGAGGCAACACUGUUUUCCCCAGCUGGAUGACGUCAUUAACCAACUUAAAGAGUUUAGAUCUCUCUUCCUGUGAAAAUUGCGAGCAGCUGCCUCCUUUGGGAAAAUUGCCAUCCCUUGAAAAUCUCCACAUAUAUCGCAUGGAGAGUGUGAAAAGAGUGGGUGAUGAAUUUUUGGGGAUAGAAAGUGAUCAUCAUGGCUCAUCUUCAUCGGUUAUUAUUGCCUUCCCCAAAUUGAAAUCACUCACAAUUUCUUUGAUGCUGGAAUUGGAGGAGUGGGAUUAUGGGAUUACAAGAACGGGAAACACCGUCAUCAUCAUCAUGCCACGUCUUUCUUCCUUGACAAUUGGGAAUAGUCCCAAAUUAAAGGCACUGCCCAACCACAUUCAUCAAACGACAACAUUGAAGACAUUGCGCAUUUGGAGGUGUGACCUUCUGGAAGAACGUUACCGCAAGGGGGAAGGAGAAGACUGGCCUAAGAUAUCACACAUUCCCAAUCUCCAUUUUGGGCUUUGACAAGUAAUUUCUUCUCUUACUCUGAUUUGCUUUGUUGUUGUUUUUAAUCUAAUUAAGAAGCGUAAAUAGCAUUUUGAAUCAAACUCUAUAUCAGAAAUCUGCAAUACUUACUUUCUAAUAUUCUGAUUUUCAUAUCCUAUGAAUAUACGAUUUUUAAUUUGUGGGAUGGGUAACGUUACUGUAAAAGAUUAUUAAUGCAAUAUGAGUAAUUCUUUUGCAGGACAAGUGGCCUACAUUUAGUUUGGCUUUGGAGUUGAAUAAUAACCUUUCGAGGUCCCGACAACCAAAAAACGAAACUUAAUUUGCCACAGAUUGCACGUAUUGCCAUUAUUGACAAUUUUCUGCACAAGCUUAGGUUGAUGUCAAAAGAGGUAAAUUAUUGGCAUGCCUGACUAUUUUGACCAUUACAUGAUUCAUAAGUUUACAUUAAUUUUGAUUUUGAGUUGAGUGAUUAAUUUUCUAGGUUUGCUUACUUUAACUGGGUGACCAAUUUCUUGUAACCAAAUGUAUGAUGUGAUGCAGGAAGCAGGGCAGGACAUGAAAAGAGAAGCUUAUUAGAGGAAGGAUUGCCAGUAACAGAAUCCAAAGAAAAAGAAACCAUUUCGAGGCAGCAGUUGGCAGUUGGCAGUGAAUGGAGCCCCUUGAAAAAACCCCCAAGCGGUUGCACUGCAAUUACGAUCAUCCUCGGCCUCAGGUAAUUUCUUCUCCUGCAUUUUUGUUAUUUGCUAUCAAGUGACUAUUUUAAGUAUGAUUGCAUUAAGCUGCUGCUGGGAAAUUUGAGGUUUUGAUGACUGCCCAUGCUAUUGUAAGAAGCUGCGGUUCUUUUCAUCAGCCUGAACCUGGACCUGCCGCUAUGGAUAACUCAGUUUUUCUUUUUUUUAAUCAACUGCCAUCUUUUCCACUGUUUAGAAACUCUUUAAGAUUAAACUUUAGUAAAGUUGUUUUAGUUAUUCAUGUAAUCAGGCUGAGGAUACUUAGCUGCCUAUUUAGGCAAAUGUCAGAAUUUAGUUUGUUCGCUGGGUACUGGUGGGGACUGGCAAAGGAUGAUGAGAUAGUUUUUUGAGUGAGUAAAUUUUGGGAGCUUGAGUGUAUUGGGAUUUGCAAUUACAAUCAUCGUCUGCCUCAGGUGAUUCUUUUUCCUGCUCUGUCAUUGUUUGUUCUCUAAUUCAAAAGCAUAAAAUAUUUCAAUCAAUUUUUAUGCCAGGAAUAUGCAAAAGUUUCUAAUAUUUUAUUUCCAUCUGUUACAAGAUCAAACUGAAGCAGAACUCAAACAAAAGUAUGCUACUUCUUGCGGAAAUCUUGCCUUUGUUCAGAUUAUGAAACCAUUUCCAUGCAGCAAAUUCAUCCAAAAGUUUGAAUAAGUUUCACGGUUGGACACUGUUGGCUUCUUUUUCUUCUGGGGUGCAUUUAGGUGCUAUCAAGUGACAGCUGUAAGUAUGAUUGCACUAAGCUGCUGCUGGGAAAUUUGAGGUUUUGAUGGCUGCCCAUGUUAUUUUCAAUAAACUAUUGAUGUAAGAAGCUGUGGUUCUUUUCAUCAGCUUGAACCUGAAACUGUCGCUAUGGAUAACUCAGGUUUUUGUUAUCAACUAUAUCAUCUUUUUCACUAUUUUGAAACUCUUAAGAUUAAACUUUAGUAAAGUUGUUUCAGCUAUUCAAAUGAAAAACUCAUUGAUUUGAGAAUUCCUUCAUUAUUGUUUCUAAUUACAAUGCUAACGAUCCAGAUAAAAUAAUAUUUAAUCGGCGAAGGUGUCCCUUGGAAGUACAUCCUUCUUUUUCUUUUAUUAUAUCAAUUCUUGCAAUGAGCUUAGUGAAGCUGUUGUGCUAAUCAUGCCACUGCAUAAUUUGGCCCCUAAUGUGGGUACUCUGUUACAUUGUUCUGCAAAUUCUCCAGAAGUUAAAAUCAAUAAAUUUUCUAUUAGCUCUAGUGCUUUGACCUAAAUGCUAUUCUAUAUUCUGAUUACAAUGUUUUAACCUUUAAAUUAACUACCCCUAGAUGUUGGAUUUUCUAGAACUUCAAAAUGAUUAAUGGAGAAAGAUCCCAUUAUCGUUAUUGCUAUAAGAAAUUGAUUUAUGCAUCCAAAGAUACAUUAUAUAUUUCUGUGUCUCUAUUUAUAGAUGACAUUUAAGCAUCCAUAAACCGUCAGACAGAGGAAGGGGGUUCAGUGCAAAGAUUCUGUUGACCUAGGGUUGACUGCAUAUGUCACUUGUUCGCAAUCUAUUAUUUAUUUUAUAUUUUGAAGAAUUUAAUGGGUAAUCCUAAUUGUUUGUUUUGGCAGGUAUGUGUUGUUAUCUCCUUCUAUCUAACAGUCGUACCUAAAUAGCAUAGUUUCAUCUGUGUUACCAUGUGAUGUACAUAAUUUCACAUUUGCCUCAGAUUAAGCUUAAUUUCCCACAGAAUAGAGCUGUCGCGACUGGACUUAGGUUGAUGUCCAAAGAGGUAAAUUAUUGGUAUGCCUAGAUAAUUUGGCCAUUUCCUAAUUCAUAAGUCUACAUUAAUUUUGAUUUUGAGUUGACUGAUUUCUUUUCAAGGUCUGCUUCCUUAACGGAGUGACCAAUGUUUUUCAACUAAAUUUAUCAUAUGAUGCAGGAAGCAGGGCAGGAUAUGCAAUGAGAAUCUCAUUGGUGGAAGUAUUGCCAGUAACAGAACCCAAAGAAAAUGAAACUGUUUCAAGGCAGCAGUUGGCAGUUGCAAGUGAAUGGAGGCCCUUGACAAAAUUCUCAAGCGGUUGCAAUGCAAUUACGAUCAUCCUCAGCCUCAGGUAAUUUCUUCUCCUGCUUUGUAUUUAUUUGUUAUCUAAUUAGGAAGCGUAAAGUAUCUUGAAUCAUUUUCUGUAUCUGGAAUAUAUGCAAGAGUUUCUAAAAUUUUGAUAUGAGUGUGAUGAUGGUAAUUUCUGUUUUCUGUCUGUCUUCAAAUGUUAGAAAACUUUCAUUGAGACGCUUGAACCGAGUCAUUUUUGACAAGUGAAGUGCUGAAGAGUGAAGAGUAAGAAUGGUGCUAGAUUGGGGAAUAAAGCAAAAGGAGGUAAAUUAUUGGCAGCUUCUUCAGCCUUAUUUUCUUUGGACCAGUGCCUAACUCACAAGUCUCCAUAAUUCGGCUUUUGACCAGUUGAUAGAUAAAAUUUUAAUUUCAUUGGUGCUAAUGUACCCGUGAAGCAGGCAGAGAAGGACUGUGGAAAAGAGAAGGUUUUUAGUGAAAGCUUAAACUCAGGUAAUUCUAAAAAUUAUAUGUUUUGGCUGAUUUAUCUAAAUCAGGAAAUUUUAUUUCCAUCUGUUACAAUAAAACAGAAACAGAACACAAAGAAAAAUAUUCUACUUCUUGUGGCAAUCUUGCCUUCAUUCAGACUAUGAAACCAUUUCCUUUCACCAAUUUCUUCCAAAAUUUUGAACACGUUUCAUGGUUGGACAUAGUUAUCUUCUUUUUCUUUUGGUGCAUUUAGGUACUAUCAAGUGACAGCCAUAAGUAUGAUUGCAUUGUUGGGAAAUUUUAGGUUUUGAUGGCUCCCCAUGUUAUUGCCAAGAAAUUUUAAGUCCUCAUGUCAGAAGCUGCGUUUCUUUUCAUCAGCCUGAACCCGAACCUGUCACUAUGGAUAACUGAGGUUUUUGUCAUCAACUAUAUCAUCUUUUUCACUGUUUUGAAACUCUUAAGAUUAAACUGUUGAGAAGUCAAUAUUAGCCCAAAUAAGUCCACACCUAAAUUAAUUUGAUGUCAUUGCUUACAUCAAUUUAGUUAGGUGAAUAUUAGCCCAAAUAAGUCCACACCUAAAUUAAUUUGAUGUCAUUGCUUACAUCAAUUUAGUUAGGUGAAAAUUAGGUAUUUUUCCCAUGUUUAAUUUCAAUGGUUUAAAUUAGUUUGUGGUUAUUUUAAUGAGUGGUUUAGAUUGUUUCUUGUAACCUAUAAAUACCUCAUUUGUAUUUGAGUUUUAUUAUUCAACAAUAAAAAGCUUUAUUAUAAGCAUUUGAAAGCUUUCUUAAGAGUUCUUCUCUUUUUGCAAUUUUGUGAGAUUAUUCUAAAGAGAGUUUUUCUUCUUCUUGAUCAAUUAGAGUUUUUACUCUAUUUUGAUUCAACAUUUGGUAUCAGAGCAUUGGUUGUAAAGUCUCUUGAAAUUCCGAGUAUGCUCUGUGGUUGCAGUUUUGACUGAUCUUCCACAUCAGAAAAGAUUUCUUGAGAUUAUUGCUGGGGUUAUCACAAACCUUGAGAGGGAGCUUCUUUGUGUCAAGAGUAGUGUAUUAUUCUGCACGGUAGUCACUCAAGAUUGUUCGGUGUAGUCAAAGUCUUGUCGAUACGAUGGGUGAUCUUCAAGUUGUUGGAGGAAUCAAGAAGCUCAACAACCAAAACUAUAACACGUGGGCAACGUGUAUAGAAUCUUACCUUCAAGGUCAAGACUUGUGGGAGGUUGUCGGUGGUAGUGAAGUUACACAACCGGCAGCGGAAGAUGCUAACGGCGUCUUGCGGAAGUGGAAAAUUAAAGCAGGCAAAGCAAUGUUUGCUUUAAAGACCACAAUAGAAGAAGAAAUGUUGGAGCACAUUCGGGAUGCUAAAUCACCGAAGGAAGCGUGGGACACCUUCGCUACACUCUUUUCGAAGAGGAACGAUACAAAAUUGCAACUUCUCGAGAAUGAACUUCUAUCAAUGGUGCAACGCGACAUGGCGGUUGCCCAAUACUUUCACAAGGUGAAGUCGAUAUGCCGUGAAAUUUCAGAAUUAGAUCCGACAGCUGCUAUUGGGGAAGCCAGGAUAAAAAGAAUAAUUGUCCAUGGCUUGAGACCCGAAUACCGAAGCUUUGUAGCCGCUGUACAAGGAUGGCCGACACAACCAUCACUUGUUGAGUUUGAAAAUUUGCUGACAGGCCAAGAAACUAUGGCCAAGAAAAUGGGAGGAGUCUCACUAAAGGGUGAAGAGGAAGCGCUUUACACCAACCAAAGCAGAGGUGGUUCAAGACAGCACAACAAAGGCGGAUCUAGAAAGACUGGUGAACAGACAAAAAGUCAUCAGGGAGGGAAUGGCUCUCGUCCAGGGGGAGCUUCGAAGAAUCGUGACAGUAAUAGAAAGUUCGAUGGCGAAUGUUACAAUUGCGGGAAGAAGGGCCACAUGAAGAGAGAUUGUUGGUCCAAAAAGAAGUCUACCGAAAGCAAUAUUGCUACUUCUAGUUCUAAAGAAGAUAGUGAAGAUAGCUGGGAUGCCGAAGCAUUACUCGCUAUGGAGGAAGAAGAAUUAGCUCUCACGGUAACAACACCAGAAAAGAUUAACUACGAGAAUGAUUGGAUCGUAGACUCAGGCUGCUCAAAUCACAUGACGGGUGAUAGACAGAAGUUGCAAAACUGUUCUGAGUACAAGGGAAAUCGUGUGGUGGUAACAGCUGACAACUCAAGGUUACCGAUAGCUCACAUCGGUAAAGCGAUCGUUACACCUCGAUAUAGUCCCAACCAAGUGCCACUUCAAGAUGUCUACCAUGUUCCAGGAAUGAAGAAAAAUUUGCUAUCCGUAGCUCAAUUGACAUCAUCAGGCCACUAUGUCUUGUUUGGUCCACAAAAUGUGAAGGUAUUUCGAGACCUGAAGAUCUCAGAAAACCCUACGAUGGAGGGACGACGAUUGGAGUCAGUUUAUGUGAUGUCAGCUGAGUCUGCAUACGUAGACAAGACAAGAAGGAAUGAGACGGCAGAUCUGUGGCACAUGCGGCUAGGUCAUGUUAGUUAUUCCAAGCUAAGUGUGAUGGUGAAGAAGUCGAUGCUUAAGGGACUUCCACAACUUGACGUGAGAACAAAUACUGUUUGCGCGGGAUGUCAAUAUGGUAAAGCACAUCAAUUGCCAUACGAGGAGUCGAAGUUUAAAGCAAAGAAACCAUUAGAGUUAAUUCACUCUGAUGUGUUUGGACCAGUUAAGCAACCAUCAAUUGGCGGAAUGCGGUAUAUGGUUACGUUCAUUGAUGAUUUCUCCAGAUAUGUAUGGGCUUUCUUCAUGAAAGAAAAAUCUGAAGCAUUCUCAAAGUUCAAAGAGUUCAAAGAGAUAGUCGAAGGAGAAGUGGAGCAAAAGAUUCGUUGCUUGCGCACAGACAACGGGGGUGAGUAUAGCUCGAGAGAGUUUUCUCAAUACCUACGGGAAUGCCAAAUACGUCAUCAGUAUACUUGUGCCAAUACGCCACAACAAAAUGGUGUAGCAGAGAGGAAGAAUCGGCACCUUGCUGAAAUUUGCCGGAGUAUGCUACAUGCGAAGAAUGUACCUGGAAGAUUUUGGGCCGAAGGUAUGAGAACUGCAGCUCAUGUCAUCAACAAGCUUCCUCAACCAAGGUUGGAGUUUGUUUCACCCUUUGAGAAAUUGUGGAACAAGAAACCUACAGUUAGCUAUUUUCGAGUAUUCGGUUGUGUAUGCUAUGUAUUUGUUCCUGACCAUCUACGUAGCAAGAUCGAUAAGAAAGCAGUCAGAUGUAUCUUUGUGGGAUACGACAAUCAGCGAAAAGGGUGGAAGUGUUGUGAUCCAGUAGAUGGAAGGUGCUACACAUCACGAGAUGUGGUGUUUGAUGAAGCAUCCUCAUGGUGGACCUCAGAAAAAGAAGUGCUGCCAGACUCGAAAGAAUUCGGAGACAUGCUACAACAAAAGAUGGGGGAGCAUACUGUCCAAAUUCAUCUAAGCUCAGCUGGGGAUCUAUGCGAUAGUGAUAGCGAACGAAGAGUAACUCUAAAUCCUUGGCAAUCUGGGGUGUAUCGACAACCAGAUGAAGAAGGUGUGCCUAGUGAAACAGAAGAAUCAACUCCAUUACGAAGGUCAACAAGAACCCGAAGGCCAAAUCCCAAAUACGCUAAUGCAGCCAUAGUUGAAGAAGCAACUGGAAUAGAACCUGAGACGUUCGAAGAAGCGUCACAGAGUUCUGAGUGGAUGACAGCUAUGAAAGACGAGAUCACUGCACUUGAGCAAAAUCAGACCUGGGAACUCGUGCCAAAGCCAAAAGAUGUGAAACCCAUAUCCUGCAGAUGGGUUUACAAAAUAAAGCACUGUCCAGAUGGGUCAAUCGAGAGGUACAAGGCUCGAUUGGUAGCUCGUGGUUUCUCUCAACAAUAUGGACUAGAUUAUGACGAAACGUUUAGUCCAGUGGCAAAACUUACAACCGUCCGAGUCUUACUUGCACUUGCAGCCAACAAAAGCUGGAACUUGUGGCAGAUGGACGUGAAGAAUGCCUUUCUCCAUGGAGAGCUGGAUAGAGAGAUCUACAUGAUUCAACCGAUGGGUUUUCAGAACCGAGGUCACCCUGAGUAUGUGUGUAAACUGCGAAAGGCUCUCUACGGACUAAAACAAGCACCCAGGGCGUGGUAUGGCAAGAUUGCUGAAUUUCUAACUCAAAGUGGGUAUUCAGUAACAUCUGCAGACUCCAGCUUGUUUGCUAAAGCUAAUGGAGAAAGGAUAGCUAUUGUGCUCGUGUACGUAGAUGAUCUAAUCAUCACUGGAGAUGAUGUUGAAGAAAUUUUCCGAACAAAGGAGAACUUGUCAGUUCGUUUUCAAAUGAAAGAACUUGGACAACUUAAGCAUUUCCUUGGGCUAGAGGUUGAUCAGACGAAAGAAGGGAUAUUUCUUUGUCAACAGAAAUAUGCCAAAGAUUUGUUGAAGAAGUUUGGGAUGCUAGAAUGUAAGCCGAUCUCAACACCGAUGGAACCAAAUGCCAAGAUGUGUGCACAUGAAGGCAAAGACCUGGAAGAUGCAUCGAUGUAUCGACAAUUAGUGGGUAGUCUAAUCUACUUAACCUUGACUCGACCUGACAUUUCUUAUGCAGUUGGCGUGAUGAGUCGAUACAUGCAAAAUCCGAAGAAGUCUCAUUUAGAAGCGGUUCGGCGAGUACUCAGAUAUGUGAAGAGUACAAUAGACUAUGGUCUUUUAUACAAGAAAGGUGGAAAUUGCAAACUAGUUGGCUACUGUGAUGCUGACUAUGCAGGAGAUCACGAUACUCGCAGAUCAACUACUGGGUAUAUGUUUACCCUUGGAUCUGGAACGAUUUCUUGGUGUAGCAAGAGACAACCGACUGUGUCCAUGUCAACUACGGAAGCAGAGUAUCGAGCAGCAGCAAUGGCAGCUCAAGAAAGCACGUGGCUGAUACAACUAAUGAAUGAUCUACAUCAACCACUAGAUUAUACAGUUCUGUUGUACUGUGACAACCAAUCGGCAAUUCGGCUGGCGGAGAAUCCUGUUUUUCAUGCAAGAACUAAACAUGUGGAAGUGCAUUACCACUUUGUUAGGGAAAAAGUUCUGCAAGAAGAGAUUGAGAUGAGGCAAGUCAAGACAGAUGAACAAAUUGCUGACUUGUUUACAAAAAGCUUGAGUGUUGGAAAGUUUGAACAUUUCCGUCGUCAGCUUGGCAUGAUUCAAAGAAUGGGGGCUAACAUUGAGGGGGAGUGUUGAGAAGUCAAUAUUAGCCCAAAUAAGUCCACACCUAAAUUAAUUUGAUGUCAUUGCUUACAUCAAUUUAGUUAGGUGAAUAUUAGCCCAAAUAAGUCCACACCUAAAUUAAUUUGAUGUCAUUGCUUACAUCAAUUUAGUUAGGUGAAAAUUAGGUAUUUUUCCCAUGUUUAAUUUCAAUGGUUUAAAUUAGUUUGUGGUUAUUUUAAUGAGUGGUUUAGAUUGUUUCUUGUAACCUAUAAAUACCUCAUUUGUAUUUGAGUUUUAUUAUUCAACAAUAAAAAGCUUUAUUAUAAGCAUUUGAAAGCUUUCUUAAGAGUUCUUCUCUUUUUGCAAUUUUGUGAGAUUAUUCUAAAGAGAGUUUUUCUUCUUCUUGAUCAAUUAGAGUUUUUACUCUAUUUUGAUUCAACAUAAACUUCAGUAAAGUUGUUUCAGUUAUCUAUGUAAUCAGGCUAAGGAUAUUUAGCAGCUUAUUUAGGCAACUGCCAGAAUUCAGUUUGUUCGCUCGAAACUUGUAUGGUGACAAGGAUACUGGCAAGGAUAGUGAGAUAGUUUUUUGUGCGAGUGAAUUUUGAAAGCUUGGGUGUUCUGGGAUUUGCAAUUGCAAUCAUCCUCUGCUUUAGGUGAUUUCUUCUCCUCUUCUGUCUUUAUUUUCUCUCUAAUUGAAAGCAUAAAGUAUUUCAAUCAAAUUCUGUACCAGGAAUACGAAAAAUUUACUAAUAUUUUAUUUCCAUCUGUUUGCAUUGAUAACUUGGCCGCUUAUGUACUAGUUAAAGAACAAACAGAAGCAGAGUUCAGGAAAAAGUUUCUUCGGCCACCAUAUUUUAAAAUGAAACCAUUUCCAGGAAGCAGUUGGCAGCAAAUUCAUAGAAAGUAUAGACAAUGAUGAGCAAAAAGGUGAUUCGCAAUUUCAUUUUUUUAAAAUGAAAUUAUUUGUUAAGUUGGAGCUGAUAUUGUUAGAAGGCCAUUGAGCUAACCUAUGACACUGCUUGCCUAGAUUGCAGGAGGUCAAGACUCAAAAGAUGCACUGAAUUUUAAAAGGCAUGCAAUAAUUCUUAUGGCCAUUUGUCAAUGGUGGAAUGCUUUUAGCUUCUUUUCCUUUCGUGCAUUUUGGGGUUCUAUCAAGCGACAGCCGUAUGUAUGGACGGAUAUAGCUGCUGCGUUGAUUUCUAAUGCGUUGUAUGAUGUUAUAGCAACUAUCUAUCUGGUCAAUGUUUCAAAAGAAUAAGACACAGGGAAAAAGAGAAAGCAAGUGGCCAAUCAAGUAUUCAUGUCCCAAAGAAAAGAAUGAUUCGACAAUAGCAUUAAGGGUUAAUUGGACACAACAGAAGUGUUUUAACCACUUCAAGGAAUGUAAAUGUAAUUUUCCAUUCUAAAGAAAAAGUAAAUAUAUGCACUGUCAAUUAAUCUUUGGUCAACCAGCAACAUUCAUAAUUUCGUGUAAGUUUCAUUUCUGUUUGUUGGAAAUAGCAGUGUAUUUCUGAGAGUUUGUUCAAAAUGGAAAGAUUUUAAAAUAUAAAUUUCACAUCUGUUUAUUACUGUUGUUUGGUCUAAUUUCUUAUGUAGAAUUUUCAGAAUCUGUCGGACAUUAGUUUAUAAUUUUGAGAUUUUGCAGCCAUAAAUUUUUUUUUUUUUUGGUUGCCAUUUUAUUUUGCUCCUUUAUCUAUGUGCAUGUUGACUGGCUGCAGUGAGUGAAAAUUUACCCAUAUUUGCUGGCUAUUCUUGGACAAUAUUAGAGAAAAUAAUCAUAUUAUUUCGCGUGAAGUGAACUUCCAUAACUUAUCAAUUGAAUUGCUGUAAAAUAUUAAAUAGUUUUAUUUUUCUUUUAUCGUGUAACUUGGACCAAAAAAGGAAAUGAGUUUAACAUGACCCUCAUUCCGGCACUAUGCAUGUUUUUCUUGUAUUGAUGACAGUGCUCUUGGUGCUUCUCAUCUGCUUCUUGCUUUGGUUUCAAACAAGUCUUUCUCCGUCGAGACAUUUAUUGUAAUUUCAUUUGGAGACAUAUAUCUGUCGUUCAAAUAUAUUUCAUAUGCAAGCUGUUAAUAAUUCUGCUUGCAGAAAGCCUACAAAGCAGCUGUGUGAUGUAAUAGAAGACCAUAGUCUGGUCAAUUUUUCAGCAUUAGAUAUUCAGGUCAUCAGCUUCUCAUGAAUUCUUUCCUGAGUUUCUUUGAAUUAUUUGUGAUGUAAUAACUUGUGCAUUUGAGAAACUGUUCUCUUGAAUUCUUUCUUGAGUUUCUUUGAAUUAUUUGUGAAUAAGUUGUUAAUCGGCUGCUUCUCUUCAGGAUAAGGAAAGUGUUGCAAACUGGUGAAGCAGCUGAUAGAUAAAAGCAAUGGGUACAUCUUUGCUGGCAUGGAUCGAUGCCAGUGCGGUUGAAUUCAGCAAGACUGCCGUUCGUGAUGUUGUUGAUUGGGAUUAUUUUCAACCUUAUGAUUCUCAUAUCCAUAGAACCUUUUGGUUAUUUAAUCAUAUUUCAUCGUAUGCAUCCGCAUCUUCAUGUGCGUUUGAGAAACUGUUUUGCGGUUAGGCAGGUUUCAAUCUUGAUUCAUGCGUCUUUCAUAAAUGUACAAAAUUAUGGAAACUUCUUUUUCCCAGAUAUUAUAUCUGCACUUAUUCCCAUGUAAUCGAGUCAGACAAGUUUUGCUUAACAAAGAUGUCUACAGUCGCUGAAGUGCAGGAGGAGUACAUUAAGGGUGAUGACAACAUUGAUUAACCCAACCCAACCUGUAAAAAAUCACACCGGUUAGGUUGGUUUCACGGAUUGGGCGGGUUGGUGCCCACCCAUAAAUAUAACCUCCAUUUCAGUACAAUGCAUGUUAAUUGUUCUCCAAGGACUUCUCUUGUUUCCCAUUCCCAACCUCCAUGCUCUCGAGAGGAAUUUGGCACCCAUCAAUUUUUAUUUUUGAAAACUCGUAAUGGUCUGAUAAAAUUAAACAACAUCAAUAACGUUACCAGUCUUUAAAUAGUAAUUAAUUUAUUUAAUUUGCCACCUAAAAGAAUCCUGCUGGAAAUAGAGGUUAAAAAUUUUAUUAGAUCUGCUUACCUUUGUUCAUUCAGCAAAAACACUUACAAUUCAUAGCUAGAGAAUCUAUCCAUUGACAAUUGUGGAUUAAAAUUAUAACACCUGAAUUCAAACAUAUCCUUAUGAAGUUAUGAAUUUGUUCAUACUUCAAAUGAUUUUUUUUUCCCCAAGCUAAUAAAGCGACCACUUUGAUCAAACAACGAUGUUGAAGGAAUUGCGUAUUUUCAAUGUCCUUUUCCAGACAGACGUUCGAGAGAGGGAAAGGAGAAGACUGGCCUAAUUAAGAUAUCUCACAAAGAUUAUUAUUGAGUUAAAAUGUUAUUGUAAAAGAUGUUUAAUACAAUAAUAGUACUUCUUUUGCAUUGUUAUAAUGAGGCUGGUGGGUUUCCUCAGAGGAUGGAUCUGGCUCGCUAGUAUGCAUUUGGGAAGCUGCUAAUUAUCGGCCAUAAAAAGUCAGGGGGUUGUGGCUGUUCCGUCGCCCAGAAAUUCCUAAACUCAUAUAUCAAAUUUCGGAUGAACUUGGGCAUUAUGUAAAUAUGUAUUUUUGAGAAUUAAACUAGUGCGUUAGAAAAAUUUUGAGCCACUGUAAUCAUUUGAUUUUGCUAAGAGAAAAUUUUACUCUGUGUUUCGCUUUGCCUUUUGUUUUUUCUGUGAUAAUAUGAUUCAUACGAAUGUGAUUACACACUAUCAUGCAUCUAUUUUCAUUUGCUUGUCAUGAAUGAUCAACAUGCUCGAAAUAUUUAUAUAGGUUGGAAAUAUUUAAAUCUAUUAAAAUACUAUACACACCCAUUUUAAAAUAAAAAUAUGAUUAUUAUAAUGAUCGCGAAGGUAACACGAUAUCAUAAAUAAAAUAAAAUAUUUCGCAAAAAAGAUAAGAUACGCUUGAAUACAUUGGUAUAAAAAAUAUUUUAGUGGAUUCAAGUAGCACUAAUGCUCCCUUAUCAAAAAAUAUAUAAAGAUAACUAAUCUGAUUGGGUAUACCGUGUGUGUGUGUGUAAUAUUUUUUGAUAUUAUUAUAUAAUAUUUUUUAAAAAGAAGAGAGAGUGGGCAAAGUUCAAAUCAAUUUUCUAAUCCCUAUCUCCUUUAGGAUUUAAACUUCGGUGUUUAGUGUCACGGGUCGCUCAAAUUUUCUAGUCAAAGAGGCUAAAUUGCACGAAAUUGUGCUAGCUUAUUUGAUUUUAAAAUUUUCCAAUGCACUGUAACACACUCUCAUGCUUGUACAUAGCUCGAAAAUCUCUAGAAUUUACCAGAGUAGUGUAGCAUGUAGCUUGUACAUAGGUUUUUCUGGAACACUCCAAGCAUUACUAAGCAUAAGAGCUUUGAGAACUCUCUAGACAUAAAACAUUCAAGGGUAGGCCUGCCCUAAAAAUAGGGCAUGAUGAUUGCCAUUUGAGCAUACAAGAAGUAAGAACAAAUCAAGUAUAUUUGUAAGCUCCCAAACUCUCUCGUACACACUCCUGUGAAUAUUAUGCUUUCUCUUUGACUAUAUUACUCUCUCUUCUCUCUAGUUUUUUUUCGCAAGUAUCAUAUCUUAGCUAGUCGAAAAGUUCAAGUAAGAAUGAUAAUUUUUCCUGAUGGGAUGGGAUGGGAUGGGAUCCUGUGGGAUCCCAUCUCAUUUAGGACGGGAUUGGGAUACAUUUUUAUCCCAUAAAAAAAUAUAGGGACGGGAGUAGAACUUUUUUUAUCCCACUUGUAUCUAUGGGACAGGACUGAGAUUAACAAAUCCAGUCUCGUCACGUCUCGUCUCAUUGCCAACUAGGGAUGGAAAUUUUUCCAAUUGAGAUGGGCUCUCACAGAAUCCCAUUUUUUUGGGGAUGCGAUUGAGACAUAUUUUUAUCCCAAAAAAAUAUAUCGACAGUGACACUUUUUUUUAUCCCACUUGCAUAUUCGGGACGAGACUGAGAUUAGUAAAUCCCACUCUAUCCCAUCACAUUGCCAACCCUAAGUUCAAGGCUUACUUUGCAACUAUCUCAUAAAAGUUGUUUUAAGUACCACAGGAGUUUGUUGUGCAAAAUACUCAUCCCGUGACAUUAGCUAAAUAAAAUUGUUUGAAAGCCACUUACCCAAACUAUUAAACAAAUAUUAUUCUUUUAAUAUGCAAUCUUUUAAUAUAAACUUUUGUCUUAAUUUUCUAUCUCCUACAAUAAAUUUUAUGAUUUUAAAAAUUGAAAAAAUUAAUAACUUUUAGAUAGAGCAUUCCUUACUGUUAAAAGAAAUAUGAAUGGUAAUAUAAAACUUACUUAUUAUAGUAUAAUGCUUUUAGUUUUUUGAAAUAAGGUUCUUAUUUUUUUCAAGAUAAAAUUCAAAGAAAACAAGUUAAAUGUUGUGGAAAAUCUUACGCCCAUACAAUAAAUUAUGACAGCUAAAUGCAAACCUGGCUGAAGUAUUAGUUGUUUUAUUACAAUCUCCAAAAAGAUGAGCACUUCCAAAAUCUUUCUUUGUAACAAUAAACACUACUGGUCAGCAACUAUCCAAGUCAAAAGUAACUCAAUGUGAGUCUUAGUGCACUUGCAGUGAAUCCCAAGAUAAACUAAUUUCACUAGCAAGUUGGAUACCAAAGAGUAAGGCUUCAGCCUCAAUUAUAUUAAAAUCUGAGUAAACAUUAAAUACCACAAUCAAACUCAGAAAUCAUAAUUAAACUAUCAUGAUUAAAAAUAAAGUUUUUUUUUUAGAUAUCCGUUUGUAGUAUCUCUUUAGAUGACAAAUAGGAGAUAAAAUAAAUAAAUAUUGGUUGCGUAAAUAAAAUAAAUAAUUUUUUUAACUGAAAAAAAUUCCUAAAAACUAAAUAGUUCAAACUUUUUUUAACAUGAAAUAAAUAUUAGAUGCGUAAAUAUAAAAAAAUUAACUGAAAAAAUUUCCCAAGAACUAAAUAGUUCAAACUUUUUGUUUAACAUCAUGGGUUUUGUAUAUUCAAUUGAACCGAACAACUAAAUUAAAUCGAAAUUACCCUGUUCGGUUCAAAUGAAUAGACGAAAACCGAACAGUUCAUAUUUUUUGAACUGAUGGUGCGUUUACUUCAUGAAAUGAAAAUAUGGUGGAAUGAGAAUGGGCUGGAAAUGAGAAUGUGUUGAAAUGAGAAUGAAGAAUGAGAAUGAGAUUCUAAUGUUUACUUAAUAAAAAUAAAGGGAAAUGAGAAUGUGCUGGAAUGUCAUUGAUGUGUUUAUUUGACAAAAUAAAUGGGAAUAAAGAAUGAGAAUGAGAAUUAAUUUACCAAAAUACCCAUAGUAUUAAAUAAUAUAAUUUUUAUUUUACUAGAUACAUGUAUAAAUAUUAUUAUAAAAAUAAUAUUAAUUAAAAUAAUAAAUGUUAAGAAUGAUAAUAUUAAUAAAAAUAAUAAUAACAAUAAUUAAUAAUAACUAAAAUAAUAAAGUUAAUAAAAAUAACAACAACAAUAAUAAUAAUAAUAAUAAAUGUUAAUGAUGAUGAUGAUGAUAAAUGUUAAUAAUGAUAAUAUUAGUAAAAAAAUAAUAACAGUAAUUAAUAAUAACUAAAAUAAUAAAGUUAAUAAUAAUAAUAAUAACAUUUAAAAUAAUAAAAUUAAUUGUGAUUUGAAUCAGAGUAAUUCGAAAAAUAUAAAAAAAUUAAAAUGAUACAAAAAUAAACAUAAAUUUUAUCCCCGUUCCCUCAUUUUCAUUCUCAAUUCCCCAUGAAAAUAGAAUUCCCAUUUCUUAUUUUCAAAUUACGGAAUCCCCAUAUUUUAUUAUCAUUCCCAAAUUAUAUUUUACCAAAUAAAUAUAAAUUUUAUUCAUAUUUUUUCAUUUCCAUUCUUUAAACCUUCAAGUAAACACAAUUUUCUUUUAAUUCGGGUUCUGGGCCUGAACCGAACCGUACCGUAAACUGCCCACCCUUACAGUAGUUUUCGGGGUUUUUAAUUAAAUAUGCCUUAAAAGUAGUGUAUUUAGUUAAAUAUACCCAUGUUUGAAAAUUAUCUAAGUAUGCCUUUUUAUGUGGUACAUUGUCUAAAAUAUCCCUAAAGAAAAAUAUAAAACACACACACAACUCACAACACUCUUUGCUUCUCACGUAUUUAUCAUCUAUACAAAAACUCACACCACACUCAAAAUCACUCACAAACAGCUAAUGCACUGAGUUUGUUUGCAGUUGGGUGUAUUAUUCAUCCCAUGAAUAAGGUAUUUGAAACUUUUUUUAUUUUAUUUUGGGCUAUCUAUUCAAUUUGUUGACAUUAUAUUAUUUUUAGGGUUUUGUUUGGUUUGUGAUAAACACUAAAGCAACUCAUAUUUUCAUUACAUUUGCAUCAUAUGACUGUUAUUUGAUGGAUUUUAUAACUACAUUCGUUAAAAUCUGAAGUUGUUGUCAAAUUUUUUUCUGCACCCGACAUACACGACAGCAGUCGUGUAUGUAUGUAUUUACAUGACUGUAGUCGUGAAAAUGUGCAAAAAAUUUCAAUUAUUAUGACACCUUAUUAUUCUAUUGGUUCAAAAAAUAUAUAUUUUUCACUAUAUAUAUCCUUUUACUAUUACUAUACUAUAGUCGUGUGUGUGAAUAAGUUACACGACUACUAACGUGUACGUAUAAACUUACAUACUAUAAUUGUUAAUAAGUUACACGACUACUAUGAACCUUAUAUACUUGUUAUUUUUUGUUGUUUUAAUUUUUUUAAUAUCUUUCAUAUUUAGUGAUAAAUUUUUACCUUUUUGUUUCGCAGAUGAAUAAACAUGUUUGUGUGACUUUCUAAGAACAAGUAUUGAAGGGAGGCGACCAGAGACUUAUAAAAUAUGGACUGAGUGUUUGGGUUGAAUAUGCCAAAAAUUUAUGAUGAAUGUUAAAUAACUUCUAUUAUAUUACGACUUAUUUACGAUUUCAAUAAUUAUUGGAUUUGUGUUAUUUGAUAGGCAAUCGAACUAUAGUUAGUUUCAUUUAUUUGAAGUUUGAUAUGUUUAAAAUCUAUAUUGAUUGUGUCAUCAAUAUAAUGAAUGAUUGAAAAGAAUUUUUAUUCUGUGCACAUACCCGAGUACAAUCGUGUAUUUUGGCUGUUACAAAACUAGUCAUGUUUAUUUCUAAAUACUCGACUACAGUCGUGUAUCUGUGCAAAUACUCGAUUAUCACAGAGAGUUUGUCAUAUUUAUUUCUAAAUACUCGACCAUAGUCGUGUAUCUAUGCAAAUACUCGACUACAGUCAAGUAUUUUGUCACAGAGAGCUUGUUAUUUUUAUUUGUAAAUACCCGACUACAGUCGUGUAUAUGUGCAAAUACCCAACUGCAGUCGAGUAUUUUGUCACAGAGCUUAUUAUGUUUAUUUCCAAAUACCCGACCGCAGUCGUGUAUCUGUGUAAAUACUCGACUGCAGUCGAGUAUUUUGUCACAGCUUAUUAUGUUUAUUUUUAAAUACCCGACCACAGUCGUGUAUCUGUGCAAAUACCCGACUACAGUCGAGUAUUUUGUCACAGAGCGUAUUAUGUUUAUUUCCAAAUACCCGACCGCAGUCGUGUAUUUGUGCAAAUACCUGACUGCAGUCAUGUAUUCUCUUACAGUGUAUUCCUUGUGUAUAUAUUGUGCAAACUAUCUUAUCUAUCAUUAAUAUAAAUAACAAAGAAAUAAAAUAUAUUAAUGCUGUCAAUUGUCUUUAAUGACAUCAAAUAUCAAUAACAUCCUCAUUACAACUAUUACAUCUCAUAAUCUAAAAAAUGACACUACAAAGUUUUUUUCCAUGACCUAUGCCCAAAUAAUUUUACAACCAAGGCUUGUCGAAAUUAUGUAACAUGAUUUUGUUGGCAUUAUGAAUUGACAUCAAGUCCAUGGACUAGGACCUCCAAGUACCGCAACAAAAAUGCUCCACAUUCACCACUAAAAAAAUUCAUAUAAAUCAAUUGUUAAAAAUCAUCAUUCUUAUUAUUAUGUUCAAAACACAUUAUAUAUAUAGUACAUACCCUGAUUUUUGUUGCGGGAUGUCACGCACUCGCACGAUGGGCCAAGGAAUUUUCGAAAUAACCUCACUACAGUCUGGAUGUGUUUCGUGAUAUGCUAUCUUCUGAAGUACUAGAGGUAUCAUGUCUGCAACAGGCAGCAAUUGUCUCACCAAAACUGAAUCCUUUGUUAAGUCUAUCAUGGAGUCAUAAAUAGAAAUCUUGCCCCCAAGUAUAUCGACCACACCGAGAACCCAAUGAUCAUUCAUGAAUAUUGGCAAAUACACCUACGAAAUACAGACAAUAUUCUUAACAAGUAACGGCAAAUAUAUCUACGAAAUGCUGUAACUGUUUUUAUCUACUUGCAGUUGAUUUAUUAAUAGUAUACUAUCAAUAGUUUUAUGCUAAAACAAAUAGCAAAUUGUUAAUAAAUUAGAAUUGUAAAAUAAAGGUUCUACAACAAAUAAUAGAGAAAACCCAGAUUGUAGCAUAAUGAAUGCAUACGCAGUUGAAGAAAAUUGAUAUAUAAUUCCCAUGGAUGAAGUUCAACUACAAACAAUAAGUAAAAUUAUAUAAAGAUCUAAUGCAUAAACUAGUGUAGCCAUAACCGAAAAUUCAUAAGGAUAAUAUUUAAUUAGGAACUCCCACAACCAUUAUUAAAGAGCUAUUAAUUCACUCUCUUCAAUUUCAAAUUCACAAGUUAAAGAAGCUUCAUUACAUUACCAACAAGAAAGAUUAUCAGUAAAUAAGCAAGAUAAUGACCAAAAUCAUGUGGGUAAUUUGUUUUUUAAAACCCUAUUGCAUAUAACCCUAACAAUUAUGCACCAUAAAUUCUCUUUAUAAAGUAAAAAAUAAGUGUAAAUGUGGUUAAUGACCUUUAGUUCGGUGAAUUUCCAGCCUUUAAUUCGGUGAUUUUGUAGCCUUUAAUGUGGUGGAUGAACUUGCAGCAGCAGGAGCAUGAACUUGCAGCAGCAGGAGCAUGAACUUGCAGCAGCAGGACAAGCGUUGUGUAUGGUAGCUCGUGAAUGCAGAUUUUGAAAUUUGAAGAAUUAAAUUGGGGUAAUUUUAUAAUUGCACAUUGAAAAAGGUAUAUAAAAAAAAUUUUGAAUUAUGGGGGUAUAGUUGGAUAAAUACCUAACCUUUAGGGUAUAGCGGGGACAAAUCCCUGGUAGUUUUCAUUAACCGACGUUGUACUGCUGGUAUGAAGUUGUUCAAAUGUUCAAAUCAGUCUCUCGCUUUCAGCUCAGUCAGAGUUUCCAGGUCCAGAGACUUCCCGCUGACUGAGAGCUUUUUUAGUAGCAGGUCUACAAAUAAAGGAAUAGAGCUGAUUUAAUGAUUAAUUUAUUUCCUUUUUCAAUUUCUUUUGAUUGCCAUUUAAUCUGGAUAAGUUAAACGUGAAUUAUUUAGUGCAGAUUAAAUGUUCGACGAAUUUCCCGCAAGAAUAUUAAGCUAAAGAGAAAAAAAGAAAACAAUUGAGCGUGAGCGGGAAUGGUGUUUGGCCAAGUGGUGAUUGGUCCGCUCGGCUCGGGAAAGACCACUUACUGCAAUGGCAUGUCUCAGUUUCUCCGCCUUGUUGGCAGGUAACUCCGUUUCUUGAUUUCAAGCAGCUUUAUCUUUGAUGGCCAAAAAAAUUGAUUUGGGCUUUGCCCAUUAAAUGAAUGUAAGAGCGGUAGGGAAUAACUGAGUUAUAGGAUUAGCUUUAAGUGAACAUUGAUGGUAACAUGCAUGUGAAUGUUGUAUGUGUUCAGCGGCAAGCUGUAUGCCAAUUUGGUCUAUAUGGUUGCUUCGGUGGUAACUUAUUAAUUUUUAUGCAGGAAGGUUGCAGUCAUCAAUUUCGAUCCUGCUAAUGAUAGUUUGCCAUAUCCUUUGUCGUUGAACUUUCUUACAAAUGCUGUGGUUUGUUGUAGUACAAUUAGUUCAAUCAGAAACUUCCUUGAUGUUAAUAUAGAUAUGAGUGUGCUGUGAAUAUUGAGGACUUCAUUAGACUAAGUGAUGUGAUGAUGGAGCAUUCACUUGGUCCCAAUGGAGGUUAGUCAGCCCAUUGUUGUUUACUCUUUCUUGCUUUAUCACGCAAUGAUAUUCCUUUGCUUUACAACAAAUUUCGUGAAAUUAACUUCAAUCAAGUGGCUAUGUUCAUACGCUGUUGAGAUUUUAUGGACAAAGAUUUGGUAGACUUUAUAUGCCGUCUUCUUUCUUUUUGCAGUGAUAUGUUUGUCUUCAAUGCACUUGUACUUGUUCUAUGGUUUCUAAAGUAGGUGUUUUUAUGAUAAACUAGGUCUUGUGUAUUGUAUGGACUAUCUAGAGAAGAAUAUUGACUGGUUGCAGUCGAAAUUGGAACCACUUUUGAAAGGUAAGAAGUGGCCAUUUUCCUUCAUUCUAAUGCCAAUAAUGCUGUCAUGAGACUCAUAAAAAUUGUUAAAAUGUUAAUGUUUUUGGUAUUUUGCAGAUCAUUAGCUUCUGUUUGAUUUUCCUGGCCAAGUUGAAUUAUUUUUUCUUCAUUCCAAUGCCAAGAAUUUUAUAAUGAGACUCAUAAAGAAGUUAAAUCUCAGUGUAUUGUUACAUCUUACGUCUAUGAAGGCACUCAAAGAGUUGAGAUGAAUUCAUCAUUGUUAUUUUGAUGCCAGAAUUGUGCAAUUCUCAGUUGCUUCCUUUCACAUGCAGUUGACUGCAGUGCAUCUAGUUGAUGCGCAUCUUGGCAGUGACCCCGGGAAGUAUGUUAGUGCUUUGCUUCUCUCAUUGUCUACGAUGCUCCAUCUGGAACUUCCCCAUGUCAAUGUCUUUUCUAAGAUCGACCUGAUUGAGAAUUAUGGAAAGCUAGGUGUGGUUUUAAGUGUAGCUCUCCUACUUGUUUGUUUAGUUUGAAAUAUCAGAUAUUGUCACAAGCUCCUAUCUGCUACGUUUCCUCACCAUUCAUUUACUUUGGGUAUGUUGCAGCUUUUAAUCUCGAGUACUAUAUGGAUGUGCAAGAUUUGUCAUAUUUACAGCAUGCCUUGGGUCAGGACCCUCGUUCUGCUAAGUACAGGUUUGAAUUCUAGCUGAAUCAAUGAUGCAAAUUAUGUCCAUUGCUAUUUCUGACUAUUGUUUCUAUCAUUUUCAAUUGUUACCUCCCCUUUCCAUCUACUGCCACACUACAAUGCCCACACAAAUAUCAUGAAAUUUUUCAAUGGAAAUGCCUUUCUGUUUGUCCAGAGACAGCUCUUAGAUGCAAGUGACCAAUUUUUGGCUUUGGCCAUGUUACAGCCUUAGAUUUCAAUUUGCCAUAUCUUGUCUCGGAAGUCAAAAGAAAGCAUAUUUGUUAGCCAAAUUUUAUUUGAAUUUCUUGUGUAACAAUGAAUGGGGGAAAAAAAAAAGUUCCUCUUUUGUUUUGAUCAGACUCAAUGAAUAAGUGGUUAAAAUGUGCCUGUACUAGAAAUAUAGAUGUGAGGUUUCAUAAAAUUUUCUUAAUCUUAAGAAAGAGUUAUCUUGAAAAGAAGAUAACAUGGAGAAUUCAACAACUAUACAGUCAUAUUGAUGUCUGUCAACUUGGGUCAUAUGGUGUUGUUUGGAUGGAGAUGUUAGGUCCCAGAUGGUAUACUUGUUAUCAAAUUCCAGUCUACUUCAUUCAUGCUUUGAUGACAUAUGCGGUGCAGCUUCUUAUCUAAGACCUGCAUAUGUUACAGUCAACAUUCUGUUCUGUAACUCAACCUCAGGAAUCUGCUUGUAUGGUGUUCUUCUAAUUUCAAAUGGAGAUAAGUAAUAUCUGUUGUUCAAAUAUAUUUUAUUUACAAGCUGUUAAUAAGUCUGCUUGCAGAAAGCUUACAAAGGAGCUGUGUGAUGUAAUAGAAGUCUACAGUCUGGUCAAUUUUUCAACCUUAGAUAUUCAGGUCAUCAGUUUCUCUUGAAUUCUUUCUUGAGUUUCUUUGAAUUAUUUGUGAAUAAGAUCUUAGUUGGCUGCUUCUCUUCAGGAUAAGGAAAGUGUGGCAAAACCUGUGAAGCUGAUAGGUAAAAGCAAUGGGUACAUCUUUGCUGGCAUGGAUGCCAGUGCAGUUGAAUUCAGCAAGAUUGCCAUUCGCGAUGUUGAUUGGGAUUAUUUCAGAUAUCCUUCUGUUCACUUAUUUUGAAUCUUGUUAUUCUCAUAUUCAUAAAACUUUUUGGUUAUUAUUAUGGUUCAUCAUAUGCAUCUACAUCUUCUAACUUGUUCGUUUGAGAAACUAAUUUUGCCGUUAGGUAGGCUUCAAGCUUGAUUCAUGCUUUUUUCAAAAAUGUACCAAAAUCAUGGAAACUUCUUUUUCCCAGAUAUUGUAUCCACACUUUUCCCAUAUAAUUGGGUCAGACAAGUUUUGCUUAACAAAGAUAUCUACAGUAGCCGAAGUGCUGGAGAAGUACAUUAAGGAUGAUGACGAUGUUAACUAAAAUGGGACGUGAAGAUAUGUGGUGUGCAAACCGUAAGCCUGCCUCUUAUUUUUGUGCAUGUUUACUUGCUUGUGAUUCACGUUUGUUAAUCUAUUUUGCUCUCUUGCAGGAGUUAUAAAGUUUUCAAUCAAUCAAACAUUUUAACUUAAGUCCUUAGCUCUUCACGGCUUGAAUGGGUCAGAUAGGACAAGCGCCGAAGAGGUGGUUUUAAUCAAACCCCUCCUAAUUAUGAUGUAUGGCCCGAAUCUCGGACUUUUUUUACAAUAUCAAGCGAUUUUUUUUAGUUGAAUCGGCUAGUGUACACAAAUGUCGAUUAUUGAUUUUUCUUUAGUAUUGUUUGUAAUUACAAGAAACGAAGUAAUGAAAUUUAUCAGUGCGUUCAUAGUUACGCUUAAGCUCAAAGAUUACCGUCAAGAUCAUCAACCUGCUGAUGAUCUGAAGCUUCCAUAGAAAAAGGAACCGGACAAAACCCAAGAGAGAGAACAAAAAUAAAUUAAUUAAAAAAAAAGAAGAAAAAUUGCCAAAGCUACUGGUCAGUUGACAUCAAUCUUUUGCACGUGGGAUGGAAAUGGAACACUGGGCACUUUGGAUGACUCAUAACUCACAAGAGAGCAUCGAAUUUAGGCCGAAUCAUAUAAAGUACGCUAAGCCUUAGUGCGUGCGCUGUUGCGUUGCUGUGUCUGCCGGUGAGAAUAAUUUUUCGUUUUUAAGGUAAUUUUCAUUUAUUUAUUUAUUUUUUUGGUGCAUAUGGUCGAACACUUGGUGGGCACCUCAGUUUUUGGAAUGUUCUCUUCAAUGAAUACAGGGAAAAAGGGACAAAAAUUAAGAACUUUAUUUUGUUCGCGUGGAAUCGAUAUCUGGAUUGGGAUUGUAUGUCGUGUUUAAUUUGAAUUGGUUGAUUCCUCUAAUGAAUUAUUUGAUAAAUUUAGUAGCAGUAUUUGGUGGCAAAAGUAUCAUUAAUUUUUGGAAAUAUGAUUAUAUUAUUAAUUAUUUUAGCAUUCUAAAAAGUCAAUGGUUAUGUUGGAAAUACUCUAAGGUAGACUAGAGUACAAAUCACAAUCACACAUAAAAAGUGAUAAAUAAUAAAAAAUAUAUUAUAUUUUUGAUCAUAUGAUUAUGAAGAUGUAUUUUACCUUAAAGAAGUUAUAAUAAGCGAAUUCUUUUAAAAAAGAAUAAAAUUUCUUUUUUAUCAUACUCAACCGCUUCAAACUUCUAAGAAGUAGAUAUACAAUGAGUGGAAUACUGAAUUGAGUGCGAGCUGCGGAUAACAUAUAAAAUUGGGAUACAAGCUUCAAAGAAAGUGUAUUGCUAUUCAAAUGUAGAUUUCAAAUUAAGAAGAUAUGCCAGCAAAUUGUAUAAAAAUGUAUAAAUUGAUCAGUAACAUUAAUUCCAAAUGAUGAAAUGAGUUAUCUUGAUCAAAAGGUCAAGAACCUACCUUACUUCUCUUAGAGAUAACUUGCAUCAACCGUUGUGGUAUUGAUACUUGUCUUCAGCUAGUAAAAGUGAAAGUUUCACAAUUGAAAUAAAGCUAAGGGAAGAUGCUAUGCUCCAUUUAUUAUUAUUAUUAUUGACGUGGUCGAGAAGUAAAGCCGUGCAUAUGAUGAAGUAUAAAUAAGAAUGCAAUAGCCCGGAAUUCAUUUACACAAACACUUCAAUAUCCUUUUGAUCACUUUUGCAAACAUCAAUUUGUCUCCUCUUGUAUUCACCAUGGUUGAUGCCAUCGUUUCCACUGUCUUGGAGCAGCUGAUUUCCUUCGCUGCUAAAGAGAUAAAGCAACAGGUGAUCGAAGUUACACCCGCAUAUUAUAAACACUUCUAAUGAUUUUAGUUGGUUUCCUUUUUAUCGAAAACAUUAUUUUUGCUUUAUUUUAUUUAUUUGGCAAUUUUAAAUUUGGAAAUUUGAAUUGAAUUUAAUUAAAAUGUGAUGUAGUUAGUAACCACUUAUUUUUAUUUUAUUUCAUUUAUAUUCUCAAUAACUACUCAUAUUUUGGUAACUUACUAUAACUUCCAUAUCUAAGAAAUUAUCAAAACCCACAAUUUUAACUCAGCACGAAUAUUCAAUGGUGAUCUAAGCUUUUGCAGAACACUCAAGUUUGUCAAACAUUCAUUAAUUCAAUGUUUAGUGAAAAAAACUCUUCUCAGCACAGAAUUCCAUGUCCAUUACUUAGGCUCUCUGAAAAAUUUCAUAAUUUUCAUACAUUCUUUGAGUUUGGUAAGUGAUUUCAUAUAAUUUCUUUUCAAGUUAAAUUUUAAUUUGGCUUCUGAUAUAGUCUCUUUGUUGAAUUUGUAUCUCUUAUGAUUCUUAGAUUUUGGGCUCCAACUUUUGAGGAUAUGAUAGUCACAUUUUAUGCUAUGCUCAGAUUGAUUUUUAUGAUUUUUUGUUCCCGUUAAGUGACUUAGAAUUUGACAAAAGUUUGAUAGGAAAUCUGUUUCACGAUUUUGUUUUAAUUGACCUUUUAGUGGAAAUAAGAUGCUUAUAACUUAAUGUGGAUGGUUUGUAAAAUCAUGAAAUUUGGAUAAUAUAAAUUUGUACGAGACUCUCCAUAAUAUUUCAUGAUUUUUCAUUAGCUCUGGGGUGUUACAGGUGCUACUUGUGACUGGUGUCAAAAAAGAAGUGAAAAAAAUUACCAACCACCUUCAAGCCAUUCAAGCUGUGCUCGAGGAUGCAGAGGAAAAGCAAGUGACGGAAACAGCUGUCAGACUUUGGCUGGGUAGGCUCAAGUCCGCAUCCUACGACAUUGAAGAUGUGUUGGAUGAGUGGAUCACAGCAAGAGGCAAAUUGCAAAUUAAGGGCAGCGUUUAUGACAAUGCUCUUGUUGCUCCUAAUCAGAAGAAGAAGGUAUGUUCCUGCUUUCCUGCCUCUUGCUUUGGUUUCAAACAAGUCAUUUUGCAUCGUGACGUAGCUGUCAAGAUCAAAGAAAUCAAUGAAGAGCUGGACGAUAUUGCCACUCAAAAAGACAUGUUUAAAUUUGUUGGGAGUGUCAGUAAAAGUAGUGAAAGACCAAGACGUGUGCAGAGUACCUCCUUGAUUGAUGAGGAAGAGAUUUGUGGUAGAGUUGGUGAGAGGGAUGCACUCUUAAGCAUGCUGUUGUGUGAGAGCAGUGAGCAACAAAAAGGCCUUCAUAUCAUCUCAAUUGUUGGUAUGGGAGGCAUCGGGAAAACUACUCUUGCACAACUAGCUUGUAAUCAUGACAAGGUGAAGAGUCAGUUCGACAAAAUUUUAUGGGUGUGUGUAUCAGAAACUUUUGAUGAGUUUAGGAUUGCCAAAGCGAUGCUUGAAGCUUUGACUGGUUCAACUUCUAAUUUAGAUGCAUUGCAAUCUCUUCUUAUAAGUAUUGACGAAUCUAUUGCGGGAAAGAGGUUUCUUCUUGUCUUAGAUGAUGUGUGGGACGGAGAUUACAUUAAAUGGGAACCAUUCUACCGUUGCCUAAAGAAAGGUCUCCAUGGAAGUAAAAUUGUAAUUACCACACGUAAUGAGUCAAUUGCCAGCAUGAUGAGAUCCGCAGAUAUUAUCUCUAUCAAGGAAUUGGCUGAAGAAGAAUGUUGGGCAUUGUUUAAGCAGUUAGCAUUUUUCGGUCGAUCCACUGAGGAGUGUGAAAAAUUGGAACAAAUUGGUCAAAGAAUUGCAAGAAAGUGUAAAGGUUUACCUCUUGCUGCAAAGACAAUGGGAAGUCUCAUGAGCUCUAAAAAAACUGAAGAAGAGUGGAAAAGAAUUUUAAAUAGUGAUUUAUGGAAGGUAGAAGAGAUUGAGAAAGGUGUUCUAACCCCUUUGUGGUUGAGUUAUAACGAUUUGCCAUCUAGAGUAAAAAGAUGUUUCUCGUAUUGUGCUGUCUUUCCAAAAGACUACAAUAUAGAAAAAGACAAACUAAUUACUUUGUGGAUGGCUCAAGGUUAUCUUAGUGCAGAAGCAGCAGAACAAGAUGAGGAGUUGGAGACUAUAGGUGAAGAGUAUUUUGGCAUCUUAGCUUCUCGCUCUUUCUUUCAAGAGUUUGAGAAACGUUAUGAUAAUCGUAUUAUAGCGUGCAAGAUGCAUGAUAUGGUACAUGAUUUUGCCCAAUUUGUUAGUCAAAAUGAAUGUUUUUCGUUGGAAGUUAAUGGUAGUGAGGAACUAAACGUCACAAACUCUACAAACUCUCUUGAUGAGAAGGUCCGUCAUUUAAUGUUAAUCUUUAGUAAAGGGACUUCAUUACCUGUUUCCACUCGUAGAGUUAAAAGAAUGCGUACCCUCUUAAUUAACGAUAGUAGAUCUGAUCAUUCAUUAUUAAAUGGUGAGAUCCUAGAAGAAUUAUUUAGGGAAUUGACAAGUUUAAGGGCAUUAGAUUUUGGCAAAUCGUAUAACUCAAGUUGGUCUUCGACUGUGGAGAUUCCGAGAACCAUAGAAAAGCUGGUACAUUUAAGGUACCUGAAUUUGUUUUAUCAGGGAAUAAAGAAACUACCGGAGACAUUAUGCGAGUUGUAUAAUCUAGAAAAGUUAGAUAUUAGUAUAUGUUUUAAUCUUAAAGAAUUACCUGAAGGGAUUGGGAAGUUAAUAAACAUGAAGCAUUUACGAAAUAGAGGUACUAGUUCUUUAAGGUACAUGCCAGUAGGGAUUGGGAGAUUAACGGGUCUCAGGACCUUGGAUGAGUUCCACGUGAGUGGAGGAGGAGGUGUUGAUUGUAGGAAAGCAUGUAGGCUUGAAUCUCUCAAAAACUUGGAAAACCUUCGAGUGUGUGGUAUACGUAGACUGGGUGAUGUAUCAGAUGUGGGCGAGGCUAAGCGAUUAGAACUUGACAAAAAGAAAUACCUCUCUUGUUUGAGACUUCGGUUUGAUAAGAAGGAGGAAGAAGAAGGAGAAAGAAGGAAGAACGAGGACGAUCAACUUCUUCUUGAAGCCCUACAACCACCUCUCAAUUUAAAGGAAUUAGAGAUAGAGUACUACCGAGGCAACACUGUUUUCCCCAGCUGGAUGACGUCAUUAACCAACUUAAAGAGUUUAGAUCUCUCUUCCUGCGAAAAUUGCGAGCAGCUGCCUCCUUUGGGAAAAUUGCCAUCCCUUGAAGCACUCAGCCUAUGGGACAUGAAGUGUGUGGAAAGAGUGGGUGAUGAAUUUUUGGGGAUAGAAAGUGAUCAUCAUGGCUCAUCUUCAUCGGUUAUUAUUGCCUUCCCCAAAUUGAAAUCACUUUCAAUUGAGUUUCUGCGCGAAUUGGAGGAGUGGGAUUAUGGGAUUACAAGAACGGGAAACACCGUCAUCAACAUCAUGCCACGUCUUUCUUCCUUGACAAUUGCUCAUUGCCCCAAAUUAAUGGCACUGCCCGACCACUUUCAUCAAACAACAACAUUGAAGGAAUUGCACAUUUGGGAGUGCAGGCUUCUGGAAGAACGUUACCGCAAAGGGGAAGGAGAAGACUGGCCUAAGAUAUCACACAUUCCCAACCUCCGUAUUGGGCUUUGACAAGUAAUUUCUUCUCUUACUCUGAUUUGCUUUGUUGUUGUUUUUAAUCUAAUUAAGAAGCGUAAAUAGCAUUUUGAAUCAAACUCUAUAUCAGAAAUCUGCAAUACUUACUUUCUAAUAUUCUGAUUUUCAUAUCCUAUGAAUAUACAAUUUUUAAUUUGUGAGAUGGGUAACGUUACUGUAAAAGAUUAUUAAUGCAAUAUGAGUAAUUCUUUUGCAGGACAAGUGACCUACAUUUAGUUUGGCUUUGGAGUUGAAUAAUAACCUUUCGAGGUCCCGACAACCAAAAAACGAAGCUUAAUUUGCCACAGAUUGCACGUAUUGCCAUUAUUGACAAUUUUCUGCACAAGCUUAGGUUGAUUUCAAAAGAGGUAAAUUAUUGGCAUGCCUGACUAUUUUGACCAUUACAUGAUUCAUAAGUUUACAUUAAUUUUGAUUUUGAGUUGAGUGAUUAGUUUUUAUACCCGGAAUAUGCAAAAGUUUCUAAUAUUUUAUUUCCAUCUGUUACAAGAUCAAACUGAAGUAGAACUCAAACAAAAGUAUGCUACUUCUUGCGGAAAUCUUGCCUUUGUUCAGAUUAUGAAACCAUUUCCAUGCAGCAAAUUCAUCCAAAAGUUUGAAUAAGUUUCAUGGUUGGACACUGUUGGCUUCUUUUUCUUCUGGGGUGCAUUUAGGUGCUAUCAAGUGACAGCUAAGUAUGAUUGCACUAAGCUGCCGCUGGGAAAUUUGAGGUUUUGAUGGCUGCCCAUGUUAUUUUCAAGAAACUAUUGAUGUAAGAAGCUGUGGUUCUUUUCAUCAGCUUGAACCUGAAACUGUCGCUAUGGAUAACUCAGGUUUUUGUUAUCAACUAUGUUGAUGCGAGAUUCCGGUUCUCCUCGUUCUACGACCAGGAUCUCUGCUCGAUCAACUUCACCACGACCAGGAGGUCUCCUAGUAAUGCUUCUUCUCCAGAUGUCCCUGCACACACAGACAAGUCAGAGUACGCCGGUUGUUCUCCCGGCGCAAACCCUCCGACGCUCAAGUCAGAUAUGAAGGUUCGGGGAACGCUUGCCACAGGUCUUAUGGCUUUUUCGUGGUUUUCUCUUUUAUCUCAAAAAUGCUAACCCUUUUACCUUCGUUGGCUACCUUUUUAUAGGCUUCCUCUGAAUCCCAGUUUUCCGCUUUUUUCGAGACGGUCUGGGGCUCUGACUGCUGCGUUAUGGGCAAACGUGGGAUCUUGCGUGUUACGCCACGGUUCAGGGGAAAGCGUGGCUGUCGUGGUUCUGUGAGAUCUUGUGUGUUACGCCACGGUUCAGGGGAAAGCGUGGCUGUCGUGGUUCUGUGAGAUCUUGCGUGUUACGCCACGGUUCAGGGGAAAGCGUGGCUGUCGUGGUUCUGUGAGAUCUUGCGUGUUACGCCACGGUUCAGGGGAAAGCGUGGCUGUCGUGCCUAGAUUCUUGGGCUGGAGAGUAUGUCUUGCCAACUGCCGUCGACCGGGUCUCCUCGCCUCUCGACCUCUAGCCGGAAUGGCCUUAUGCCUCUUAUAGGAAAUUGGCCUAGCGGAUGACAACAUCGUGGACGAGCAGGAUACUUCUGCUCCUGUUCUGAUGGCUGCCCAUGUUAUUAACACACCGGUUCACAGAACUCCGCUGUGGUUCUUUUCAUCAGCCUGGUCUCGUCGACGUAUUUAUGGAUAACUCAGGUUUUUGUUACAAACUAUAUCAUCUUUUUCACUAUUUUGAAACUCUUAAGAUUAAACUUUAGUAAAGUUGUUUCAGCUAUUCAAAUGAAAAACUCAUUGAUUUGAGACUUCCUUCAUUAUUGUUUCUAAUUACAGUGCUAACGAUCCAGAUAAAAUAAUAUUUAAUCGGCGAAGGUGUCCCUUGGAAGUACAUCCUUCUUUUUCUUUUAUUAUAUAAAUUCUUGCAAUGAGCUUAGUGAAGCUGUUGUGCUAAUCAUGCCACUGCAUAACUUGGCCCCUAAUGUGGGUACUCUGUUACAUUGUUCUGCAAAUUCUCCAGAAGUUAAAAUCAAUAAAUUUUCUAUUAGCUCUAGUGCUUUGACCUAAAUGCUAUUCUAUAUUCUGAUUACAAUGUUUUAACCUUUAAAUUAACUACCCCUAGAUGUUGGAUUUUCUAGAACUUCAAAAUGAUUAAUGGAGAAAGAUCCCAUUAUCGUUAUUGCUAUAAGAAAUUGAUUUAUGCAUCCAAAGAUACAUUAUAUAUUUCUGUGUCUCUAUUUAUGGAUGACAUUUAAUCAUCCAUAAACUGUCAGACAGAGGAAGGGGGUUCAGUGCAAAGAUUCUGUUGACCUAGGGUUGACUGCAUAUGUCACUUGUUCGCAAUCUAUUAUUUAUUUUAUAUUUUGAAGAAUUUAAUGGGUAAUCCUAAUUGUUUGUUUUGGCAGGUUUGUGUUGUUAUCUCCUUCUAUCUUACAGUCGUACCUAAAUAGCAUAGUUUCAUCUGUGUUACCAUGUGAUGUACAUAAUUUCACAUUUGCCUCAGAUUAAGCUUAAUUUCCCACAGAAUAGAGCUGUCGCGACUGGACUUAGGUUGAUGUCCAAAGAGGUAAAUUAUUGGCAUGCCUAGAUAAUUUGGCCAUUUCCUAAUUCAUAAGUCUACAUUAAUUUUGAUUUUGAGUUGACUGAUUUCUUUUCAAGGUCUGCUUCCUUAACGGAGUGACCAAUGUUUUUCAACUAAAUUUAUCAUAUGAUGCAGGAAGCAGGGCAGGAUAUGAAAUGAGAAGCUCAUUGGUGGAAGUAUUUCCAGUAGCAGAACCCAAUGAAAAUGAAACUAUUUCAAGGCAGCAGUUGGCAGUUGCAAGUGAAUGGAGGCCCUGACAAAAUUCUCAAGCGGUUGCAAUGCAAUUACGAUCAUCCUCAGCCUCAGGUAAUUUCUUCUCCUGCUCUGUUUUUAUCUGUUAUCUAAUUAAAAAGCAUAAAGUAUCUUGAAUCACUUUCUGUAUCUGGAAUAUAUGCAGCAGUUUCUAAAAUCUUCAUAUGAGUGUAAUGAUGGUAAUUUCUGUUUUUUGUCUGUCUUUGAAUGUUAGACAACUUUCAGUGAGACUCUUGAACCGAGACAUUUUUGACAAAUGAAGGACAAUUGCUGAAGAGUGGGAAUGGUGCUAGAUUGGGGAAUAAAGACAAAGGAGGUAAAUUAUUUGCAGUUUAUUCAGCAUUAUUUGCUUUGGACCAGCGCCUGAUUCACAAGUCUCCAUAAUUUGGCUUUUGACCAGUUGUUAAUAAAUUUUUUUAUUCCAUUGGUGCUAAAUGUACACGUGAAGCAGGCAGAGCAGGACUGUGGAAAUGAGAAGGUUUUUAGUGAAAGCUUAAACUCAGGUAAUUCUAAAAAGUACAUGUUUUUGCUGAUUUAUCUAAAUCAGGAAAUUUUAUUUCCAUCUGUUACAAGAUAAAACAGAAACAGAACACAAAGAAAAAUAUUCUACUUCGUGUGGCAAUCUUGCCUUCAUUCAGACAAUGAAACCAUUUCCUUUCACCAAUUUCUUCCAAAAGUUUGAAUAAGUUUCAUGGUUGGACAUAGUUAGCUUCUUUUUCUUUUGGUGCAUUUAGGUCCUAUCAAGUGACAGCCAUAAGUAUGAUUGCAUUAUCGGGAAAUUUUAGAUUUCGAUGGCUCCCCAUGUUAUUGCCAAGAAAGUCCUCAUGUCAGAAGCUGCGGUUCUUUUCAUCAGCCUGAACCCGAACCUGUCGUUAUGGAUAACUCAGGUUUUUGUCAUCAACUAUAUCAUCUUUUUUACUGUUUUGAAACUCUUAAGAUUAAACUUCAGUAAAGUUGUUUCAGUUAUCCAUGUAAUCAGGCUAAGGAUAUUUAGCAGCUUAUUUAGGCAACUGCCAGAAUUCAGUUUGUUCGCUCGAAACUUGUAUGGUGACAAGGAUACUGGCAAGGAUAGUGAGAUAGUUUUUUGUGUGAGUGAAAUUUGAAAGCUUGGGUGUUCUGGGAUUUGCAAUUGCAAUCAUCCUCUGAGUCAGGUGAUUUCUUCUUCUGCUCUGUCUUUAUUUUCUCUCUAAUUGAAAGCAUAAAGUAUUUCAAUCAAAUUCUGUACCAGGAAUACGUAAAAGUUACUAAUAUUUUAUUUCCAUCUGUUUGCAUAGAUAACUUGGCGGCAUAUGUUCUAGUUAAAGAACAAACAGAAACAGAGUUCAGGAAAAAGUUUCUUCGGCCACCAUAUUUGAAAAUGAAACCAUUUCCAGGAAGCAGUUGGCAGCAAAUUCAUAUGGAGUGUAGACAAUGAUGAGCAAAAAGGUGAUUCGCAAUUUCUUUUUUUUUUUAAGUGAAAUUAUUUGUUAGAUUGAAGCUGAUAUUGUAAGAAGGCCAUUGAGCUAACCUAUGUCGCCACUUGCCUAGAUUGCAGGGGGUCAAGACUCAAAAGAAGCACUGAAAUUUAAAAAGCAUGCAAUAGUUCUUUUACCAUGUGUCAAUUAAUGCAAGUUUGAAUAAGUUUAUUGGCUGAACGAUGUUAGCUUCUUUUCCUUUCGUGCACUUUGGUAUGCUAUCAAGUGACAGCCGUAUGUAUGGCUUGCAUAUAGCUGCUGCUGGGAAAAUUGACGAUUUCAUGGCUGGCCGUGUUAUUGUCUUAAAUUAGUUGUGAUAAGCUGUUGCUUGGAGAUUCUGUUGCCAAGACUUUGCUCACAUCAGAAGCUGUGGAAUCUGAACCCUUCGUUAUGUAUCAUCUUUUUCAUUGUUUUAAAACUCUCAGGAUUAAACUUGAGCGAAUUUGUUCGGUUGUCUAUAUAAUCAUGUAUUGAGUAAACUCUCAGGAUACUGAGCAGGCAAAUGUUAUAACUCGGUUUGUUAGCCAAAAACUUGUUGAAGAUUCUUGACAAAGCUGCAUCAAGUGAAUUGUCGGAGCUCUGAGGGUGAGAGAAAUUAGAGGAUUUGGAUUUGUUAGGAAGUUAUCAUAUUUAUUUUUAUUUUUUUAUUUUUCCCAGAAAAUCUUCUGGUGGUGCUAUAUUUUCAAACGACAGUCCGAUUCAAAACUUGAUAUUCCAAUUAUAUUCAUAAGCUUCUAUAGUUAUCUUCAAAAAGACAAAUGGAAGGCUUUGAACGGCUUGGGUCUGAGUAUUGUAGUUUGAUUUAUUUUGAUGAAAGUACCUUUUGACAUUGAGAUUCUUUCUUGAGUUAAACAUUCUUUUUAAAACCAACUUAUUAAAAAAAAAGUAACUAACAUAUAUUAUUUUGUUAGUGCUUUUUAAAUCAAAUAUAAAAAAGAGAACUGUAAUUCUUAGCAACCAAUUUUUCACUGAGUACAGCUACAACAAACUAUUAAAAAAUAAAGUGAUAGAAAAUGCCUGAUUUUUCGUACUUUCUAAUUACUUUUGGUCCUAAAAUAUGGCGAUUUGUGUAAUAAUAAGCCCAUGUAUAUCUUUAUGCCAUUAGUUUGAUAAAUAGCUAUCAAGGAUAACUUAUUAAGCUAAAAAUAUUUGAAGGAUAAAUUGGUAAAACUAAAAGGGUGGAGUAAUAAAACAACAGCUGCAGAUCUCGAAUGCAUCUUCAUUACAGUAUGUUCCAAGGAAGUGUAAUGCCAUAGCUCAUGCUAUAGCAAAAGUGGCUCUGGAUUUUGAGAAUUCUGUUAUAUGGCUGGAAGAGUUUCCAGUCCAGAUCAUGAUGUUACUCUCAAAUUUUAUCAAUUAGAAAGCUUUACUUUCUUUUCAAAAAAAAAAAAAAAAACAAGAAUUUCCAAUUACCUGCAAAGUCAGCUGCGAAGUUAACUCCUGAGCUGAGAAGGUGGCCUAGCAAAGUCUCUGGGCCCAAUAAAAAUGUGCUUUUUGCAGUAAAACAGUGUGUCCGUGGGAGAAGGUAGCAGCGGAAAACCAAGCCUCUCACAAGACAUGUUUCAAGUGCUCACAUGGUGGUUAUUCCAUUAGCCCGUCAAAUUACGCAGCCCUAGAAGGCAUCUUGUAUUGCAAACAUAAUUUCUCCCAAUUGUUCAAGGAAGAAGGCAGCUACAACCACCUUAUAUCAAAUCUGCUUCCAUGAAGCGUGCUGCAGUCUCUGUUCAAGAAGCUUGAACAUGUUAUGUUAUCUUCCAUAAAUCUUAUUUGGCGUGGGUUUUCUCUGGCUUGAGGGUGUGCUUUCUAUUUUGAUCCCUCUUGUUGUUUUUGCGGGGAACUACCAAACCUUCGGUUCCCUCUGCUUCUUUGGAUCAUCUUUGUUGGGACAAAUUUCAUGUAAUUAGAGAUACUGAUUUAUGGGAGGCAUAAUCCCAUGGUCGUAAAUUGACCAUUUUCUGGCAAUGUUCUUUUUAAAAAGAGAUGAGCAGUUGUUUAAAAAAAAAAAAAAAUAGCUUGCCUUCAUCAUUGUAUGUUACCAAAGUGCUAUGUAUAGCUGCUGACUAUGAGCAUCCGAAAAUGGUGCAUCGUGAUUCAUGUAGUGCAAUAUGGCUACCAACGCAUCCUAAAUGGAGUAUUACUCAGUUAGGGUGUGUUUGGGAUUGAGGUUCUGUAGCUUUUAAGCUACAGCUGUUGUGAAAAAAAAGCUGUAAUUAUGAAACAAAAGUUAAUAAUAUAUAGUAAAUAUAAAUUUUAAAUAAUAAUUUUGAUAAGAUUAUUAAAGAUAUAAUAAAUUUUAUAUUAUACAAGUGAAAAAUAAUAUCAACAUAGCUUAAAAGCUACAGCAGUUAGUGUUUACCAAACACUUUAGUGCUGUAGUUUUUAAGCUAUAACUGCCCAACCUCAAUCCCAAACGCACCCUUAGUCAGCAAAAUAAGACAACAUAACUGAUAUUAAAAAAAAAACUACAUUAAUAAGUGGGCAAGAUCAUGCCAGUUUAACUUUUCGCGCGUCGCUGCUGGAGAUAAUCAAAUCAGGGCAGAGAAAAGGAGAAUGGAAUCAGAGGCUAAGAUUAAUAAGUGGGCUUCUGCUUGCUUUGCCCCUCUUUCUUAAACGAUUGGUAGACUGCUGCUUCCACCGAUUAACCGGGUCUUCAACCACUGCUUUUACUGCCUGCCAUCUUGUUGUUUGUCGAAGGGAUGAAUUCGAUUCGAAAAGAGAAAGCGCGCUGAAAAAGAUAAAUCACUAGUGGUUAACUGCUGACUCAGCCAAGUGUUGGCUUCACUUGAUUCACCGAUUGAGGUUAUUUUGUCUUCUAUCUAAUGCAGCGAAGAAGCUUUGCUGCUUAACAUGCUGCAAUGCAACUUUAUCCUUUGAAGUUCACACUUCAGGGCUGGGCACUUUAUGUAAUCCUAUGAGUAAAAAGAAUUUGUUUUCAAAUGUGAAAAAAGAAAAUGUAAGGUAGUAACUAAAUAUAUUAUAGCAUCCAAGCAAGAUUUGAUAUGAAUUUAGUACAACAAAGAACAUCAAAUCUGUGAUUCCUUGUCUAAUGUCACCAUCGAGCAACAAAUUUAAAAGCCUACCUAUCAAAUACACGAGGCAAUAAACGGAGAAAAAUUUGAAUUACAAGAACAAGUUUACAAUUCUUGUCAAUGGUUAAUGAUUCGUGAACUGAGAUAGCAUUCAAGAAUCCAAUUUCAAUACAACAACGUAAAAGAUAAACAGAUGAUGAAUUUAUGAGAUAAAGAAGGAGAUCAUGUUUUAUCGUAUCUCUAUUUUCUUUCUUUUUAAAUUUAAAAUAAGCUUUUCAACCGGUUUGUUAACCGGUUAUAAUAUUUUUUUAAAAUAAUUAAAUAUUUUCAUUAUUAAAAAUAAUGUGUACCGUUGAUUAUAUCUAACGGUACAUAUUUCUUACACUACUAAUACCGUAAAAAAAAAUACAGCAUCAUAGAGGGACCCUUAAAACAUUUUCAUUUGAAAUUAUUUGGUGUAGUAAAAAAGUUAAGAAAGAAAUAGUUGUCCCUUUGGUCAUUUCACAAAAAUGAAAGCCCCAUAAAAGAUAAACAGAUGAUGAAUUUUAUGAGAUAAAGAAGGAGAUCGUGUUUUAUCGUAUCUCUAUUUUCUUUCUUUUUAAAUUUAUGAGAUAAAGCGGUUGGUCCAGUUACGGUGUUAUGCUAACGGGUUUAAAGGUUCCGAUCCAAUGAGUUAGGGUGGAAUAUGAAUAUAUAAAUUCCAUAGCUAAGGACUAGGAUUUGUUUGUUCAUAUCAAGAAAAAAGAUCUGAAAAUUUGAUGAUCAGAAGAUAAAAACACUUAAACACGUUUAUUUCAGAGAAACAAACGACAACAUGAUACUAGUAGUAGUUAUUCUUUUCAUCCGAUAUAUUACAUUGUAAUAUCACUACUCGUUCCACUGGUUUCAUAUACACCAUCGACCAGCAACAUGAUAAUUUCGUGUCAGUUCAUUUUGUUUGUAGGAAAGAGCAGUGUAUUUCUUAGAGCUUGAAAAUAAUAAAAAGAUUUUAAAAUAUAAAUUGCAUAUUUGUUUAUUACUGUUGUUUGGUCUAAUUUCUUAUGUAGAAUUGCUUGUCAUUCUUUGGACGUUAUUGAUUAUAUUUUUGUCAGACUUGGCGUAUACAUUCACAUACGUUUUAUUUUGUCAUUUUGUAGAACAUUUUUACACGCCAUAUUAUCACGACUCUUCUGUGUCUGAAUAAGAAGAAAGCAUAAUGCGACCCUCCAACAGCUUAAUCUAUGGAAUUAUCGUGUUUUGUAAGUUGAGGUCCAAUGGCGUUUUGGCACAUCAUAUGAUAGACCACUAUAUUGCGUUGCUUUACAAAAGAUUAAUAUUUUUAAAAUUAUUAACUCAUGAUAUGAUAGUCCAGGUUUUCGAGGACCACUAUAUUGUAUUGAUUUUUAAAAAAAAUUAAUAUUUUUUAAUAUUAAUAUUCUAAAUUAUAUUCAGUUAAAAUAUUAAAUAUUAAAUACAUUCUUAAUAUUAAUACUCUUAGAUGAAAUUCUUUUGCUGACUUAAGAAUAAAAUAUUAAAUAAUUUUAUUUUUCUUUUAUUGUGUAACGUGGACCCAAAAAAAAAAGGAAAUGAAUUUAAUAAAACCUUCCUUCCGCCACCAUGCAUGUUAAUUGUUUCCAAAUUCCAACCUCCGUACUCUCUUGAGGAGUUUCCCAUUCAUCAAUUAUUAUUUUUUAUAAUCCAUACCAUCCUGAUAUAAUUAAACACCAUUAAUAAUGUACCAGCCUUUAAAUAGUAAUUUAUUUAUUUAUCUAAUUCACCAAAUGUCAUUUCCUGUACAUAUCUCCAUUGGUAUCAAGAAGAAGCAGAACCCAAAGAAACGUUUCUUGCAUCUUCAUAUUUGUGCGAAUUCAUCCUUUCAUUGAGAAUAACCAUUUCCAGGCAGCAGUUGCCAAUCAAUUCAUGCGCACGUCGAUGCUAUUCAUAGAUAUUAAAGACAAUGAUGAACCAAAGGUGAUAAAUCAUAAAUGCAUAAUUACCAAACCUCCAUCCUUCUCUCAUUAUGAUUUGAUUUUAAAUGAAUUAUUGCUUGGUAACAUUAUUUCCAACCAUUGCAAGAUUUUUUUUGGAGAAAUUUUAAUUGAAAGUAAAACCUUUAGACAUUUACCUAAUGAAGUUAGUUAAUCGGGAGGGUGGAAAAAAAAAAGUUGACGCAAGUCAAUACACAAUAAUUAAUCAAAUCCGGAGUGACUAAAACAGAGCCACUACUUUUUUAAAAAUAUCUGCCUUCAUCACUUUCUCCAGCAGCUAGUCAGCUACACACGAGUCAAUUUCUCUCCUCGAUUGUCAUCCAAAAUUAUUCACCAAUACCAUGGCUGAUGCAAUCGUUUCCACUAUCUUGGAGCAGCUGAUUUCCUUCGCUGCUGAAGAGAUAAAACAACAGGUGAUCGAAGUUACACCCCUCAGAUUACAAAUACUUCCAAUGAUUUUAUUUGGUUUUGCUUUUAUCAAAAACAUUAUAUAUUUUUGCUUUAUUUUAUUUAUCUGGUAAUUUUAGAUUUUGAAAUUUGAAUUGAAUUUAAUUAAAAGGUGAUGUAGUAACCACUUAUUUUUAUUUUAUCUCAUUUAUAUUCUCAAUAACUACUCAUAUUUUGGUAACUUACUAUAACUUCCAUAUCUAAGAAAUGAUCCAAACCCACAAUUUUAACUCAGCACGAAUAUUCAAUGGUGAUCUAAGCUUUUGCAGAACACUCAAGUUUGUCAAACAGUCAUUAAUUCAAUGUUUAGUAAAAAAAACACUUCUCAGCACAGAAUUCCAUGUCCAUUACUUAGACUCUAUGAAAAAUUUCAUAAUUUUCUCACAUUAUUUGAGUUUGGUAAGUGAUUUCAUAUAAUUUCUUUUCAAUAUAAAUUUUAAUUUGGUUUCUUAUAUACUCUCUUUGCUGAAUUUGUAUCUUUUAUGAUUCUUAGAUUUUGGGCUCUAACUUUUUAGGAUUUGAUAGUCACAUUUUAUGCCAUGCUUAAAUUGAUUUUCAUGAUUUUUACUACCCGUUAAGUGACUUAGAAUUUGACAAAAGUUUGAAAGGAAAUCUACUUCAGGAUUCUGUUUUAAUUGACCUUUUAGUGGAAAUAAGAUGCUUAUAACUUAAUGUGGAUGUACAAGACUCUCCAUGAAGUCUCAUAAUUUUUCAUUCGGUCUGGGGUGUUACAGGUGAAGCUUGUGGUUGGUGUCGAAAAAGAAGUGAAAAGCCUUACCGGCCACCUUCAAGCCAUUCAAGCUGUGCUCGAUGAUGCCGAGGAAAAGCAAGUGAAGGACAAAGCUGUUAGUCUUUGGCUAGGUAGGCUCAAGUACGCAUCCUACGACAUUGAAGAUGCGUUGGAUGAAUGGAUCACAGGAAGACGCAAAUAGCAAAUUGAGGGUGGCAUUGGUGAAAAUGCUCUUAUUGCUCCUCAUAAGAAAAAGAAGGUACGUUUCUGCUUUCGUGCCUCUUGUCUUGGAUUCAAACAAGAAGAAUUUGGCUUCAAACAAGUCUUUCUACGUCAUGACAUUGCUGACAAGAUCAAAGAAAUCAAUGAAGAGCUACGUAAUAUUGCCACUCAAAGAGACAUGUUUAAAUCUGAGAGUGGCAGUAAAAGUAGUGAAAGACCCAGGCGUGUACAGAGUACCUCCUUGAUUGAUGAGGAAGAGAUUUGUGGUAGAGUUGGUGAGAGGAAUGAACUCUUAAGCAUGCUGUUGUGUGAGAGUAGGGAGCAACAAAAAGGCCUUCAUAUCAUCUCAAUCGUUGGUAUGGGAGGCAUAGGAAAAACAACUCUUGCACAACUAGCAUGUAAUCAUGUUGAGGUGAAGAGAAAGUUUGACAAACUUUUAUGGGUGUGUGUAUCGGACCCUUGUGAGCAGUUUAGGAUUGCCAAAGCGAUCGCUGAAGCUUUAGGCAUUCCCUCUUCUAAUUUAGGUGAAUUUCAAUCUCUUCUUAAACUUAUAUCUGAAUCUAUUACUGGAAAACGAUUUCUUCUUGUCUUAGAUGAUGUGUGGGAUGGAGAUUGUAUAAAAUGGGAACCAUUCUACCUUUGUCUAAAGAAUGGUCUCCAUGGAAGUAAAAUUUUGGUUACCACACGUAAAAAAUCAGUUGCAUCUAUGAUGGGAUCUACUAAUACUGAUAUUGUCACUGUCAUGGAAUUGGCUGAAGAAGAAUGUUGGUCAUUGUUUAAGCGGUUAGCAUUUUUCGGUCCGUCUAUUAAUGAUUGUGAAAAUUUGGAACAAAUUGGGCGAAGAAUUGCAGGCAAGUUUAAAGGUUUGCCUCUUGCUGCAAAGACAAUAGGGAGUCUCAUGCGCUCUAAACAAAUUGAAGAAGAGUGGGAAAGGAUUUUAAAUAGUGAUUUAUGGAGAGUAGAAGAGAUGGAGAAAGGUGUUCUGUCCUCAUUGGUGUUGAGUUACAACGAUUUGCCGUCCAAAGUAAAAAUAUGUUUUUCCUAUUGUGCUGUCUUUCCAAAAAACUACAAUAUAAAAAAAGAUGAACUAAUUACAUUGUGGAUGGCUCAAGGUUAUCUUAGUGCAGAACAAAAUAAGGAGAUGGAGACUAUAGGUGAAGAGUAUUUUAGCAUCUUAGUUUCUCGCUCUUUCUUUCAAGAGUUUGAGAAAAGUUAUGAUAAUCGUAUUAUAGAGUGCAAGAUGCAUGAUAUGGUACAUGAUUUUGCCCGAUUUGUAAGUCAAAAUGAAUGUUUUUCGAUGGAAAUUAAUGGUAGUGAGGAACCAAACACCAUAAACUCUCUUGAUGAGAAGGUUCAUCAUUUAAUGUUGAUCAUUGGUAGGGAGGCUUCAUUUCGUGUCCCUAUUUGUAGAGUGAAAAGAAUUCGUAGCCUCUUAAUUGAUAAUAGUAGAACUUCUCGUUCGUAUUUUAAUGGUGAGAUCCUAGAAGAAUUAUUUAGGGAAUCGACAAGUUUAAGGGCAUUAGAUUUUUGGGGAUCAUAUGUCGUAAGCCCAUUUUCGACUCUAAAGAUUCCAAGAAACAUAGAAAAUCUAGUACAUUUAAGAUACCUUAACCUGUCUUGUCAGAACAUAAGGAAACUACCGGAGACAUUAUGUGAGUUAUAUAAUCUAGAAAAGUUAUAUAUUACUCGUUGUCUGUAUCUUGAAGAAUUACCUGAAGGGAUUGGGAAGUUAAUAAACAUGAAGCAUUUACUAAAUUAUCGUACAGAUUCUUUAAGGUACAUGCCAGUAGGGAUUGGGAGAUUAACGGGUCUUAGGACCUUGGAUGAGUUCCAUGUGAUUGGAGGAGGAGGUGUUGAUGGUAGGAAAGCAUGUUGGUUUGAAUCUCUUAAAAACUUGAAACACCUUCAAGUAUGUGGUAUACGCAGAUUGGGUGAUGUAUCAGAUGUGGGCGAGGCUAAGCGAUUAGAACUUGACAAAAAGAAAUACCUCUCUUGUUUGAGACUUUGGUUUGAUAAGAAGGAGGAAGGAGGAGAAAGGAGGAAGAACGAGGAGGAUCAACUUCUUCUUGAAGCCUUGCGACCACCCCUGGAUUUAAAGGAAUUAGAGAUACGGUACUACCGAGGCAACACUGCUUUCCCCAGCUGGAUGACGUCAUUAAUCAAUUUAAGGAGUUUAGAUCUCUCUUUGUGCGAAAAUUGCGAGCAGCUGCCUCCUUUGGGAAA